This 243719-nucleotide long non-coding RNA is filed under the name Vitis vinifera (wine grape). RNAcentral describes it as "long non-coding RNA (VVIN_LNC004496)". The stretch from base 126880 to 126940 matches the Rfam family "tRNA", at positions 6 to 65 of the family's 71-position model. Lineage: Eukaryota; Viridiplantae; Streptophyta; Magnoliopsida; Vitales; Vitaceae. The record is from RNAcentral.
GAAAACAGAUGGGAACUGAGAAAAUAAGAGGAAAUUAAGAAGGAAAUGAAAAUAAACAAGGAAAUGAAAGGAGCAGAGUUUGGGUUCCAAACAGAGAGACGGUGAAGGAAACAGAGGUGAACGAGAGCCAAGUUAGGAAUGGAUGAUAAAACGGGAAAGAGGUAGUGAGUCGAAGAGAUGGGGAAAGACAAGGAUUAAGCAACAGCAACAAAGAAGAGAGUGGUAUUGCAAUUAGGUAUGGAAAGGAGCACACUACUUUUUAACUUGGGGUGUUAUUAAUUUAAUUUUCCUUAGAAGAUUUCACUCCACAAAUCAUAAGUGUAAUUUUCUUUACAAAUAUUUCAUUACUAAUCAUUUAAAAACCUUUUUACAACUUUAGAAGAGAUGGUUGCAAUUUUUAAUUUUCCAUUAAAGAAUAUGUAAGCAUUGUAGCUUUAUGUUCUCAAAUCUGCUUGCAUGAAAAAAAAAUCAAAUUUUCCAUAUACUAAAUUUAUAACUAUAUCUACACAGUGAUGUAAAUAUUUGAGGACAUAGUGGAUUUAAAAAAAAAAACGUUUUUAAUUGUAACAUUAAAUAAUAAAUAUUUUUAAGUAUUACAAAACUAACGUUUUUGUAAAUUUUUUUUUACUAUUAACGCUUUUAAAGAGAAUCAGCCUAAUGAAAUGUAAAUUAAAGCAAAAUGGAAAUUGAAUGAGCCUGUCAUGUCAUGCUUGCAUUUUCAAACCAAGACAAAAAUCUGCAGCCGCCCACGGCCUUCAAUUAUUAUUAUUAUUACGAUGGGACCAUGUACAGAUGUACAGAAAAAGGCUUCCAUUAUUGACGUGAAUCGGUGAAAACAGCUGUAGCAAUGAACAAAGUAGAAAAAGAUGCAGACAUAUGAAUCAUGAUGUGACUUGUGAGCUGUGAAUGACUACAAUACUUAUUUGAAUGAUAUGGGACCCACAGCCAAUUCAAUAUUCUGGGACGGCUUUGGUUGGAUUUUUUACGAGGGCACCAUCAUUUUAAAAAAUAUUUUUUAGUAGAAAAAUUAAUUUUAAAUUUAUAAAUAAGUAGAAAAGAAAAAAUUAAAAAUGGUUAUUUUUUUUAAAUCUUUUUUGCAAAGGAUGAUUUUUUUAAAAAAAAUUAUAACAAAAAAAUAGUCUGGAAAUGAGUUUUUUAAUUUCUUUUAAAAAGAAUUAUAAACUAAUAUAGUCUAUGGAGAGAUGAUUUUGGAAAAAAAGAAAUUUAAGGGACACAAAUAUCAAAGACAAAUACCUUGACUCUUGAUUCAUUUAGAGACAAUUGUGUUUUGGAUAUAGUUGAGUUCAAAAAUUAAUUUUUAAUUCAUAUAAGUUUUAGAGAAAGUGUAAAAAUUAAGAAGAAUAAUAUGAAUGUUUUAUCUUUCCAAAAAAUGAUCUUUAUUGACUAUAAAAAAAAAAAGUAGAAAAACAUUAAUUUAAAUUUUAUUUUUUUUUGUAAACCUCAAUAAAAUUUAAUUUAAUUUAGUGAUUUGAAAAAAAAUACACACUUUUUCCAAAAAAAUAAAAAUAAAUUAUUAUUAUUAUUAUUUACAAAUAAAACAUCUUGGAAAAUAUAUAUAUUUUUAAAAUUGUAUAUGUAAAAAAUAACUAAAAAUAUGUCAAAAUUAUUUUGUUAAAUGAUAUAUUUAAAAAAAAUUAAUUUUCUAAAAUUAAUAAAUUUUUAGAAUAAUUAUUAAAAAAAUUUAAGAUCAAAUUUUUUUCAAAUAUUAUGGUAAAAAAUACUCAAAAUAGUUUUAAAGGGUAUAUUGAUAUCUUUACAUUUUAUAUCAUUUUCAUUAAUUAUGUGAUUUUUAUGGACUAAAUUUUAAUUUUUGGAUUACCUAGUUCCAAAACGCAAUUUUCCCAUUCCUUUUACAUGAACUAUUAUUGUGUGUAAAGGGCUCCCAUCACUAGACUCAAUCAAUGAAAGCCACCGUAGCAAUGGAUAAAAUAUAGAAAAAGACAAACACAUAUGAAAUCACGAUCAGUGACUUUAAAUUCCAUCGUGUGCCAUUCAUCGGCUGCAUGUGAAUAUAUUGUAACUCAUUCAAGUUUCAGUGACUUUUACAAAAACAAUUAUUAUUAUUAUUAUUGUUGUAAAUGAAGAGUGGUGAAUGACCACAUUGAUGGUCAUUAUGAACUCCAUUUACUCAUCUUUAAGAUAAGUAAUGGGAGUUCAUAUUAUGAAGCCUAUAAAAGGCUUCUUACACCCCAUGUAAGAGCAUCCCGAGAAAAAGAAAGAAAAGUUCUUUCUCUCAUUCUCUCUCUCUCUCUCUUUCCUUUAUUUUCUCAACUCUCUUCUUUGAUUUCUUCUUCCCUAUUAUACAUCAAAGUAAGAUAUACUUCAUCUCUAUUACUUUAAUUUGCAUUGUAUUUAUCCUUAUUUUAUAACACAUUAUCAGCACGAAUUGCUCUGAAAGUAAUUCUCAUAUCUUAAACUUGAAGUUAUUUAUAUAGAAUAAAAUUUUACAUAUUUAUAUUAUUGAUGAUUUGUUUUGUUACAUAUUGUUAAAAGUUAUAAACAGAUUAUUUGAUUUUGUUUAUAAUCAAAGUUAUACUAAUGUUAUCAAGUUAUUAUAAUUGAUUCUAAUAAUAUUGUUUUGUCAUAUAUAUGAAGUCAUUUGACAAUGUCAAAUCUCACAAAAUUCGAAUUUGUGGCACUUGACAUUUCGAAAAAGAACUAUCUAUCUUGGAUCCUUGAUGCUAAAAUACAUUUUGAUGCAGUGAAUCUUGGAGUUAUGAUCAAAGAAGGAAAUCAAGCAUCCCUGCAGGAUUGCGCAAAAACAAUAAUUUUCCUUUGUCAUCAUCUCCAUGAAGAUUUAACAAAAAAUGAGUUUUUGAUGAGAAAUCACCAAUCUCGUCCAACUAGAUUUGAAUCAUUCCCUGAAAUGAAUGCAAUAUCGUUCCAAAAUCAUGGACGUAGACGAGGACGAGGACAUGGUUGUGGUCAUGGAAGAAAUCCCCGAUACCAUGGUUCUUAUAAUAAUAAUUCUCAUAAAAUGAAAGUUUCAUUGCACCACUAGAAGUGGAACAAUAUUGAUGCAAAACAAGAAAAUGAUAAUUGUUUACAAGAUAAACCUCCUAAGAACCAUGAAAAUAAUUGUUAUAGAUGUGGUAUGAAGGGGUAUUGGUCGCGUACCUGUCGUACGCCCAAACAUUUGGUCGACCUUUACCAAGCAUCAAUAAAAGCAAAAGGAAAAGAGAUAGAGAUGAACUUUACCGAUGGUGAUGGAUUGAACCUAACCUACUAUGACAUUGAUUUCUUUGGAAGUCCCAAUGAAAAAAAUAAACCAUUUGAUAAAUGAUGAGAAAAUUAACAUUGAUUGAUGUUACUUUGUAUAUGAAAUAAUAUAUUAUUAUGUCUUAUAUUUACAUUUGAUUUUCUUUUGUUAUUUACAUUAUGCCUUGUUUAUAUGAAAUCCAUGUGUUGUUUAGUCUCAAGAUGAAUGAGGAUGAUGUAUGUCUCACAGACUGUGUGACCACGCACAUAAUUCUUCGAGAUAAAAGAUAUUUUCUCGAAUUGACAUUAAUAAAAGCUAAUGUAAGUACCAUAUCCAGUACUACAAACUUAGUUGAAGGCUUUGGAAGAGCAAACAUAAUGUUGCCAAAUGGAACUAGAUUCCAUAUAAAUGACGCUUUAUAUUCUAGCAAAUCCAGAAGAAAUUUGCUUAGUUUUAAAGAUAUCUGCAGAAAUGGAUAUCAUAUUGAAACUAUGAAUGAAGAUAAUGUAGAAUAUCUUUACAUUACUUCCAUUAUAUAUGGCCAGAAGCUUAUAAUGGAAAAACUCCCGGCUUUCUCUUCUGGAUUGUAUCAUACAACUAUAAAGCCUAUUAAAUCAUGUGUUAUCGUGAACCAGAAGUUCAAUGACCCAAAAGUUUUUGUCCUUUGGCAUGACAGGCUUGGUCACCUAGGGUCUUCAAUGAUGCGUCGAAUAAUUGAACACUCACAUGGGCAUCCACUAAACAACCAGAAGAUUCUUUCGCCUAAUGAAUACUCAUGUGCUGCCUGCUCACAAGCCGAUGUUUUUAUAGCCCGCUUUGCGGAUUGUCAUUUUAAUGAGAGUGUUUUCCCGCCAUUAGGGGGAGAAAAAUAGAUUCCUGAAGAACGACGAGAAAUUAGUUGGAAGACAUCUACUCUGACUUAUCUUGAUCCUCGUACAAAUCAAUAUGAACUAGAAGUUUAAAGGAUCAUUCAUUUGCAAAAUCUUGCAAAUCAAUUACCAGAUGCAUUCAUUGAUACAAAGAAAGUAACAAAGUCGCAUAUCUCGGCUGCAAAUACUCCAGUACGGAUUGAUGUCCCUAUAGGAUAGUUAACAAAUGAAUCUAAGAUACGCUUGAAGCAUGGUAGAUUUGUCAGCUCAAAGGAUGUAACUCCUCGGAAGAGGAGAACCCAAGAAAAAAUUGGCACUCUAUAAGAGGCUAUCAAAAUGACUGAUCAGAUUAAAAUUGAUAAAUCUAUAGCCCCAAAAGAGGCACAAAUAAUGUAGAAAGCUCCUGAAGAGGCACAUAUUGAAUGAGAAGCCCCUGAAGAGGCAUAGGUACCUGAAAAUUGUGAGAUCUCAGUAAGUUAUAUAUACACGGGAGAAAAAUGAGAUCGAAAUAAUAUUGUUAUUAACAAUUUUUUUGCUUUCCAAGUGGCCUCUAAUAUCAUAAGAAAUGAUGAAGAUCCUGAACCACGAAAUAUGGAAGAAUGUAGACAUAGAAAUGAUUGGCCAAAAUGGAAAAAAGCUAUACAAGCAGAGUUAAACUCUAACAAAACGGGAAGUUUUUGGACCUGUUGUCCAAACACCUGAAGAUGUAAAGCUUGUUGGGUACAAAUGGGUAUUUGUACGAAAGUGCAAUGAGAAAAAUGAGAUCAUAAGAUAUAAAGUGCAAUUAGUAGCACAAGGUUUCUCACAGAGACCUGGUAUUGACUACGAAGAAACAUAUUCUCCCGUCAUGGACGCAAUCACAUUUCAUUUCUUAAUUAGUUUGACAGUCUCAGAAUGACUGGAUAUGCGUCUCAUGGAUGUUAUUACAACAUAUUUAUACGGAUCCAUGGAUAAUGAUAUAUACAUGAAAAUCCUUGAAGGAUUUAAAUUGCCUGGAGAAAAUAGUAUAAAGCCUUAUAGAAUGUACUCAAUCAAGUUACAACGAUCCUUGUAUGGAUUAAAGCAAUCUGGACGCAUGUGGUACAAUCACCUUAGCGAAUACUUGCUAAAAGAAGGGUAUGUGAAUAACCCUAUAUGCCUAUGCAUCUUCAUUAAGAAAUCAGAAACCAGAUUUGCAAUUAUUGCAGUGUAUGUUGAUGACUUAAAUCUUGUUGGAACUCCUAAAGAGCUCACAAAAACAAAAAAUUACUUGAAAAAGGAAUUUGAGAUGAAAGAUCUUGGAAAAACAAAAUUUUGUCUCGGCCCGCAGAUCGAGCAUUUUCCAAAUGGAGUUUUAGUACAUCAAUCAACAUAUAUUAAGAAAGUUUUGAAGCGUUUUUAUAUGGAUAAAGCGCAUCCUUUAAGUUCUCCAAUGGUUGUCCGAUCACUUGAUGUGAAAAAGGACCCAUUUCGUCAUUGCGAAAAAAAUGAAGAGUUACUUGGUUCUGAAGUACCAUAUCUUGGUGCUAUUGGUGCACUUAUGUAUCUUGCCAAUUGUGCACGCCCCGACAUUGCUUUUUCUGUCAAUUUAUUAGCAAGAUAUAGUUCCGCUCCAACUCGAAGACAUUGAAAUGGUAUCAAACAUAUAUUGGGUUAUCUUUGCGGGACUACUGAUAUGAGUUUAUUUUACUCAAGGGAAUCAAAACAACAAUUGCUUGGAUAUGCAGAUAUAGGAUAUCUUUCAGAUCCACAUAAAGGUAGGUCACAAACAGGGUAUGUGUUUAAUUGCAAUGGUACUGCUAUUUCAUGGAGAUCUGUCAAACAAACAAUGAUGGUCACAUCAUCAAAUCAUUCAGAAAUACUGGCAAUUCAUGAAGCAAGUCAUGAAUGUAUAUGGCUAAGGUCUAUGAUUCAGCAUAUUCGGGAAUCAUAUGGACUCUCUUCUAUCAAAGAUGACCCGACAAUAUUAUUUGAAGAUAAUGCUGCAUGCAUUGCACAAAUAACAGGGGGUUAUAUUAAAAGAGAUAGAACUAAACACAUUUCACCAAAAUUCUUUUAUACACAUGAACUCCAAAAGAGUGGUGAAAUUGAUGUGCAACAAAUACACUCAAGUGAUAAUCUAGCAGAUUUAUUCACAAAAUCAUUGCCAACCUCAACAUUCAAGAAGUUAAUACACAAGAUUGGAAUGCGUCAACUCAAGGAUAUUGACAUGAGGGGGAGUAAGCUUGUAAAAGGGUGUUAGUGUACUGUACUCUUUUUUCCUUCGUCCAGGUUUUGUCCUACUGGGUUUUAUUGGCAAGAUUUUUAGCGAGGCAAUCCUAAUAUACCAAGAAAAGAAUAUUGUACUCUUUUUCCUUCGCUAGGUUUUUCCUAUAUGGUUUUUUACUAGCAAGGUUUUAAUGAGGCAUAUUCUUUUAAUAUAGUGGUCAUCCAAGGGGGAGUGUUGUAAAUGAAGAGUGGUGAAUGACCACAUUGAUGGUCAUUAUGAACUCCAUUUACUCAUGAGUAAUGGGAGUUCAUAUUAUGAAGCCUAUGAAAGGCUUCUUACACCCCAUGUAAGAGCAUCCCGAGAAAAAGAAAGAAAAGUUUUUUCUCUCAUUCUCUCUCUCUCUCUUUCUUUCAUUUUCUCAACUCUCUUCUCUGAUUUCUUCUUCCCUAUUAUACAUCAAAGUAAGAUAUACUUCAUCUCUAUUACUUUGAUUUGCAUUGUAUUUAUCAUUAUUUUAUAACAAUUAUUAUUUUAUAUUGUUUCAUCAAGUUUAUUAGUAUUAUUAUGUUGAUAUUCGGUUGGUGGUUAGGAUUGGAUAGGUUAUAAAUAUUUUAAAAUAUUAAUAAUAAUAACCUAAAAUAUUACAUCAUAUAACUUAUAUCAUAUUGGAUAUGUAAUAAGUCGUAAGUUAAAGAAAUAAAAAUUAGAUUGAACAACAUCUCAUAUUAAUUUUAAUUUUUCUUUUAAAAUAAGAAUAAGUGAUAUUAAAACUCUAUGAAAACUCUCUUAAUUUAUUUCUCUUUUUUAAAAGUUUUGAUGUCAAAAAUUUUAAAAUUAUUUCCUAAUUACUUUUUAAAUUUGAUAACAAAAAGUUAAGAAUAAAGGUAUAAAAUUUGUUUGAUACCUAAUUUAAUAAAAAGUAAAUGGAUAAUUUAACGCUCAACUCGCCUUUUUCUUAUCAAACCAACAAUGUGGGUGACAUCAAAUAUUUCAUAAAAAAAUAAUAAUUAUUAUUUUUUAAAUAACAAAACAAAUUAUAACCACCAAAUAUAUUUAAUAUUUAUAAAAACUAAAAGAAUAAAUAAAAUUAUUUAUUUAUUUUUUAAAUAUUAUAAAAAUAUUUCUUAUCUAUUAAUUCUAUUUAAUCAUAUUGCUUUAUGAUUAAUGAUUUGCGUGUAUUUAGGCAUUUUUAACAAAAACAAAUGUUUUUCAGCCUUGGAUUCCUGGCAUGGAGCAUGGAUUAUUAUAAUUAUUGUGAAAAGUAGUGGAAGCCAUACUGCCUGUAUAUAAAAACAGAUGCAAGUGGAAAACAGGUCUCCAUGACUUAUAAUAUGAGGAUGGGGCUGCCUUUUCCAUGAAUCAAAUCUCAAUAACCGAUUCCAUUGUCUGCCAUUAUUCACCUGCAUCUCACUCUCACAACUCAAAUCUAGACUCAGGUUCACACGCCUUAAUAUCUUGCCACAAAACCCUACAUAAUACUAAUAUAUACUAGUAAUUAGAAUUUACAGUGACCGUGUAAAAUAAGUUUGUAGAGAGACAAGCCAUGUGCAUUGCACUAAUAGAAAAUGACUGAAAAUUAAUAUAAUUCAGAGAGCGAGAAGGCCCAUGUGAAUUGCAUCAAUAGAAAAAUAGUUGAAAAUAAAUAUAAUUCAGUCUCCGGAGCGAAGCCCCAUGCGAAUUGCAUUAAUCGAGAAUAUAAUUCCAAGGCCGCCCCAUGUGCAUUGCAUUCAUAGAAAAAGAGAGUGCAAGACCUGGUCUGCUUUGCAUUAAUACAAAAAUGACCCAAAAUUAAUAUAAUGCCUAAGUGCCCUAAUCUCUAUUCUUUAUUAAUAUUAGUUAUUAGAUUUUACUUCAAAGUAUGUAAAACAAGUUUGUCCAAUUAAACCGUAAGGUUACACUUCAUUGACAUGAUUGGAUAAGAUAGAAUAUAUAUAUAUAUAUAUAUAUAUAUAUAUAUAUAUAUCAUAGGAUAUGUAUAUUUUAUGAUAUGAUUUUCAAUAGGUUAUGUAUCUCAUUGGAUAUACAUAUCAUAUGAACAUGAUAUUUUAAUAUAGCAUAUCAAAUAAGAUAUGUUAUAUUAUAUUUAUAUUUUAUUUAUAAAAUAAAUAAAAAAUAAUAUGAAAUAUAUAUCAUUUUCAAUAUUUAAAAUAAUAAUUAUAUCACAUUCAAAUAUUUAAAUAAUGGAAAAUUUAUUAUGUUUAACAAUAUUCAUGAUUAAAAUAUUUAAACUUAAAAAAUAAUUUUUUUAUAUAAUGUUAUUUAAUAUAUAAAAAUAAUUUAUAUAUCAUAUAUUAAUAUUAUUUUAUAAAUAUUUUUUGUUAGUUUUUCUUUUUAAUAAAAAAUUUAAUUUAUAAUAAAAAAAAUUUUGUAAUAUGAGUAUAUUAAAAAAUAAAAAAUUGAUAAAAAUAAAAAAUUGAUAAAAAUAAAUAAAUUUUUUAUAUAUGGGAUAUUUAUAUCUCAUAUCUUACCAUGAGAUUAAUAUAUCCCAUGUGAAAAUGAUGAAAAAAAAAGAAGGUGGAUAAUAUAUCUCAUUACUUAUCUUAUCUCAUAUUUGGUUGAAUAUAAGAUAGAAUAAGUAAUGAGAUAACUUAUCUUAUUCCAUCACCAAUCAAACAUAAGAUAGGAUAUAAUAUCCCCUUUCCUAUCCUAUCUCAUGCUAUAUUUGGUUAACCGUCUAAGUUCACUAAGUUUCUACUAUUCAUUAUUAUUAAUUUUUUUUUUUUUGCAUAUAAUUAAAUUUUCCUUACAUAAAAACACUAUUACAGAUUUGUUCUCCAAAAAGAUCCAUAUUUUGGGGAAAUAUGUAAACUAUCUUAUUUGCAUAGAGGGAGCUAUAAAGAAGAACACCAAAUUGUCACACAUGAUGGCUCAUUGGAGAUGAUAUUAAAUCAAUCACAUGCAAAAAUUUAUUUCUAUAAACCAAAAAUGAGUUGCAUCAUUAACUUAAUUUUCCUUCACCAUUCCACUCCAUAGACCAUAAACCAAGAAUAAGUUGUAUCAUUAAUUUAAUUUGCCUUCAAAAUUCCACUCUAUAAACUAUAAACCAAAAAUGAGUUGUAUCAUUAAUUUAAUUUUUUUUCUUCUAAAGAUUCCAUUAUUGAUCAUUUAAGAACUUUUUACAAUUUUAAAUGAGAUAAUUGCAAUCUUUAUUUUUUUAUUAAAAAAUAUUAAACAAUAUGUAAGUAUGUAUCUUCAUAUUUUCAAACUUUCAUUUAAGAAAUUUAUGACUCAAAUUUCUAAAAUUAAGAGUGCUUCCCAAUUACAAUUCUCCAUCCCUCAACCUAGAACUUCAUCCACCCGAUGGAUGUAAUUUCAAAAUAGAAUUAAUUUGAAAGUGGUUUUUGUUAAUUUAUAACACUUUUUGUUAGUGAUAAAGGGAAUCACUCUAAUAAUAUAUAUUUUUUGGAUUAACAAAUGAAUUCAUAAAUGAAAUAUAAAAUUUAUUUUUAUAACCAAAAUUUUAUUCCCUUACCCUGCUUUGCACAUUUUCUUUGGUUUUUUUCAUUGAUUUUAGUGGGCUUUACGCUAAGUUGCAGGUGUGGGUGUAGAGGAAAUGGAGGUGGUGUAAGUGGGUUGUAACACCCCAAAAUAAACUUUAGGGACAAAAUAGUAAAUUAUAAAUUAAUUAAUUAAUUAAACUCAUUAAAGGUAAAAAAUUCAUUUUACAAUUAAUAAUCCUAAAUAUAAAUUAGAUUGGGACAAUUAUGUUUUGGGCCUAGUUGGGCCAAAAAAUUAAGUUUUGGUCCAUAUAAGUUCACCAUUCAAGCCCAAGACCUAGAAAAAGUGUGAAAAUUGAGAAAAAUAUAUGAAUUUUUUAUUUUUCCAGAAAUAACCUUUGCUCUAUGGAAAAAAAAUAGAAAAACAUUAAUUUAAAUUUUAUUCCUUUUGUAAACCUCAAUAAAAUAUAAUAUAAUUUAGUGAUUUGAAAAAAAAUACACCAUUUUCCAAAAAAAUAAAAAUAAUUUAUUAUUAUUAUUAUUUAAAAAUCAAACAUCUUGGAAAAUAUAUAUUUUUAAAAUUGUGUAUAUAAAAAAUAACUAAAAAUGUAUCAAAUUUAUUUUUAAAAAAUGAUAUAUUUUUAGAAUAUAUUUUUAAAAAAAUUAGUUUUCUAAAAAUAAUAAUUUUUCAGAAUAAUUAUUUAAAAAAAUUAAGAUAAAAAAGUUUGUCAAAUAUUAUGGUAGAAAAUAGUUUUGAAGGGUAUAUUGGUUUUUUCAAACUCUAUAUCCUUCUCAUCAAUUAUUCAACUUAUAUGGACCAAAACUUAAUUUUUGGGCCCAACUGGGUAAAAAAAAACAUUGUCCCAAUUCGAUUUUCCUUGUCUUCUUUAUUUAGAAAACUCUAUUGAUAAAAAAUCAGAGAAUUGGAGAACGUAUGGUUAAAGGUUUGAAGGUGUAGAGUUUAAAGUUAAUAUUUUUUGAGGUAAGAUUUUAACCCUAGAUUAAUAUAUUUCUUUAGUUAGUUUUGAACACAUUAAAUAUUCUUUAGAAAAUUUUAAUUUAGAUUAGGUUUAGUUUAUUUAAUUUAUUUUAAAAUCAAAAUAUUGAAAUUAUGAAUAUAGGUUAUUUCAUUAAUGAAAAUAGGGAAAUUUGAAAUUUUUUUUAGAUGAAUAAAUCUAAACAAUGAAAUUUUAAAAAUUAAAUGAGUAAAUAAAUAUAUAAUUAUAUGUGGCUUAAAGGAUUAGAAAAUAAUAAGCAGAAGAAUUGCAUGUUUUUGAGGCAUUGUGUUGGGGAGACCAAAAACUUUAAAAAAAAAAAAAAAAAUCAAUAUGUAACCAUGAGAGGUAAAGUGUGGUAGUGGAAUAAAUUAAAAUAAUAAUAAUGAGUAGAGUUGGUGGGGUUGUUAAAGUUGUUAAAAGUACAUGGGGUAUUUUGUUAAGUAAGAAAGGACAUUGGGAUUAAUAAAAAUAAUGAUAAUGAUAAUAAUAAUAAUAAUAAUAAUAAUAAUAAUAAUAAUAAUAAUAAUAGUAAGAAUUGUAUGAUUUGGAUGUUUGUGAGUGACGUACAAUAAGGUUGUUCGGUAUUGAAAAAUAUAGUAAUAAUAAUAGUAAUUGUUUUUAAUAAAAGUUUUAAUUUAGUUUAAGUAUACAAAAGAAAUAAAUUGUUAGGAUAAGAUUUGGAAGAAAUAUGAGUUUAUAAAAAAUUUAGAAAUUAAUUAAAUUAUAUUAUUAUUGUUUAAGAAGUUGAAAAAUAAUAUUGGGUGGUAAUAAUAUUAGCAUGUGAAAUUAAUUAGGAUCCUUAAUAUUAAAUAAAAUAUUUUUAGGAUUGUCAAAUUUUUAUCUUUAAAUAAUUGUAUAUAAUAUUAUGUUAGGCGAUGAAUAAAUUCGUCAAGUUAAAUACUUCGAGUUUUUUUUUUUUUUUUUGGUUUUAAAGUAAAGUUAAGAAGAAAGUGAAGUUUGGCAAAAAAAAAAAUGAAAGAGAUGGAUUUGAGUUAGGACAAUUUUUCUUUAGAUGAUAAAAGUGAUAUAAAUCAUCUCAUAAGGAUACAAAACUUUAUAAAUUGAUAUGAAGCAUUAUUAAAUAGAUUCAUCUCAUAUCUCUAUAUAUAGUUGAAUCCUUUUUUUUUUUUUAAUAAAUAAAAUUUUUAUAUAAAAAGAUCAAAUUGCUCUUCAGCUUCUAAAUUCCACCUCUCCUAAACUCUAAUUUCAUUCUUCUCCUAUUUCAUCUUCAUCCUUAAAUCCUUUUUUUUCUUAUACUAAAAUAAAAUUUUUAAAAAUGGAAAAUCGCUAAGGGUGGCAUAGCUAAGCCUAUGAUCACAAUUGCAACUGUGACUAUAGCACUACGUCAUCCCAAAUUGUUUUUUUUUUUUCAAUAUUAAGAAAAUUUGAUGACGAUGAUGAAAAAGGGGGGUGGCCUUUUUUUUCUUAUACUAAAAUAAAAUUUUUAAAAAUGGAAAAUCGCUAAGGGUGGCAUAGCUAAGCCUAUGAUCACAAUUGCAACUGUGACUAUAGCACUACGUCAUCCCAAAUUGUUUUUUUUUUUUUUCAAUAUUAAGAAAAUUUGAUGACGAUGAUGAAAAAGGGGGGUGGGGGGGGGGGGGGGGGGGGCGGCGGGAGAAAAUGGAAAAGAAAAAGGUGUUAGGGUUUUGGAGAAGUGGGUGAGUUGAGGAUGAAGAGGAUAUUUUGGGUAUUUCAUAUAUAUAUAUAUAUAUGAAAGAAAGUCUAACUUUAAUAUUAUAAAAAAAAGGCAAAUUAUCUAAAUUUAUACAACUUUAAUUAAGGAGAGUCUAACUUUUCCACUUUCAUCUUUGGUAAACCUAAAUUAAAAUUAUUUUAUAGAAGAAAAUAUCUUUCAUGGACUCUCAUCUUAUCCCCCUUCCACUUUAAUCCAUCUUUAUAUAGUUUUAUUCAUCAUUAUUUAUCUUCAUUUUUGAAAAGCGAAUUGAUAGAGCACAAUGUUUAAGUGGCUUCACAAUGGUUUGGCCACUAUGGUUUGUCUUUUUUAAAUCCUUUGUAGUUUUUGUUUUAAAGUAGAGCUAAGAAGAAAGUGAAGGUUGGAAAAAAAGGAAAAAGAUAGACCAUUAUGCCUAAGUGUCCCCCAUAAUGGUUUUUUCAUUUUUUAUUUUUUAUUUUUUAUUUUUUUAUUUUUAUGAAGUAAAGCUAAAAAGAAAAUGAAGUUUGACAAAAAGAGAAAAACAUGGAUUUGAGUUGGGACAAAUUUUCUUUAGGUGAUAAAAGUGAUAUAAAUCAUCUCAUAAGAAUAAAGGAUACAUAACUUUAUAAAUUGAUAUGGAGCAUUAUGAAACAUAUUCAUCUCAUCUCAUCAUUUUUUUUCCAUAAAUAAAAUUUAUAUAUGAAAUGAUCAAAUUUCUCUUCAACUAUCUAAACUAUAAUCUCAUUCUUCUCUUCUUUCAUCUUCAUCCUCAAUUUUUUUUCCUUAUAGUAAAAUAUAUAUAUAUUUUAAAGAAAGAAAAAUCAGUUAGGGUGGCACAACCAAUCCUAUUAUAGGUGACCGACAAUAAAGCCUAACCGUGUAGCUGUGAUCACAAUUGCAAUUGUGACUAUAAAAUUGCAUCAUCCCAAAUUGAUUUUCGAUUCUUGUUAAGAACCUUGUCAGUAAAACCCAAUGAGACAAAACUUGAAUAAAGAAAAAAAAAGUGCAAUUUAUCGAUAUCAAUAUUCUCCCCCUCGUGUUGACUUAAUUGUGCCCUUUCCAAUACUUCAACGAGUAGAUAUUUCAAUCUCUAUAUUCCAAUAUUGUAACUAAACUUUUUCAAUAUAGUUAUAAUGUUUUUAUGAAUAGAUCUAUUAGAUUAUCACAUGAUUGGAUCUGUCAAUACAUUAAUUUCACCAUUUUCUUGGAGUCAUAAGUAUAGAAGAUUUUGUUGAUAUAUACUUAGUUUUGUCACCUUUUAUAAAUCUUCCUUUAAUUUGUGCAAUAUCAGAAACAUUAUCUUCAUAUAUCUCAGUAGCAUUAUCUUUGAUGGAAGGUAGUCUACAUGAUUCCCAAAUAUGUUGGAUCAUUGACCUUAGUCAUACAUAUGCACAACUUGCUUCAUGAAUUACAAGUAUAUCUUAAUGAUUUAGAGAGGUGGUUGCCAUUAUUUAAUUCACUAACCUCUAUGAUAUAGUCGUAAUAUUGUAGGUAAAUACAUACCCUUAUUUGAAAUCAAGCUCUACAAACUCAAUUAUGCUUUCUUCAACAUUUCAAUGGUAUAUCUCUCAAUCUCUACAUUCCAAUGUUGUAUCUUAACUUUUUUAAUGUAGUUGAUUGUAAUAAUUUUAUGAAUAGAUCUAUUAAAUUAUCAUAUAAUUGAAUAUUUUGAACAUCAAUUUCACCAUUUUCUUGAAGCCCGUGAGUAUAGAAGAAUUUGCGAGAGAUAUGCUUAUUUUGUUCACCUUUUAUAAAUAUUCCUUUGACUUUUGCAAUAUAAGGAACACUAUCUUUGAUAGAGGGUAGUCCACAUGAUUCCUAAAUAUGUUGGAUCGUUGACCUUAACCAUACACAUUCAUGACUUGUUUCAUAAAUUACAAGCAUCUCUCAAUGAUUUAGAGAGGUGGCUAUCAUUGUUUGUUUGACUAAUCUCCAUGAUAUUGUUGUAUUAACAUAGAUAAAUACAUAUGCUAUUUGAGAUCAAGUUUUGUAGAGGUUUGAAAGAUAGCCAACUUCCACAUAUCCAAGCAAUUGAGAUUCUACUCAUUUCAAAUAAAAUAAACAUAUGUCAAUUGUUCCAUGAAGAUAUUGUAGUACAUGUUUGACUUUAUUCUUGCAAGCAAAAUGACAAAGAAUGUUAUAUCUGAUCAUGUAUUGUUUCAAGAUACAUUAGUGUAGCAAUUGCAAGGUACUUUUGGACGAAAUAGUUAUCUAUUAUCUUCUUUAGGAUGAACGAGGUCCUUUUUCACUUCAAGUGAACAAAUUACAUUGAAGAACUUAAUGGAUACAAUUUAACCUUAUGAAAGUUCUUUAGAAUUUUUAUUUAUUUAUUAUAUGCUGAUUGAUGGACUAAACAUUCCAUUUUAAAAAUGCUUGAUUUCCAAGUUGAAACAAAAUUUUCUUUUUCCAAGAUCUUUUGUUUGAAAUUCUUUCAUUAUACAUUUAAUCAUUCUAAUAUACCCUUUAAGAGUCAAUAAGAUUGCAACAAUGACAAACCUCCACUUUAAUCCACAUAAAGACAUAAUUUGAUCAAGUAUAUUGUCAUCAUGACUUGAUUAAGAAUGUGAUAUGAGAUUUUCAAUCAUUGUUUCAAUCAUUUUAAUCCUUCAGAUUUUUUUUUAAGCAUGUUAAUUCUUAAGGGAGAUAUUUGCUUUAUUCUUUUAAAUCUUUCAAGGAUUUGGUUGCUUCAUGCAUUUAGGAUCCUUUAGGAUUUUAACAUAUCCAUGAAUCCAUAUACAUUAUAAAGUAUAUAUCAAAUCUUUGAGGUAAUGGGAAAAACCUAAAUCUCUCUGUUUUCCAAUCCCGGAUCAGGUUAAGAACAUGUAUAACAUCCUAGGAUUUUCUAAAUCCUAUGCACAAUGAAAAAAAAAACAUUUUUAAACUUAUAAAGGGAUUUAGAAAGUGCUAAUAAAAACCAUACCUCAAAUUUGGAUGUUCCCGAAUCAAAUCCAUGUGGUGAAGAUGAAUAAAGAAAUCGCAAAAGUCUCGUAAACCUGAAGUCUUCCGUUUGAUGACUCGAACCUUGAUCUUGACACACUUCCAGUGGGAAUGAAAUGGAGGGUGGAGGCUAUGACUCUCUCUCUCUCUCUCUCUCUCUCUCUCUCUUUCUCUCUCUCUUUGGAGAUGGAAAAUGACUAUUUAAAAAAAGUUGUGGGAACCCUAACCACUAAGAGGGUAUUUAUAGGGCCCCUUAUUGUGUUUAAGUGACUUGAUCCCAUUACAGGCUCGGGUCACUUAAUGUAGCCUAAAAUGGGUCCUAAUAGAUUAAUCCUUAAGAUCACCCAAGGGAACACAUUAUUUCAAUCCCAAGAAAUAUUACGGUGCCUCUAUUGAGAAUACUUAUUGCUACUGACUUACAUUAAUAGUAACUCGAUCCAUAGAGAAUAUAUGAUCAACUUACGAUCUCACUCAUAGGUCAAAGCCUAUUAACUUCAACAUAAGCUUAAUAUUCUCUCUAGGUUGAGAGACAACAUAAUGAAACAAUUUGGUGAAUUCAUGACUAUUUAAUAGUCUUAACUCAUAACUUAUCAUAGGUUAUGUCAAAUGUGCAACCAUACACACCAGUGCACUCACCAUGGGAAACUCAUCCUAAUAGCCAAAACUAGUCAUCCCUCCAAUUAGGAAGUGACGCACUACAACCUCUAAUUGGUUGCUUAAACCCAUGAAUUGACUGUGAAUAAGUGAUCUAUUUGCUAGGAACCCAUGACUUGGAUCUUCUGUGCAACUCCUAAUGCACCCAAGUCAUGUACAAUGCAAAAAAUGUUGAUCAAAGUAUUUACAAGAUAUAAUGCAUGAAAAUAGGAUAAAUAAAAGUGAACUAAAACUUUAUUAAAUAAAUAAUAAAAACCAAGAGUUUAUUAUAUCAUAUUAUGUUUUUAAGGGCUCUAUCCUAACAUAAGGGAUUGUCAAUCAUGUGACUGAAUCAUUACAAGGAUGAUGCUAGGUCUUUGCAGGAAACCUUAUGUUAUAAUUUUUGCUUUAUAACAUAAUAACUCAUUGAUAUCUAACAACUUUUACGUCUUUGGGCAUUAAACUUCAAGUCCAUUUGUAUUCAAUAGGUGCAAUAUCUUUUGGCAUUGGACUACAGGUCUAAAUAUUCCUCAUUUUGCUAAGAAGUUUAACCUUAUAUGUAUUUCAUCUUUCUAUUUUGACCAAUUAGAAAUAUAUUAGCAUUCUUGCAUAAUUCAUGGUUUACAAUUUUCCUAACUUUGUAUGAUGUCAAAGCCCAUCUACCAAGAAGAUGAAUUGUCAAUGACAAUAUUAUUUUUGAUCCCAUCUUCAUCCUAUCAUGUUCAUAAUAGAGGCCUUUUUUACUUUUAGGUAUUGAGGUAUCUAUACCUUUUUAGGAGCUAUUUUGUACAAUUUUUGCAUCUUCAAGGGCCAUUCAUUUAAUUUGUACCUCUUCAGGCAUUAUUUGUUUAAAUUAUACCUCUUUAAAGACUAUUUGUUUAAUAUGUGCUUCUAUGUUAUCUAUUUUAGUUGUGCCUUUUUAAGAGCAAUAAGUUCCUUAAUUUUGGAUUGAUCAAUCACUUUUGUGGCCUCUUCAAGAGUAUCAAGUUUUUCAUAUGUUUUUCCUUAUAUUUUCCUUUUUCAAUGAAUUACAUCAUUUGAGCCAAUAAGUCUACUAUGCUUCAAGUGUACCUUGGAUUCAUUUGUCAUUAUAAUAGUUAAUUGUCCUACUAAUUUUUUUUUGCUGCGAUUAUUUUACCAUGCGUCAAGCAUAUAUCUGGAAUAGUGUUGGUUAAUUUUCAUUCGAGGACAUCUAUUUAUAAUAUUUAUUUGCAUAAAAAAAUUCUAAGAAAUUUCAUGUCAUUCUUCAAGGAUCAACUUCCUCCCGCUAAUUAUGAGAAAAUUUAUCUUAUUAGAAUAAUAAUUUACACAACAUGUUAUACUACUUUUUAGAAAUAUAGAUAAAUCACUCAUUAGAUAAAAAACUUUUGAUUUUAUAUAUAUGUUUACAUGACUUGUAAUGAGUAGAUGGAUUAUUAUUUACCCCAGGGAUCAUGUUGGUCAUGUCAGAUUCUCUUAGAUAUGAUAGAAUGUAAAGUGUCAUUCAUAUGAAAUUUUAUCCCAUUAGUUAUAUAAUUUUUAUCUCUUUCAAAGUCUAUAAUCAAGUUUACUUGAUAUAUAUUAAAAUAAACUAUUAUAUACAUUGUACAAUUGAUGAGGUAAAUAUCUUAUAAUAAAUCUAUCAAAGAAUUGAUAUUAUAUGUAUAUAACUAAUAAAUAUGACAUGCAUGUAUUAAAAAAGUAGUUUAUUUUCUUUUUCCAUAAGAUAGGAUGUACUAUUUUAAAGAUUUCAAUCUACAUAACUAGCAAAAAGAAUACAACAGGUAUAAUCAAAUCAAAUUUGAAUCAUUGCAAAUUAAGAAUAUAUAAAAUAAUAACUUCAAAUUAUGAACAUUUAUCAUAUUUAUAUAGUUUUUCAUAACGGUAGAGUAAGUUAAUUUCUCAUCUUGAUAUGAUUCCAUACAUAUAGUUUAAUAAGAACAAUAAAUAAAAAAAACCUGGAAUAAAAAUUAUACUAAAAUUUCCAUUAAAUAAUAAAAAUAAUUACUAGCUUGUAGCUAUAAUAAAUAAUCUUAGCAUAGCUUCUGGGUAGAGUAUUUAUUUUCUUGUUUUCAUAACUUUUGGUUAUGAAUAAUCAUAAUAUUUACAUAGAUUCUCAAUAUUAUUUUUCUUUUACCCAUAUGACUUUGGGCUAUAAUUUUCUAUAAAAACCCAUUUUAUAUAUAGCCUCAAAUAAUAAGAGGUUAUAAAAUGAACCUUUAUUCUACAUAGCUCAUGACUAUAACAGAAAUAUAUAAUAUUAACAUUUCUAUAUAUUUCUUAGAUCAGAUGAGAAAAAAAAAAUGUAGAAUACAUUGCAUAUAACGUCAAGCUAUAAUAACAUAUGAAAUAAUAAAUUCUUUAAAAUCUUCAUUUAGAGGAAAUAUAUAUUUGCUCUCAUAUAAAUUCAUGGUAUGAAAGUUUUUUAUAUAAUUUUUCCCCUAUGAGAAUAUGCAAGAUAUUUUUCUCUACAACUUUAGGCUAUAAGAAUGUAUAAAUUAUUUUUUCAUAUAACUCUAAGUUACCAAAUAAUUAUUACAUGCAUUACUUCUAGUUAUAUAAGAAUAUGAGAAUAUUUUAUUUUCUUCUUCUCUACAUAGCCUCUAGCUAUGAGAAAUAAUCUUUUAUAUUAUCAUCAUAAAAUAAUAUAAUUAAAAUAAAAAAUAAAUUUUUCAUAACUUUUGACUAUGAAAGUUUUUAUUGAAAAAUAUAAAAAUUUUCAUAGCUUUGAGCUAUGAAAUAUUAUUUGUAAAGAUUUUGACCCUAAAACUAUUUAAAUUGUUAAUUUAAUUUUUAUAUAAUUAUAAAAAGAAUUUAACUCCAAUUAAAUCCUUAUGGUGUUUGACUUGUUUUACUUAAUGAUAAUAUAACGUACACUUAUUGACUAAAUUUUCAUCUUUAUUAUUUAUAAGUGAUGAAAAAUUCAUAGUUGAUUCAAAUUCUUUAUUAAUAAGUAUAUAAGGAGUGGAGAAGUCUUCUCAAAUAAUAUCAACAUUUUAUAAUAAACUAUCAUAGAAUUGUAAAAAAUCCUAAUAUUAAAAGGUCUAGCUACUAAAAUUAUUACCUUUGAAUGUCUUUAAAAAGCACAAAAGGGAAUAUAUAUAGUUUAUUAUGCACAUAUAUUAAUAUAUAUAUAUAUAUAUGAAUUAAUUGACACAAGUUAGUUAUUAAAUUUAUUUUUAUGUACAAAAUAUGUUAUACAAUGUGAUUUUAACGUAAUCUUAUAAAAUUGGUAAAGGCUUCGAAAAAGGCAAUAUGCACUAAAAAAAAAGCAGUGAAGUGAGCAAGGAGUUUAUCCAAAAACAAAUCAAAAGUAACGAAGACUUUGUAUGUCCUAUAUAAUAACACGUUAAAACCAAAAUAAAAUUGAGAGUAUUUCAAAUAUUAGCACCCUCAUACAUCCCAUGAACCUUUGCACAUCAAUAGAAGAUAAUAAAUGGCUUAUCAUUUAAACAAGCUUAUUUGUAGUAAUGUGUAUAAAAAGUACAUUAAUUAUUUAAGAAACUUCUAUGGUACUAAAAAAGUACAAUACAAAACAUUCACUAUUAGUCAUUUGAUUUUGAGAUUGAAUCUCCACCGUUCAAUUAAAAGAUUUGGAAAUUGAAUUCCCAUUCUUUAAAUUUAAAAAAUAAAGAUAAUAAUGAAGAAUUGAUAAGUAAAAUUGUCACGCCCCAAAAUCCACUCCAAGGGCAUGACAAUCAUUUCACACUUCAAGCUCCAAGGUUCAAAUUGAAAACGACACAAACAUUGGUAUUGUAGCUGGAAAUUUACCAAUUACCAAAUUCCUAUUCAAAGUAGUAGGACAAAAUUCUAAAAUCUCCAAGUAUCAUCUUUAAAAAAAACUAAUACAUCAAUCAAAGUGAUAUUGUCCAAAUAGCUCUAAACUCAAAAAAAUUCAAACAAGAAUUAAGUUUUAACAUCUAAACAAUAUCCAAAAUAAAUAGAGUUUAAACAAAUAUCGUAAUAAAGCCAAAUUUCCCUCCUAGCUGUCACCCCUCGCCCGAACUGAGGUUACCUAAAAGAUUAUCAACAAAGGGGGAUGAACUUAAAGCCCAAUAAGGAACAUUAAUAUAGUUUCAUGGAUAAAACAUUUUUACUCAUGCUUGCAAAUGGGAGUAUUUCAAAUAUAAUCACGCACCCUCAUACAUCCCAUGAACCUUUGCAUAUCAAUAGAAGAUAGUAAAUGACUUAUCAUUUAAACAAGCCUAUUUGUAGUAAUAUGUGUAUAAAAAAUACAUUAAUUAUUUAAGAAACUUCUAUGGUACUGAAAAAGUACAAUACAAAAUAUUCACUAUUAGUCAUUUGAUUUUGAGAUUGAAUCUCCACCAUUCAAUUAAAAGAUUUGGAAAUAUUUUAAAAAAUAAAGAUAAUAAUGAAGAAUUGAUAAGUAAGUAAAACAAAUCUAUAAAUGCAAAUAAAAAGAGUUUUAUUGAUAGACAUACAAUGAAGAACCUUAAUGUUUCUCCUUUCUGUUAUGCUUUUUUGUUAUAAUAAUAAUGAUGAUGAUAAUAAUAAAUAUAAAUAUAAAAGUACUUUUUUCAAUCGAUUUAUUUUUUGUGAAGGUACCAUGCAUGUAUCAUUACUCAAGUCUAAAGUUUGACAUGUUUAGUUAAUGAAAAUAUAUGAUACACAUAGUGGAAGCACUUCCAAAGGUGACCACAUUGCUUAAACAUGCAUGUUAGUUCAACAUUCAUUAUAUUGCAAAUGGUGACAUAUGUUUCAUACACAAAAGCACUCGUUUUACUCAAAUUUGUUAGAAUUAGUAAAAAUUUGACUACAAUAUAAAUAAUGUUACAAAGAUAUAAAAAUUAUGACAAAUAUAAAUAAAACAACAACACAAUGUGAAUACAGUAGUAACCAUAAAAAUUGUGACAAUUGUACCAAAAACUAAUUAGAGUACAAAAAAUAUGAUCAAGUAUAAAAAAUGUAAUAAGGAUAUAAAAAUUUUAAUUGAGGUACUAAAAUAAGAAAAAUGUGAUCACCUCAAUACAAAUAAUGUAAUCUAGGUACCAAAAAUAGGGCCCAUGCACUAAGGUACGAAUGUGAUCUAAGUACAAGUUAUUUAACCAAGUUCCAAAAAUUUUAACUAAGGUACAAAAUCUAUAAUUAAGAUGUUAAGGCACAAAAGACAUAACCUAAGUACAAAGAAUAUAAAUAGUGUAUAGACAGUGUGACUUAGUUUUAAUUAAUUAUUUAUGUAUAAUUGUAGGCCCUCCAUUUUGUCCUCUUAGCACAUGUAACAUCAAAUGUUCCUCCUAUUCCCCUCUUGGUCCCUAGUCAUCCCUUGGUGGUCUAUUGACAUUCAUUCGACUUACUCUUUCCUAGCUAUCUUUGGAGACCUUGGUUGAAGGAUUUGUUUGCUCCUUCUUUGUGACCCUUGGCAACCUCAAGUUAGAUAUAGGAUUUUCCUUUUUUCUUUGUAGGAUAGCUCAUUUAGAUACACUUUUUAGAUCACGUAGACACCUUUUGAGAAUAUGAACACUUUUAUUUUCAAACAAAAAUUGCAUGAGUUUGAUGAAAUUAAUUCUUUUUAAUUUGCGUGAAACAAUAUGUUGUUUUUUGUAAUAUGCAUGUGAUUGAUAUUUUAGUUUUAGUUACAUAAUUUUAUUAUUAUUAUUAUUAUUUUCAAUUAUAGGUUUUUUUAUUCUACUUCUUUUUAAGUUUCUCAAAAUUUGUUCUUUUAUUAAUGAAUGUUAUUGGUCUCCAACCAAUUGGAGUUAAAUCCGUCUAAGUUAACAAGGGUUAGACAACCUUCUUCCUUAUGUUAUGCUUCUUAGAGCUCCUGCCUAGUAAUGGGGAGACUGGGUGAGCUUCUUUCCUGCAUAAUGGAUGUUUGGAUAGGUGGUCUAAGCAUGCCCCUUUGAAACUUAAGUUAAGCAAAAAUAGACUAGACUCCUCAAAGGAGGGAGUGAGUAGGUCAGCUGAUGUGUGCCUACCUUGUUUGUGCCUCAGAAAGGUUUUUAUAGUGCUGAAAGAAAGCCACUAUAGUGUUGACUAAGCACUUUAACCUUCUCUGUAAUGAUGAUCGUCUUGUGGGUGGCAAGGCAAUCAUUACAUCUUUGGGCAGCUGGCAGGUGCCGUAAGAUGAUAUGGCAGGUGCAUAUCCCUUCAACCUGCUGGUGGUAUAGAGUUGUGUGUGGUAAUUAAUUGACAUGGACUGGAGGGUUGGGGGAGAUCUCAUCAACCAUUCCCAUGUCAGACAUGAAUGAUUACACAUAAUAGUGGGCCUUGAAGGCGUGAUUGGGUGGUUCCGUCUGUUUAGGGAGUCCAGUCUUACUUUCCAUCUGUUCUCGUAUGGGAAGGACCCAUUUUUGUCUGUGACCAAAUAAAUUGGACGUAGUCCGGAUGGAAGAAUUCGAACGCUGCUUGUCCCACUAUCUGGAUAGUGCUGGGAUUGGACAGUGACACGUGGAAUGACACAUGGAGGGAAACUCCUACAAUGCCCCCAUUUUACUCCGUUUACCUAUGUUCGAGUAGAGGUGGACGGGUUAUGUGUCUCUUCAAAUCACCCAAGUACUUUUUCAACACGUGUUACUUGGGAAAUUAAAUAUGGGUCAUUUUCACCGAGGCCAUCUAUCAAGUGGCGCAUUGAUUUGAGGUGCAUUUCCAAGUAGUUUGUUUUUUGGGAUCCUUAAGGUUUCGAUAUCCUAUAAAUAGGGGAUUCCAAAACUUUUUAGGUUACUUUUUGAACAUUCCUUUUUUGGAACAUUUUCUUUCCAGUCUCUGCACAUUCAUUGUUGUUAUGCCAGUCAUCGUUCUUUCUCCGUUGUGUUGUUGCUAUUUCCAAGCCUUCUACAGGCAGACUCUUCCUUUGCUUGGGGUCAUUCUUGUUGGCUUUGGUGAGCUUGCUUCUCUUUGCAUUCAUUUUUUUUUUUUCUGUUUCUUUGUUUGCUGUUAGGACUGCUUUAGGAUUUGUGAGUUUUCUUGGAUGCAAAGUGAACGUUAUGAAGUCCAAACUGUAAGGCUUUUGUGCUCUAUUGGGGAAAGUAACUGCCAUUGAGGGGAGAAGGUUGGUAGAAUCUGUUAUGUUUAGGGUUUUUCACAUUUGCCUUUUCUGUUUCUUUUCUGUUGGUGCCCUAAGUAGUCUCCUUAGGCAUUUUGGCCUGUAGUAGUUGUGGUGGCAUAAUGGGAAAGUCCUUUCUUGGGGUUAGGGCUUGCUCUCCAAGUUGGGUUAGGCAUCCUGCUUAAGUGUGGGCUUUAGAUUUGCUUAGGUUGCUUGUUGUACAACUAAGGCACUACCUAAUGGCAGAUGAGUCAGGUGACUGUUUUUCUAACACUUUGUGUUGUGCUGCGCAGGUUUCACGUGUCCUAGAGUUUCUCAGUUAUGUCAGUAAGAGGGGCAUUGCUUCCACCAGCACAAGUGGUAGAGGUCAGAAAAAGGGUUGAAAUGGUGUAGUUGUUGAACGUCCUUGGUUGGAAUGCCCAGUCUACCUUCUAACCGAACAAGAAUUCUAGGAUCACUUUCGCAUCUCGAACGUCAUCUCCAUACUUUUGGUAAACGACAAACCUACGCCCAUUGAGAAGUUGUCUCAUAAUGCUACCUACUUUAGCAAGGAGCAGUUCAAUGUAGGGCUUCGUUUCCCUCUGCCUUCUUUGCUCAAGCAGUUUUUCCAUUUCACCAAGAUCCCUCCAGCAUUUCUUCACCCAAAUGUUGUCCGAGUGCUAAUGGGGUGUAGCGUCUUAGAUAUGCUCUACCACCUGGAUCUCUCCUUGCUGGAGAUCGUCUUCGUCUAUACAAUUAAGAUGAGCCAGAAAGAGAGGUUCAACUUGUCCGCCCAUAUCUCCAGUUAGUGAUAGGGCUUCCAGAUUAGAACAAGGGCGGGGCAAAGGCCACAUCCUUGUUUAUGGUCCCUGGGGUGAUCUAUAUGAGAGUUCGAACAGGGAAUUCCAUUUGUGAUGCUCAUUGUAGAUUUUGAGUAGGAGAUGCUCUUACGACUUUUGUUCGUCCUUUAUAGCGUGUUAGAUGUGAACUCAUUGUUGAUGUUUCUUGUUUAUACGGUGUAGAGAAGGACAAGAGGGGUCAACUCAUGGAAUGAGUGGAGAAGGCUUCUUUUGACCGACUCAACAAGCUUUUUGAGAUAUUUAUAGCUGGGUCGAACCACUAAGUUCUUUUGACGGAUAGGAACCUGCUAGCGAUGGUCAAGAAGUCCAAGUCGUUCAUCAUCCCCAUACUUCCUUGUUUGGCUCCUCAGGCCUUGGUGCCCGACGAGCACCACGUGCUGAAGGAUCUCUCUUGUUAUGAGGUUGGUCAUGCGGUGGACUCAAAAGCACGCCAGGACCUCUUGGAGCAAAGGAAAAAAAAAUUCACAGGAAGGGAAGCUAAGGCAAGCUCCAGCCACAAGCCGCCCAACAUCUAAUUCUGUCGUUCGCCUUCCUACUAAGAAAUAGGGCCCUGUCAUUCAACCUAUUCAAAGGCCUCCAAAUCCGCCACGCGCAUCUCCUGCUCAUUCUGCUUCAACUUCUGCAUCCUCGUAUUCUGUCGCCGGCACUGAGCCAGAGGCAAAGGUCAAGCCAGUAGUGUCUCCUAUCAUCUAUGAAGAGGAGGAAUAGGAGGACAUGGAUGCAAACCUGAGAGCCAGAUUCAGGGAGAGGUAGCGCAAACGCUUGUUCGAAUCCAUCAUGGUCGUUCAUCCUGCUAAAAAGUCCUGUAUGGAGGUCCGCUGCCCGAAAUUGGUCUUUGCCAUUGCAUCGACACCAGAGCCUUCAGCCGUCGCUGUAGGUAGUAACCCUACGCUAGACAAAAAGCCUUUCUCAACUGGAGCAACCGCUCAACCUGAGCUAGGGGGCCUUCCAUUGGUCUGACGCAACUCAGCAACAACUCUGUUGAGUGUGUUGCUUCCGCUCCCCACAUUCUCAAGCGCCUCAUGCUCCCAACUGGGAUGAGAUAAUUGAAUUGAUGAAACAAAUUUCCUACUUUACAAAGAGGGAGACCCUUAUGAACAACAUAGGGGACCUCUUUCCGGCCACCCCGUGGGUUUCAAUAGACCUAGAUGGCAAUCCCAACAUUUCCUUUGUGGCCCGACUUCCAUUCGACAACCCAAAAUCCGUCACCUCCCGUAUUUUUCCUAUGCAAGAUUACACAACCAUCGAGACAACGAAAGUGGUAAGCCUCUCAUCUCUUUUGUUCAUAAUGCCUUAGUCUUUUGAUUUUUUUAAUAUCUUCAUUGUUGUCAUCUCAAAUAGUAGCCGACGUUUGUAAUUUGAUGCGACAACGUGUUCUACUCUUUAAACGGUUGAAGGUUGUCGAGACUAUGAGAGUGUAUAUUGCCCAUAACAUGGACGAUAGUGAAGAACUCCGCUCUAAGCUGAAAUCAGUAGGGGACGAGCUUGCUAUUGCUCGGAAGGUUGCUAAGAAGGGAGUCGGGUUGCUAAGAAAGUCAAAAGAAGAGAGAAAGACGACCGAAGCUGAGGCCCAUUGGUUGAAAGGGGGAGACGGAGGCUAAGCGUACGUAAGAAGGCUGAACAAUAGAAUGAAUGGCUGAGGCAGAAGAUGGAAGAGCUUCGGGUAGGGUUCAUUGCUAAAAAGGAAGGGUUGGAGGGCAAGUACCAAAAGUAGGUAGAUCACAUGUUUUUGUUCAGCUACCGGUGCUGCAUGAAGAAACAAGGCAUACUUAGGACACCCUUAAUUACACUUUAGGUGAUGGGGAUGUAGCAAUCGACGACCCUACCCGAGGAAAUGGAGAUGUUGCUAAAGUUGACCCCUCUAGUGGGUAGACAUGGUCUUUAUUCCUGUAUAUUUUUUGUUUUUUUUUCCUAGCUGGAAAUGGCCCCACAGGAAGUUGUAAUGAAUGCUCAUAUAUUUUUCUAAAUACAAAAAUACUUGUUUUUUUUUUUCUCUAUUCCAUAUACAUUUUACUUUUCAUAAGCCAAUUUUACUGAUAAUACUGCUUCAAGUUGGACACAUUCCACGAGCAGAGUAAGGGUACUUCGUCCAGUGUUUGGAGAUGGUAUGCCCUUGAGUCUUCGACCUUGGUCAUAAAGUAGGGGCAUGUCCAAUUAGCCUGAAGGUUUUCAGCCCCCACCUCCGCCAUGUUCUCAAAGACUUUUAUGAGGACAAAGGAUCCGGUGCAAAAAAUACGUGGUCAGCCCUUUUUAUUAUAGUGAGUGAAAACUUGCUAUUGAUAGGAGGCUAUUCGGAUGGUCCUGCUUCCCCUUACCUCAUCUACCCAAUCUAGUUGCCUCACAAUUUCUUAAGUGUCAUAUCUUUGACCUUGCACGACUAUUUUGGAGGUGGACAUACCAAUCUAAGUUGGAAUAACAACUUCCAUUCCAUAGGCGAGGGCGAAAGGAGUGGUCCCUAUAGGCCACCCGGGCGUUGUUCGGUAUGCCCAUAGAACCCCCAACAAUUCAUUUACCCAUUUUUCUUUGUCUCAUUCCAGCCUUUUCUUUAGUGCAGUUGGUAGGGUUUUUUUUGUUGCCUCUACUUGCCUAUUACUCUGAGGAUAGCAAAGCGUGGAAUAUAAAUUUUUAAUAUUUAUCUUUGAGUAGAAGGUUUUGAAUGCGAUGCUGUUGAAUUGCGGCCCGUUGUCUGCUAUGAUUGCUUAUAGAAUCCCGAACUGGCAAACGAUGUUCUUCCAAACAAACCUAGAGACGUCUUUGUCUUUGAUGCUAGCAUAGGCUUCUGCUUCUACCCAUUUGCUGAAGUAGUCAGUAGCUAUGAGUAGAAACUUUUUUUUCAUGGCUGCAAUAGGUAAGAGGCCAACUAUGUCCAUCCCCCAUAGCGCGAAUGACCAAGGGCUCAUUAUUAGAUUAAGAACUUCAGAUGGCAUACAGGGGAUGGGAGCGUACCACUGACACUGGUCACACUUCUUAACAUAAUUUUCAGUAUCUUGUUUCAUGGUGGACCAAUAGUAUCCUUGUGUGUGAGCACGAUAUGCUAAUGUUCGCCUGCCUAGAUGAUUGCUGCACACACCUUUGUGGAGUUCAGCUAGGACUUACUGGGUCUUUGGAUUGUUCAAACAUUUCAGGUACGAUUCUUUAAAAGAUCGCCUAUAAAGGCUGCUAUUGAUUAGAGUGAAGCGGACGGCCUGUACAUGAAUCUUAUGAGCAUGCUUCUCAUCAUUUGGUAGUUCUCCCAUUUGGAUAUAUUUCAUAAUUUCAUGCAUCCAUCCAGGGCCCAUCUCAAUAGUAUUAUAUACUGGUACUGUCGCAAUUGAGGUUGCGGCCUGGAGGUAGACAGGCAGCAUUACGACUUUCUUUAUAGCGAGAGUAGUAGCUAUUCCGGUCAAUGCAUCAACCUUUAAAUUUUAUGUCUGGAGCACUCGUCUAACUGCUUAUUCAUCUAACUUUCCUAAGCAGUCUUCUACCAGGGUGAGGUAGCGAGCCAUACAUUCGCCAUUAGCUUUAUACUCUUUCUAAAUUUGCUUGACGAUUAACUCAUAAUCGCUACAUAUUUUCAACUUGAUUAUCGAUAAAGUUAAGGCAAGGUCCAUCCCAGCCAAGAUUGCCUCGUAUUCAACUUCAUUGUUUGAAGCAGGAAAACUGAGCCGGAUAGUCUACUCUAGCAAUUCCCCGAUAGGUGACUAUAAGAUUAGGUCCACCCCGGAACAGGAGGCUUUAGAUGUUCCAUCUACGUGAAGUAUCCACAAUCCUUCCCUAAGGGGCUCAUCCAAGUAAGAUGGUUUUUGGGGAAGUUAAGAUAUAAAGUCGUCCAUAACUUGUCAUUUCAAUGCCAAUCUUAGCCAGUAUUUGAUUCCGUACUCACUUAACUCGAUGGCUUACUUCAACAUUCAUUUGGAUAAGUCCGACUUGUGCAAGAUGCUUCUGAGUGGUUGAUUUGUGAGUACGAUCACUUGGUCGGCAUGAAAGUAUGGGUGGAGUUUCCGGACGGUGCUUUUGAGGGCUAAGGUCGUUUGCUCCAUCCUGGAGUAUCGGUUUCUACAUCCACCAUAGCUUUGCUUACAUAGUAAAUGAGCCUCUAUUUUUUAUCUUUUAUGUGAUGAAAUAAAACAGCACUAACCACAUAGUUAGACAUGACCAAAUACAUGUAGAGUUGUUUACCUGACUGAGGGUUACUUGGAAUAGGUGGCUUAGUAAGGUAGUGUUUGACUCGAUCUAAUGCCCACUUGCACUCAUCUUUCCAACCAAUUGCGCUUGCCUCCAUAGUUCUGAAAGGCGCGCCUAAGGCGCGCCUAGGCUCGGGGCGGCGUGACGCCAUCCUCCGGCGCCUCGCCUGAAGAGAGGCGACGCCCCUUCACGAAGGCGCCGCUUAGGCGCGCAAGGCGCUCGCCUCCAGCAAGGCGCGAGGCGGUCGCCCGAGUCGCCUCCGACGGCCCGACCAGGUACGCACUCCUCCUUCUCCUUCUCCUUCUUCUUCUUCUUCUUCUUCUUCUUCUUCUUCUUCUUCCUCCAGUCGGGUUGCAGAGACGGGGCAGCCCUAGUUUUUUUUUCAGUUUUUUUUUUAUAUUUUAUGGGCCCAAAACGACGCCGUUUGGACACUGUGCACUUAAGUGAACAGUGACCAAAACGACAUCGUUUUGGACCCUGUUAUUCAAAACAUAAAAUCUCCUUCCAUCCAGCCCCCUUUUCUGCUGUUUUUCAAUCCGAGACCACUGCCAUUUUUUGCCCUAGCCUCUUCCGUGCUGGAGAAGUGAAGAAGAAGAAGAAAAAUAAGAAGAAAAAUAGAGGGAAAAUAGGAGAAAAAUAAAGAGGAAAUAGUCACGUACCUUCCGGACCUCGGUAUUUUUCUUUUUUCUUCACUUUUCUGCAUUUUUUUCCAUUCUUACCUCAUAACUCUCAUUGGUAUUUUUUUUUAAAAAAAUAUAAAUAUUAUAUUUUGAGUUUUUGACAUGAAAAUUUUACAAAAUAAAAAUAAAUAAAUAAAAAGCACUCAUGCAUAUUUGUUGUUAAUGUGAUAUUUGAUAAUGUGAUAUGCAUUUUUUUUUCAAUUUUUUUUCUUAAUUUAAUUAUAAUUAUUUUAUUGUGGAGUAUAGAUAAUUUGUUUGCAAGAUGGAUAAUGAGAGUGAGACUCAAGUGGACUCUAGUGCAAGUGGAAGAAGAGAUCUAGGGUGGAAAUAUGGUCGUUUGGUUAAUGAAAAAGAUUUGAACACCAUCAUAUGCAUUUUUUGUGAUAAAGUAACCAAAGGAGGCAUCUAUAGACACAAACAACAUCUUGUUGGUGGAUAUAGAAAUGCUAAAAAGUGUAGAAAAUGUCCGGAACAUGUUAGAGAAGAAAUGGAAGAGUAUAUGAGUUCCAAGAAAAAUCAAAAAGAGCAAAUGAAUAUGGGGAGCGAAUAUGUUAAUGAAGAUUUGUUUGGUUUGGAAGAUGAAGAUAUUGGUGAGGAGAUUAAUAGUAGAACGAAUAUCACCAACAUUUCUAGUGGAGGUAGUAACCGAGGAGGAAGUGGUGGUAGGACGUUUUCUUCAAAAAAAACCAAGACAAAAAGGUCCUAUAGAUCAUUUUUUCACUCCUAAUGCAGAGAUGGUUGUUCAAAAUCAAAGGAGUGGAAAGAUGAAUCAAACUACCAUCAAUGAUGCCUACAAAAAGGAAGUAAGAGAAAGAGUUUGCACGCUUAUCACAAGAUGGAUGUAUGAGGCUGCUAUUUCAUUUAAUGCAGUCACAUAUCCGAGUUUCCAACCAAUGAUUGAGGCUAUUGGCCAAUAUGGUGUGGGUAUGAAGGGACCAACUUUUCAUGAGGUAAGAGUUACUAACCUUAAGAAAGAAUUGGCUCUCACAAAAGAUUUGAUGAAAGAUCAUAUGGUGGAAUGGGGGAAAAAUGGAUGUUCAAUUAUGUCGGAUGGAUGGACCGAUAGGAAAGAGAGAACUUUGGUGAAAUUUUUGGUUAAUUGUUCAAAGGGAACCAUGUUCAUGCAAUCCAUUGAUGCUUCUUCAAUGAUUAAGACGGGAGAAAAGAUGUUUGAGUUACUUGACAAAUGGGUAGAGCAAGUUGGUGAAGAGAAUGUUAUUCAAGUUAUAACAGAUAAUCACUCAAGUUAUGUGAUGGCAGGUAAUAAAUACUAUUUCUUGAAUUUUUAUUUACUUUUAAAAUUUGAAUUAUUUAUCUUGAGAACUUAUGUAAAUUUAUUAUCUACAAUUUCAUAUACGGAGGUUGUUAGAAUUAAAGCGUCCACAUUUGUAUUGGACACCAUGUGCUGCACAUUGCCUUGACUUGAUGUUGGAGAUAUUGGAAAGCUACCAANNNNNNNNNNNNNNNNNNNNNNNNNNNNNNNNNNNNNNNNNNNNNNNNNNNNNNNNNNNNNNNNNNNNNNNNNNNNNNNNNNNNNNNNNNNNNNNNNNNNUUGAUGAAAGAUCAUAUGGUGGAAUGGGGAAAAAUGGAUGUUCACUUAUGUCGGAUGGAUGGACCGAUAGGAAAGAGAGAACUUUGGUGAACUUUUUGGUUAAAUGUCAAAGGGAACCAUGUUCAUGCAAUCCAUUGAUGCUUCUUCAAUGAUUAAGACGGGAGAAAAGAUGUUUGAGUUACUUGACAAAUGGGUAGAGCAAGUUGGUGAAGAGAAUGUUAUUCAAGUUAUAACAGAUAAUCACUCAAGUUAUGUGAUGGCAGGUAAUAAAUACUAUUUCUUGAAUUUUUAUUUUCUUUUAAAAUUUGAAUUAUCUAUCUUGAGAACUUAUGUAAAUUUAUUAUCUACAAUUUCAUAUAGGGAGGUUGUUAGAAUUAAAGCGUCCACAUUUGUAUUGGACACCAUGUGCUGCACAUUGCCUUGACUUGAUGUUGGAAGAUAUUGGAAAGCUACCAAACAUCAAGAGGACAUUGGAGGGGGCUAUAUCACUAAAUGGGUAUAUUUAUAAUCGCUCAGGGCUACUCAACAUGAUGAGGCGGUUUAUUGGACAAAGGGAAUUGCUUAGGCCUGCUAAGACUCGGUUUGCAACUGCUUUCAUCACAUUAUCGCGAUUGCAUGAACAAAAAAACAAUUUGAGGAAGAUGUUUACAAGCUCAGAUUGGUCAGAUAGUAAAUGGGCAAAAGAGUAGAAGGGGAAAACUAUAGCCAACAUAGUUCUAAUGCCUUCAUUUUGGAACACUAUUGUGUUUUGCUUAAAGGUUUCGGGUCCCCUAGUUCGUGUGCUUCGUUUGGUUGAUGGUGAAAAAAAAGCUCCUAUGGGAUACAUCUAUGAGGCCAUGAAUAGAGCUAAGGAUGCAAUUGUGAGAAGUUUUAAUGGAAAUGAAGAGAAGUACAAAGAAAUCUUCAACAUCAUUGAUAAGAGGUGGGAGAUUCAGCUUCAUCGGCCUUUGCAUGCAGCAGGGUACUUUUUGAACCCGGAAUUCUUCUAUGAUAAGCCAGAAAUAGAGCAUGAUGCCGACAUUAUGAGUGAUUUGUAUAAAUGCAUCUUAAGGCUAACAAGAGACCCUGCUAAGCAAGAAAAAGUUGUGGCCGAAGUGAGUUUGUUCACAAAUGCCCAAGGACUAUUCGGGAAUGAGUUCGCUGUUAGGACAAGAAAGACUAGAGCACCAGGUUAGUUAUUUAGUUUUGUUUAUUUAAAUGAUUAGAUUGUAUUUUUGCUAAAAUAGGUGAAUUGUUUCACUAAAUUGUUAAUAUCUAUACUACAGCUGAAUGGUGGGCUGCAUAUGGAGCUUUAACUCCAAAUUUGCAAAAGUUUGCAAUGAAAGUCCUCAACUUAACAUGCAGUGCAUCAAGUUGUGAACGGAAUUGGAGCAUCUUUGAGAAUGUGAGUGACCAAAUCCAAAAUAAUUACAAGUAAUAGUCUAAUAGAGUCUUGAAUGUAACUUAAAAGUUAAAAUUUUAAAAUAUAUUUAUGAGCUUAUGAAUUUUUGCAGAUUCAUAGCAAGAGGAGAAAUAGGUUAGAUCAUCAACGCUUGAAUGAUUUGGUGUACAUCAAGUAUAAUCGAGCCUUGAAGAGAAGAUACAAUGAACGUAACACCAUUGACCCAAUUUCCUUGAAAGAUAUAGAUGAUAGCAAUGAAUGGUUGAUAGGGAGAAUGGAAUAUGAGGAUUCUCAUGGAGGUGCACAAGAUGAUUUUGUAUUUGAUGAUGACAAUUUGACAUGGGGUGAUGUUGCUAGAGCUGCUGGAGCUGAGGAAGCCAGGUUUGAUACUAGAGCUAGAGCAAGCUCAAGCAUAAUACCACCAACAAGGGGGAUAGCUUCAAGUUCUAGAACUUUGCCUUCUUAUUCACUAAUAGAUGAAGAUGAAGAUGGAGACAUGGUUGAUUCAGCAGAUGAAGAAAAUGGGGAAGGCUACAAAUGUGGUGAUGGAAAUGAUGAUGAUGAUGAUUUUGUUGAUUUAGAGGAGGAGUGAUGAUUGCUUGUUGUGGACAAAUUUGUGAUUUAAGUGUUUUUUAAUGAUGUUUUUGAAUUGUGGACAAAUUUCAUGUUUUGGACCUUUAGGUUUGGAAACUUUGGAUUUGGAUAUGUAUUAGGCAAUUAGCAAUAUGGAUUUGGAUUUGUUUUUAUGCUUGGAGUUCUUUAUUUUUAUGUUUUUUGUUUAUUAAAUUGAAGUUUUGGAUGAUAUUUGAUGAUUUAUGUGUUUAGGACAAAUAAAUGAUUGUUAAAUUUGAUUAUAUUAUAUAAAAAUAUAUAUGUAAAUUAGGGUGCGCCUCACUUCACUAAAGCCCGCGCCUUAGAUGUGCCUUGCGCCUUAGGCUCCAGGACUACUUUGCGCCUUGGUGCGCCUUGAGCCUUUUAAAACUAUGCUUGCCUCUUAAGUAUGAGGAAGAAAUGCCUCAAUUUGUUUAUAAAAUGGGCUAUAAAACGCCCUAGUGCAGCUAGACGACCUAUAAAACAUUGCAACUCCUUUUUGCUACUUAAGGUAGGUGUCUCAAGAACGACUUUUAUUUGAUCUGGAUUAACUUCGAUUCUCUUUUAAGUUACCAUAAAUCUUAAGAAUUUUCCUAUGCUAGCACUAAAAGUGUAUUUAGUCGGGUUAAGCUUCAUGUUGUACACCCAUAUUAGUCAAAAAAUUUCUUCUGGGUGUUGGGAGUGUUCAUUUCGGGUCAUGUUUUUUACCACAAUGUCAUCUAUGUAGACCUCUAUAGUUCGACCUAUCAAGGGUUUGAAGAUUUUUAGCAUCAACCUUUAAUACAUAGCACCAACAUUUUUAAGCCUAAACGUUAUAACCCUAUAGCAAUACAACCCUUGUGGUGUCACAAGGGCCAUCUUUUCCUCAUCUGGUUGGAACAUGGGGAUCUGGUGGUACCCGAAGAAAGCAUCUAUGAAGAAGAGCAUUUCGUGCCCGGCAAUGGCAUCUACUAUUUGGUCUAUUCCGGCAAAGGAAAACUAUCCCUUGGGCAAGCAUCAUUCAAGUUGGUGUAAUUGACGUAGACUCGCCACUUCCUUCCCUUCUUUGGGAUGACCACCGCAUUUGCCAGCCAGUCUGAAUAUUCAACUUCCCUGAUAAAUCCAAUUGUCAAUAACUUGUCAACUUCGGCCUAGAUGAUCCUCUCUGCCUGUCCGAGUAGAAGCGUCGAAUCUUCUAGUGGACGAGUUGUGAGAAAGGUGUGACAUUGAGCCGGUGUGAGGCUACAAAUGGAUGGAUUCCUGGCAUGUCUGAAUGAGUUCAAGCAAAGAUGUAUUUGUUUUGUUGGAGCACGCUUUCAAGUAGUUUCAUUUCAUCCAGCAUAAGGAGAGAAUUGGCAUAGGUAACUUGGUCAAUACCGCAUGAGAAAUGCAGUGGUUGGAGUGGGUCGACUACGGAUGGAUCCUUCUCCACUAGGCUUAGUAAUUGCUACUGCCCCUCCUUAUUUGAUAGUUCUGGGUGUGGCUCAUUAUUGGUCGGAUGUCUGGAUUCAAGCACUACUUGAUAACACUGGCAUGCAGCCAAUUGACUGCCAAAAAGAUCGAUCUGCCCAUCCUCGAUGAAAUAGCUCACCAUCUAAUGAUACGUAGAAGGAAUGACCUUCAUGCUGUGAGGCCAUACACGUCUCAUGAUGGCAUUGAAAUGGGAUAAAUCCUCUACCACCGAGAAUUGCACAUUUUGGGUGAUCAGACCAGCUUGGACAAGUAAUACAGCGUCUCCUAGAAAGGCUGUCGUGGCUCCACUGAAUCCAGAUAGUACCCGCCCUGGGUUUUCUAGGGUAGAUGGUGGUGAUUACUACUCAAAAAGUGUUAUUUGAUAGCUUGAAAUUAAUCCUUUUAAACACUUUUGAGUAGUAGUUUUGGUCUUUUAACUCAAUUGGCAUGUUAAGGACCCUUGAAAGCAAUUUUAAUCACUUUGUGUAAGUUUUGGUGUUUUUGUUAGUAAUUUGAUCACCAAAGCAAUCCAAGAUUGAGGAGAGUUAUGAGGAAUCUUGGGCAAAGCUUGGAAGUCAUUUGCCAAGAGUAAAUCCGGAAUGCAAGGAGAAGAAGUAAAGAGAAUCUGCCAUGAAGCAUAUUCUUGAUGACAGUCGUGGCAGCCACUUUUGGAGCACUUUCUGAAGUCCAAUUGAUGCAUGCUAUAUACCAUUUCAAAGCUCAGGAAGUCAACAAUCCAAUGCUUCAAACGGUGCGCAAUUCGGAGUUGAAACGAAGAAGUUACAACCAUUGCAAGUCAAUCACUCCAAGCUGAAGGAAGCAUUUUGCAAAGUGUUGCGAAAUCACCCUUUUGUUGCGAAGUGAUUUCGCAGCCUUUUUGUACAGUGUAGUGGAUUUCCUCCUGAAGUUGCCCGAUAUAUGCCGCAAGCUGGAAGCUGAGAACCUCAAGGUGGAAGCCAACUUCGCAGCCCUGCGAGAAUAGCUUUUUGCUGCGAAGUGAUUUCGCAGCCCUUUUGUGUGUCUGCGAAAUCUCGCAGACAUCAUUUUCUCUUGCGAAAUGGUCCAUAGUGCUUCCCGAUAUUUGCUACCGAUAUUGGGAGAUAUUUUCCAUCAGAUUUUUGUUGUCUAAAUCCCAAAAUACUCCUUGUAAGCCACCAAUUACAAGAUUCCUUAGCUUUUAAGUUAGUAAAAAGAACAAAUAUCCAUGUAAUAAUUUAGUUUUGUUUUAGGUUCAUAUAAAUACUCUUCAAGAGCCUAUUCUCAGAAGAGGAGACCCUUUGUAAAUUUUUGGGAAAGCAAGUAAAGUUCAGGCCUUUGUUUUGCCUUACCUUCUCACUUCGUAUUUUUAUUUUCUUACUAAGUUAUGAACUCUCUGAGGAAUUUUCCCCAGAGAAUGAGUAACUAAACCUCUAGUUCCUUGGAGCUAAGGUUGCCGGGGAAGGUUCCAAGUGCAAGAAUGCAAAGCUUUGUGGUUUUAGCCAGUAAUGAAGAGGAAGUGAAGUCUUUUAGUGAUUUCUAUGUUUUUAGUUAACUUAAAACACCUUAGAGUCACCUAGGCCAACACUUGGUAAGGCAAGUGAUUUCCAACCAUGGGAAUGCACUAGUUUACUCCUUGCGAGCCUCUGGGAGGUGACUUUAGGGUAGGAUUUUCUGGAAUUGCCAACACUUGGUAAGCUUUUGGACUCCAAGGAGACAUCCAUUAGUUAUCUCUUGCGAGCUUGAGAAGGGAAGUCCAAGGUUAAAGGUCACCUUGAAUGGUUAAGGCUAAGUGAGAGGCUUAAACCAUUGCAAGUUGUAUCAGUGAGAGAAUUAAAGUUGAAAUCUAAUUAAAGGAUGUAUCUGUACAACACCGGUUAGAGAAUUGACUAUAUGUUGAAUCUCUAACGCGAGGUAAUGAACCAUCUGACCAGAGCUAUGUCUUUUGCAUGAGGAACCACCCCAGUGAACCUAACUCUCCAAGGAAUGCUUUUCUUCCUAAGUUAUUCCCAUUACUUGUUUUGUUAGUUAGUUUGAAUCUAAAUCUUUACCAAUCAAAGUUUGUGUUUUAUUUCUUAAGCUAACCUUGAAAUGAAACAAGACCAAUUCACUUUGAAUUGAUAUCAUUGAUAACUUGUUAAUCCUUCCUAGUGAACGAUCCUAGAGCCACUAUACUAUAGUAGCUUUGUCUUUGCUACCCUAGUAUAUGGUGUAAUAGGUUAAAAAUUUUGUUGAUUACUCCCUCAUCCAAGGAGCACCAGCUGGACGUGAAUCAGUUGAGACACCAUCUGGGCAUGAAUCAGUGGGAGUCUCAUUUACUUGUAGGCAGACAAUUUUAAGAGGUCAGUUGAGUUGCUCAGAUCGAUUAGAACUCUUCUUACAUUAAACACGCUUAUUCCUAGGGUCAAGAUCAGGGCGUCUUCGUGUGGCUGUAAUACCCGGUUAGCAUUGACUGGGGGAAGGUAAUUAUGCCAUCAAUGGGGUGCGUACUCCCAUCUGCCAAGUUAUGUUGAAUGAAACUGAUCCAUUCCCUUACAAAUAUUGCACGGAGCAGCCUUUGCCUUUUCUGCUUGGAGUUUUAUUUUUUGUCAAUGGGGCCACCAUGAAUGUAGCUGAUAACAACCUUGGGAGUUGUUGAAGUUGUGGGGGAUUGGUUGACCAAAUCUCAAGCCAGUUCCUUUUGCCCACCAGCCGUGCAGACAUAUUGCUUCAAGUGCCCAACCUUGAUUAAUCUUUCCACUAGGUAGUGGAGAUUUCUACAUUGCUUCAUGGUAUGGCCAUGAUCUUUGUGAUAGGCACACCUACGGUUCCGAUCCCAUUUAGCCAAAUCUGUUUUGAUCGGCUUUGGCCACCUGAAAUCAAACAGAUCGCGGAUCAUUUGGAUGAUUUUUUCGUAUGAGAUACUGAGAGGGGUUAGGCUAACCUGACUCGGUUGCUGCUGGUCGUCCCGCCUCUUACUAGCUUGCCUCAAUUGGUUUGAAGGCUUCUAGCUUCCUGCAUGGUCGUUUCUUGUCGGACGAUUAGCGACCAGGACUUGCUGAGUGGCCGCGUUGACGUCGUCUUCGAGCCUUAAGUACUUUUUGGCUCGCCUGAACAAAUCGUCCAUUGUCGGUGGUGGUUUUUUUGUGAGAGAUUCGAAAAACGGCAUACCCGAAAAUAUGCUUCUCUUAAAGAUCUAUAGGAUAGAGUAUAUGCUACAAGGCUCCACUUGGAGCACAACUUGUCCAAACCAUUUCAUGAAGUCUCUUAAGGAUUCGUUUUCCUGCAUCUUAAUGUUCUGUAGGGUGUUUAUGUUCUGCUUGUGGCAAGUUGAACAUAAGUAGUGUCCCACAAAGGCUUUCGAUAGAUCCCAAAAAUUGUCCAUGAAGCCCUUCGAAAGGCAAUGGAACCAUGAAAAAGCCUAGUCGUGCAGACUCGUUGAAAAGACUUUACAUAACAGUGCAUCAUUCCUUAUGUCCAGGGUCAUGAGUUGCCUGUAGUACAUAAUAUGAUCGAACAAAUCGCUCAUUUCGUCGUACGUCAUAAAUUUUGGUACCAUGAACUUCCUUGAGGGUUCAUAGUUAAUGAUAUGAAGGCCAAACGACGUGCAGAGCAUGUCAUCUAGUCAUCGGGUGACGGAGCCAGGUGGAGCUCGGUUCACUGAAGUCUUCGCUUGCCACUAUUUGGGCGGAUGGGAGGGUCAUUCUAACAUGAUUGUUGUGGCCGAGGGACCCAAACAGGCCUCCAGAGUUUCUACUACGUAAGGUUUUCCUCCUAUGCUAGGUGACCAGGGUCCCAACUAGGCCUGUAUUGCGUGAGAUAGACAUGACCUCCUAUCACGCCUUCUUUUUGUUGAGACCUAGGUGGAGUCAAAACUCUCUUCCAACUACACCGAGCGGGUUGGUGGAAGCUUCUCUUUUGAUUAUAUCUCAUGACUGCUAGAGGAAGACUCUAUGUUCCUGGGAAAAUACGCAUCGUCAUUUUGUAUAGAGGUUGCUCACAGGCUCUUAGGCUGUCGCUUAUGAGAAGGGCUUGAUGACGAUACUUGGGCACACAACUUGUCAUUCUCUUCCUUAAGUCUCCUAGUCUCGUGAAGUAGGGAUUGUACAUGUUGCUCACUCUCUCGUUGGCGUCUUUCCAUGCUUUCACGCCAGUCAAAGUAGUCCUCACUACCCAUAGCUGACGAUCAACUUCUAAAGGGUGUUGACAUCCUUAAACGUUCCCACAGACGACACCAAUGUUAGUUUCCAUCCAACUGGAGUCAGAUCCAUUUAAGUUAACAAGGAUUAGACAGUCUUCCUCUUUACGUUGUGCCUUUUAGAGCUCCUACCCAGCAAUGAGGAGAUUGGUGAGCUUCUUUCCUACACAAAGGAUCUCCAGACAGGUGGUCCGAGCACGCCCCUUCAAAGCUAAAGUUAGACAAAAAUAAACUAGGCUCCUCAAAGGAGGGAGUGAGUAGGUCAGCUUAUGCGUGCCUACCUUGUUUGUGCCUUAAGAGGAUUUUUAUAGUGCUGAAGAGAAAACCACUGUAAUGCUGACUAAACACUUUGACCUUCUCUGUAAUAAUGAUUGUCUUGCGGGUGGCAAGACAAUCAUUACAGCUUUGGGCGACUAGUAGGUACCGUCAAAUGAUAUGCCAUGAUGUUUGACCGUGCAACCGUUUGUCCCUUCAACUUGCUAGUGGUAUAAGGUUGUGAGUGGUAAUUAGUUGACAUGGACUUGAGGAUUAGGGGAGAUCCCAUCAGCCAUUCCCAUGUCAGAUGUGAAUGAUUACACAUAACAGUGGGCCUUAAAGGCUUAAUUGGGUGGUUUCGUCUGUUUAGGGAGUCCAGUCUUAUUUGUCGCUUGUCCUCAUAGGGGAAGGGCCCCUUCUUGUCUGUGACCAGAUGAAUUGGACAUGGUUCGGAUGGAAGAAUCUGAACACUACUUGUCCCGUUAUCCGAAUAGUGCUGGGGUUGGAAACUAACGUGGAAUGACAUGUGGAGGGGAGCCCCCACAAAUGGUUACUAACUUCUAUUUCCUUAUUGCUUUUCAUGAGGAAAUGCCACCAACUAUAUGGAAUGAGGAUCACUACUACAAAUGGAGUGCAAAUAUUGGGGAUAUUCACUUACAAAAGAGAUCUUUGUUUUGAAAGGAAAGAGAUUCAAAUGGGAAGGACUUUGGGGGAAGAGACGAAUCCAAUUGCAUGGGAUUCAUGGAGACCACCAGAUUUCCUUAAAAAAGGAAGGUUCACACUACGGGAGGCUUCCGUCCGCCUAGGGCACGAAUCACAAGCAGUCUAGUAUAAAGACCAAUCACCAUCUCGCCCAUGGGCAUAAGACCACCAAAUUCGUGCACUCACGAGAUCUAGACAGACAAAACCAACCGAGCAUUAUUCAACUUCGCCUGGAAUGCAUCGAUUGUAACAAACAUUAAAUGUCUUGAUUGACAUGACUACUAUGAAACCAAAACACCAUACUUUAAGGCUCAUCAAGGCAAAACAACUAUUAUGAGCCAACAAUUAUUAGCAUUAACGGUGGAAAUGCGCAAUCAAAGGCAUAAUAAAGACGCUUGAGAAGACAUUACAUUGGAAAAAAGAUAAAACAUCAUUCUGGGACAUAGGAGAGGUAUGUUGCCACUUUUCCAAGAAUCUUUUGCGCAAGUCUUUUCUCUUUGACUUAUUGAUCUUUUGAUAUAUGCGUUUUUUUAGUUUUAAAGAAUCAUUGAUGAUCAUAUAUUAAAGUUUGAAUGAAAAUUAUUGAUGAUUGGUGUUAAAUAUUGUUUGAUACAUGAUUGAAAUUAUCUUUAGGAUCAAUUUGGAGAAUCUCUAUAUAUGAAAUUUUCUAAAAAUUGUUUUUUAUUACCAUUGUUGAUAGUUCACUUCACCUUUGAACUUGUAAAUUGAAAUCCGACCAUUCAAAAACUUUUUAAAAUUUUUCUAAUUAUUUUGUAGUAUUGUAGACUUCUUGAAUUUGAUUUUAGAAUUUUUUUUUUAGUGAAAAAUAAUUUUUCCAAUUAAAAGAUAUAAAUCAAUCUUUCAAAAGGUUUAGUUGUCACUCUGUUUUAGACACUCAAUCUUGUUUCUUAAAAUUAAAUUAUUAAAUGACCUCUUUAGUUUCUUUGGACAUUUUUCACUUAAUUUAUACUUCUUAAAUUCAAUUUUUUACAUAUAAAAUAUUAAGAAAUAAUUAUUGAAAUGAGAGAUAUGAUUUUUUUUUCUUCUUGCACCUAUUGCACAGGUGCUCUUCUAGAGCUGCGAGAUGUUAAUUUAAUUUUAAAUAUAUUAUGCAUAUGAUCUUGUCCUAUGAUUAUUUUUCAUAUAAAGUAGACAUAUUAAUGAGUUGUGUGAAUUUUUGUAGAAUUUUUAAGACAUCUCUAAGUUAAUUAAAAAAUUAAUUCUCUCAUGCUAUGGAAAAUUACUUUGUUCUGGACAUCUCUUAUGAAAUCUGGUAGUAAAUGGGAUCUAAUUAAUUAAUUUGGCCACUUGGAUGAUAAACUAGACAUAUAGGAGAUAUUCCCUGAAAAUUUUCAUGAUGAAAUUCUACUUAUAGAUAUUAUGCAUUUGAAUUUAUGUUUGAUUGUCUUAUGAAAGCACUUGUAGCUAAUUAAGGUACAAAUUUAGUGAGAAAGUCUUCUUUCUAUUAGACCACUUCAAAUAGACAAACUAUGCACCUCUCUUUUAUCAUCACAUGUAAAUGACCUUAAAGGAUGUGAAGAUCACUCUUAUAACUACCACCACUACUUACGUGGAGAGACAAAGGAUUAGCUCCUCAUUAACCAUUUCUUAGAGGCUAGGGCAAAUGAAACAUACCACUAAAGUAAAAUAAAAUAAAUAAAUUUAAAAUAAAUGUGUAAAAUGAAACACCUAAAAAAGAUAAAAUAAAAUAAAUUUAAAACACAUACCAACCCGUUUCACAAAAAUUAGAACUCGCAAACAAUUGUUAAACAUAUAUUAUUAUUAGAUCCUUGACAUGAUCGAUACGCUUCCGAGGAGAGCUGCCUUGUCCAUCAACAGUAAAGAAAUAUUGAUCCUUUUCAAAUUCUAACAAAGAAUGUAUGUAGGAUGUAUAACAUUUUUAAGGACUAGGCAUAACCAACCAAACUUUUUUCGCUACUGAUUCUCAAGAUAUUACCUAAAAACAUGCAUAGACAAAAAAAUUCCAGACAUGAGCUAAAUCAAUUAAUCAAGAAAAAAUGGAUGAUUGAAAGAGAAAAUGAUGCAGUCCCUUUUCAGACUUGAUCAGUAACCUUCAUGUGGUUGAGCAAGUGACAAUGGUGUCGGCAUGGAUAUUGAAGACUUUGGGCUUUGUAACUUUUAGCAAAAGUUUAAAUAUAAUACGCAAGGUUACGAAGGAGAUAGAAAAAAGACUAAAGACUUAUGUACAUGAAAUGGUAUUGAUCUUCAAUCUCAUCUCAAAAUAGAAUGAGAUAGAUUCAAAUAUAGGACCUGUUCUUUGCGGAGUCAGGAAGCAUAAUAUAAUGAAUGAUAGGAGUUUCAGAUUUUGACAUUCGUCACUGAGCCAACACCAUUCAUAAGUAGGUCUGUUUUAUUAUUGAAAAGAAACAUGAGGCAAAGCAUAGGCACCAGUACAAAAAAGGCUUAUGAGCAUAACACUUGAUGUAGAUGCUAUAAAAAAUGUGAUGGUGGCAGCAAUUAGCUUCCCAGCUUCAGGCUUUGCCAGGAAAAGUUGAGAUGCUAUCAACUUCAUAUGUUAAAAAAUUCAACAAAUAAUUAUAAAAACAAGUCCUCUCUCACCAAGGAAAAUACUCUGAAAAAUUCCACUUUUGCUGCCUUUAUCGGCCAAAAAUAAAAUCAAGCUGACAAGAGUUAAAUAGAAACAUGGAUUCAAACAACACAAGUGAAAAUUACCUGGCAUGCAUCUCCAUGCUCAUGGUCAUCAUUUGGCUUUUUCCAUACCUAGAGUGAUUAAAGUGAAUCAAUUGUCAGUUUAAGAUAAACUUGAAGCAAAAUGGAAAUUGAAUGAGAUCGAGUGCAUUUUCAAACCAAGACAAAAAUAUGCAGCCCAAGGGCUUCACACGGAUCCCCUGUAGUUAUUAUUAUUAUUAUGGGACCCAUGUAUAUGCACUACAGAAAAGGCUUCCAUUAUUAACGUGAAUCAGUGAAAAGAGCUGUAGCAAUGAAACAUGAUGUGAGCUGUGAAUGACUGCAAAACUUAUUUGUAUGAUAUGGGACGCCUUUGGUUGGAUUUUUUACGAGGGUAGGAUAGUUUUAAAAAAUAUCUUUUGGUAGAAAAAUUAAUUUUAAAUUUAUAAAUAAGUAGAAAAAAAUUACAAUUAGUGACUUUAAAUUCCAGCGUGUGCCAUUCACCAGUUGCAUGUGACUAUAUUAUAACUCUUUUAAGUUUCAGUCUUCUUGGUGUUGAGGUCUUGCGUCCCGAUGAUCCACGUAGUUGUCAAGUGGACGCACGCUUUCAACCAAGAUAGAUUUCUGGUUCAGUCGUCCUUGCAAAAGGUGUCCAGACACACCCUCCGAUGGUUUUGUCAACCAUGUUUAGAGAGAUUAAGCAGUUGGCAUUUUUCUAGGUAUAACAAGCUUACCUUCUUCCUUGUGUGAAGGUUCCUUUAUAUAGUGUCAGAAGCUCGUCCUCCCUCUUUAAUGAUGGGAGGACUUUUUGGCUCGUCAUGAUAACUCCAAGGUGGUGGCAGGGUCAUCAUCACCCUAUGGGGGCUGUCAGAGAUCGUGGGAGGUGAUUUGCCAUCAUUCCUGUCCUUUCGCUCUGCAGGCAGCGGAUCGUGGGAGGUGACCUGCCACCACUCCUGUCCUUUCGCUCUGCAGGCGACGGAUUGUGGGUUGUGGCAGGCUGUCGGAAUGAUGUAGCAAGACUUGCUCAUUUCAAUCAAUGAUCCGGAUAAGAUAUGUUAUCAUCCGAACGUGACAUUCGGGAGUGACGUGUGCUUCUCCCUGAGGGAGUUCGGAUAGGGGAACGCGCCACAUGUCCUCUUAGGGAGUCCGGAUGAAGUUUGAUCCGGAUAGCAAUGCGUGCCACGUGUCCCACUUUGCGGAGUCCAGAUGGAGUUGCUCCGGAUAGCGAAGCGCGCCACGUGUUAUCAGGGAGAGGAGUCCCUACAAUGCCCCCCUUUUAACCUGCCGAUUUUGCCCGGGCAGAAUGGAUGAGUUAAAAAAUGAUUGUUUUUGAAACUAAGGUUACUUUUUGCGCUCAUUGGGCCAUGUGGUGCGCGGGGGCGAAAAGGAAAAAUAGGGUAUUUAUGAUGAGCUGCCGUCUCUGGGAUUUCCUAGGCAGCGUGUCUUUUCAGCAGUGGCGCGGUUGGGCGUUUGGGAUACCGAGGGUGAGUCUGAAAUGUAAACUGAGUCACAAGACCCAGUCAUAUCAUGCUUGCAUUUUCAAACAAUGACAAAAAUCUUCAGCCUUUGAUUCCUGUACACGAAUUCCCUUUUGCAAUACUGAAGAGGGCUUCCAUUAUUAACCUGAAUCAGUGAAAACAGCUGUAGCUGUAGCAAUGAAGAAAAUAGAAAAAAAUGAAACAUGAUGUGACCUCUAAAUGGAGACAUAAUUUGAGGGAUGUGGCUGUCAUUCCAUGUUCAAAUCACCUCCAUGUGAUGUGACUCCCACAACCCAAUUCAAUAGUCAAAUGUUGAGAUAUAAAAAAAAAAUUAUAUCUUAAUUUUAAAGAUAUAAAUUAAAUCUAUUUUAAAUAUAUAUAUAUAUAUAUUUAUAUAUAGAAUUUAUUAAUAUAUUCUAUUUAUAAAAAAAAAAAAAAAGAAACGUAUCAAGUUAUAAAAUUUGUUUCACUUCUAUUUUUUGUUUUUUUUAACUUUUAAAAUGGGAAAUUAUCACCUAAUUUACCCAUUUAUUUAUUUAUUUACUAAACCAAUAAUAAGGGUGUCUCAAUCUCAGCUAUAAUCAUAAAAAAAAAUUUAGAAAAAAUAGCAAAAUUUUAUUUGAUUUCCUUUUGAUGAAAAUGAAAAACAAAACUAUAACCACCAAUAAAUGAAUACAAAUACGUGGCAUGUAACUCACAUGAAAGUGGGCUGUCAGUUUUCAAUAACAAAGACAAAUUUCUUUCCUUUACAUAAACCAUUCUUAUAUCUACAGAAAAGGGGCUCCCAUCCAUUAUUACUCUCAAUAAGGCACAUAUGAAAUCACAAGCAGCGAUUCUAAAUUCCAUGAUCUGUCAUUUCCCACCUGCAUUUGACUCCCACAACACAUUCAAGUUUUGGUCUCCUUUGGCUGCUAAAUUAUUUCCAUUGAUCAUUGAUCAAGUCUUAAAGACUCUCAAAGUAUAAAAAAUUGUGAGGUUCAAAUAUAUGGGGACUUGGAUUCCUUAGGAGAUAUUAUCUAUUGUGGAACCCGGAUGAGCUCAAGUUGGUACUAACUUUAAUUGGUGAAAGCAACUACACAAAUAAAGAAAACAAAGAAUAAGAUAAAAGGUAUUAAAUAUGAUGUGAGUCCGAAAUCCAUAUCAAUGACUCGGGGUUUGAAAAUUCAGAGGUUUUGGAGCUUUGGGCUUACUAAAAUUAUUACAUUUUAACAUCUUAGGUGAGUACAAAAGUGAUCAUUCAAAAAAUGUAUAUGAAUUAAUUGAUAGAAGCUAAUUAAUUACAUUUAUUUUUAUAUACAAAAUAUGUUGUAUGAUGUAAUUUCAUUAUAACAUCAUAAAAUUAGUAAAGAUUCGGCUAAGCACAAUCUACACCAGGAAGAAUAAUAAAGUAAACAAAAAGUUCGUCCCAAAGAAAACCAAGAAUAGUGAAGAUUUUGCAUAUCCUAUCAUUAUAACCAAAAUAAAAUUACGAGUAUUUUUAAGUAUUAACACUAUCCUACAUUCCAUGACUCUACACAUCAAUAGAGAAUAAUAAUUGUGACUUAUUAUUUAAUCAAACUUAUUUGUAGUAUUAUGUGUAUAAAAAAUAUAUUAAUUUAUGAUUUUUUUUUUGUAUUUUUAUAUUUUUUAAUAUUAAAAGAUUUUAAAUAAUUUCAAAAUUCAUGUGACUAAUAUAAAAAUAUUUUUCCAAGAAACAAUUUUCAACAUGGUUAAAACUAUUGUAAUACUUUUACGACUAUCAUUUUUAAAAUAUUUUUCCCAAUUUCCUAUAGUAGUUAAAAACCCAAGCUGUCCUUUCCAGAAUCAAAUCUCAAUAAGCCAUCAUCUCAGUACAUUCUCGUUGAUGCUUUGCCAAUGACACACCACUAAACUAAACAACAAUAUUUGAUUGAAUGCUUACAUUUUAUCUCUAAUAUCCAGGAUCAAUUUGGAUAUGUAACAUAUUUUAUAUUGUGCUAAUAUUUAAUUUGUUAAAAGAUUAAAAAUUGAAGUGAAAAAGAUAUAGUUUAUCACAAUUUUAAUAUUUUUAAGGAAAAAUAUAUUACAUAAAAAGAUAUCAAGUCUCUUUUAUUUUUAAUAUUAUUUAGACAUCUCUUUACAGUUUUCCGUUUUUUAGAUGUAAUUUUAAAAAUAAUUUUAUAAUUCACGUUUUGAUAACCUAUUUUUUACUUUUUAAUUUUUAAAAUCUAAUAAAAAAUAAAAAUUAAAGAUAUAGAAUUUGUUUAAUUUCUAUUUUCUUUUAUAAAAAAAUUAAAAUGCAAAAUUAUCACCCGUCUCACCCUAGACCAACAAUAUAUGAGUCCCUCUUAUAACAAUAAAAAAUUUCAUCCAUAAAAUAAAAAAAAUUAUUAUAUUAUUUUUCUUUUUUUAUUAGAUUAACAAACACAUUUUACUUUUUAUUUUUUAAAAUAAAAACAAAUUAUAAACACCAAAUAUAUUUAAUAUUUACAAAAACCAAAAAUAUAAUUGACAGAUUGUGAAUAUUUUUUGUGUUUGAAAAAUUAUAGAAAUAAAAGUGUAUUCAAAUGAUACCUUAUCUAUUAAUUCUAUUUAAUUUUAUUAAUUUGUAUUAAAUUUAUGAAAAUUCCAGCAAUUAAUUUUAUAUGACUUUAAUAUAAUAAUUCAAAAUUUUCAGCAAACUUGUAAGAUCAUUAGUACUGCCCGUACUUAAAAGUUAGAGCAAAAUAUCAGACUUGGUGGUAUUCACUAUUCAAUGAGAUUGAGUGCGAAAUGUAAACAGAGUAACAAGACCCUCUCAUGCUUGCAUUUUCAAACAAAGACAAAAAUCUUCAGCGUUGGAUUCCCUCUGCACGAAUCCCCUUUUAUUAUUAUUAUUUAUUGUGUGGGACCCAUGUAUAUGCAGUGCAGAAAAGGGCUUCCCGUUAUUAACCACACAAUCAGUGGAAACAGCUGUAGCAACGAAGACGGUAGAAAAAGAUGAGACAUUUAUGAGAUAUGAUGUGACCUGUUAACGGAAACCUUGCGUUUAUCUCAGCGAUUCUAAAUUCCAGAGGCUGCCAUUUCCACCUGCGUUUGAGUCCCACAACACUUUAAUAUAAUAAUUAAAAUUUUUUCAAAAAAUUAGUACUUAAAAUGGAUUACCAUUCUUGAUUUAGCCCUUUGAAUUUCAUAUGUUUAUAUCUAUCAACGCUUUCUGCUAAGAAUGAAAGUGGACAAACAUUUUUGGAUACCAUUGAUCAUGUGUUUAGAUUCUCAAAAUCUAAAAAGUUGCAAGGUUUUGAUUUGGGUGUUAUUAUUUUGAUUUUUAUGCGUUUACAUCCAUCAACACUUUCAACUGAGAUCAUUGAUCAUCUAUUAAGACUCAUGAAUUCUAAAAAAUUGUAAGGUUUUGAUUUGGGUGUUAUUACUAAGAUGGUAGUGCUUUUAAUUCCAAUGAAAACAAAUUAAUAACCUGCACUAGGAAGAAUAAUAAAGAAAACAAAAAGUUCUCCCCAUAGAAAACCAAGAAUAGUGAAGAUUUUGCAUAUCCUAUCAUUAUAACCAAAAUAAAAUUGAGAGUAUUUUUAAGUAUUAACACUAUCAUAUAUUCCAUAACUCUACACAUUAAUAGAAAAUAAUAAUUGUGACUUAUUAUUUAAUCAAACUUAUUUGUAGUAUUAUGUGUAUAAAAAUAUAUUAAUUUAAGAUUUUUUUUUUGUAUUUUUAUAUUUUUUAAUAUUAAAAGAUUUUAAAUAAUCUCAAAAUUCAUGUUGUUGGGACGUUAUUUAUUUUAUUCGAGUAGGACCACGGAGUAUAUUUGGCUCUGUGCCAGUAAGGGGCAUCACAGAGCCGCCUCCUCACAUGACCUAUUAAGACUCAUGAAGUCUAAAAAAUUGUAAGGUUUUGAUUUGGGUGUUAUUACUAAGAUGGUAGUGCUUUUAAUUCCAAUGAAAACAAAUUAAUAUCUUGAAACUUGGAUUCCUCACAUGACCUAUUAUUAUCCAAUGUGGAGCCCAUGUCCGUAAAGGAUGAGAUCCCAUUUGUAUCAAUUUAAUUGGUGAAAGCAAUUAGACCAAUGAAAAAAAAAUAAAGAAAACGAUAAAAUGUAUUAAAUAUGAUGUGAGUUGUGAAAUAGUGAGGAUAUAUAUGUUUAUAUUAAAGGAAUACUUUUUCACAAAACGCUAAAUGUGGGGGGUGGGUAGUAGAUAAAGGAUGGCGAAAGGACAUGAGAGCUUACAACUAUGCUUCAGUCAUUGAUUGAUGAUGCAUCAUCAAUGUUGAUCAAAUUUAAAGUCUUUGGAAAUUGGGACAUGCUCUCAUUUUCACUUAGCAAUCAAUUAUCGCCUACUAUUCCAACUUUGUUAUUAUUGUUAUUUAUUAAUUUUUGGGUCCUAACUCCUUCCCAUUGGCUCACUCUGGUUUUACUACAUCCAUAUCUUUCUCUUCUUGCUUUCAUACCAUUGAUCAUGUUGUGGACCCCGCAUUUCAGCUCAUGCGUUUCCCACUCGAUGGCGAGCUUGAUUUUUAUUUUAUUAAGAAAAAUGACUUGGAGUCGCCACUUAUUUUUAUUUUAUUUUUAAAAGGGUAAACAAAAUAAGAAAAAAAAAAACCCUAAGUGUGACUCCUUAUUUUGGAAAAGGUGAUCUACGAAAAACCGGAUCGGGUUCGGGGGUCAAGUUACUUAUCGGGAAGGUACAGUAUAAACCGUAGCACCCCUCUAAGUCCCUAGAGUCGGGUCUCUAUUAAUACAAUGAAACUGACGUGGCAAUCAACGAGAAAGUCAAUGGAUACUAACCUAAAUUAUACACAAUAUGGGAAUCAAAACACGCAAUAGAGAUUGACUAGAAUGAGAGUGGAUGCGUACCUUGGCCACGAGCCACAAUGCGCUAUAAAGAAACGGGAUUAGUGCACAAUUAAGGAACACAAAAUAUAACUCAUGCAUAUCGGAGUGCAAAACAAAGCUUAAGCAAAAUACAUUAAGUACGACAAUUGACAAUCAAAAAAGGAUCACACAUAGGGCCCCCACCAAAGCCCAAUUUAUUACUCAUGAACUAGUCUCACAAAUUCCGUGUUUUUGAAUUAUGAAGAAUUUAUUAUUGCUUAUGUAGAAUCAAGAAGAUCAGAAGAUUAUUUAAGAACCGGAACGGAAUUAAAACUAUUCGAGUGAAAACUGGAUUUUUGAAAUUUACUUGAAAAUUGGAGUAUUGAGAAUUAAAUUUAAAAGAUUAGAGCUUCGGUAAUUAAAAUGAAAUUUGUCAAAGAAGAUGAGAAAUGAACUUUAGGAAAUUGAUUUGUGAGAAUAUGGGUUUUGAAAGUUGAAUUUGUAUUAAUUAUAAUGAUAAGGAGUGAACUUUAGGAAAUUGAAAUGCGAGAAUAUAGAUUUUUAAUAAUAAAUAAUAAUAAUAAUAAUAAUAAUAAUAAGAAAUGAACUUUAGGAAAUUAAAUUGUGAAGAUAUAGAUUUUUAAUAAUAACAAUAAUAAUAAUGCUAAUAAUAAUAUUAGGAAAUUGAACUGAGAGAGAGUAUAGAUUUUUAAUAAUAAUGCUAAUAAUAAUGAUAAUAAUAAUAAUAACCAUAAUAAUAAUAAUAAUAACAAUGAGGUUUUGGAAUAAUAAUAAUAAUGAUAACAAGAUUUCGAAAGUUGAAUUAAUAAUAAUAAUAAGAAUAAUAUUUUAAAAGUUGAAUUAAUAAUAAUAAUAAGAUUUUAAAAGUUGAAUUAAUAAUAAUAAUAAGAUUUUAAAAGUUGAAUUAAUAAUAAUAAUAAUAAUAAUCAUAAUAAUAAUAAGAAUAAUAAGAUUUUUAAAUAAUAAUAAUAAUAAGGUUUUGAAAGUUGAAUUAAUAAUAAUAAAAAUAAAAAUAAUAUUUUAAACGUCGAAUUAAUAAUAAUAAUAAUAAUAAUAAUAAUAAUAAUAAUAAUAAUAAUAAUAAUUUAAAAGUUGAAUUAAUAAUAAUAAUAAGAUUCUAAAAGCUGAAUUAAUAAUAAUAAUAAUAAUAAUAAUAAUAAUAAUAAUAAUAAUAAGAUUUUGAAAUAAUAAUAAUAAUAAUAAGGUUUUGAAAGUUGAAUUAAUAAUAUUUUAACAGUUGAAUUAAUAACAAUAAUAAUAGUAAGAUUUUAAAAAUUGAAUUAAUAAUAAUAAUAAUAAGAUUUUAAAAGUUGAAUUAAUAAUAAUAAUAAUAAUAAUAAUAUAAAUAAUAAUAUCCUAAGCCCAGGUCAUUAAACUAAAAGGAGCCCAGGUCCGUAAACUCAUUAAAUUAAAAGAAGCCCAGCCCGCCUCCAUCUCCAUCACAAGCCCAGGUCAUCAAAUUAAAAAGAGCCCAGGUUCAUAAGCCCACUAAAUUAAAAGAAGCCCAGCCUGCCUCCAUCUCCAGCAAAAGCCCAGGUCAUUAAAUUAAAAAAAAAAACCCAGGUCCAUAAGCCCAAACGACCCAAGCCUGCCUUCAAUCUCCAACAAAGCUGGUUUUCCACUUGGGUGUCGCCUUCAGCCAAGGAGCCUCUACCACCAGCGAUGCGAUGGAGAGGGACGCGACGGCAGCGAGCUGGCAGUAACCUGAAGAUGUCACCGUUGUCACUUCCGCGCCAUGGUAGAUGGGCUUUGGGUGGUUUGGAUGUGAAGGAUGGGCUGGUAUCGGUGGUGAGGUUAGCUGCUACAAAUGGGUGUGAUAGAAAAAGGAGAUGGGUAUGAGGGGUGUUUCAGAAAAGCGGGUAGUGGUGUGGGCAUGAGAUAUGCGUAAUGAGUGGGUAGGGGUGGAUAAAGGACAUGAGGAUACAGAGAAAGAAUGGGUUUUGGGCGGUAUGUUUAGAUGAACACAUGCAUUAGGGUGUGGGUAGAGAGAGAUAGAGAUAUCCAUGCAUGCUCCAAGCUCCAGGUACAGGGAAGGACAGAGAAUAUAUGUAUGAUUCUGAUGCUCUCAUAUGCAUAAAUAUCCUUAAGUGAAAAUCAUAAAAAAACGAGAGAGAAGCAGAAAAGUUGCAUCCAAACAGUGAAUAAAAGCUAAAGACAUCAAGGAAAAUGCAUGAAGAACAAUGCAACAAGAAAAUGUAAACAGAAGAUCCACAAUAUUCGCACCUGGAAGAGCUCUCUCCUAGCGGGAACCAAUCGGAAAAAUGUAUGAGUCCCUCCCCUCUUCCUCUGCUCUGCCCUUUCUUUCUUUCCAAUCCCUUCCCCUUAGCUGUCUUUCCUUUCCCGCCUUUCUUUUUUCCUACAGCCCUCACCUACUCUCUGCUCCUCUCUAAUCUGGCCGCCCCCAUCAGCUUAAAUCUCGGGGUGGUCAGAAGGGUAAUCAUGAUAGAAAAAUCACCCCAAAAACUCCUCCCCGGAAGAGGGGGUCUACACAUGUGUUAAGACUCUCAAAGUUUAAAAAAUUAUAAGGUUGCGAUUUAGUUAUUAUUAUUAAGAAAGUAUAAGAGAUUGUUGUGCUUUUAUUUUUUGUUGUGCUUUUAUUUUCAACAAAACAAAUAUAUUGAGACUUGGAUUCCUUUCAUGAGCUAUUAUCCAAUGUGGAGCCCAUGUCUACAAAGGAUGAGCUCCCAUUAAUAUUAACUUUGACUGGUGAAAGCAACUAGACCAAUGAAGAAAACAAACAAAAUGAUAAAAAGUUUUGAAUAUGAUGUGAGUUGUGAAACAUACGUCAGUGGCUUAUAUUUGAAGAUAAGGUUAUGGGAUUAUUUACUUCACAUUCACAAUCGGAUUCACAGAAGAUGAUACAAUUUAGGAGGUGUAUGGUAUCCGAGAAUAGGGAGUGAGAAUAAAUAUUUCAUUCAUUUUCUCCCUUAUUCCUAUGUUUGGAUAAAUGUUAAGAAGAUAGAAAUAAAAUAAAAAAUUAUUUAAGCAGAAAUCAAAUUCAACUUAUAAGUCGAAUUUGAAUUAAUAAAAAGUAGGUGGUAUUCUGAUUCAUUAAACUCAUUUUAUAAUAUAAAAUAACCUAAAUUUACUAUUUUACCCUCUUAUCUCAUUCUUCAAGUCGGAUGUUUAUCUUCUUUGCAAAGUUAGAGACCCAUUCAUCAUUCACUUCUCUGCAACAAGUGAUUCUCCCAAAUUGAAUCAGUUAAACCUUGAUCGACGUUUAGAAAAAUUUUGAUAAAAAAAACGAAUUUUUUCAAAAUUUUUUAAGAUUAUGGAUUUUAUCGGAUAUGAUACUUGUUGAAAAUUAGAAUGAAAUUUAAAUUCUUUUAUUUCCUUUUUUGGAAAUAGGAAAAACAUUUGCUAACUUUGAGAAUUUAAAUAUUAUAAUAUAUAUAUAUUGGUAAAAUAUAAUUUUAUAACUACUUAAGCAUGACAAAUUAUUCAAAUUUUUAAUAAAAAUAAUAAUUGAAUAUUUUUACAUUAGGGUUAUAUGAUUUUUUAUGGUUAAUUUUUUAUUUAUUAAGUAUAUACAUUUUUUUAGUCUUAUUAUUUAAUAACAAAAAAACUCUCAAAAUUUAUUUUUUUAAAAUAAAAAAAUUAUUUUAAAUUAUAUAUAAGGAUAUUAUUGUAAAUUUAUUUCUUUUUCAUUUCCAUUCCUAUUAUUAUCAAACAUUGGAAUUGAAACAAAUAAUCAUUCUAAUUUUGCAUUCCUAAGUUCAUCCAAAUAUUAGAAAUGGAAUCAUCAAAUUCAUUUCUAUCCAUUAAGAAAAAGGAAUGGAAACAAAAUAUUCAUUUCCAUUCCCUAUUCCGACGUACCAAACACCCUCUUAGAGGCUUUGGAUACUAAAAUUAUUAUCAUUUAGCGCUUUAAGUGAGUAUAAAAUUAAUCAUAUACAAGUUGGUUAAUUAAAUUUAUUUUUAUCUACAAAAUUUGUUGUAUGAUGUAAUUUUAAUAUAAUAUUAUAAAAUUGAUAAAAACUCAGCUAAGUUGAAUCUAUGUUAAAAAGAAUAAUAAAGUAACCAAGAAGCUUAUUCAAAAGAAAACAAAGAAUAAUGGAGAUUUUGUAUAUUCUAUAAUUGGAACAAAAAUAAGAUUGGGAAUAUUUUCAAUUAUUAACACUAUUAUACAUUCCAUGAAUCUACUCAUUAGUAGAAAAUAAUAAUUUUGACUUAUUAUUUAAUCAAGCUUAUUUGUAGUAUUAUGUUUAUAAAAAAUAUAUUAAUUAAUUUAAGAUAUAUAUAUAUAUAUAUAUAUAUAUAUAUAUAUAUAUUAUAUUUAAUAUUAAAAAAUUUAAAUAAUUUCAAAACUCAUGUUUGAUAACUUAAUUUUAUUAUUUAAUUUAUCUUUACAUUUUGAUAAAAAAAAAUUAAAAAAUAAAAGUAUAAAAAGUUUUUUCCUUUCUAUUUUUUUUAAUUUUAAAAUAAAAAAUUUAUCACCCAUAACUUACUUUAUUCUUUUUUUUUUUUAAUAAACCAACAAGGUUCAUAUUUAGAGGCAAAAAAUUCAUCAAAAUCAUAAGAAACCAAAAAAUUCAUACUUAUAAACAAUAUUGUGUUAACCCUUUGGUUUUUAUGUUGUUUAAAUCUAUCAACACUAAUAGUUUUAAAAAGUGGUAAAAAGUGAGCAAUAUAUAUGAAUGGUCAAUUUAGCUUAUUAAUGGGCAUAUUAAGGUGGCAUUAAAAUUGAUUAAGACUAUAUUUUAUGCGAGAGAAGCAAAAUAGAGAGGAAAAGUAGAGGGAAAGAAAAAGUGAACGAAAAUAAAAAGUAGAUUUAAAGUUAAUAAAUUAUUUUUAUUUAUUAUUUCAAAUUUAUUUCACUAAUUUUAAUUCAUUGAUAUAAAAAUUAAAUAAUUUGAGAAUACUUAAAUUUAUAACUAGUUUUAAUUAUAUAUAUAUAUAUAUAUAUAUAAAUAUAUUUUAACAUUUUUCAUUGUACAAUCAAAUAUGAAAAAUUAUUUUUUUAGUAUUUUUUUUCUUUCAUUGGUGAGUUAGAAAGAGGGAAACAAACGGAGAAAAUAAAUAUAAAUUUAUGCUACUUUAAAAAGAGAAUGUACUUUUAUCCUCCCACCUUUGCUUAACUUAAAUAAAUAAAUAAAAUAAAAUCCUUAUAGAACCCAACAAUAUUAAUUUUUUUUAAAAUAUGUAAAACUACCCUUAAAGAUUCUUUCGCCAAUUUUUCCCUUCCACCUUCAUUCAUUUUCAAUUUCAUGACCAAAAAAUAAAUAAUUAAAAAGAAAAAAUGGAAGCAAUGAGGGAUUUAUUUGAUAAUGUUUUUAAAACCAAUUCUCCAAAAAAAUAGUUUUUAAAAGCAAUUUUUAAAAUGGUUAUCAAUUAUUUUUUAAAAUAAAAUUUGUUUGAGAAUUUUAAUAUAAAAAAUAGUUUUUUCGACUUAUUCUCCACGAAUGUAUUGUGUAUUUAUGUAUAAUAAAAAAAUUUCUAAAAUAUUUUUUAUUUUAAUUGUUAUUCAAAAAAUUAACAAAAAAUAACUGAAAACACACCUCAAAAUUAUUCUAAGAAAUAUGCUUUUAGAAUAAAUUUUGAAAAAAAUAAUUUUUUAUUAAAAAAUUAUCAAAUAUAUUUUUUUAUGUUUGAAAAUAAUUUUUUAUUAUAAAAAAUAAAAUUACCAAAUAAGCCUUAAUGUUUUUAUCACAAUUGCCUAUCGUGCUUUUGUUUUCAAACAAAACAACAUCUUAAGUUGUAUUCCUUUGACAAGUUAUUAUCCAUUGUGGAACCCAUGCUUACUAGACAUAGGCCGGUAGUACAAACAAAGAAAAUAAAGAAAAAGAUAAAAGUUGUUCAAUAUGAUGUGAGUUGCGAGUUGUGACUUGUGAGGUAGAUGUUUGUGGUUAACAUGCCUCAACCCUAAAAUUGAUUCCACUUAUCCGUUUUAGGGUUGUCUCUUUUAUAUUAGAAUAAAAAAGAUGAUUCCAUUCAUAUGUAGGACCCACAACUUAUCUGAAAUUAAAAGGACUUUAUAAAAGCAAUUAUGUAUGCUCUAUGUCAAGAUUCUUACAAUACCAACCUAAUGUAAACCCCUAAGAGGGGAUGAAUUGGGUGUUGGUUUAUUUUUAUUUUUAUUUUUAGUUUUGAAAAUUAUAAAUUAUGAUGAAUGUAAGAGAUAAAUAAGCAACAAUAUAAUAAAAACAAUAAAAAAAUCAUUUAAUAUAAAUAAAGAGAGUAAGAAAGAGGGAAUUUCAAACUCAAGAUUUAUAAUGUUUAACACAAAUCUCACCCUACAUUUAUUCUCCUCGAAUUUCAAUCCCAAGUUCGAGGUUCCACUAUAUUAAGAUUUUCAAACCAAGCCUUAGAACUUUAUACUUGGAUUAGUUGACUCCAAUAGACAUUUACAAUUUUCAUUAAGAGAUGUCCCACUCUUGAACUCCCCAAAUGAUAUCCCAUACUUGGCAAACCCUAAGUGAUACCUUAUAUUUAUAUUUUUCUCUCAAGUGAUGCCCUACACUUGAUCUCAUCACAUAAGAUUUACAAAAAAAUAAUUUUUAAUAAAAAUUCCUAGUUUACAUUUUUUCUUCUAUAAAAACUAAAAAUAUAAUUAUUAAAAAAUUUAUGUUUUAUGUUUUUAAAAAUAUUAAGAAUAAAAGUAUAUGCAAAUGACACCUUUAAUUAUUAAUUCUAUUCAACUCUAUUUAUUUUUAUUGAAUUUAAUGAAAUUCAAUUAAUUGUUUAUGUAUGAAUUUAAUAUAAGAAUUAAAAAAUUUCCAAAAAUUUUAACACUUAUAAUCGAUUACCAAUCUUGAUUUAAUCCUUUGAUUUUUAUAUAUAUGUUUAGAUCUAUUAACACUUCUAGCUAAGGGUGAAAAAUGGAUGAGCAUUUUCAAACACCAUUGAUCAUGUGCUUUCCAAAUCUAAAAAAUUGUAAGGUUUUGAUUUGGAUGUUAUUAUUUUGAUUUUCUUGUGUUUAGAUCUAUUAAUACUUCCAACUAAGGAUGACAAUGGAUGAGGAUUUUUAGGUACCAUUGAUCAUGUGUUAGGAGUCUCAAAGUCUAAAAAAUUGUAAGAUUUUUAUUUGGUUAUUUAUUAUUAUUGAGAAAGCACAAGCAAGAGACUAUCUGCUUUUAUUUUCAAUGAAAACAAAUAUCUUGAGACUCGGAUUCCUUACAUGAGAUAUUAUCCAUUAUGGAACCCAUGUAUACUAAGGAUGAGCUCCCGUUAGCUCUAACUUUAAUUGGUGAAAGCAACUAACAAAUCAGUAUAAGAGCUUAGGUUGAAGAUUUCUGGAAGAGUAAAAGAUCACAAAGUAACAAAAUAAAAACAAAAGGAAUUUUCAAUGAAGGUGGAGUCGAUUGCUCUCUCGUGGUGAAAUGAUAUAAAAAAGAUUGUCAUGGAGAGUUUGAAGAUUGACUUCAUGGAAUUUGGUCCAAGGUGGAGAUUGUUAGGAAGUGUCUCAAAUUCCUAAUUAGUAUGAUUCUUUUUUUUUUUUGUAAAGAAUAUUACACAGAAUAUUUCUAGGUUUAUAUAUUAUUGUAAUAUUAGAUUUCCUUAUAAAAUAAGGAAGGUUGUUGGAAAUAUCUCUAUGUAAUAUUUUAGGUUAUAAGGGGAAAACAUUAUGAGAUGAAGAUGAGUUUGUGAAGAAACGAGAUAGAUAGAGAUGCGAGGAAGAACAGGAGCUACCCGAUAGAGCUAGAGGGCUUAUGGUAGGGUAUGAAUACAAAGAGUGGGGAAACAUAAGAUGUUUCAGGAACUCAAUAGUUGUAUCUGGUUCUGUCCUCUGUAAUGUUUUGGUUCUAUCUUUUAUAAUGUUCUUUAUUGUAUAGUGGAAUGAUUCUCUUUCAUCCGUGGAUGUAGGCAUGGUUGUCGAACCACGUUAAAACAUUGUUUAUUGUUUGUGUUGAAUUUUUUUAUUUUAUUUUUUAUCUUUGUAUUCUAGAUUAACGAUAUUUGCAUCUAAGUUUCCGUCGACACAACAAUAAAGAAAACAAAGAAUAGGAUAAAAGUAUUAAAUAUGAUAUAAGUUGUGAAAUAGAUGUCAAUGACUCAUAUUUGAAUAUGGGGUCAUGGGAUUAUCUCCUUCACAUUCACAAUCACAAUCAUUGAAGAUGAUACCAUUCAUGUAUGGUCUCAUAACUUGUUGAAAAUUCAGAGGUUUUAGGUGUUUUGACUACUAAAAUUAUGACCUUCUAACAUCUUAAGUGAGUACAAAAGUAACCAUUUAUGGUUUAUUAUGAAUAUUUCAAAAAAGAGAUGUGAAUUAAUUGACACAAGCUAAUUAAUUAAAUUUAUUUUUAGGUACAAACCAUGUUGCAUGAUGUAAUUUUAUUAUAAUAUUAUAAAAUUGGUAAAGACACUGCUAAGCACAAUGUACACUAAAAAGAAUAAUAAAAUAAACAAAAAGUUUAUACAAAAGAAAACCAAGAAUAAUAGGAGAUUUUGUAUAUCCUAUCAUUGGUACCAAGAUAAAAUUGGGAGUAUUUUUAAGUAUUAACACUAUCAUACAUUCCAUGGAUCUACACAUUAAUAGAAAAUAAUAAUUUUGACUUAUUAUUUAAUCAAGCUUGAUUGUAGUAUUAUGCCUAUAAAACAUAUAUCAAUUUAAGAUUUUUUGUUGUAUUUUUAUAUUUUUAUAAUAUUUAAAAGUUCUAAAUAAUUUCAAAACUCAUGUUUGAUAACCUACUAAAACUAAUUAUCUUUAAAUUUGAUAAUAAGAAUAAAAAAUAAAAGUACAAAAAAGCUUUUUCAUUUCUAAAUUUUUUAAAAUAAAAAAUUAUCAUUCAUAACUUAUUGGCAAUUUAUUCCCUUUUUUAAUUAAACCAACAAGGUUUCAUACUUAUAGACAAAUAAAAUUCUUCAAAAAUCAUAAGAAACAUUGAAAACAUAUUUUCUUUAUUUUUAUUACACAAUAAUAAUAAUAAUAAAUGUUUUCAUUCUACAACUAGAAACAAAUUUGGUGCUAUAAUGGUUAAUAUUCAUAAAAAUUAGAAAUACAAUUGAAAAGUCAUUUAUUUUUUAUUUUUAAAAAUAGUAAAUUUGAAAUUGUACAUCGGGAGACAUUAAUUAAUUACUUUAUUUUAUUAAUUUAUAUUAUAUUUAUUAAGAUAUAAUUAAUUAUUUAUGUAUAAUUUUAAUAGAAAGUUGAAAAUUAGAAACAUUAAUUCAUUUUCCAUUCAGUACCAAAUAGAAGUGUUACCAAUUUUGUGUUAAAUCUUUGGUUUUCAUGUUGUUUAAUUUCAUCAGCACUUACCAAUUUUGUGUUAACCCUUUGGUUUUUAUAUCGUUUAAAUCUAUCAACACUAAGAGUUCUAAAGAGUGGUAAAAAAUGAGAGCAAUAUAUAUGAGUGGUCGAUUUAUCUGGAAUUGGUGUGUUAGAAAGAGAGAAACAAAAGAAAAAGAUAAAUAUGAAUUCAUGCUCUUUUAAAAAGGGAGAGUGUACUUUUAUCAUAAAUAUGUAAACUACCCUUAAAGAAUCACUCAUCAUUUUUUCCUUUCCACCUUCUUCAUCUUCAAUUUUGUGACCAAAAAAUAAAUAGUUAAAAAGAAGAAGAAAAGAAUGGAAGCAAUUAGGGAUUUAUUUGAUAAUUUUAUUUUUAAAACCAAUUCUCCAAAAAAAAGAAAAAAGAAUGAAAGUUUUCAAAAGCAAUUUCUAGUUGUUAAUUAUUUUUGAAAACUAAUUUCUUUUUGGGGAAGUCAAAUAUAAUAAAUAGUUUUUUUUUUUUAACUUAUUCUUCAUAAAGGUGUUAUGCAUUUAUGCAUUAUAUAAAAGUUUUUAAAGUAUUUUUUAUUUUUUUAAUUGUUAUUCAAAAAAUUCACAAAAAAUAGCUAAAAACACACCUCAAAAUUAUUAUAAGAAAUAUGCUUUUAGAAUAAAUUUUGAAAAAUUGAUAUUUUUAUUAAAAAUUUAUCAAAUGCAUUUUUAUUUUUGAAAAUAAUUUUUAUUAUAAAAAUAAAAUUACCAAAUAAACCUUAAUGUUUUUAUUUGAGUGUUAUUAUUGAGAAAACACAAUAACCUGUCAUGCUCGUAUUUUCAAACAAAACAAUAUCUUAAGUUGUAUUCUUUAGACAAGUUAUCAUCCAUUGUGGAAUCCAUGCUUACUAGAUAGAAGAAGAUGAAAAUAAAUAAAUAACAGUUAUUAAAUAUGAUGUGAAUUGUGAGAAAGAUGUUUGUGGCGCGUUAUACGGUUGUCUCUUUUAUAUUCGAAGAAAAAAGAUGAUUCCAUUCAUCUUUGAUGACCACAACUAAUUUGAAAUUCAGAGGACUUUACAAAUGCAAUCAUACAUGGUUUGAACUAGGAUUUUAAUAAUAUCAACCCAAGAGGAGGAUGAAUUCAACAAUGGUCAUUUUGCAAAUUAUAAAAAAUAUUAACUAUGAUGAAUGUAAGAGAUAAAUAAGCAACAAUAUAGAAUAAUAACAUAUAGAUAAAGUAGAAAAAAAAAAUUUCAAACUCAAGAUUUAUAGUGAUUCAACCCAAUAUAAACCUACAUCCACUCUUAUUUAACUUUAAUCUCAAGUUUGAGGUUUCACUAUACCAAGACUUUCAAACCAAGUCUUAAAGUUUUAUACUAGAUUAAUGAACUCUAAUAAACUUUUAUAACUUUCCUCCAGAGAUUCUCACUUUUAAACUUCCCAAGUGAUGCUUCAGGUUUGUCAAACCCUAAGUGAUACCUACUUAAAUGAUACCCCAUACUUGAACUCACCUCAUAAGAUUUAUAAAAAAUGAAAUUUUCAAUACAAAUUCCUAGUUUACAAAUUUUUUUCUCACUUUUGAACUCCCCAAGUGAUACUCAAAGAGUUUUUAAAAUCAUUUUGGCUAUGUUUAGUUCCUAGAAAAUUUGAGGGAAAAUGUAAAAGAAAAAAAAGAAAAUUAGAAAAAAAAAAAGAAAAGAAAAAAAAAGAAGGAAAUAAAAAGUAAAUUUAAAAUCAAAAAAUUAUUUUUAUUUAGUAUUUCAAACUUAUUUUAUUUAUUUUAGCUCAUCAAUAUAAAGAUUAAAUAAAUUAAAAAUUCGUAAGUUUUUAACUAGUUUUAAUUAUAUUUGAUUUUCUUUGGUAUUUUCCACAAGAUAAUUAAAUAUGAAAAAAUCAUUUUCCUUACCAUUUUUUAUUUCUUUCCUUAAUAUUUUUUCUCGGAACAAAAAAAAAACCUUUUAAAAUUUUUUUUGCUCUAGAUAGUGACUAAGCACUCAAUGAGUUUUUAAAAUCAUUUUUAAAACUUUUUUUGCUUAAUUAAAACCUUUUGUCUACUUGAUGUCUUAAUUAAAUCCAAUUAAACUUCCUCGAACCUUUCUAUACUUAUGUCAUCAUGGAGUAAUCUAUAGAUACUCCAUUUCUCAUGUUAGUCUUAGGGAUAUUUAUAUAAUUACAAAAUACUUGUUAUACUAAUUAUAGUUUGAAUUUAAUAAGUAGGAGCUAUAGUAGAAUUUUUCUUUUAAGUUAUUCUCUUUAUUUUUUCCUCAUUUACAAUAAGAGAUAUAGUAGAAUUAUGUCAUUUGACAUAAAUACAUUUGAAUAAUGCUUUUAUUCACUCUUUUUUUUGUAUGCAAAUUCUAAUCUCUACCAAAGUAGAGAACAAAAAUCAUAUGAGUGAAGUUAUUAACGUGUGCAAUAAAUUAAAAAAAAACCUUUAUAAUGCUAGAGAACAUCAUACAUUUGCUCCCAUUAAUAUUAACUUUGACUAAUGAAAGCAACUAUACCAAUGAAGAAAUGAAGAAGAAGAUCACCAAUGCUAGAGAACAUUAAAGAGUUGUGUUAGAGAAGUGCAAUCUAAAAAAAUAAAAAAUAAAAUAACUAUUCAAAAGGGUUUCAUUGUUUUUAACUUACAAAAAAAUCUUAUUGCUUUGUAUUUAGGUUUUUUUAAUAUCUAUAUUAUUAUUAUUUUUUUAAAAAAUACUUUGUCAUAUUUCUUUCUACCAUAUACUUACUUCCUAAUGAUAUAGAUUAAUUAUACACUUAAGUAACCUAAAUUAUAAAUCUAGUAUAGUACUGUAGACCCCAUUUUUGCAAACCAAAUGUUUUUAGUUUUUUUUUUAUUUGCUUUUAUUAAGGAGUUGGAGAGCAUUUCAUGGGAAGUGGGGGACACCUCCCAUGAAGCUCCAUGCAUGGACGUGUGGCGAACAUCAACAGCUUGCCCAUGAUGGUGGUUGGAGAGGGUGACAUAUUUGUUGAAUGAUGCACAGUAGAGCGGUUGGAGGCUUGGUAGAGAAGAAAAUGAACUGUUUGAAAAGGAAGCAGGGAAGAAGUCUAGAGGGGGGACGGAUGAGAGGUUGAAGAGCUUUUCGAGGGGUGAUAUCUGGGGCGGAGAAAAAAAAAAAAGAAAACCAAGGGGGAAAAGAAGAAACGACACUGCUGGAAACCAACCCACUCCUUGCUUGAAAAGAGCACUCCAACACACUAUUGUUUGCUGCCAAGGUACGACCUCACUCCCAUUGUGCUUAUUCUUAUGCACCAUUUGCUUUAUUAUUUGAUUAUUUAAUGGGUAUCCAUUAAUUUCCUCAUCAAUUGCCGCACUUGCUUCACCUUAUUUAGUAAACACCCAUUUUUAGGGGCUUAGGGGGGUGCUAUGGUCUUUACCGUAUCUUCCCAAUAGGUAACUUGACCCCCGAUCCCAGACUUGGUUUUCCACAAACCACCUUUUUCAAAUAAGGAGUCACACUUAGGGCUUUCUUUCUUAUUUUUGUUUACCCUUUAAAAAUAAAACAAAAAUAAGUGGCGACUCCAAGUCUUUUUAAAAAAAAAAAUCAAAUUUUCACAAAAUAAAUAAAAAGCUAGUCACGUCAUCGAGUGGAAGCACAUGAGCAAAAAUACGGGGUCCACAAAAUGGCGACUCUGCUGGGGAUUAUUUAGAGGGUCAAGCUUGAACUUAAGAUGAGGCAAAUGUGGCGUUUGAUGGGUCGAUCAGUGGGUACCUAUCUUUUGAUUGCACAUUGAGAGCUCUUGAUAUUAUUGGAUGUGCGCUUGGUUAUUGUAUUCAUUUAAGAUAUUGACAUGCUGAUUAUGAUGAUUGAUUAUCUUGAUUGAGGCUUCUGAUGUAGUGAUUCUUUCUAUGCUUCAUUGUUAUAUCUAUUUAGGACACUAACAUGCUGAUUAUAUUGAUUGAUCAUUUUGCCUUGCUUAGCAUAGUGACCCUGAUUUUGCCAUGUUUGUUCUGAUCACCUCGCAUGCAUAGAUUCAUUGUUGUAUAUCGUUUGACUUGACAUGUUGAGUUUUUGGCUUGUAUAUUAUGUUGAUCAUUUUUGAGCAUGCUGUCUUUUUCAUUGUUCGUCUUGAAUGUCACAACUUGUGUGAACUUGGGUGAUAUAUUUGUACUUUGCUUGACUAUAUGUUGCAUGACUGUCCUCCUUUGUGUGAUUGCAUGUUAUUUGUCCAUGUGGGCUGCACAUCUAUUCCCUUAUCUCCUAUCCUUUAGUUUCGGUCAUUUCCUUCAUUCCGACUCACUUUUGCAAAUGUGAGACCUUGUGUGUGUUUGUUACUUUAACCGAGCUAAAGGUUAGGAAUAAGGUCUAGCAACGGGCUAUAUCGAUGUUUGGGAGCAUUCUGGGGGUGACUGACACAUUGAUGUCAAUUGGAGUCCGAUCAUUGAAGACCUAUAUAGCCCGGAGCUAGGUUUCAUGGAUAUUUGUGCGGCCAGUGUGUUUCCUCUUCUGUUUUAGCUUCAUAGGGUUUUUGAAUGCACCCACACUGCUCACUGUGCACUCUAGUUGGCCAUUGAGUGUUGAGAGCUUUGAGAAUUUCGCCAUAGGAAACCCCCUGGGAUGUCAAGGUAGUGCAUGUGUGGAGGUGAUGACCAUCUUGCAUAGAAGCGCCCCAUAUUUUUGGAGGCAUGUAGAGGGUUGCGUACCACUAGAGGGUAUGAUCGCUUCUGCUAGGGAUCUUUUAAAGUCCACCCUUAUCCUUUUAGAGCCAUCUUGACCUUGUAGAUUGAGUCAUAGAUCAUUCGAUUAGGACUCCAUUCCUACACGUGGGUACAUCUGAGGGCCUUCAGAGCCUCUUUGGUCACAGUUUGGAUUUAGUAUUCUCUCUUUUAGUCUCCAAUUAAGAGUGCAUCGAGAUUAGUAUGAGUUUGAGUUAUGGUCGGACAGUCCGUCUACACUUUGAUGUCUUGCUCGUUUUAGCUCAGAUUAGCAUUUCUUCUGUGUUGUCCUUAUUCCAAACCUUUAUUCCAUUUCUCAUGUUCCAGGAUCAAUGCUUUGUUAUCAGUCUGGAUUUACCAUCUUGGUUCAGAGUAGAGGGGAGAUUAGUCUGAUUUUCAGAGAUAUCAGACAUGGAUCAGUAGGUUGUCACAGUCAAUCAAUUUACGACUGCCAUAGCUUCUAUUCAGGAGGCCUUGGCCAAUCUCAAAUAGGAAAUAGGCAGUCAGCAGAGUAGAUCGCCCGUAGUUCACAAGGAGACACCUCAUGACUCGUUGCCACUUCCACCGCCACCACUUGUUUCGACAGCAUGUCAGACCUCACCUUAUAUGUUGCAUGGUCAUUCUGAGGUUGCCCCACUUGUAGUAGUUUAGACCAUGGUCAUCGAUGAUGCUCAUGCAUGUAUGGACCGUAUUGAGCAGCGUAUGAGACAGUUGAGAGUAUAUGAUGUUUCAGCUGUUUGGAAUGAUCUUGAGGGUAUGCUGGUGGCCAGUUUGCCGACCAAGUUUAAGAUGCCCGACAUUGAGAGAUACACAAGCAUUGGUUGUUCUCGCAUCCAUCUUCGACUCUACAACACAGUGAUGAGGGCUUAUGGCUUGGACGAGUCACAAAUGAUUACCUUAUUCCCACUAUCUUUGAGUGGAGCGGCCCAAUGCUGGUUCGCGUCUUUGGAGUCCUCGCGGUGCAGGACAUGGGAUGACUUGGCCCACGAGUUUUUACGGUAGUUUUUAUUUAAUAAUGUCAUAGAUGUAUCGAGGAGAGAAUUUGAGGCUCUGAGACAGAGGUCAGAUGGGUCUGUUUCUUCAUUCAUCUCCUGUUGGCACGGGAAGAUCGUCAAGAUUAUUGAUAGGCCAUCAAAGAGGGAUCAGAUAUAACCCAGGAUUGCUAGACACGUGGUUGGGGUACCCUUCACAAACUUUGGCUCUCUGGUUUUGGCAUCAUAUGAUGUUGAGGACGGUAUUUCGAGAUGAUUGUGGACAGAUUAUUCUCUUAUUGAUGUUAAGGGGAAGAAACCAUUAGGAUGACAGAGAUCGGUUGAUGUGAGUGCUAUCAGUUCUACCAGUUAGAGGCCUUCCAGGUGUCAUCAGCUUGUUCUACAACUUUCUGGGACUCAUCAUUCAUAUCCAUCUCAGCAGUAUAGGCCAUGGACACCUUAUCAGACUUAUGAUCGGACCUACAUGCCACCCAUAUUGUCACUGCCUUACUAUGUCGCCCAAGGCACAGAGAGACCUCCUGUUUCAUAUUCUGCCACAGGGCAGCCAUGCUAUGCGGCGUAGUUUGCCACGAGACCUACAACAUCUUAUCCCAGGCCUAGAGCUCAGUAGACUUCCGCUACUUUUUCCUUGAGGAUAUAGAGACAGUUUUCACAGUUAGGCAUGCCGUUGAGCUAGGCUCCUCGGAAGCUUAUAGAGGUCGGGUUAUUGACUACUCUCACUCCUAGACCACCACCUCAACCUGUUCUACCUCAGUUCAGGAUGGAUCUACACUGUGCAUAUCAUCAGAGGCCUGGACACGAGACUGAUUGUUGUACUGCUCUGAGACAUGUCAUCCAUGAUCUGAUUAAUUAGGGUUUGGUUCACUUGGGUUAGCCAAGUGUAAACAUAAACCCAUUACCGGCUCACACUACACAUGUGGUUCCCCAUUCGGUCGAUAGCAUGCACUUUAUCGACUUCGCUGAGCUUGACUAUCACAUCCACAUACUGAGUUGGGAUGAGUCACAGCUAGAGCCUUUAGUAUCAUACGGGAUUUAUGAGAUAGGCCGAGUGGCUUUGGGCCCUCUGAUGCCCACACCAUUCAGAUUAGUUCUUAAGGCAGUGUUAGUACAAACGACCACUGUUGUGCCACUAACUUUCCCACAUUAUAGUGCUCAGAUGCCAUUUGUCUUGAUUCCCGAUGUUGAGGAAGUUCGAACUCCAUAUGUUGAUGAUGUUCAUAUUCCUGAUAUACAGUAUGUUAUUCGUGGGGGUAGGAUGGUACGACAACAGCCUUCCAUAGCCGCUAGACCCUUGGAAGGGACGUCAUCCCAUGAGGGGGUUAGGAGGGAGAUGACAAGAUUUUGAGGCAGUUACAGAGCACAUAGACUCGUAUUUCCAUUUGGAGCUUGCUGACAUCUUCCAACACUCACAGAGAUGCAUUGAUUCGAGCCCUGAGCCAGAUCAGAGUCAAGACUACCACCAUUCCUGAGGGGUUGAUCCAUAUGGUGAUGGUUGGCAGAACCACUUACAUAGUAUUCUCUGAUGACGACUUACCACCAGAGGGUUCUGACCACACAUGUCCACUUUAUAUCUCGGUCAGUUGUUUAGGCCGCCAAGUCCUAUCUGUCCAUCUGGACAAUGGUUUGGCCCUGAACGUCUGUCCUCUGGCCACUGCCAUCGCCCUUGGCAAUGCGCCCUUUGACUUUGGUCAUUUUACUCAGACAGUUCGAGCAUACGAUAGCACUCGAAGGGAGGUCAUGAGCACUCUGGAGAUUGAGUUGUUGAUAGGUCUGACCACAUUUGUCACUUUGUUCUAAGUUUUGAGGAUUCCUACAUCCUUUAACUUGCUAUUGGGUCGACCUUGGAUUCACAGAGCUGUGGCCAUUCCUUCUUCAUUUCAUCAGAAGGUGAAGUUUAUUCAUGAUGGCUAGGUCAUCACAGUGCAGUCUGUAGGAGAUAUGUUUAUUUUUGCUAAGCUAGUGCUUCAGAUUAGUCGCAGUGAUGACGACUUAUUUUUGAAUGGAUUCACAUUCGACGAGGUGCAGACUUUAGAGAUGGAGGAUUUUUGUUGAGACUUCGUGGUUAUGUCAUUUGACCAGCACGGUAGCAUGGUGGUGCUCGAUAUGAUGAGGAGCAUGUCUUAUCUUCUCAGCAUGGGAUUGAGGCGACGUUAAUAUGGGCCCAGUGAGUUCAUGGCUAUCCCAAAUCACGAUGUACCUUUCGGACUCGGGUUCAUUCCUACUGAGGCUGAUUACAUAUAUAUGGCACGAUUGUGCAAGGAGAGGGUGAGGGCUCGACUGACUCAUACAUCGUUUGAUUAUCCUAUUUGCCCGUACACCAUGAGUUUGGCAUACUACUUCGUGGGGGCGUCAAAGCCACAGAUGCCUCCAGAUGGGAUCAUUGGGGGAAUCAAUACUACUCAGGAGGCUGAGCUACAAUGCCUCAUCCAUCAGCUACAAUUGAGUGAUGGAGCUCCAACACUUUGACAACUGUCUGGAUCCUCUCAGCAACCUUGAUGAUGGACACCCCGAAGAGGUCAAAUGGUGAAGCAAGCUCAGGCUGGACUGUCCCACCGAUCUGGCUCAGACUCAUUGCGAGUGUCUCAUCAAUGUACUCUUCAUGCGGAAUAGCUUCAUCCACUAUGUCUCCAAUCUCGGCAAAUAUCCCGUACUCAUCAAUCUCAUCUGGGAAAUAUAGCGUCAUAAGGCUCAUACGAUGUUUAUGACUCUUUAUUUAUGGAUUUGAGCAUUUUUGAGUAUUUGCCUGUCUCUCAUGAUGUUACUUUAUCUGCAUUAUUUUCACUCACAACACAUAUAUUUGAUAUAGACGGUGAAAUUGCAUAGCAUGAUUCAGAUGAUGACUCGUCGUCUACUUCUGAUUCAGACCCCAUUGAUCAGAGAGUUUCACUUGUUACAGAGGACACAGAGGUUGUUGAUUUCGGCACAGCACAUCAAUCUAGGGAGUUGAGGAUCGGAUUGGAUUUAUCUACAGAUGAGAGGGACAACCUUAUCCAAUUACUCAGAUUGUAUUUGGACGUUUUCGCAUGGUCCUAUGAGGAUAUGCCAGGCCUUGAUUCGUCUAUCGUCCAUCAUCGUUUACCACUUCUGCUCCAUGCCAGAUCGGUUAAGCAGAAGUUGAGACAAUUGCACCAUCACUGGAGCUUGCAAGUGAAGAAGGAGAUUCAAAAGCAACUCAGUGUAGGAUUUUUAUUAGUAAUCGAGUACCCAGAGUGGCUGGCCAAUGUCGUCCCUAUUCCCAAAAAAGACGGCACGGUGAGAGUUUGUGUUGAUUUUCGAGAUCUUAACAAGACCAGUCCUAAGGAUGAUUUUCCUCUCCCUCACAUCGAUAUGCUAGUCGAUAGUACGACAGGUCAUUCGAUGUUGUUCUUUAUGAAUGGAUUUUCUGGGUAUAAUCAAAUCUUGAUGGCUCCAGAAGACAUGGAGAAAACGUCUUUCAUUAUCGAGUGGGGUACUUAUUGCUAUAGAGUCAUGCCAUUCGGGUUGAAGAACGCAUGAGCCACCUAUCAGAGAGCAGCGACCAUUCUCUUCCAUGACAUGAUGCAUUGGGAUGUCGAGGUUUAUGAAGAUGACAUGAUAGUGAAAUCUCGAGACAAAUCAUAUCACCUAUCAACUCUAGAGAGAUUUUUUAAGAGGAUCAGGCAGUUCAUAUUGAGACUGAAUCCCAAGAAGUGCACUUUUGGAGUGACUUCUGCGAAGCUCCUAGGAUAGAUGGUUAGUGAGAGAGACAUAGAGGCAGAUCUAAACAAGAUCAAAGCCAUCCUUGACAUGCCUGCACCAAGGACAGAGAGAGAGGUCAGAGGCUUUUUGGGUAGAUUUCAGUACAUCAACAGAUUCAUUGCUAGAUUGACAGAUAUCUGUGAGCCCAUUUUCCGACUCUUGAGGAAGAGUCAACCUAUUGUUUAGGAUGAUCAGUGUUAACGCGCAUUUGAGAGAAUUAGAGAGUACUUGUUGUCGUCUCCAGUCUUGGUGCCUCCUACACGAGGUUGUCCUUUACUCUUAUACCUGUCAGUUUUAGACGUAGCAUUGGGAUGCAUAUUGGCUCAGCUUGGUGAUUCGGCCAAAGAGUGAGCCAUUUAUUAUCUGAGUAAGAGGAUGCUGGAUUAUGAGACGAGAUAUGUCAUGAUUAAGUGCUACUACUUGGCAUUGGUUUGGGCCACUCUUCGACUGAGACAUUACAUGACCGAGUAUUUAGUGCACUUGAUAUCCCGUCUAGAUCCUUUGAGAUAUUUGUUUGACAUGCCCACUUUGGUCGAUUGUCUCAUGAAAUGGUUGGUACUUCUGACUGAGUUUGACAUCCAUUAUGUUGCUCAGAAGUCCAUCAAAGGAAGCAUUCUUCCAUAUCACCUAGCCUCAUUACCAGUUUAUAAUGGUAGAGCUAUUGAUGAUGAUUUCCCGGAUGAGAAUGUUGCUGUCGUGACUAGUCUGUCAGGUUGGUGCAUGUAAUUCAAUGUUGCAGCCAACUAUUCUGAAUACGGGAUAGGUGUCUUGUUGAUAUCCCCUCAUGGUGAUCACAUUCCUAGAUAUGUUCAUUUGGCAUUCUUGGAUCGACAUCCUACCACGAACAACAUUGUUGAGUAUGAGGCUUGUAUCUUGGGAUUAGAGACAGCUCUUGAGCUCGGGAUCAGACAGAUGGAGGUGUUUGAUGACUCCAAUCUGGUAUUAAGACAGAUUCAGGGCGAGUAGAAGACUAGAAAUGUGAAACUUAGACAUUACCAUGCAUACUUAGAGUUGUUGGUUGAGAGAUUUGAUGAUUUGAGAUACACACAUCUGCCUAAAGUGCAGAACCAGUUCGCCGAUGCCUUAGCUACUCUGGCUUCCAUGAUUGAUAUUCCUACAGAUACAGUUGUUCGCCAUUUGUUGAUCGAGUCGAGAUUUGUUCCUACUUACUAUUGUUUGAUUGACGAUGCAGAGUUAGAUGAUGGAUUACCUUUGUACCAUGACAUAUACCAGUUUUUGAGACUUGAUGCAUAUCCUAAGGCCGCCACAGCCAAGGAGAAGAGAGCAUUGAGACAAUUGGAUGCCCAAUUUGUGAUAUGUUGAGGGAUACUAUACAGACGAUCAACUGAUGGGAUGUUACUAUUGUGCUUAGACCACGUCUUUGUCGAUCGAGUGAUGAGAGAGGUUCAUGUGGGAGUCUAUGGAUCACAUAUGGGAGGACAUAUGUUAGCUCGUAAGAUCAUGAGGACUAGCUAUUUCCGGUUGACCAUGAAGACGGAUUGCUGCUAGUUUGUUCAGACAUGUCCAGAGUGUCAGAUACACGGGGACCUCAUUCACGUGUCGCCUUCGCAGUUACAUGCAUUGACUUUACCAUGACCAUUUUCAGUAUGGGGUAUUGACAUCAUUGGGAAGAUUUUUCCGAAGUCUUCUAGUGGUCAUGAGUUCAUCUUGGUUGCCAUCGAUUACUUCACCAAGUGGGUGAAGGCUGCCUCAUAUGCAAGAUUGACAUCUAUUGGAGUUGCUAGUUUCAUCAGAUCACACAUUAUCUGUCGCUAUGGAGUCCCUCAUGAGUUGAUCUCAGAUAGAGGUGUACAUUUCAAAGCAGAGGUUGAUACUUUAGUACAGAAAUAUGGUAUCCAGCAUCAUAGGUUGUCUACGUGCAGGCCGCAGACGAAUAAGGCAAUAGAGGCCUCGAAUAAGAAUAUUAAGAGGAUAUUGUGAAGGAUGGUUGAGACAUCUCGAGAUUGGUCUGAGAAGCUAUUUUUCGCAUUAUGGGCUUAUCAGACUUUUUUUCGCACCUCUAUAGGAGUUACACCUUACUCCUUAGUGUAUGGUAUGGAGGCAGUGCUACCAGUUGAGAGUGAGAUGGGUUCAUUGAGGGUAGCAUUAGAGUAGUAGAUUCUAGAUGCAGAUUAGGCUCAAGCUAGAUUAGACCAGCUUAAUCUCCUAGAUGAGAGGGGGUUGAGGGCAGCGGACCAUGUUCAUGCCUAUCAGAGGAAGAUGGCUCGUGCUUUCAAAAAGCGGGUCAAGCCUAGACCAUUACAAAUAGGUGACUUGGUUCUAAAGGUCAUCAAAGGAUUGAUUAGAGAUCCUAAAGGAAAGUUCAAACCCAAUUGGAGUGGACCUUACUUCAUUAGGGAGCUGACCCUAGAGGGCGUUGCAUGGUUGAUGGAUCUAGAUGGAAACAGAUUCUCAGAGUCGACUAACGUGGAUCAGCUAAAGAGGUACUAUGUUUAAGACCAUAGUCGUAGGAUGGGUGGCCAUCAUUUCGGUUAGCCAUAUAUCUUGUUAUUCUUUUUUGAUAUACGGACCAUUACUAGUUCAUUGAGCCUCACAUGUGCAUUAUAGUAUUUCUUUCUUAUUACCUUGCUUACAUUUCCACACCAGGAUAGGGGCUUUUUAGUGUAUGCAUGCUUCAUUUAGAAGCCUCAUGAGUCUUGGACCUACUGGUGCAUCUUUCUCUCUCAUUUUUUUUUCCUACCAUCACUUUACUGCAUUCCAUCACAUCUUAUUGGUUGUGUUCUUUAUCUAUUAUUCUUUAUUAUAUCUACUGCUUGUUUUACUUUAUAUUCUUUUCACCCUGAGUGUUGAUCUUCCUCGGUUCAUUGCAUGGAGGAUAGUCACAUCAUUCCCGCUAUCUAUCCCACAGACACUGGCUCAGAGAUUCUUAAUUAGUUUGAGAAGGUCAUCUUGUUAGAGAGAGUUUUUGUUACCUUAGCACUUGAGAGCGUGUCUAUCUAUUAUUGAUAUCAUCUUUGGGGCUUAUUUUGUUCAUGUUCAAGGUAUGUACAUUUGUAUAUAUCUAAAAAGGAAAAUAAUAAUAAUAAUAAUAAUAAUAAUAAUUUUUUUUUUAAAAAAAAUAAAUAAAUAAAAAUAAAAAAUGAAUGAAAGGAAAAGAAAAAUAAGCACAUGUGUGUAUGUGCAUAGCAAUCUCCAUCAUUGAGCAUGUAUAUUGAUAUUUGAUGGUCAUUUUAUCGAGUAUGUUUGUUGGUGAGAGUUCGUAUGUGAGUUUUCUGAGAUCCUUUUUUUUCUUUGUAUUCAUUUUGUCAUGUAUUUUGAGAGUGAGAUGAGUGCCAUUCUUUUAGGAGUUCUGGGUCAUUGUCCAUUCCUUCAUUACAUUCAUUGCAGAUGUGACUUCACUUCAUGUUGGAUUUGAGCGGAUCAUAUCUCCUCUUUGUACUAUUUGCUUCACCAUCAUUCUCAUUUUUGCUUUUGAUUCAUCAUCUUCGUUUCACCCCUUGUUCAUACCUUACAACGACCCGUUUUGAGUUUGAUACUCCCUUUACAUCAUCAUUACACAUCUCAUUAUCAGUUUGAUUUGCAUAAUUGCCUCAUUAUUAUUAUUAUCUUCACAUUGGGCAUCCUCGGGUCCAUGACUCACGAGAUUUUAUGUACAUGUUGCAUUUCACACACGAGGGCAUGAGUUUUUUAUCAUUGGGUAUUUGAACCUAGUUUCCCUUCAUUUCUGUUACCCUAUCACCCUAGCCUACGUUAUGUCCCGUGUCUUAAGACCACCCUAAGGCCAUGGGAUCAUAUGUCAUCUUUGAUAGCCCCUACUUGGAUAGGUGUUUGAGAUUUGGUUGAUAUUUAGAUAUCAUCAUGCUUCUUCUUCUAAGAGACACCUCUUUGAUGUUUGGACCCGAUUUAGUUGUGCAUAUGGAUGAUCAGGAUUACCCAUUUGAUGAUAGAUGAUUGGGUGUCACCUGUUUUUCUGAUCUAUUACACAUCUGAUGCCCUAUUGGGGCAUAUUCUGUUUUGGAUGAGAUUUACAAAUCUUCAUGGAUUCGCAUGCUUAUCUCCACUUACGAGGUGCACACCAAGACGAGGACUUGUUCGUUAUUUUAUCAUGAUCCCUCGGUGGAUUAUUUCUUAAGCCACCUAGCCAGGCCCGUAUUUUUCAACAUUUAAAUGUCGUCAUACUUCUCAUCCGGGAUACGUCUCUUUUGAUGCGUGAGUCCGAUUCAAUUGUGGAUUUGGAUAAUGAAGAUCAAAUAUUUGAUGAUGGAUGAUUUCAUGUCAUCCAAUUUCCGACCUACCAUAUAUCUGAUGCCAUACUGGGGCAUAUUUCCGUUUUGGUUGAGAUUUGCAGAUUUUCAUGGAGCUGCAUGCUCAUCUCCACCUAUGAGAUAUGCGCUGAGAUGAUGACCUAUUUGCUAUCUUAUCCAGAUCCCCUAGUAGAGCCUCUCUGGAGCCAUCUAGUUAAACUCGUAUUUUUCGGCGUUUGGUUGUCAUCAUGUUUCUCCUUCUGGGUUAUGGAUUUGGAUGACGAGGGUCGUGCUCCUGAUGAUAGAUGACUUGAGGCCAUUUGAUUUUUUUGACCUAUCACACAUCUGAUUCCAUACUGGGGCAUAUUUUCUAUUCGGUUGAGAUUUGUAGAUCUCCAUUGAUUGUCAUGACCAUCCCCAGUUACGAGAUGCACGUUGGGCUGAUGAUUUGACUUCAUUUUUCCUUGAUCCUCCGGUGGAGCCUUUCUUGAGUCAUUCGGUCGGGCCUAUAUUUUUUUAUGUUGUCAUGAUUCUUGGAUGUAGAUAUCUCAGCCCCCCCCCCCCCCCCCAAUUUAGUUGGAGAGAAGAAUGUUUUUUCAAAAAAUCGUUAAAGUCCACAUUAACCCGUCGAGAAAAGUUUAUUUCCAUUGAUGGGCACAAUCUCGAAGAAGUUUGCCGAGAAGAACCUUUAGCAAAAAACGGGCCCAAAAAAUUGACUGCCCCACUAACCCUGAAUCUUUAGUAAAAUGGGAAUGGAGGAGUUACCUUGGGGGAAUAAUCUCUUGGGAAUCCCNNNNNNNNNNNNNNNNNNNNNNNNNNNNNNNNNNNNNNNNNNNNNNNNNNNNNNNNNNNNNNNNNNNNNNNNNNNNNNNNNNNNNNNNNNNNNNNNNNNNUUUUUUGGGGGUUGGGUGGUCAUCAUUUUUUUCUUUUUGGGUUAGGGAUUGGGAGGAGGGGGGUUGUGCUCUUGUUAAUAGAGAACUUGGGGCCUUUUGUUUUUUUUGCCCUUUCACAAUUUUGUUUCCAUAUGGGGGCAUUUUUUUUUUUGGGUUGGGAUUUGUAGAUUUCCUUUGAUUGUCAGGCCCUUCCCCAGUUAGGAGAUGCAGGUGGGGGGGAUGAUUUGAUUUCAUUUUUCCUUGAUCCUCGGGGGGGCCUUUUUUUGAGUCUUUGGGUGGGGCCUAUUUUUUUUUAGGUUGUCAUGUUUUUUGGAGGUAGAUUUUUCAGCCCCCCCCCCCCCCCCAAUUUCAGUUGUAGAGAUGAUUGUUUUCUCAGAGACUCGUUACAGUCCACAUUACCCAGUCGAGAGAUGUUUAUUCACAUUGAUGGUCACAGUCUCGAUGAUGUUUGCCGAGAUGAUCCUUCAGCAAAACACGGCCUCAGAGAUUUGACUGCCCUACUAUCCGUGACUCUUUAGUAGAUUGAGAUUGUAGUAGUUACCUUGGCGGACUAUUCUCUUGUGACUCCCCAGUGGAUCAUUCCUUCGAUACGACGAUGGAUUUCCCCAACAAAGCACCUCGAGUAAGAGACAUUCAAAUUGUUAUAACGCUUCAUCAGGCCUUGUGUUUUAGUUAAAUGGGUUACGAGACUAUGUUUAUAGUUGAUUUGACCAUUCCGACUUGUUAGCAGAGAUCAUUUGAGACUCAUGGAGUCUCUUUAAGACCAUUUCCGAGGAUUGAGAGCUGUAGUAGCACGCUACAUUGGGGCAUAUCCUCCAUUCAUUUUCUCCUUGCAUCUUUAGUCUCGGCGUUCAGAGCCAUCAUUGUUUCAUAGUUUCUACGAUCAGAGCCAUCAUCAUUCUUAGUUUAGGCAUUCAGAGUUGUCAUCAUUCUCAGUUUUGGCAUUCAGAGCCAUUAUUGCUUCUCAGUUUCGACGUUCAGAGCCAUCAUCGCUUCUCAGUUUCGACGUUCAAAUCCAUCACCACUUCCCAGUUCCAGCGUUCAAAGACAUCAUCACUUCCCAGUUCCAGCGUUCAGAGCCAUCAUCAUUCUCAGUUUUGGCAUUCAGAGUCAUCAUCGCUUCUCAGUUUCGGAGUUCAGAGCCAUCAUCGCUUCUCAGUUUUGGCGUUCAGAGCCAUCAUCAUCAUUCUCUGUUUCAGCGUUCAGAGCCAUCAUCAUUCCUAGUUUCGGCAUUCAGAAUCAUCAUCGCUUCCGAGUUUCAGCAUUCAGAGCCACCAUCCUUUCUAGUUCGGUGUUCAAAGCUACCAUCUCUUCUCCGUUUUGGCGUUCAAAGCCAUCAUCAUUCUCAGUUUCGACGUUUAGAGCCACCAUUUUCUUAGUUUAGGCGUCCAGAGCCAUCAUCGCUUCUCGAUUUCGGCGUUCAGAGCCAUUAUCACCAUCUCUUCUCGGUUUGGGUGUUCAGAGCCACCAUCUUCUCAGUUUGGGCAUUCAAAGGCACCAUCUUUCCUUAGUUUUGGCUUUUAGAGCCACAAUCUCUUCUCAGUUUCGACGUUCAGAGCCACCAUUUCUUAUCAGUUAGGACGUUCAGAGUCACCAUCUUUUUUCUAGUUUGACGUUCAGAGUCACCAUUUGUCUCUAGUUUUGGGGGGUCUCCUUUGUUCUUUGGUAGAGUUCACUUCAUUCCACUCAUUAUUCACACUUUCUUUUCACUUUAAUGUUCACAUUCCUUACGCUCAUGAGCUUUACCGAAGAGGGGCAUAUUUGUAGACCCUUUUUUUGCAAACCAAAUGUUUUUAGUUUUUUUUUAUUUGCUUUUAUUAAGAAGUUGGAGAGCAUUUCAUGGGAAGUGGGGGACACCUCCCAUGAAGCUUCAUGCAUGGACAUGUGGCGAACAUCAGUAGCUCGCCCAUGAUGGUGAUUGGAGAGGGUGACAUAUUUGCUGAAUGAUGCACAGUAGAGCGAUUGAAGGCUUUGUAGAGAAGAAAACGAGCUGUUUGAAAAUGAAGUAGGGAAGAAGUCUGGAGGGGAGAUAGAGGAGAGGUUGAAGAGCUUUUUGAGGAGUGAUAUUCGAGGUGGAGAAAAAAAAAACUAAGGGGGAAAAGAAAAACGACACUGCUGGAAGCUAACCCACUCUUUGCUUAAAAAGAGCAUUCUAGCACACUAUUAUUUGCUGCCAAGGUACGACCUCACUCCCAUUUUGCUUAUUCUUAUGCACGAUUUGCUUUAUUAUUUGAUCAUUUCAUGGGUAUCCAUUAAUUUCCUCAUCAAUUGCCGCACUUGCUUUACCUUAUUUAGUAGAGACCCAUUUUUAGGGGCUUAGAGGGGUGCUACGGUCUUUACCGUACCUUCCCAAUAGGUAACUUGACUUGGUUUUUCAUAGACCACUUUUUCCAAAUAAGGAGUCACACUUAGGGUUUUCUUUUUUACUUUUGUUUACCUUUUAAAAAUAAAACAAAAAUGAGUGGCGACUCUAUGUCUUUUUCAAAAAAAAAAAAAAUCAAAUUUUCACAAAAUAAAUAAAAAACGAGUCACGUCAUCGAGUGGAAGCGCAUGAGUAGAAAUACGGGGUCCACAAGUACAUAUUUAUAAGACAACUUUUCUUGCAAGGAUAAAAGGCAUAAAACAAGAAAUUGAUUUGUUAAGGAGAUUAAAACCUUAAUUGAAUUGAUUUCUAAGAAGUCAACUCUUUAUAAAGCCCAUUAAGAGUUUUUAUGUUUGUUUGACUAAUUUUGUUUAAAAAAUUUAUACCUUAACUUUGAACUUAAUACAAAUAUGGGAAAAAUAUUACUUCUUAUAAAAGUUAUGUUUUGACUUAUGUAAAAAGUUUUUUUUUUAUUUAAUAAAACUUUUAUAAUUCCAACAUUUUUCUUGAAAAAUUAUAAUUUUAGUUUUUCAAUUUCCAAGUAAAGGAAAAAAAGAAGAAAAUAUCUCAAACAAGAUGUAAGUGGCUGAGGAAUAGAUAAAUGACUUGCACUCAAAGAUGGGGUUACGGGGCUCAUGUUGACAUUCACAAUCAUAGAUGAUUAUUCAUGUGUGGUCAUGGCUCCCACGAUUGAUUCAACAUUGGGAGGCCUUUAUCCAAAUGACAAGUGAUUAAAAUCCUAAGUUGAUAAAUUGGUACACAAAUGCUUUCAUUUUCCUUGAGUAAUUAGUAAUUACUCAUUUAUUCUACCAACUUUAUUAUUUAUUCUAUUCAUUUAAAGUGUAUUUGACAGUAAUUCUAGAAAACACUUUUAAUUUUUUUAAUACUUAAAAGAUAAAAAUUUUCAAGUAUUAAAAAGAUAAAAACACUUCCUAAAAUUAUUAUUAAAGAGACUCUUACUUUGGUUUUAUUUGAUCCAUACCUUUCUCAUCCUACUUUCAGAUGAGUGGGAAUAGUACUGUGAUGUAUCUCAUUUAUUAAUUUCCAAAGUUAGAAAAGAUUUCAUCCAUAGUCAUAAAAAAAUAAAAAAUUAUCUUCCUUCUUUAUAUUAUAUUAUUAUGGAACUUUUAUGUCUUUUAAUUUUACUAUAAGCAACAUUAGUACUAUCAUGUUUAGUAUCUAUAAAAAUUUAAAAUUUAAUUCAAAAGUUAUUUAUUUUUUUAAAAUAAUAAAAUUUAAAUUGUAUCCAAAUGAUAUCUUAAUUAUUUAUUCUAUUUAAUUUUUAAUUAAUAUUAAAUUCAUUAAAAAUUUAUUAAUUAUCUAUAAUUUUAAUAUAAUAAUAGAAAAAAAAUCAAUUUAUGGACCUCGCAUUUCGGCUCAUGCGCUCCCACUCGAUGGCGAACUCGAUUUUUAUUUGAAAAAUGAUUUAUUGAUUAAAAAAAUGACUUGGAGUCGCCAUUUAUUUUUGUUUUAUUUUUAAGAGGGUAAACAAAAUAAGAAAGAAAACCCUAAGUGUGACUCCUUAUUUUGGAAAAGGUGGUAUGUGAAAAACCGGAUUGGGCUCAGGGGUCGGGUUACUUAUCGGGAAGGUACAAUAAAGACCGUAACACUCUUCUAAGUCCCUAAAGUCGGGUCUAUACUAAUAAAAUGAAGCUGACGUGACAAUCAAUAUAAAGAUCAAUGGAUACUCAAAUCGAUCAUGCGCAUAUGGGAAUCAGAACAUGCAUAGAGAAUGACCAGAAUGGGAGUGAAUGUGUACCUGGGCCACGAACCACAAUGCACUAUUAAGAAAUAGGGUUAGUGCACAAUAAAUAAAUAUAAAAUAUAGCACACAUGCACUAAACAAAAUACAAAAUCAUCAAUGACACACAUGACACUUCACUCGAGUUCAUUUUUAUUUCAAAUAAAAUUCUUUGAUGUCAGGCCCCCACUAAAACCCAAUUUUGUUUUGCAUGAAUCAUUUCCAAUAACUCCAUUACUCGAAAUUAGGGGAUUGAUUCUUACUUAUUUCAAAACAUUUUUAAAAAUAGAGGAAAAGGUGAAAAAACUUGCUGAAAGGAAAAUAGCAACCAAUUUUAUUGAAAAAUAUGAGAUUUUUGGAACCUAAAAAUUCUAAAGAUGAAAAGUUUUUAGACUUAUAUUAUUUAAAAGCCAGAAUUUGAAAAAGAAUUAUUUACAAGAAGGGAUUUGAAAAAUUAUUUUCAAAGCCAAAAGAUGAUGGAACGGGAGAUGACGCGUGACAUAAGAGUGGCCAAGUAAACCAUGCGUAAAUGGGCCCAGAAUGUGAGUACCGAGGUUGGGUACGAGAUAACCAAUGCAAAUGAAGUAACCAGAGAGAGAUCAGUUGCAAACUUCUCAAUGGGGCCUUGUUCUUGUAAGAUCAGGCACCUCGAGAAUGAAAAUCAAGACAUUGUCACGAGUAGACAACACCACAAAACCAUAAGAGAAAGGUCCCAUUCCAUGUGUCACAUAAUACCGAAUAGCUGUCAAUAGUCUUGACUAAGGUGGUGUUUAUUUUUUUACUUAAUUCUAAAUAGAAUCUUAAUGCUUAAUAGUGUUAAGUUGUUUGUUUUUGUAGUAUUUUAUUUCUAUUAAGUAUUAAAAAAUAAAAAAAAUCAAUAGUUAUUUUUUUUAUUUAGAAAAAGUUAUAUAUUUUGAUUUUUUUUAUUUAGUAAAAAAUCUAUAAUAAGUCAUAAAAAAGUAAAAAAACAAAUAACCUAAAUUCUAAAAUUAAAUUAUUUUUAACAAAAAGCCAAAAAAACAAACACCACCUAACCCUUUAACCUAGAUAAUUUCCAAUACCAUUUUUGACUUAAUGCCUCUGGUUUCACAAUGCCAGCAAGUGAGAGUAUCGUUCCUGCACAACUUGAAGUCCACAAAUUCCCUAAGAUUCAGGAACUUUGUGUACGUGUCCUCAUAAAAUUCUUCACAAUAGAGUCUGACUCCUUCUUCUAUGUAUUUUUUUUUUGAAAAAAAAAACCUUCAUCUCCAAUUUCCUUUUCCUGAAACUGACCUGCAAUCUCACGACUUUGAAUGAAUGACCUUCAGAUAUUAAAGGAACUACAAAGCCGAAAAGUGGGAAACACCUCUGAUAUCUUAGGUGAUGACGGUGACAGUCAACACUUGCCAUCUGGAGAUUACUGAAGUUGAACAGAGUAUGACCGCUUGCGUCAUGACUAUAUAUCCCAUGGACUGCAUGUCCCAAAAUCCCCCGAGUCUUCUGUGCAAGAAGCCUAAUGGAACGCUUUAUCAUGGUAUUCUUACCCAUCAGAACCAUAAAAUCUCCACGUGAACACUGUGGCUCCCCUAGCAAAAAAACCUUGAAUGCUGAAACGUCCUUUUGCUCUUCUUUCCAACACACAAUUUCUUGGAUGCACUGGAAAUGCCCACCAGUUGUCAUAAGUCCGGAGCAAACCCAAUCGUUUGACACCAUUUUAGUGCUUCUGCUCUUAGCAUUCAGCCAACUGAUACAAGUUAUGAAGGGUUCCAAUGAUUCCACGCUAUGAACAACAGCGUGACAGUGGGGCAUGCCGUCGUCAUGGUUGUAAGCGACCCAAACAUGGUUUUGGAGGAAACACUUUUCCGUCUAAUGCUUGUUGAAAUCAUGAAUAUUUGGCUUUGUAACGUUCAGUGUCAUAGCAUAAAACCUUUCCCGAUCCUCCCAUGGUCUGAAGCCAUUGAAACAAUAAUUGUAUCAGUGCAGUCCGCAGUCCAUGACCCAUUCUCUCAUCUCCUUCGAUAUUUCUCUUCGAGCCUUCUGCACGAGAAUAUUUCGAGCCUGAAUCUCCGAUAACUCUCUUGCAGAAAAGGAAUCACAACUACCCCUUUGAAAUCGAGAAGGACCCGUCUCCCGUCUUCGCUUUGUAUCCGAUUUAUGAGCAUGUACACAUUUUCUCUUCCAGCUCUAGAUACAGGAGAAGAGACCGGUGCCUCAAAGGCAAAAAAAGUUUGACGGAAAUGGGCGCAUAUGAGGGUGUGCUUGGAGUAUGAAAAAUAGGAAGGUGGCGGGUAUUUUAAUAGGUAUGAUGGGGGUAUAUGGAUGAGAGUGAUAGGUAGGAAGAUUAAAAAGGGAGUGAGAUGGAAGUGGUUGUGUGCGUGAGGCUUCAUGCACGUGGGAAAUGAUAGAAAUGAGCUGAGGAUGGAUUAAAUGGAUAGUGAAGGGUGAUGAAAGAAACGAGCUCGAUGGAUGUGGAAGAAAAGAAAUGAACAACAUGAGAGAAUGCAGACACGAAAUCAGUGGACUGGAUGAUGGAGGUUAGUGAAAAAUGGGUAUAGGGAAACUUUUGGAUGCAUAAUUCAGGUGUGUUUGGGUAGGGAAUGGGUAUGGUGGGUUUUUGGAAAACGUGAUAUGCAUGAGUGGUUAAGAAAGACAAAUAUGGAAAUGGGUAUGAGAAGGUUUAGAGAGAGAGAAAUAGGUUUAUGGGUGUGGAAUGGAAAAUGUGGUGAGAUGAGUGGGUAAAAGUGGGCAUUAAAAAUGAUGAUAUGCAUUUUAUGAGAGGGCUUGGGAAGAAUGCUAAAGGAAGCAUGCACGUGGGAGAAUAGGGGAUGAAUGAAUGGGGAAUGUGGUUGCAUCAUCUAUGUGACCAAUUCUCAUUUCAGAAUGAGCAAGGCUCGGAGUCUGGACUAGGCACCAGGACUGGGUGUAUCGGCCUUAUUUCCUCAAGUGGCACGGAGCUUGAUAUGAAAAGCAGUAACGCUGAAUUCCUUGCAUUAUUUGUGGAACAUCUUGGGCAGCAAGCAUGGUUCAUGUUCGUCAUCCUCGUCAAUCAUGGGGUGAUAAGGUGUCUUGUGCUCAGUUGUUUUUUGUCUAGCAGGUUAGUUUGCAUUGAUUUCUCUCGACUAGUCUCAUCCCAUCUUACAAGUUCCUUCAUACCUUUGACCCAAUGAUCUACUCAAAUACCUAAAGCAGAUUGAGCAGUCGUCUAUUAUUUUGCUUUCACCUAAGCGGUGGAUAAGGAAGAAACCAAUGUUUUAAAAAUCGGACUAGACCAGCCGGUCGAACCGCCGACCGGUCAACUUUUCGGUUCAAUCCGUCUCAAUGACCCGUUUUGUGGUCGAACCGGCAUUGAACCGUUCAAACCACCAGUCGAACUGGACAAACCGUCCGGUUUUUCAAGAAACCGGCCAAGCCUUUUUUUUUAUAUCCUACAAAAAUUUGUUUAAUAUUAAAAGGCUUAUUAUCCAUUGAGCCCAUUCCACACCCAUAACUUUUGAAACUCAAAACAACUGCCCAAUCAAAUAAAACAUUAGCUUAUUAACAUUUCCCUUGGGCCAUGCCUUUCAAGCCCAAUUUGUUGGCUCGUUUAGCUUGGUAUGCAUGUUGCAAGGUAUUUAUAGAGCACUUGAAGCACAUGAAAUUCAUGUGCUUCUGAUGUGGGACUGGGAAUAGGACUGCCUCUUUGAGGGCUGGACUUUGAACCAUAUCAUAUCAUUGCAAUGUUGUUAAUAUAUAUAUAUAUAUAUAAUAUAAGACUUAACAUUAAUGUUUUUAUUUCAAAUUUUUAUCAUAUAAAAUCUUUAAAGAAAUGUAAAUAUUUAAAUUCCUAUUUAUUUUUAUAACAAUUAUAAAAAAUAAUAUAAAUUAAUUAAUAGAAUAAUUUUAAAACAAUAAAAUACAAAGACAAAAAGAUAAAAUUAAAUAUAUAAUUUUUUUCAUCUUAAAUAUAUCUUCAUUCUUAAAUAUUAUAUCUUUCUAUUUAAUAAAAUUUAAAAUAUUAAACUUUAUCAUUUAAUUUAAUAUACCAAAUAUAAAAAUCAAAUAUUAUUAAAAUUUAUAAUUUUAUAUAUUUUUAAUUUUUAUAAUUAUUUUUAAUUUUAUAUAAUAUAUAAAUUAUAUAUUUAUUACAUCACCGGUUCAAUAGCGGUUUGACCGCUGGUCCGAUCGGUGAACUAUGAAUCGGUAAUUUUUCCGGUUCGAUCAUCGGUCCGAUUCUGAAAACAUUGGUAAGAACAGGGGCAUAUCUACUUCUGAUAUGAUUAGGGUGGUGCGUGAUGAAGACUUGGAUAGUGAAAUAGGCCAUUCCCUUUAUAGGAGCGACAUUUGGAGCUAAAUGUGACAAAGCCACGUUCUAGAUCAUUCAUAACAGUAUUUUUCACAUUGAAGCUUAAUAUAUCAUCAAGCACGGCUUCUAAAAGGGACUGAUGGUGCGUCUUGUUGGGCCUGAAUUCCAUUGUGAGUUCAGAAGGGCCAAAAGUCACUACCAUACUGGACUUUAAGGCACCAGCUUUGGCACAUCCCAUUGGUACACUUCCAAUACCAUCAAUCUCAUGCACAUCCUACAGAAGAGGAUGUAGUGGCUUGUCCGAGAGUCUUUCGGGUUUAUUGAUCGGGUUUAGGACCUCAAAAGGGGUCAAGCCCUUGCACCAGCCCAGACUGGCGGGUCUUUCAACUAUAUUGACACUUUCGAAACUUUAUUUCGGAGCACAUUGGCGUCAUGGCGUCUGUCUCAUUUUAGCAGUAAAUCAUCUACUUCCCACCAAGAGUGAGAAUAAGCCUGUGUAUGCAAUGGUUCAUCAGUGAAGACACUAGCCUCAAAAUCAGUGAUGGUUGAGUCAAACUUGCGAAGUAAUGAAGCAAUCUCAGUUUUGGCCAACCGGAAAUGGCCAUCUCUUACAAAAAAGCCUUACCUCCAGGAUGAAUCAAUGUGAGAAACAGAGCCCAUCAACCAUCUUACUAUAGACUGCCAGGUUCAGCUUCAACCAGUUCCUCCUAAUCUUAAAGCCUUGAGUAUACAUUCGGGGGAAAACAGGGGAGCAAGAGAAUAGCAACAGGAAAUGAACAUGAAACCUUUAACAAACGUGUUGAACCCACUUCAUUAUUUUAUCCAUGGGUCCAUCAAUCAGUGGGUCAAAAACGGAAAAUGUUUACAUGAUUAGAGCACAAAAUGCAGUAAGUCAUUCAAAUAUUAAACCAAUAAUCACCAAACCAACACAAACCAACAAGCAGAGUUAAAAUUACAGAGAAUGACGCAAAGGGAAUACCUGCAAGAUGAAAAUAUACGGGAAAACCAUGAUAACCAUACCUGAAAGUCUCUUCCUCAACCAAGUGUCUGGGGCUUCAGCUCACUGCUUUGUCUCUAGCAAAUGGUCCACUCAAAAAAUCCCUCUCAAAAGACUGCUCUCCAAGAGAUCGUCUCCCCUUAUGGUUCUUCCUCUCAAACCAUGACCAGAAAAUGAAAAUCUCUCACAUAUCUCUCAGAAACUGAAUACACCCCCCUCACUAACGUCUUGCGAAAAUAUCUCCCUAGGCUAGCUAACAGAAUCACAUCUCUGUUUUUUCCCCCCCAAAAAGAUGAACCUCUGUUCCCCAGGCCAAAACCUCUCCUCAAAAAGGGCAGCCAAAGCACUUCUCCCUCUCUGCCAGCAUACGCUCCUCCUAACGACAAAACCUUCUCCCGAAUCUACCUUUGCAGGUGUCAACCUUUUAUUAGCUCCUCAAAAAGCACAUUUGAUUCCCUAGUAGCCAUUCAGGAGGCAGCACAUGGCUCUUUGAGAGCCCUCCACUUGGCAAAAGUUAGAUGCAGGAAUACCUCCCAAAAUGGGUCUACAAAUAUGUCCAUUUUCGGUAGAGCUCACGAAUGUAAGGAAUAUGAACACUGAAGUAAAAAAAAAGUGUGAAUAGUGAGUGGAAUGAAGUGAACUCUAUUGAAGAACCAAGGAGACCUCCAAAGAGACACUAGUAAAACACGAACUCACUUAAGCCAAGAAAUGAACAACGAGACUCUAAUCCUAAGAGAAAAUGAUGUCUCAAAAUGUCUCUGAAGCCACAUUGAGGACCCAAAUUCUCUCUAAGACGUCUCCAAAAAUGACUCUAAAAACCAAAUAAAAAAUGAGUAACGAUCAAACCACUCUGAAGUACAGAAAAGACUACACCCAAAGGAAGUUGCCUUAUGUGAACUACAUGAAAAUGCCAAAUGUAGGGUGCCCAACAACAUGAUAGAAGUAUGUGUUGUGAACUCAAAGGACUACGUCAUGAGCAGUGAGAAGGGGAAAUAUGGAAGAGCAAUGAUGAAUAGGCGAUAAGCAUAGGGUAACGAGGUGAAGAAAGUGAGGACAAGUGCAAACCAUGAAGGUUAGAUGUGCAACGCCAGUGAAUAUGAAUGUCGGGGACUGUGGCUUGGAAUGAUAUAGCUGAGGAAAAGUGACUCUGAAUGUAAAAAACACGGAAAGAUGGUGACUCAAGGUGCCCGAACGGAUAUGUACAAUGGCUCUGAACGCCAAACUAAAGAAAAAUGGUGACAUCGAAUGCUUGAAUGAGUAUGAAAAAUGGCUCUAAAAACUCUUCAUCUAUCUUCUUUCUCUCUUUUUCUUUUUUCAAUAAAUUUUCAAUUAAUUCAAAUCAUUAAAAAAAUUCCUUAAUAAACAAAUUUGAAACAUUCACAUAACUUAUUACCAAAAGUCUAUGUUCAAAAAAUUAUUAAAAUAUGGAAGAAAAAAAUUUUAAAAAAAAACUUUAAACUUUUUAUUUUAUAAUAGUAAAAAUAGUAAACUUUAAAAAUACUCUUUAGUAUAAAAGAAAAAAAUAGUAAAUGUAUUUAUUUUAAAUGGUGUUUUAAUCAUUAAAUUAUUUACUUCUAAAAUGUAAAAAAUAAUUUUCAUUAAUUUAAAUUAAUAUUUUUUUUAAAAGUAUUUUCCAAAAUAAUUUUUGAAUCAUUAAUAUAAUUUUUGUUUAUUUAUAAUUUAAAAAUAGAAAAUAAUGCUCAUUUUUCAAUUAUUUUUAAAAGAGCUUAAAAAAAAAUGAAAUAUAACAAAAAUAAUUAAAUAAAGGAGAAUUUUAUGGAAGGGGCAUAUAAAAAGUGGUGGCAUAAAGACAAAACUGAUGGGUGUAAGUCAAAUGAGUAUUUUUGUCUAUUCCAACCUUAUAUCCUUGUAAUUAAUUAUAGAUGUUUGAAAGACCUUUUAUUAAUAAUCAAGUCCAAGUAGGUGUAAAACACAAUUCUCCCCCUAAUUUUAUCUUUUUUAGAGUCUAUUGUCAAGUUUACUUUAUAUAUAUUAACAUCAAUUAUUAUAUACAUUGUACAAUUGAUGAGGUAAAUAUCUUGGAAUAUAUCCAUCAAACACUUAAUAUUAUAUGUACACAACUAAUAUAUAUGAAAUGCAUGUAUUAAAAAAGUAAUUUAUUUAUUUAUUUAUUCCAUAAUAUAGAAUGUACUAUUUCAAAUAUUUCAAUAUGCUUAGCUAGCAAAAAGAAUACAACAAAUACAAUCAAAUCAAAUUAAGAAUAUAUAAGAUAAUAACUUCAAAUUAUGAACAUUUAUCAUAUUUAUAUAAUAUAUAGUUUCUCAUAAUUGUAAGGUAAGUGAAUUUCUCAUCUUGAUAUGAUUCCGUAUAUAUAGUUUAAUAAGAACUAUAUAUGGAAAAAAAACCUAGGAUAAAAAUUAUACUAAAAUUUCCAUUAAACAAUAAAAACAAUUACGUAACUUGUAGCUAUGAUAAACAGCAUAGCUUCCGGUUAGAGUAUUUAUUUUGUUGUUUUUAUAAUUUUUGGUUAUGAAAUAGAUUCUAAAUAUAUUCAAUAUUAUUUUUUGUACGGAUAUGACUUUGGGCUAUAAUUUUUCUAUAAAAAGUUAAAAACCAUUUUGUAUAUAGCCUCAAAUCAUAGGAGGUUAUAAAAUGAACCUUUAUUCUUGUUAGAGUACCCAAAUUCUAUUUGGUCCGUUGAUGGAAAAUAUGGACAUUGGCAGUUCCGAAUCUUUGAUGCCUCAUGAACGGUCCAACAGCGAGGUUUCUUUCUCGCGGCUGGUGGGAUAUUCAUUGACUGGGGAUGUUCUUCCAUGUUUUGACGCUCCUACUAUGGUCCUUCCAGAGGACACAUCCUGCAUCAUCACUGUUCCUUUCACUCUUCAUACUGCUUCUAACCAUGGUGUAAUUGUGGCAUCUAAAAUUGGGAUUCUGAACAAAACUUCUUAUGUUAGUUUAGUCAACAAUCUUCUACAGAAACCUACCAUGGAGGAGCUUGUUAAGAACUAGGCUAUUCUGGAUGAUGUAAGAACAUUGCUUGGCACAGGAAUAACAGCAGUUAGAGGUAAAGCAUGGGCGAAGGCUUCAGAUGGCACUCAAAUUCCCCUAUCAAUUGUUUACUGAAAGGAUCUUGUGAAACUUGAUGGACCUGAUCCAUUACUUCUUUAUGGCUAUGGUUCACAUGAGAUUCGCAUAAAUCUAAGUUUUAACGCUUCAAGGCUGUCUCAUUAGAUUGGGGUUUUAUGUUGGCAGUAGCACACAUUCAUGGUCAUUCAUGGUAGCGGUGAAAUUGGGAAGCAGUGGUAUGAGAAUGGGAAGUAGUUGAGAAAGAGAAAUACAUUUACGGGUUUUGUUGCUUAUGCUGAGUAUCUAAGAGACAUGAAGUUUUGUUCAAAAGAAAAAUCGUACGUUCAUGGAGGAAAUGCAGAAGAUUCCAGUUUCUGGGCCAGUUGGAGCAGGGAAAUCAUCACUCUUAUGCUGUACUUGGAGAGAUACCAAAAAUCUCAGGAACUGCUGAUGUAUUGGGUUCCAUUGCUUACGUUUCUCAAACUUCUUGGAUUCAACGUGGUGCAUCACCUAUAAGCCAAGAUUCACCUGGUCUCUCCACAAAUACAGGUUCUAUGCAAUUAUUGUUGAUUAGAACCAUGACAGUAUCCUGAUGAAUACAUGUCUUGCCUGUCCGUUUGCUUCAAUACUUCACACUCCACUUGGUGAACCAUCCGCAUCAGCAGAGCAAUCACUUCAGUACCUCCAGUUUUUGGCACCCCACAUUUGACAACCAGUGCAAAUGAUUCCAUGCAUGGCUACCUUUGAUGUGCCAUUUUUUUAAAGCCUCUAUGUCUCAUCCCUUAAUGCUUUCACUUAAAAAAAAUUGCUUUUAAAACAUUAAUUUUCGAAAAUCCGGUUUUCAAAUGAUUUUAAAUCCUUUUUUAUUCAUCUUUAGACAUUCUUAGGCAUUAAAAUUCCAUUUUCCUAAUUGGUUUGCUGCCAAUAUUUCCUUCAGGCAUGCAUUUCUUUUAUUUUCUUUGGUUUUCAAUAAAUUUCCGAAUUUCUCAUUGUAGACCCUCUAUUUUGUCUUCUAGGCACAUUUCAUCUAGGAUUGCCUUCCUACAUCUUCUAUUGCCUUAUUGUGCACUUAUGGUCCUUUUUUUAAGCUAUUUUUUAGCUUUCAUAGGUGUCCAUUGUAACUAUUUUGAUCACUAUUUUUGGAUUCUUUUGGAGAUAUAUAUCUUGGAGGGGUUAGUUGGAUCUCAAUCACGAUUUUAGUGACCCUAGGUUUAGUUGAGAAAUAGUUUAGAAGUGUUCUUUAGGUUUAGUUUAGUUUGAGUUUAAUUUAGUUUAGAAGUAGUUUAAAAGAGCUUUUUGAGUUUAGUUUAGUUUGCUUUUAAGUUUAAUUUUGUUUAAAAGUAAUUUAAAUUAGUUCUUUGAGUUUGGUUUAGUUUAAAAAGUAAGAUUAGUUUAGUGAGGUUGGCUUAGCCUAGUGAGUCUUAGAAUAAGUUAGGGAGCUUUGCUAAGAACUUACAUGAGUCCAGUGGGUUUGGUUUAGAAUGAGAUUAGGUGUUAGUUUAAUUAGAGAGUUUUAGUUAGAAUUAGGUUAGUUGGUUGAGUGAAGGUUAGGGAGAGUUGCUUGUAGGUUAGUAGGAUGAGUAUAGGAUAGGGAGACGUUGGAGGGUAAGUUAGGAAUUCUUUAGAAGGUGAGUGAAGUAGUGUAGAAUAGGGAAAGGUUGGAGAGUAAGUUAGGAAUUCUCUAAAAGGUGGAUGAAGUGGUGGCUUGGCAAGCAAGAGAGGGGGAAGAUAGGAAAAAAGGAAGAAAAGAAGCGGUUCUCUAGAGAAAGAGAAUUUGGGGAGAACUUGGAGAGAAACAAGGUUAGAAACAAGGGACAACUAUGGAAAACUUGAGAAAGAGCUAUGAAAAACUUGAGAGACCAUCAUCAACUUGAAAAAUAUCAAGACAAAAAUCCGAUUUGGAAACACUUUGAGGUAAGAUUAUUUAAUUUCCUAACUUGAUUUUAUUUUCUAUAUCUUCUUCUCAUACUUCUCAUUUUCAUGAUUUUGGAUGUAUUAGACUAGGAUUGGUGUGGAUGUAUAGGCCACACGGAGUAAUGGAUUUUUUAUGAUUGCUUGAUGUUGAAUCUUGAGAUUUUGGUGAAAGUAAUUUGAGGCUGAAUGCUUGAAAUUCAUUAAUGUUUACAUGUUGAUGAAGUUUGAGGAACUUUCGGAGAUUACAUGUUGAUGACUAUUAACUUAUUGAUCUUUUGAUAUAUGCAUUUUUUUAGUUUUAGAGAAUCAUUGAUGAUCAUAUAUUAAGUUUGAUAGAAAAUUAUUGAUGAUUAGUGUGUGAAUGAUUGGUGUUAAAUAUUGUUUGAUACAUGAUUAAAAUUAUCUUUAGGAUCAAUUUAGAGAAUCCCUAUAUAUGAAAUUUUCUAAAAAUUGUUUCUCUAUUACCACUAUUGAUAGUUCACUUUACCUUUGAACUUGUAAAUUGGAAUCCGACCAUUCAAAAACUCUUUAAAAUUUUUCUAAUUAUUCUAUGAUAUUUUAGACUUCUUGAAUUUGAUUUUAGAAUUUUGUUUGAGUGGUUUAUUUUUAUUUUUUCCAAUUAGAAGAUGGAAAUCAAUCUUUUAGAAGGUUUAGUUUUCACUCUAUUUUUGACACUCAAUCUUGUUUAUUAAAAUUAAAUUAUUAAAUGCUCUCUGUAGACCUUCCAUUUUGUCCCUUUAACACAUGUCUUUAAGUUCACUUCCAGUGUUACAGUGUUUCUUUGAUGGCCCAUUACUACCAGUGUAACUUAUUUUUUCUGAGCCACUUUGGAGACUUUGGUUGCGAGGUUUACUCGGUUCCACAUUAUGACAUUGGCUGCCCUUCAAGUUUAGAUUAGACUUUACUUAGGUGCACUUUAGGUUAGAUUUAGUUAGACCCACCUAGUCUCACCCUAGGCCUAUAUAGGUAUAGCUGGCCCAUUAGACACUAGCUUAGGCUCGUCUAGGUUCACUUAGACUCAUUUAGACACCUUAGGCCCGUCUAGGUUCACUUAGACUCAUUUAGGCACGCUUGACCCAUCAAACAUUCUUAGCCUGACUUGUUUGAUUGUAUGACUCAUUUAUCUCAUUUAUUUAUUUAUUUUUAUUUUUUAUUAUUAUUGUCAAUUGCUUUUAUUUUUUUUAGGUAUUCAUUAUUUUUUAUUUAUUUUAUUCAUUAUCUUGUUAUUUAUUUAUUUAUCUAUUAUUAUUAUUUUAUCAUUCUUCGAUUUAUUUAUUAUUUUAUUUAUUUAUUCUUUAUUCAUUUAUCCGAUUUAAUAAUUUGAAGUUUUAUAGGAAAAUCUAUGAUAGAGAAGUUUUUGGAAAAUGUAGGACUCUUUAGGUGAUUUUUGGAAGAGGUAAGACUCUUUAGAUGAUAUGCCUGGAUUGAUUUUUGGAAAUUCAAAAAAGGACUUUUCUGGUGGAUGAGACGUAAGAGUUUGGAGAGAAGAGGAGUCCUCAGUUGGACGGCUCCAAUGGAUAUAAAAUUACAGCCUGGUGGUUUUAGGAGGCAUUCGGAGAUUGUUUUUUAGAGAGAGAGGGUUUUCAUAGGCGAAGAAGAGAAAGGAAAAGAUAGGAAAAGGAGAGGGGUUUUGGGAGAGGGGAAGCAGAUUCCAGUCUUGGAAAGGAUUUCCCGGUGAGGAGCUGUUGGAGAAGACGUUGGGAAGAGGACACAGCCGACUUGAAGCCAAAUAAUAUUUCUUGAGGGGAAUUUCUCCAGGUAUGGUCAGAUGAAAUUCGUAUUUUCUCAUCUCUAUAUGAUUCAUCAUCAUUUUUUUUUAGCAGAUUUUGAUGUCAUCUUGUUGAUUGUUGUGAAUAUUUAAGGCUGAUUGUUCCUCCUGAUGAAUGGAUUUAAAAUAUGUGCAAGCUCUGUCCUGGCUUGAAAUGUAAUCUUUUUUUAAAUCACUACUGUUAAUGGCUGAUGUAUCUAAUCAACCGCUGAUAUUGAUAUCUAAGGAUCGUGCUCUUGUUCUCUUAUAUUCCCCACCUAUUUUCAAGCCCUUUGACAAAAUAAUGGAAUGUGGUUCGUCUGUUACCCAUCCUCUGUCUUCCUUCCUUUGUUUUUCUUGGGUCAUUCUUUCUAUGCUUAGCAUCUAUAUUUCACCCGCCUCCCUUUCUUUGGUGUUCAUGGCUAUGGAGACCAUGAUGGCUUGAGUAUUUCUAGAAAGAUGGAGACUUUGCAAAGAUUGUAUGCAAUGGGUUGUUUGGGGUUAGAUAGAUGCAGAGGCCGCCAUCAUUUCUGGGGGUUCUCAGGCACAUGUGAAUAUCGUAGGAAGCGAUCCAGUUGGCAGAUGCAGUUUUCCAGAUCACAACGCUUGCUUCAGAACGGCGUCAUAUACCAUAACCCUAUGUCUAUAUGAUAAGAUGCUUCGGUAUGUUUCCUUAUUCUGGAACCCAUGGAGAUCAGAAGGUGUUAGACUAUCAGAAUCUUCAGCAGAAAUUCCAGAAGCAUCUGCACCCAUUCCUCACUCUAUCCAUUCUGUUACUGAUUCAAAAUGAUCCAGCUGUUAGCAUUAUUUUCUCCUACAAAUGUGUAUUUGAUUGUUUCCUUAUCUCUGCUCAUACUUGUGUUCCUUAUUAUACGCUUGUCAGUUCAAUUGUACAACUAUAAAUAUAAUGAAAAACUACACAGCUUGAGUGCUAGAGCCAAGUCAAAGAUAUACUGUGUGUUCAUCUUUCUGUUGAGUUGUUAAGGUUUUACAGAAGGUAGGUGGGACCUUUCAAAGGAUGCAUGAUGGUUAGGAGCAAUUCUCCGGUUAGAAACUACCAUGUAAAUUCAAACGAUGCUGGGUUGGGGAUUCCCGAUGGAGCCGAAGAUCCUGUGGUUGCUAAUGGUUGUGCAUUUCAUAGUUGGUGCCGUUGCUUUAUCACUGCACUAUGCAAAUGUUAUUAUCAUUAUUGAGAAGUUGGUGGCAUCCCCUCACUAGAUUGGCCAUGAUGCAAGACAUGAUCUCUACAGUAUGUUAACUGUUAAAGUAAGAGCAAGGCUGCCUGUGUUUCUGUCAGCAAAAGUAUCCAAACCUUGCAAGGGCUUCAUCGGUUUUUGAUGUUUUAUUGUAACCAAAAGCUGUAAAGCAAAACCAUGACUGCAUCACUCGUCUCCAGCCGCGCAUUUCAUCUUUCAAAUGAUCUAAAAAAUGUAGGCAAGUCAAGGCUGCCAAGCUUCCAAUCCAUUUUCAAUGAAAUGAUGGUUGAACUUGGAAUUGAACUGAGCUGCACCACUUUGGAUUCUCUCUAGCGACCACGCACAGUCCAUGAUGAAGACAGCCUGCAUGCAUGAAUGGAUAUCCAACGCGGCUACCUUUUGCAGGCUAAAUGAAAAUCUCAUGCGAGUCAUGUUCAACCUUGAGUACGUACUAGCCUGAAGAGGGAUUUGAUCACCUCAGAAUAAGUUGGCAGCAAAAGAGCUCAUUCCCUGGCCCGCAAAGAUAAAGUUUGGUUGCUUAAGAACCUAUGUUUAUCCCCACGUGUUAUUGAUUAAAUAUAAGUGCAUCGGCAACAGAGCCUUGCAAUGGGAGACAAUGGAGAGGCGUCAAUUUUUAUGUUUCUUAAAGACCCAGUCAUCAUCUCAUGCCUCUAGUGAUGUGUCGGACAGUUGCAGCCAAGACCAUCCUUCAAAUGCGGCAGCUCCAUAUUGAGAAUAGACAGCAGGAUCUAGUUGAGGGGGCCACAUUUCCGUGGAUGCAGCCUGCAAUUAGUACAACUUUUGAGGUGCAUAGGUGUCUACGCUGUUCACAUGAAAGACAUGCGCACCCAACCCAAGGUAAAAUAAGUGGAAAGAUAAUCCACAAACAGUGUGGUCUGCUCAUAUUAUGUGGAGGCAAGAAUUAUCGUUCCAAGAAGAGGCCCAUGAUUCUAUUAAUCCUGUGAAGGCCCCAUGAGUAAGAAAGCUGUUAUAGAUAGCUUAUGCGUUGAGGAGAUGAAAAAAAAAAAUGGGAAAGAGGAGACUGGCUGUUUCCAUUUCAAUGAGACUUGCCAAAACUAGUUAUCAUGGUAUGAAGCUGAGUUCAGUAAGCUGAGUUUAUAAGUUUGAAUCCAAAUGCAGCGGAAUUGGUGCAUCCGCCCUUGGGACGUCAUCUAAAAAAACAUCAGUACUCCAGACGCGUCAACAAGACGAGAGAAACAACAUAUGACAUCGGCUAAACCAUCUGUAGAUGCAAAUUUGAUUAGAAGGAAUGUCGAUCCCAAAGAACUGCAGAUUGCACUUCAACGGCCUGUUCAAUCUAAGAUCAUAUCCCAGCGGAUGCCUCAGACUCCUAUAUCUAAUCCAGUUUCAAGCAAUAACUCCUUGCAAGGAUCACCUGUGCCUAUCUCAGGAUAUCAUAGUGCACCGUCAGCCCUUGGCAUUACAGCUCUAUUGCAUGAUCAUGCUGCACCUAUAGAUCAAGCAGUCUGCUAAUGCAAUAUCUCAGCUUAUAAAAGCUGCUGCAAGUGCAAUAAAUGGAAGUUUUUCUGCAGGCCAGCAGUCUAACAUUUCUAUUGGUGCUGAGUUGAGCAUGUUGGGAUUAAAUUCGAAAGAAUUUGAAUGGUCUACCGAUGUCUUAUCUGACCAGAUGGAAGCUGUUGCUAAGAGCGUACAGCAGUCAAACAUUGUUCCAGGAGCCCUAGAAGAAUCUAAAAUCUCUGUCGUUAAAGAAGACACAAUGUGAAUAGCAACAGUAUGGGAUGAGUCUAAAUUAGUGACGAAGUUGACGGAAACUUUCAUGCUUUUGUCAGAGAGACUUUCUGGGUUUCUCAGUGAGGGCCAAUUGAAGAUUGUCUGCUAAAUUAUUUGACUAAGUAUCUAAACUCAUAGGAGACUCUCAACUAUCUGAACGUUUAAAUGAAGAAAUGGAGAAAGUGUCCCAUUACUUGGAUGCCAAAAAUGAAGCCAAGAUAACUAGUGUUGUGGAAAAGGAGAUGGUUGAAAGUUACAUGUAGAAACAGGUUCAUAUGGAGAACUCAGGUUUGAUUAAUAUGCUUAUGGAAACAAUGUCGUUAUGGUUGAUUUGCAUCAGUUUAUUACCACUAGUUCUGAAACAUUUAAACCCUGUGUUUGGUGGGCCACCCUUCCUUUUUGUUUACUUUUGUUAAUUCACUUGCUUCUGGAUUCAUUAUCAGUGGUGAUGAAGAUUGUUUUACAAAGACCUGGAAAGAUGUAGUUUGUGUUGAAGCAUAGAGCAUCCUGGUCGUCUUAGGUAUGUCCAAUUCUGCAGAAUGUUGUACAGCAUGCAGCAAAAACCCCAUAAGCCCAGCUUCAGGUUCAAUAGCAUCUUUUGAAAUUAGAUGCCCUCCCACAAUCAGCUCGUUCAAUGACCCAGCUCGCAACAGGUGCCAUAGCUCUGAAGAUUCAGAGUCAAUUUCAGAAUGCAUUAAGGAGCAGGAUGAAUGUCUUAAUGUUUUCAGACCCAAUGACUAUGUGACAUGCAUUCAGCUCAAUCCCAUUGAUGACCAUUAUUUCAUAAGCAAAUCGCUACCAAUGUUCAUUACAAGCAUAUCUUUCAGUCGCCAUGUUGUUGCAUAUAUGAUGAGCUCAAAAGUGAGGAAAUAAGGCAAAUUACAUGGCCAAAUUCAGGUCAUAGUGUCAAAAUAAAUGCAAGUAAGUUCAGUUAGGAACCAGAUCAGCCAUCCUGACCCUCAGAGAAGUAAAUUUGACAGUACAAUGGGGGCAUAAAAUAGCGUUUUGCGGACCAGUUGGGGCGGGGAAAUCAUCACUCUUGCAUGCUAUAUUUGGAGAGAUACCAAAAUUUUCAGGAAUUGUUGAUGUAUUUGGUUCCAUUGCCUAUGCUUCUCAAACUUCUUGGAUCCAAAGUAGGACAAUUCGUGACAAUAUUCUCUAUGGAAAACCAAUGGACACAACCAAAUAUGAGAAAACCCUAAAAGCCUGUGCCUUAGAUAAGGAUAUAAACAGUUUUGACCAUGGUGAUGAAAUAGAAAUUGGUCAGAGAGGGCUUAAUAUGAGUGGAGGACAUAAGUAGAGAAUUCAACUUGCGCGAGCUGUCUAUAAUGAUGUCGAUAUCUACUUCCUGGAUGACCUUUUUAGUGCAGUAGAUGCACAUACCGUUGCAAUUCUUUUCAAUAAAUGCGUCAUGGUUGCUCUUGCUCAUAAAACCGUCAUUCUACUGACUCAUCAAGUGGGGUUUCUCUCUGAAGUCGAUAAAAUUCUGGUUAUGGAAGCUGGACAGAUAACUCAAUCAGGAAGCUAUGAGGAGCUCUUGAUAUCCGGGACAGCAUUUGAGCAGCUUGUAAAUGCACAUAAGAAUGCAGUAACAGUAUUGGAAUUUUCAAAUGAUGAACAAGUAGAACCUCAAAAAAAAUUGGGUCAGAAUCUGCUAGAGAAGUCUCAUGGACCCCUCUCCACCAAAGAAAACAGUGAAGGGGGGAUUUCUAUGAAGGGUCUGCCUGGGGUUCAGCUCACUGAAGAAGAAGAGACAGAGAUUGGUGAUGUUAGCAUGUCAAUUAAAUCUGAGUUUAUAGAAGUGAAGAUGGAAGUCUUGUGAACUCUGGGCAGGGAAGUUCAAAUAUUAGUGAACUAAAGAAGGAUAAUUUGGAUGAUAUCUGUGACCGAAGGCCUGAUAAUGAACCAAUCACACAUGGUGAGUCUGCUGGUUUUGCUAAGGAAGAAAAUGUUAAACUUGAGAAGGAGAAGUGAUGAAACUUUUACAAUGAGAAUUUAAUAUGGAAUGCAGAAAACAUGUCAGUGCAGAAAAUUGGGAAUUAUGAAGCAUUCAACGUCUGACAACUGUCGGGGAGAAUCCAGUUGAGCUUGCAAAUCAGAUUGCCUUUUAAAUCAAAGCAUUUGACAGCUAAACACCCUUAAAUUGAAGCAUUUGACAGCUGGACACUUUUACAGUGAAUUGGUUUCUUCUAUCCAAAAUCUCCCAGCUCCGCUCCUUUGGCCACAUUGGUGCACACCUCCUCCUCUCUUUGCUAUAUAUUGGGAAUGCACUGUUUUGAAUUGAUUUUUCAAAUCCUUUUUUUAACUUAAUAAUUCCAGCUUUGAAAAUCAUCUUUAGAUUUCUUCUAGGUGAUAAAAAUCCUCAUUUUCAAUAAACUUUUACUCCAAAUUUCCUUCUGGCAUGCAUUUUUAUUUAUUUAUAAUUUUCACAAUUUUUUGGGUUUUUAACAAGCAUGAAUAAAUUUCAUGGUUCCAAAUGAUGGGACUAAUUGAAUCAAUUCGUACAAAAGCAAUUUGGACCUUGGUGGGGGGUCCAACAUUCUUGAUAUCUUCUCUGAUAUUGAUUCAAAUGAGGAGAUUAUUUGAUAUUUGAUUGAUUUUGAUUCCUCUUGACAAUAUGCUUGAAUUUGUUUUAUAUUUAUUAUUGAGCUAACCUUGUUUCCCAUUUUAGUGCUCAGCUCACUGUCCAGGUACGCUCUCCAUUACCCUAUUUUCCAAAUUUCACGAAUAUCCAUUUUUUUGUGUACUAUGCCUUUGUUUGUUGUCUUGCUUGAUUGCUUUGAUAUACGUUGGAUCGUUUGGCCAUCUUGGAUAAAAUGCAUGUUGUGUACUAUAUUUCUGUACUAAUUUUGAUGUCUUAUGAUGGUGCUUGAGAGGUAGUCCAGGUACGCAUCCUAACUCUCCUUUAUUGUGAUUUGAUUUUGUUUGACACACUAUUUUUGAAGUCACCUUAGUCUACCUAGGUACCCUCAAUUAAUCAAUUAAUUGUCUCAUUUCUCUUAACUUAGUCAUUAGAGACCUUUUUAGGGUUUAGAGGGGUGUUACCUCCUAGAGGUACCUUCCCAAUAGGUAACCUGAUCAUCGGACCUAGACUCAAGUUUUUCAAGACUGGUUUUUCCAAAACUAUAUAGGGGGUCAUUUUUUAGGGUUUUAUUUCUUAUUUUAUUUUCUCUUUAAAAUAAAAUAAAAUAAGUUGUGACUCCAACCUUUUCCAAAAACAAAAUUUUUCACCAAUAAAAGCGAGUCUCGUCGAUCAAGUGGGGAUGCACGUGAAAAAUGCAGGUCCACAACCUCUUUAAGUUCUUUGGACAUUUUUCACUUAAUCUAGACUUUUUAAAUUCAAUUUUUGACAAAUAAAAUAUUGAAAUGAGAGAAAUAAUUUUUUUCUUCUUGCGCUUACUACACAGGUACUCUUCUAGAGCUGCGAGAUGUUAAUUUAAUUUUAAUUUUAAAUAUUUUAUGCAUGUAAUCUUAUCCUGUGAUUAUUUUUCAUAUAAAGUAGACAUAUUAAUGAGUUGUGUGAAUUUUUAUAGGAUUUUAGGAUAUCUCUAAGUUAAUUAAAAAAAUAAUUCUCACAUGCUAUGGAAAAUUACUCUGUUCUGGACCUAUUAUGCUUCGUAUGAAAUCUGGUACUAAAUAGGAUUUAAUUAAUUAAUUUGGACACUUGGAUGAUAAACUAGACAUAUAGUAAAUAUUCUCUGAAAAUUUUCAUGAUAAAAUUCAACUUCUGGAUAUUUUUUUCAAAUUUAUUUUGUAGAGUCUUCUAUUCUAAUCACUUGCUGAUUUUCUUGUGAAGUAACCCGCUUAUGAAUAAAUUUGAUAAUAAUUGUGAACUUUUUGUUGUCAUUGAUUCCUUGGUGAUUUGGUAACAUGUUUAGGGUCUUUAAAUUGAUCUUUGAUGCAUGUUUAGGUUACUAACAAAGGUAGGUACAGCUGCAUGUUGAUCUUCACAUUUCACACUCACUAAUGCACAUAUUUAGCUUGAAUAGGUGUUCUUAUUUAUUUUGAUUCCCUUUUUUGGUCGUGUAUUUGUAAAAAUUGUUUUCAAGAAUUUCAAAAAUGAUCAUUCUCAUUAUUAAUAUCCUCUUUCUUCUAUAGGUUCAAAAUGAGAUUUCAAAAACUUCAAAGUUACCCUUUUUUUGAAUUGGUAUGCAUUUCAAAUUUGUUUUCAAAAUGAAUUUGUGACCUUUCAUGGGAAUGAAAUUUGGACAUGGCUUCUUAUGGAGUUCUUUAAUCAUGAAAAUUUUCAUUCAAAUUAAAUUGGGAAGUCGUAACUCCCUACAUGUUCAUUUUCGAGUUUUGAAAUCUUAGUUUUUCAAGUAAUAGCUUAUUUCAAUGCUUUAUUUUGUACCCUCGAGAUUGAUCUAUGAAUUUAAAUUAGAAGAUGACAUGUUUAAUUUAUGAUUAUAUUUUUUCCUAAUAGUACACUCUGAAUUUAAUUUUAGAUACCUGCAUUACUUAAUUUGGAUUUUCCUGGCAUUAGAUAUAAUUUUGUCUUUAGGUACUUUGUACACAAGCUUUGUUUUGGGCAUUCUGAAUGUUAAAUUGAUUUUAAAUAUAUCAGUAUCAUUUUUCCUUUGAAAUAGACAUUUUCAAUAUUGUGUAUGAAUUUUGGGCAACCCUAGGUAGGCUAAAAAAAAUUCAUUUUUGCAUGCCCUAUGCACUGACCUUGUUUUGAAUCAAUCUGAUUUUUUUUAGUGCUAGUACUAUUUGACAUAUGAUAUGUGAAUUUUUCCAAUUGGGCUAGAAACUAUACUCCUUACAGUUAUUCCUCAAUUUUUUAUUUUUUUAUUUUAUGUAAAAAUUCAACUUCUAGAUUUUUCUAAUGUUUUAUCUUGUGAUGAGUUAUGUUUUGGAUUUUAGCCAAAGUCACUGUGUAUUGAUUAACUUGUGUAAUUUUUUGGCAUUAAUUGUUUGGGAAUAAUUGAUUUGUCCUUUUGGAAAUCAAUUUAUACUUAUUAAAGGCCAUACCUAAUUUUUAUCAUGAUGAAAUGAGCAUGUUUAAUAUUUGUUUUAGAUGUAUUUAGAAGACUCUUAUAUGUUGUUGUGUUGUGCUGAAUGUAUAUCAUAAUUUAGUCAGAAUCUUUUAUGCAUGCCUCAUCACUUAGAAUUUGUUUCAUUUCUUCUAAUUCAUUCUUUGUUCCCCAUGAUGCCUUGUAUAUAUAUGAUGUAAACCUUUCAUUUAUUACCUUGUUAAACUAACAAUUUCUUUUGAGGGAGUGCUUGCUUAUAUACUAAUAACGUAUCUACUUUCAUCCUUUGUUUCUUUCGCAUAUAUUUUAUAUUUUUUGGAUUGAUUCGAUUUCUAUUGUUGGUGUAUAUAUAUGAGCAUGUAUUUGAAUUUAUGUUCGAUUUUGUAUAUAUGCCUAUGCCAUAUGUGUGAUAUAUACUAUUACUUGUUAUUUAACUUCAAUUGUCUUAUGAGAACGCAUGUAGCUAAUUAAGGUACACUUCACUUUUAUCUCUAUAUGUGUAACUAUGUGAUAUUUCAUAGAGAAAUAAACUAGUUCCCCAUCAUUCUCAUGCAAAUGCAAGCAGUUGCUAGCCACCCAAGUGGUGGGAUUUUUUAGACAAACUUUAAAAUUGAUGAGGAUUUCAAUCAUUCAAUCUUUUUUUUUUUCUUUUUAUCUAAUGCAGUGGAUUUUGAAAUCCACACAACAUAAAAGAGAUCCUAUAAAGCAAACAAGCAAAGUUUGAGCCAUAUAUUGAAUUUGUAGGCAUAAUCAACAAUUUCCUUAGCUUCCACAGAUGUUCAAAUUUAGUGAGAAGGUCUUCUUUCUAUUAGACCACUUCUAAUAGACAAACUAUGCACCUCUCUUUUAUCAUCACAUGUAAAUGACCGUAAAGGAUGUGAAGAUCACUCUUAUAAAUCAUCUAACUUUGUUCAUUGGGUAAAAUAUUGAAUUUUGUAGUUUACUUUUUAGGGUUCUGAGUUUUAAUGAUGAGUCCAAGUCAAGAAUAGGAGAAACAAGAGGAUAUAUUUUAGGCUUAGCAUGGAAAUUCUGUACACAGACAUGCUUGUCACCUAAAUGCAUAACAUCUCCAAAUGGUGAUAAAUAUCACUUAAGUUUUGUGAAUUUCAUUCCUUUGUAGAAUAAUGAAAGUAUUGCACACCUACUUUGCAACAAAGAUAAUGCCACCAUGAUUGGCCAAUUCAUAAGUCAUAAUAAAUUGAUAUGCCCCAUGAUGCAACGAUAGAGAAGUGUGAAUUCUAGAAUGAUAAGUCACUAGAGAGAUAGAGGGGAAAAUGCUUACAGCCUAUACUAAUAAAAGAUUUUAAAGAUUAGAAGAUGCUAAUAUGUCCAAUGACUAAUGAGGUAAGAAAAACAAGUGUACAGAGAAGACAAUGACUUAAGUAAAUAGUUGAGCAUAAUGAAAAUGAUGGAACUAAAGAAUAGUUCUUAAGGAAUGAUAAGAUUUAUAACAAAAAUCUGAGACAGGAAUGGCACAGAAAACCAGUAAACUUUCAUAUAACUUGUUUGUACUAAUGAGAGCUUCUACCAUAGCUUUAAGUUUGAUAGGGCAUGUCCAUUAAAGCUGGAGAAUCUGAACUACUAUAUCAUUAAAUAUUGUCGUUUACAUUAACCUCGAAUCAAAACCUCUAUAAAUCUACCAACAAAAGAAAUAUCCCACUUCCAAGUCAAAACAAGAAGUAUUUAUAAAUCUACCAGCAAUUACAAACUUCUUCAUAUAUUGCAUCUAAAGUAGAGUGGUUCAAUUUCAACCCCCUCCAAGAACCCCUCCAACUGAUCUCUCGAAGGCAAUAAAAUCACAAACAACUAAACUAUUUGGAGACCAAGGACUGAUUAACAACAGAAUUCAAAUUUUAACAAUUCCUUUUCCUUUCCAAAUGCAGUUAAUGGCUAAUACAAAUAGGUAAUGUCUAAUAAAAAGGCCCCCUUUAUGGUGAAUUUUUAGAAACUUGGGUUAGUAAAAUUUGUGUCACAGGUUUAUUAUUGGCCGAAGAGGCUUAAUAAUAAAAGGGAAAAUUGUAAAUGAAUUUCCUAUUAUCUAUUUUGUGAACAAAAAGAAAAGAGAAAAAACAAUUGUCAUUGUUCAGAGGUAUUUUUGAAUUUUUUUUAUACUUCUCUCUAUUUUAAAACUUUAUAGAUUUUCCUUACAAAAUAUAUACUGGACUGAUGCAAUUCUCAAACAUUCUCUAGUGAGAAAACUUCCCAAGUGUACUCAAGACUGCUCAAGAAAUAUUUACAAAACAAAUUUCCCAGUAGAUUUAAAUAGAAAUAUUAAAACCAAAAUUUCAAAUGAAGAAAUUUAUUCUGUAAAUAUUAAUUACCAAAAACUCAGUUAGAAAGAGUUCUUAACUCCAUAUUAAUUGAUAAAUCAUUAAAAAAUUUACUAUCAACAUGAAGUAGUGCCUUAUCACUCACAGUAUAAAUUCAUAUCUAUCAUAUAUUUAACUAUUAUAUAAAAAAAUAAUUAAAAUUAACGUAUUUGUAAUUAAUAAUAUUAUAUAUACAGUUAAAUGUGCAAAUCUAACAAAAAAAAAAGGCCUUUCUUUUAGUCGAAUCUCAUCCCAUGCUUGAGCGCUAAGGUUUGACCUAUAGCCUUGUGGGUGAGCUUCACUGAAUUUUUUAUUGGUUUAAGAGGAGCAAUCCUACAUCAAAAUUUUAAGAAAAAAGUAUGGUGCAUUUAAUAGACAAUGCCCCAAGCCAUCAUCACAAGCAAACCAUGGGUUGGGUAUGGACGGCAUAGACUCCAAGGGCCUUAAAAUUUGCAGAAAAUAAAUGCUGACAUGGCAGUGAAAUAUCCACAAUAAAUCGGGCAAAAUAGUGAUGAAAUACCUUUAAUAGAGCAAUGAGAUUUCCAUACCACAUUUUGACACCUUACCCUUGUACCUUGGUCCAACUUGUUGGUAGCCUCCUUCAAUGACUUAGAUUUCAUUAUAAAUAUUCAAUUAUCCAAAUUUGGACUUAGAAUUUUCAUGGAAUGUAUGAAAACUUUCUUAUUCACAUGAAGCCUAUAUGGGCAAAGUUACAAAUGACUCUUAGGCUAGAAAUAAGGAAACAACCUGCUACACAUUAGAAAAUAACACCCCACUACCACUACUUACGUGGAGAGACUAAGGGCUAGCUCCUCAUUAACCAUUUCUUAGAGGCUAGGGCAAAUGAAACAUACCACAAAGGACUCACUUGACAAGUAACUUUGACUCUUUUAAUUUUUGUUCAACAGUCCCUCCCUUAAACUAAUGUUUUGUGUCAUAAUAGUCAGUUUAAUAAAAGUAAGCUUCGAAACACCCUCACAUAAAUUGGAUUAUCCAAUGUGCAAACAACAAGCAACUUCCUUAGCUUCUGAAAUAUGAGUGAUUUGAGGGACUUGGUACACAUAUCAGCAACUUGGUCUUCACUUUUGUAGUGUAGAUGAGAUCAAUCAUUCCAUCGUUAGUGAGGCCCCAUAAAAAGUGAUAUUUCACAUCUAUGUGCUUGAUUCUUCCAUGUAGAACAAGAUUCUUGGAGUUUAAUUGUUGAGCUACUAUCAAAAUAAAUUGGAGUGGGUUCUGGUUGCUUGAAACAAAGCUCUUUAAGAAUUAUCUUCAAUCAAAUAUCUUGACAGACAAAGUUGCAGCAAAAAAUUCACCUUUGGAUGAUAGAGUGACAUAGGACAACUAUAGUGACUGGGAGUCUUUCUUGUCUUAAGCUUGGACUUCAUGGCUUCCAUGUGCAUGCCCUUCGGGACACGACAAAUGCUCGCAUGUCAACUGGUAUUGUCUAAUUAUUAUUGGUUACUUCAUUUUUUACAUCCUUUGUCAUUAGGUCAGACUUACUCUCCUAGAUUUUCUGCAUAAUUCUUUCUAGCUUAAGUAUUUGAUUAUUAUUUAUGAGACCUUAUUUCAAUCCUAGUGGAAAAGUGCAUGGUGCUCUUGAAGAUGAGAAUCGUCAUACUGGUGAUUUAGGAAAUGCCAUUGUGGGUGAGGAUGGUAUGUACCAUGGUUUUAAAAACAAGACUGAACCAGCCGGUCGGUCACGGUUUCGAUCCGGUCCGGUCAUUUAAGUUGAAAAGUGUUCAGAUCAGAAUUAGGCCAAUUAAACCAAUGAUUCGACCGACGAACUAAAUAAACCGGAUGGUUCCCCCCGAACCAUCUGGUUCAAUCUUUUUUUCUUUUUUUUUUUUCCCACUGUCGCCGACUUGUCAUCCCCCGCCUGUAGGACCCCCACCCCACAUUGGAAAAGCCCCCUCUCAUCGUUCCCCACAACUAGAAAAGCACCCCUUGUCGUCCCUCACCAACAGAACCCCCACCCCUCGCGACCCUAUUGGAAAGGCCCCCCCUCCUUGCCGUCUCUCACCGGCAAGAUCCCACCCUUCUUGCAAAGCCACCCUCCCACUCUCCACACUGGAAGAAGAAAUGAGAAUCCAAAGUAGUGGUCGAGUGCGGUGACUUAUAGAGAAGAUCGAUGAUGAGGCGUCCAUCAAAGAGACAACCAUUGACUAAUUUAAUGAUUUUCAAAUAAAAUUUUAAUUUUUAAAUAAUAUAUAAAUUAUUAUUUUAUUUUUAUAAUUAUUUUAAAUUUUAAUAAUUUAUAAAUUAUCUUUUUAUGAUGUCACUGGUUCGACCACCAAUCAGACCAGUGAACCGUGAACCGGUAACUUUUUCGAUUCAAUGACCAAUCCGAUUCUGAAAACAUUGGUAUAUACUAUGUACUUCGUCAUAAUUAACUACUUAUAGAAUACCAUUAGAAGCAUUAUUAUUAUUUGCCUUGACAUUGCCAUUUUUUACGCAAUCAUUUUUCUUAGAUCCUCGUAUAGAUAUGAAUCUAUGUGAUAUAGGAAUGAAGUAUCUAGGUUGUAAAUCUAGAUCAGUUAUGGUAUUUGAACUUUCUUAGCCAUUAAGGUGCUCUCAUUUUCUAGUGUGCUUUUCAGGUAAAAUAAAUUUCAAAAUUGUUGACAAGCAGAUAGAUUUUUUACCUCUAUUUCCUGUUUUUCCUUUUUAUUCUUUUUCUCAUACUUGAAAACUAGCUAGGUUGAAAUUUAGUUCUUGUUAUCUAAAAAAUGUAUGUCUCUGUUUAAAGAUUCCUCUAUAAAACUUCUAUUUAUGAUGCUCUUUUUUCAGGUGUUUCCAUUUUGUGCUACUGCUAUUCUAUGCAAUGUGGAUUACUAAUGGACAAGAAUGAACAAUCCAAUCCUAGCUUAUGACAAAUGUUAAUAUAUUUUGUUGGAACAUUAUUAAGUUCCAUCUUACAGUGUUUGGACAAACAUACGUAUGCUUAUUCCGUCAUUUUGUGCACAGCAAUUAUUUUUACACUACAACAAAUAUAGGGUUUUAUCACAUUAAUUUGUGAUUAAAAAAUAGUAUUUUGUGGUAAAAGGUUUUUUUCAUAAAAAAUUAUUUGUGACAAGUUUGUUGCUAUAAGCCCAUGUGCAAUUAUUUUCAAUCAUAAAAUUUAAUCUUAUAACAACAUAAAUAAUUUUCCCAUAAAAUAAAAUUUGUGGCAACUUAUUGCUUUUCAACAAAAAAAAAAAAACAUUGAUAAUUUUAACAAUUGAUUAUCCAAUUCUCAAAUUGUGGAUGAUUGAAACUAGAUUUCAAUUCUUCAAAUAUCUCAAUUGAUUUGUGUUUAUAAUUGGAAUAAAAUGAACAUUAUAAAACAAUGUCAGAUGUAUUUUCAUUUCAUAAAAUAAAUGAAACAAUUUUUUUUAAAACAAUUAAACAAAUAAAUGUGUAAAAUGCAACACCUAAAAAAAAUAAAAUAAAAUAAAUUUAAAACACAUACCAACCCGUUCCACAAAAAUUAGAACUCACAAACAGUUGUUAAACAUAUAUUAUUAUUAGAUCAUUGACAUGAUCGAUACGCUUCCGAGGAGAGCUGCCUUGUCCAUUAGCAGUAAAGAAAUAUUGAUCCUUUUCAAAUUCUAACAAAGAAUGUAUGUAGGCUGUAUAACAUUUUUAAGGACUAGGCAUAACCAACCAAAUUUUUUUCGCUACUGAUCCUCAAGAUAUUACCUAAAAACAUGCAUAGACACAAAAAUUCCAGUCAUGAGCUGAAUCAAUUAAUCAAGAAAAAAUGGAUGAUCGAAAGAUAAAACGAUGCAGUCCCUUUUCAGACUUGAUCAGUAACCUUCAUGUGGUUGAGCAAGUAACAAUGGUGUUGGCAUGGAUAUUGAAGACUUUGGGCUUUGUAACUUUUAGCAAAAGUUUAAAUAUAGUACGCAAGGUUACGAAGGAGAUAGAAAAAAGACUUGCGUACAUGACAUGGUAUUGAUCUUCAGUAUCAUCUCAAAAUAGAAUGAGAUAGAUUCAAAUAUAGGGCCCGUUCUUUGCGGAGUCAGGAAGCAUUAUAUAAUGAAUGAUAGGGAGUUCCAGAUUUUGACAUUCGUCACUGAGCCAACACCAUUCAUAUGCAGGUUUGUUUUAUUAUUGAAAAGAAACAUGAGAGGCAGAGCAUAGGCACCAGCACAAAAAAGACUUAUGAGCAUAAUACUUGAUGUAGAUGCUAUAAAAAAUGUGAUGGUGGCAGCAAUUAGCUUCCCAGCUUCAGGAUUUUCCGGGAAAAGUUGAGAUGCUAUCAACUUCAUAUGUUCAAAAAUUCAACAAAAUAAUUAUAAAAACAAGUCCUCUCUCACCAAGGAAAAUACUCUGAAAAAUUCCAGUAUCAGCCAAAAAUAAAAUCAAGCUGACGAGAGUUAAAUAGAAACAUGGAUUCAAACAACACAAGUAAUAAUUACCUGAUAUGCAUCUCCAUGCUCAUGGUCAUCAUUUGGCUUUUUCCAUACCUAGAGUGAUUAAAGUGAAUCAAUUUUCAGUUUAAGAUAAACUUAAAGCACCAUAAUAGGUCACAUGCAAAGCCGUAGUCAUUUUCUCUUCAAUUACAAGAAACAAGUCAACAAAAAAAAAAAAAAAAGUUAAUCCCCAAGUCUGAAUUCUCACCCUUCUCUAGAAAAACAGAGGAUAUGAAGACAAUGAGAAUUGAGACUCAAAGUUUUGCUGAUUCAAGUGGUACCAGGAGGUGUGACGGCACCAAUUAAGGCCACCACACUGUCUCCUUCUUUCACUAUUUUCACUGCCUUACCACACUGCCUUACUAAUGUAGAAAGGAAAAAGUUAUGUGUUCAUCCACCGGCAAUUCACUCUAUCAAACAAGACCCAAACAGAUAUGGAGCAGAGGAAUUAAAUUUCAAUAAGCUAAAGUGGGAUAAAGGGCAUUUCAAAUAAAGGAUAAUAGUGCAAUAAGUGACUCUUCAAAAUGAGCAAUAAAUACAAGAAUUUACCAACUGCAUAGUAAACUACAUCGAAUUUCUCUGCCAAUCUUCAAACUUCUCCUUAGUGUAGUCAAUCAUCAAACCAGUUCCCAAGCUCUUCAUUAGCUCUAGUUUUCUUGUACUUGAAGUAGCAGUGCGACUCUUGAGGCACCAAACACUUGUUUUGCAUGGCUCAAGCCAUAAAAAAGGAGGAAAAAUGGAAUUAUUGUUCUAUAUCGUAUUCAUUUGCCUUAUCCUAAUUAUUUAGGGGGCAACAGUAGCACAAAUUUUGUUCUGUUUGCUCUACUGAGAGCCCCUAUCUCAAUUUUUAAUAACUAAUAAAUAGAGGAACCCCAUCUAACUGCAACAGGAGUUUCAUAUUUUAAGUACAAAAGUUUUUUUUCCAUUGUAGGCCAUGAAUGGAUAACAUUUAAAAUGGAAAAUAAAUAAUUAGGAACUGAAAUUCAAAUGCCUAGAUAACAAGGCUUCCAACUCCACCAACACCACCCAAAACAAGAAUCGAUUUACCAACAGUAAAUCCAGUCCUUUCGAGACCAUCAUAGGCUGUCUCAAUUGUAAGAGGAAGUCCAGCAGCUUGAACAAAAUCCAAAUUCUUUGGCUUUAGAGCCAACAGUUUCUCUUCAAUAGUAGUGCAUUUUGCAAAUGAGCUAAACUGUUUAGGCCCAUCCAAUGUUUUCUCAUUUAUGUUUCCAUGUAACUUCAAAUAGAGUAAAUAGAAAGGGAUCAUGUAGAAACCCUCAAGUAAUUACAUAUUUCUUCUUUAACAUGAAUUUCAGAAUUCUAUAUAUUGGUUACCAAUAAUCCAUGCAAGAACACACCUUCUUCAAAGUGAUGAAAACGUUUCCAAUCUCUGAUGGCAAUCUUCCUUUUAAAAACCUUUGAAACAAGCUUAAUUGCAUUGUACUUCAUGGGGGAUGUCAUAUUUGGUGUCAAGACUUUGUCAUGCUAAAAGAAAAUGGACAUGGAGGGUAACAAUUUGGAAGGGAUGAAGAGGUCAAAGAUAAGCAUAAUUUUUUUUUCCUCCGAAAUUUCUUGUUCUCUUGUUUAGGAUUCUUUAAGGGUAGGGCAGUUUGUCUUUUCCAUAUUUCAUUACUUGAGGACAAGGGUGAUGGUUAAGCUUCUCUUUGUUGAGCCCUUUUGUUCUUUUUUUUCUUCUUUUUGGGGGUAGAAUUUUCUCAAUUUCUUUUGUGUUUUCAAAUAUGUUUUAGAAGUAAAUUUUAUGGAUAAUAUUUUAUUUUAAUCAUUCUUUAUUGUAUAAUUAUUUUUUAAAACAAUUCUCAUCAAAUAACAAAAAAAAAAGAGUAAAAAUAAUUAAAAUAUGUUAAAAACAAACAAAGACCUUCUGACCAUGGAUUCCUUGUUUGCUUCACUCCAUGCCUAACAGUUUCCUCUUUCUUAGUGACACCGUAAUCACCUUCAUUCUGCACAAUCACAUACACCUUAUCGCCUCUAUGAAUCCGAAUGACCGGCCCUGGAAAGCUUUCAUUCACAGUCAGCAUGCUCUUUGUGCUGCACAACCUUGUGAAAUUGGACAUCUUUAGCUACAGGAGAUAAAAAAAGAGAGGCAAUAUACAAUGUGACUAACAAAAAAGACCCUGGAUUCUGACAAAAACAGGCAAGUGUCAAGGUAAUACUCACAACAAAGUCAUAAAAAGAGACUUCCAAAGCAUAUUCAAGGGACAUGUAGCUACUUUCAUUAUUAGAACAAUUCAAUUAGUAGUUGUUUCAUUACAAGUAUCUAUAUACACAUGCAAAAAAAAAAAAAAAAGGCCACGUUAUGUGAGAAUCCACAUAUUUUGAGGAACAAAAGCUCACCAAAUGACCAAAUUACUAAAGGAGAAAGCAUCGACAAAAGAAAAAUGGAUACAAGAGAGCUACUCACCAUAACUAUGAAUAAUGAAAUAUUCACUAGAAGUGCAGAAGGGGGUGUUUUAUUUUAUUUUAUUUUAUUUUUCCAUCAUAUGGACAGAUAACAUCAUAUGCAGGAACAGGUCUAAAGAGAGCAUUGGGCAACUCAGCAGAAACCACACUUAAUAAACUCAUUUGGAUCAAGUAUUAAUGAUUAAAAUCAUUUAAAUACAUAUCUUUACAUUAUCCUAGAACAUUUUCUUUUCAUUUAAAUGCAUUGUCAUCAUAAUUUAUAAGAUGAAUGCAUUACUCCCAAAUCAACCCAUCUAAUUCUCAAUUCAUCAUAACCGAGGAACUGUCUCAUUGAAGUCAUGUGUUGCUUAAGCACCAGUUUUAAUAAUUUAUCAUCCCAUAAAGCAACCAAAAGUUUAUGUUUAACUUAAGACCCACCAAAGAGGAAAUAAAAAUUUCCAAAACCUAACAAGUCAAAAUAUGUGCAUAAAUACAUACAUUUUAAGCAAGUGUGAUGAAAUAGAUAACACUAUUCCCCAAGAUUAACAUAAGAACAAUAGAAUAACAGAUGCAAAUAUAUUUUGAUUAAUUCAUAAUACAAAUAAGAGGCCUUAAUACAUACUUCUUAAGCCAUUGGCGUCCGAUUCUUUUAAGUUUUGCAGUGAUAAUAUCCUCGACAAACAACCCAAACAUAACCAAUCUAAACUCCACCUGCCAAGAUACCAUGAUUUUCAAUUAUUAUAUGAGCAUAAACAUUAGAAGAGUUGGACAUUCCAUAAAAAUUGGUCCAGCCUAUCAUCUUUUUCGACAGCAGAAUAUGUAGGCAUGACACAAUCCGAGAUCGAUAAAGUAUGAAAACCAAAUUUUAGAUUUAAGUAUACCGUAUAGGUUGAAGCACUAUCCCCAGGGAAGAAAAAACCACCAUCUAUAGACCUGAUAUCAUUAACAAAGCUACACAGCCCCAAAUUCGCAACGACCUUCAUCAAAACACAUUCUUCUCAAUCCCUUAAAUGCUUUGAAAUCACGAUAACAAAUAAAAAACGCAAAGAUAAUGCCCAAUCUCCCGACCUUGUCUAAGAAGAGACUUUCAAGCUCUCCUUUGAUGGCUUCACUGAGAGGAAGUCCAGAAGAUGAGGCGACAAUCGGAGUGUGUGCUCAAUCAAGCUAAGGAAGAACAUCUAAACCUAGAAAACGUAAAUUUCAAACCGAAAAUCAAUGGCAGAGGCUGAUUAUUAAAGGAAAUUGAACAAAUUAACAUACAAAAAAUAACAAAUUGUCUUCUCUAACUUGUUUUCGCAUCUGUAGGGUUCUUCAGUGAGCUUCUGGUUGAUCUAGGGUUUUAAUCUCCGACCGGUCACCGUUUCCGGCAAUAGGAAUAUUUCAAUUCCCGCCACACCGGUGAGGUUUGCGACUCUUCAAUUAUGAGAGGAGAGAGGGAAACCAAAGUUGGGAAGGGGGGGACGGUGGGAAACAGAAAUUAUUUCAAUAAUGUGAAAAAAAAAAAAAAAAAGGGAGAAUUGUGUUUUGACCGGCUCAAAAAUUAAUAUUUGGUUCAUAUAUCAUGCAUAUUUAAGUUUAAAACCCAAAUAAAGUAUAAAAAUUAAAAUGAAAGAUAUUAUCUUUUAUUAAUUUCUAAAAUACCCUUAAUCCUUAUAUGCCUACAAAUGAGUGUGAAUUUCAAUUUUUUUAUGUUUUUUUUCCCUUUUCUAUUCUUUAUUAAGUAUUACUCAUUUCUAACUUUUUUUUUUCUUUUUCUUCCAAUAUAUAUUUCUAUUUUAUGUUAAAUAAAAAGUAAUAAUAUUUUUUUAUUUUUCAUUUUUAAAGAUAUUGAAUCUUUUUGCUCUUAUUAAAAGCAAUGAAAAAAAUUUUGGGAUUUUUCAUCCAAAUAUUUUUUAUCUUUUUGUAUUUAUCUUUUAGUUUAAUUUUCAUUUUUUAUUUUAAAUUUAUAUUACCUUUUAUUUAUAUUUUUCUCUUAUUUUAAUUAUUUUUUAUAUUUUCUACAUUAACCAUAUUUUAAAAAUUGACUAUCACUUCACUUUAUUUUAUAUACAUAUCCUUUUAGCUUUUUAAUUUUUAAUGUUUUUAUUUUAAAAUUUUAAAAAAGAUAAAUUUAUUGAAAAAAAGUAACUAAGAUAUGAAGUUCUAAUAUUAUAUUAAUAAUUUUUCUUAUCUAGAUAAACUAAUGCAAAGUAUUUUGACUCACAACAAGAAAAUUGUCAAUACAAUUUUUUUAGUUAAACUUUAGAAAUUAAAUUUCAAAUAAAAUAUAUUAUAUAAAAUUUUAUCUAAAAAUUAUUGAAAGUGGUAUUUAAAUUUUUUUUAUUGACUUUCAAACUUAUCUACUUUUUUACUUGAAAGGUAAUAGAACAUGUUUACAAAAAAAAAAAAAAUAGUUUUUCAUUUUUUAAAUAAAUGAGUAUAAAUAUAUUAAAAGAAUUAAAGAUAAUCUUAGUAAAAAAUUUGAUAAAUAUGAUUAUAAUUUUAAAUAUAGAUUCAUUUGGAUAAAAUUUCAUAAAAAAAAAAUAGUGGAAAGAAAGAACAUUGCUAAAACUACAAAAACAAAAUAUGCAAUUACAAAAUUUUGAUGAUGAAAUUUAAAAAUAAAAUUCGAAACAAUUCUUGAGUGAGAGAAUUUGAGUGGGGGAAAAAUCUUUGAGUGGAAAAACAUGGGAAAGUUUUUUAAAAUCACUUGAAAUCUUUAACAAAAAGUAGUCUUGUACACCCUUGUAUAAUUAGUAAAUUUGUCUUGUACAGUUAAUGUAAUACCCUUGUACAAUAACUCAAAUUUCAUAGAUCAUCUCAUGAAUAUCUGACAAUAGAUCGGUUAACCAUGUUUGCAUUGGUUUGGUUUUAAAAAAGAAGAAAAAUUGUUGUAUAAUUUUGUUUUACAAUCAUCAUAAGUGAGGUACCUAUUCAAAUAACCAUAUACAAGUUAGAUAAAGUGUAUGAGAUGAAUGUAUAUUUAAUCAAUGUGUGUAAGGAAUGUCAUUUAUCCUCAGUUAGAGGAAAUAAACAAACAAGUUUUUCAAAAUCACUUAAAAUCCUUCACAAAUAAUAGUCUUGUACACCCUUGUACAGUUAGUGUAAAUACCUUGUACAGUGACUCAAAUUCCAUAUACCGGCUACUCAAUGUGUAACCAUAGGUAGGUUAACCAUGUUUUCAUUGGUUUGUUUCAAAAAAUAGAGGAAGAUGGAAAAACAAAAUUUUCUUUCAAACAUCAUUAGUGGGAUAAGUAUUCGAAUUAUCAUGUGCGAGUUAAAUAAAGUGCAUAAGAUGAGUGUGUAAUAGAGGAAUGUGUACCUUAAGAGUGCAAUCCUUAGAUGACAAGACAAAAAAAAAAAAUAUAUGUCCAAAAUUGAUUAAAAUAUUUCACAAAGAAUAGCCUUGUGAAGUUAAAACAUUUGUCUUAUCCAAUUGAAUAUUUACCUUGUACAGUUAGUAUAACACCCUUGUACAAUUGUGCAAAUUUCAUCCAUAUGCAUACAUUAUGUGCCACAUAUGAUGUGUGAACCAUGUUUCCAAUGGUUUCAUUUAAAAAAUGAUAUAAAAUGUAAAAACAAAAUUUUUCUCUAAACAUCAUUAUUAAGGUAAGUAUUUGAAUUGUUAUAUGCGAGUUAAAUAAAGUACAUGAAAUAAAAGAAUUUGUGGUAAGAGAACGUAUAAUCCUUAGAUGAUAAGAAAAAAAAAAAGUUGUUCAAAAUGUACAGUUUUGUACACCCUUGUACAAUUAGUAUAAUAACCUUGUAUAAUGAUAUAAAUUUUAUAUAUAUGUAUAAAUUAUAUUCACAUGAGUGUGUAAACUAUGUUCCUAAUAGUUUGACAUUUAAAAUAAUUAAAACAAAUAAAAGAUUAUUUUAUUUUAUUUUCAAUGCAAAAUGUAAUUAAAAAUAAGACAAAGAAAUUACUUAAAAACUAUUAUUUAAGCCAAGUUUAUUUAUUUAUUUCCCUUUAUUUUUGGAAAUAAAGAAAAAAGAAUAAAAAAUUUAUUUAACCAUAAGAAAUAUGAAUAUAAGAUCAGCUAGAAAAUACCAAAUUUAUUUAUUUAUUUCUUUUUAUUUUUGGAAUUAAAGAAAAAAAUAAAAAAAUUAUUUAACCAUAAAAAAUAUUGAUAUAAGAUAUGUUAAAAAAUAGAAAUAACCCCAAAUUUAUUUACUUAUUUCAUUUUAUUUAUUUAAAUUAGAAAAUAAUUUAUUUUAAUAGAUUAAAAUGUGCACAAUUAAUUUAUUACUUUGUUAAUUAUGGAUAUAUUUAAAUUUUCUAUUAGACAAAAAAAUAAAUAAAGAAAAUAAAAUUAAAAAGAGUAAUAAAUAUAUAUAAUUUAGUUAUUUAAUUAUUUUUUAUGUAAAAGGUAGUCCCACAAAAAACACAUAAUCGAUCAAUUUCUUUGUUUAAUUGUAAACAUACUAUAUUUUUUUUUUUUUAUUAAAAUAACUAAUGAAAAAAAAUAAAAAUGGAUAAUCAAUGAAUGAAAUUUAAUUAUUUUUAUUAUUUUCACAUAAAAAAUAGUACUAAACAAGGUUUUUAAUUUUUAUUUUUAAAAAUAGUUUUCAUUUUUUAAUUAAAUAUUUUUUCAAAAAGAAAAUAUAAAAAAUGUAAAUCAUAUUACCAUUUUUUUAGAAAGUAUUUUUUAAAAUAGUUUUGAACAUAAUUUUUCUUUAUUUAUAAUUUAAAAUAGAAAAUAAUGCUGAUUUUCAAUCAUUUAUAUAAAAAAAAUUGAAAACAAUGAAAAAUCCAAAUUGUUAAAAUAGAAUUAUUAUGGUUGCAUGAAUAGUGUGCAAUAAAGACUAAAAAAGCUUAUGUGAAAGGUCAUUAGGUAUUUUAGUCCAUCACUAUUUUAUAUCCUUAAAAGGUAAUAUAUAGAAAUUUGAAGGAUGUAUUAGUCUUUUAACACCUUAUAUCAUUUCCAUCAAUUAUAGAAGUUAUAUGGACCAAAUGUUAAUUUUUGGGCCCAGUUGGACUCAAAACACAAUUCUCCCAAAAAAAAAAAUCAAAAUUAACAUAAUGAUUUAAAAAUUAAAAAUUAUUUUAUUUUUAUUGUUCCUAAACAUAAUUUGAUAUCAAAUUUCCUAUCAAGAUUUGGAAAUGUUGACUAUAAUUUUGGAAAAAAAAAAAAUAUUUGCGAUCUGACAUGCUUAAGAGACAUUUUAAAAAAAAAAUUUGUAUAAAAUUAAUAUUGAAUUAAUUAGGCUUAACUUAUAAUAUGGUAUAAUUCAAGACAAAAUUCAUGUCAAAAUAUUACUAAAAAAACUUAUAAUAUGGUAUAAUUCAAGACAAAAUUCAUGUCAAAAUAUUAUUAAAAACUAUUUGCCACCAUUAUACGAUGUGGUUAAAUAUAAUAUUUUGUGAUGAAUAUAAACUUCAUCUUUAAAAAGUGGGGGAUUCUAAAUUAAAUAUUAGAAACUUGUUGUGAGAUUUUUGGAGUAUGGUUGAGAUCCAACACCUAGCCUAACUUAAAAAUCAAACUGAAAUUUUUUCAUUUUCUCCAUUGCAUGGUUGACAUAAGUGUGAGAACCUAAAUAUCCAUUUCAUCAUCGUUUAACAUUUUUAACCAAAUUCAUGUUCAGAAUAGGGGUAAAAUGGGCCUUAAUUUUAUUAGAACUAAAAGCUUCUUCAGAGAAUAGAAGUAGGUGGUGUUGACAUCACAAAUUAUAUGGAAUGUGAGUAAUUGCAAAUGAGGGUUCUAAGAAUUAUGGUUUAAAGUUAUUCUGACUCCCUUUUGGGCUUCUACUAUGAUCUCCAGAAGCCACAUAUGCUAGCUGCUAGAUCAUUAUUAAGUUUUUCGAGCCUUGGUAUCAGGGUUGAUUGAUUCCUUGAUAUAUGCUUACCAAUCACCAAGUACCACUCGGUUAGAAGAGGAUACUUGGCUAGUUUAGUCUGUUUUUAUUGUCUAGAAAAAAACUCCUAAUAUGGCCCAAGUGGGAAUGGCUUGACUUUGUUAGAGUAUGGACAUAUAUGUUCCUAUUUUUCUUAUUUUUAUUCUUAUUCUUAAUUUACCUUUGAACAUUUUUUUUGCUUUCAUAGCAUGCAAUAACAGUUUAUUUUCCAUAUUUUUUUGGGGGGACAUGUUAGGGUGAAUUCACAAUAUUCCAACAAACAUCAGAAUUUUUCUACCAUUUCUUUAUGUAAAAUUAAAUAGGUAAUAGCAACUAGCAGCAAUAAAUAAAUAAACUCAUGCAACGAAAAAUAAAUCAGACACCACCAUUUUUACGUAGAAAACCCCCCAAUGAGCACAUAUAGCCUUGGAUUAUAUAAUCUCUAUUGGAAAAAGAAACAAAGAAAAAUUGGAGAAAUAAUACCCAAAAAAAUGUCGUUACUGUUCACGGGCAGUAACACUAGUUCCCGAGCUUAAAAUCUUAUCUCCACUGUUCAUAUUGUAGCUACUCAAGGUUUGAACCUCUCUUCCAAAUUUCAACUCGAUCAAACCACAGAUGAAACGGGAUUGGCUUGUUGAUGAAAUCUAGGAAGAUGUGUUUUUUUUUUUUCCGAUCUUUUUUUUUUUUAAUGUAACUGACUUGGGCCCCAAGCAUAUGGGGCCCACUCCCUCACAUACGAGGGAACCCAACAAAUCUCCUCUCUCAACUAUGUGAAGGGCUCUACCAAGUCCGCUUGUUUUCGACAGAAUUAUAGCUUCUCUGUAGGUAUUGGUUUUAUCAUCAUAUCUGAUCCAUUUUCAUCAGUAUUGAUUUUCUCAAGGCAAAACAAUUUCAUCUCUAAUGCAUCGCGAAUCCAAUGAUAUCUCACAUCAAUGUGCUUGAAUCUAGAGUGAAAAGUUGGAUUAUUGCUGAGAUGAAUAACACUCUGACUAUCACAGUAGAGUAGAUACCUUUCUUGCUGUAAACCCAAUUCUUGUAGGAACUUCUUCAUCCACAGUAACGCCUUGCUAGCUUCAAUGAUAGCAAUAUACUCAGCCUCUGUGGUCGAUAAAACAACACAUUUCUGCAACCUUGAUUGUCAUGACACUACUCCCCCUAAAAAAGUGAUCAAAUAACCAAAAGUAGAAUUUCUGGAAUCAAUAUCCCCAACCAUAUCUGCAUUUGUGCAUCCUACAAGCACAGGUUUGUCAGUCCCAAAACAUAACAUGUCUUAGAAGUACCCCUUAGAUACUUGAGAAUCCAUUUCACUGCAACCUAGUGUUCUUUGCUAGGAUUAGAAAGGAACUUGUUGACAACUCCAACAACAUGAGCAAUAUUAGGCCUCAUGCACACCAUGUCAUACAUUAAGCUACCCAGGGCUGAUGCAUAGGGCGCCUUUCACAUUUAUUUUUUUUCUUUGUCACUUGAAGGACUUUGUUUGGACCUUAGCUUUAGAUGACUUCCAAGUGGAGAACUCACUGGUUUUGCCUUGCUGAUGUUGAACUUGUCUAAAACCUUCUCAAUAUAGCUUUCUUGAGAUAGCCACAAUUUUCUAUUCGUCCUAUCUCGAGAAAUCUUUAUACCAAGAAUCUAACUUGUAGACCCUAAGUUCUUCAUUUCAAAGGACUUGCUCAACUCCUUUUUCAGUUUAUUAAUUUUACUAGUAUCACGACUAACAAUCAACAUGUCAUCCACAUAUAGCAAGAGAAUAAUAAAUUCUCCAUUAAAGAAUUUCUUCACAAACACACAAUAGUUAGAAACAGAUCUAUCAUACCCAUGCUCAACCAUGAAGGAAUCAAACUUCUUGUACCACUAUCUCGGUGCUUGCUUGAGACCAUAUAAGCUCUUCUUUAGUCGACACAUUAAGUGUUCCUUGCCUCUGAUUGUAAACCCUUCUGGUUGCUACAUAUAUAUUUCCUCCUCUAAGUAACCAUGGAGGAAAACAGUCUUCACAUCAAGCCGUUCAAUCUUUAGAUUCAUACUGGCAGCCAAGCCUAACACAACUCAGAUCGAAGACAUCUUAACCCCGAGUGAGAAAAUCUCUUCAAAGUCAAUGUCUUUCUUUUGACUAAAACCCUUCACAACCAAUCUUGUCUUGUACCUUGGCUGUGAUCUGUUUGGUUCAAGCUUCCUUUUUAGUACUCAUUUAUUCUUCAAUGCUCUCUUACCCUUAGGAAACUCCAUCAAUUCAUAAGUGUUGUUCUUAUGCAAUGAUUUUAUCUCUUCAUGCAUAGCUCUCAACCACUCUUUUUUCUUAUCAUGCAACAGAACCUCUUGAUAACUUUCUGGCUCUCCCCCAUUAGAAAGCAACAAAUACUCAUCAUUAGUAUACCUUCUAGAAGGUUAACGCUCUCUAAUAGAUUUUCUUAACUAUGUUUUAGUAGGCAACUUUAAGUAGCUUGUUUUUGCUGCUAUUCUAAGCCAUCGUUCUCAACUGUAGGAUUUUCUUCUACAUCAUCCUGCUCUGAUAGAUUUGAACUGCUUGUCAGUUUGCCUCUCAACCUUCACAUGAAAACCUUUAAAUAUAUCAAGUACCUGGUCUUUGGAUUUCAAAGCAUAUGUCACACAUUUCUUGAAUGAUCAUCAAUAAAAGUCACAUAAUAAAGUGCACCACCAAGAGUAUUACUUUGCAUAGUACAAACAUCAGUGUGAACUAAAUCAAGAAUAUUUGGUUUUCUACAUGAAGAAAAUCUACGAAAUGCAACCCUACUUUGCUUUCUAGACAGACAAUGUGUACAAGGUAAUAGUGACGUACCUUUAACUGGUAGAAACUUCUUUCUGACAAGAACCUGAAGUCCCUUUUCACUUAUGUGAGCAAGCCGCUUAUGUCAUAGCUCAGUAGAGGCUUCAUUCUCAACAAUGUUCACUUCUCCCUUGACUAAUCUCACUUUUAUUUUAUAGAGAGUAUUGUUUUUCUUCCCCUUAGGUAAAACAAGAGAACCCUUAGUAAGCUUCCACUUACCCUCUCCAAGGUGAGUAUGGUAGCCCUCAUCAUCAAGCUUCCCAACAUAGAUCAAACUAAAGAGCAUUUCAGGAACAUGUCUGACAUCUUUCAGAACCAAUUUGCACCCAAUGUUAGUUUCUAGCUCUACAUCUCCUAUGCCAACAAUUUCACAUUUUGCUUCAUUUCCCAUCCCAUCCUAACCUAACCAAAACUGCCACUAGUGUAGAAAAAGAAGAAAUCUUUACGUGCAGUGAUAUGAAAUGAUGCUACUGUAUCAACCACCCAAGUGGAAUCGUAGCAUGCAAGGUUUACACACGCAUAAUCACAAACAAUGAUCGUAUCAACAUCAUAUGCAACUGCUGUAAUGUCUUUAUUCUCUUUCUAUUCUUCACAUUUUCCUUUAAACUAUUCUCUUCUGAAUUUUAUGCACUCUCUCUUAAUGUGUCAUGGCUUGUCACAGUAAAAACACUUUAUCUCUUUCCAAGACUUUGAUUUUCCUCUUGACUUGUACGGUUAUAAUCACUGGAAGGAUUUUUGCUUUUACUUUUCCCCCACCUUUCUAUAACAAGUGCUUCUAUAUUAGAGGAAAUACCUAACUCUUUUCUUCUUGCCUCUUCAGUAAACAUGUUGUCUUUUACCAUGUUGAUAGUUAUCACACCAUUUAGGGUUGAAUUACUCAAGGAUACCACCAAAGUUUCCCAACUGUCUUGUAAGGAACUCAACAAAAGUAAAGCUUGUACCUCAUCAUCUAGCUUAAGUUUCAUGGUAGACAACUCAUUCAACAAUCCCUGAAAAUUACUGAGAUGCUCUGCAAUACUAUUACCAUCCUUGUACUUUAAAUUGACAAGCCUUCUUAUCAUAAAGGCUUUAUUCUAUGCAGUCUUUCUCUCAUAAAGACUUUUUAAUUUAUGCCAAAGGCUAUAUGCAUCAACUUCCUUGGCUACAUGAUGGAAGACACUCUAAUCAACCCACUGCCUAAUAUGUCUAAUGGUUUUCCCAUUUAAUUUUUUUCCACUCAUCCUCAGUUGUAAUAACUGACUUAUAACCUCUACAUUUAAUGGGCUCAAACAACUCUUUGCAAUAUAGAAUAUCCUCCAUCCUAGUCUUCCAAAUUAAUUGGAAGUUGUGAGUUUAAUCAUUCCACUGCUAGCCUCCUCCAUUUAAUUAACACAAGAGAUCCCACUACUAAUCAACUUGGCUCUGAUACCACUUGUUAAGGUGAAUUCACAAUAUUCCAACAAACACUAGGAUUUUUCUACAAUUUCUUUGUGUAAAAUUAAAUAGGUAAUAGCAACUAGCAACAACAAAUAAAUAAACUCAUACAAUGAAAAAUAAAUCAGACAUCAUAAUUUUUAUGUGGAAAACCCUCCAAUGCGAAGGGAAAAACCACGGGACCUACUCUAGUUCAAACUUCCACUAUCAACAAUAAUAGGUUACAUCUGUUUUCUUUAGAAUAAUCUCUAGAGGCUACCAAAUACAUCAAGAGCACAUAUAGCCUUGGAUUAUAUAAUCUCUCUUGGCAAAAGAAACAAAGAAAAAUUGGAGAAAUAAUACCCAAAAAAAUAUUGUUACUAUUCACGGGCAGUAACACCAGUUCCCAAGCUCAAAAUAUGAUCUCACUGUUCAGAUUGUAGCUACUCAAGUUUCUAACCUCUCCUCCAAAUUUCAACUCGAUCACUACACAGAUGAAGCGAGAUCGGCUUGUUGAUGAAAACUGGGCAAAUGUGUUUUUUUUCUCUCUCCUCUCUUCUCUUCUCUUCUUUCUGUUUUUCUUUUUUUCGAUUUUUUUUUUUAAUGUAAUUGACUUAGCUAGUUUAGUAUGUUUUUAUUGUUUGGAAAAAAACUCCUAAUAUGGCCCAAGUGGGAAUGGCUUGACUUUGUUAGAGUAUGGACAUAUAUGUUCCUAUUUUUAUUAUUUUUAUUAUUUUUAUUCUUAUUUUACCUUUGAGCAUCUUUUUACUUUCAUAGCAUGCAAUAACAGUUUCUUUUCCAUAUUUUUUCUGGGGGACAUGAGCUCAGCAAAAGCACCGAAAUGUGGUGGCAGAGUAGCCUGUGGUAAGCAAAUUUCUUCUCUUUUCUUUUCUUUUUCUUUGUAGUGAGAGAGCGAUAAGGGUGAGGUGGGUUUUGGUUGGUACAUGAAAAUCAAAUCAUGCAUUUGGGUUUCGUUUCAUGCAAUUAAAAAUGAAAUAAGAUAAAUCACUUUGUUUCUUAUGCAAUUUUUGUUUGCAUUUAAAAAUUUUGAGAUACUAUAAUUAUUUCAAGUACGAGUGCUUUCCAAUAUUUAGUUUUUUUAUUCUAUUUUUUUCCUCCCCACCAUAGCAGACCAAGAACUUCUUUUCCAAAUUAUUAUGGAGAUAAAAUGGAAUGAUUGCACUAUUAUUUGUUCUUUAAAUGCACUUGUAAGAUAAAUUUUAUCUAUAAUGUUCUUUGGGAUCAUCAAAAGAUGCAUAUGGGCUAUCUAUUAGACUUCUACAUAUCUUGGGUUUUUAUCUUAUUCAUUUGUCUCUAAAGUUGUGUGUUCGUUUAUCUUUGUGUAGGGGUUAUCGGACUUCAAGGCUAAAAAACUAGCUCUACCGAUACUCAUGGUAAACACGUACAUGUAGUUGAAGAUGUUUGUUUUGUCAUGCAUGAGAGAACCCAAGACGAGACUCAAAAACUGGAAAGAAUAAAGGGAAGAGGUUGUCCUUUAUGGUGGGAUGUAUGAUGUUAUGAUCUUAAAUCUUUUGUGUUUUUUCCCGUUUAUAGCUAAAACUUCCUUUUGUUUUACAUGUCUCAUAGUGUUUUUGGUAGUUCUCUUAGCUUGGAUCUGGUAAGGAAUGAAUAAAAUAAAUUAAAGUAGAGAAAUAUUCAAUAUGCAUUGACAUUGAGAAUGAAAGUUUGGACAGUGUGUAUCAAAUAGGGAACAAAACUAUGAAUAUGAGGGUCCAAUGUGUUCAGAGUAAGCAAGAUAGCAAACCAUAGCUAUGUGGUAGCACCUUGGUUACUAGCCCUUCUAAUCAAUCUCAUCCGAUUUAGACUUAUUUAAGUGGUAUCAUUUGUUGAAAAUGUGUUGUGGGGUAUGUUGUUCUAUAUUAUUCUGAGUUUAAAGAUUUGUGAUUUUGGAUGGGGAUGGCAUUGAGAUUGCUCGAUAAUCCUCUGUUCAACUUUUUUUUUUUUAAUUUUGAUCUUCAUAGAAAUGUGAAAUCAAUAACCAUCUCUCUUUGGAAUGAAUCCCACAUUAUUUUGCAUUGGCAUAGGCAUAGGCAUACAACAUAGGCUAGUGAAUGUGUGUCGGUUUUAGGUAUGAGGUGUGAAACAUGAGCUGAUUGUGGAUGUUUGCAUUGCAUGAACUUUAUGGUUUAGGGAUUCAUAUUCUUUUAUUUAUAAUAACCCAAAUUUGUGAGAUGGGUUUGGGACAUGAGAGUCGAUCCACCCACCCUUUGGUUAAACACUUUUCUCUUUUCUUAUAAGAGGAAAAUAAAGGAUAUAAAUGAAAAAGGCUGCAUCUAGGGAUUGAACAAAAGAGAGCCUGAAGAUGGAGGUAAAGAAAGUAUAGGGCUAAGUGUGAUAGGAUCAUUAACAAAUGCAAUUUGAAUGAAUGAAAAUGUCUUGAGUGGUAUCACAUGUAUGCUUUGGAUGGUUCUUGGGUCCCGCUCUUACCACCAGAAAUCCUUGGAUUACCUAGUGUUGGCUAUCCUUGGAUUAUAAAAUAUCUCAUUUUUAUAAUAUAUUUUUAUUAUAAAAUUGAGUAAAUAAAAUAAAAAAUGAUUAAAAAUAUGAUAAAAUUAAAAAUAUAAAAAUUAAAUAUUUAUUUUUCAUUAUCAAUUUAUCAAUUUUUAAAAAAUAUUUCUCUCUUUUCUUUAUUUGAAUACAUCUUCAUUAUCAAUUUAUCAAUUUUUUAAAAUAUUUCCCUCUUUUGUUUAUUCGAAUGCAUCUCUUUCUAUAUCUAAUUGAUUUCUUAAGAGGAUUAAAUAAAUGUACAAAUGUGAAAUAUAGCUAGUGGUAAAAACUUCGUUCUUAAUACAAGCUCAUUGAUAUUCAAAACAUUAAAAUUAAAAAUAAGAUUAUUUUAUAGUCUCUAGCUUAAAUAUAACAUUUGUAUGUAUACAUCUUCUUUUUAAUAUCUUCAUUUUUUUCUCAUAAUCUAUUAUCUUAAUUUCUUUUCCUCACUUAACUUCUCUCUUUUAUUAUUUUUUAAUUUAAUUUUUUUAGUACUAAUGUUUUUAUUAGUUUUCUUUCAAUGUUAACCAAUUUUAGAAGUUUUACUUUAUGAAAUAGUGAUAAUGAGUUAUAAAAAUUAUUCGAGUUAAAGAUUUAAAUUACAAUCCUACUAAAUUUUAAUUUGUUUGUAAUUUUUAAAAAAUCUAAAUAGAGAAAAAGAUGUUGAAGAAGGAAAACAUAAACAAAAGAUACGAAUUAAUAGAGUGGUGAAUUUUUAUAUUUUAUUUUAUAUUUUCAUAUGGGAAUUUAAUAGUUUGUUUUUGUUAUUAGUUUUAAUCUUAUUUUUAAUAUUUCUUUAAUAAUAACUAAUAAAUUUUUUAUUUAAUUUUAUAAUGGAAAGAGAUAAAAAGAUGUAUUUUCGUAAGAAACAUUAGAUGGUUAAAGUAUGUAUCAAAUUAUUGUGUUAUUCCAAGAUUAGGGAUGUCAAGUUUUCAUUCUUUUUUGUUGAAUGACUUAAGUUUCAUAAUAACGUUGUUUAGAACUUGAGUUUUAAAAUAGCAAAUAUGAAAUAAGGUUCAUGAAUUUUUCACUUAAUGCAUGCAAAUUCUGGGUUACACUUGGGACAACAUAUGGUGUCCUUCUAACAUAAUGGUAGUACUAAAUCAUUCCUUAAUUUGAGAACAUGACUUACAAUGCUAAAGCCUGAUAAUAAUUAUGGUGUCAUCUAAAGCCUAAAUCAUUGGAUGAUCAAAUUGACAGGUUGUUAAUCCUAUUUAUUUAUUUAUUUUUCAAGUAAACUUUUCAUAACCCUUGAAAGGCUUGGAGGUUGCUUUAAAAUGCUAUCACUUUGGUUGCGUAAUUAGAGAUCAUAAUUAAGUAAGUUGCAAGUGAAUUUGAUUUACCUAACAAUUAAUAACCAACCAAACAUAAGUAGAUCAAUUGUUGCACAAUGAGCAUACAAGUGAAAGAGUCAUUUGGAUCAUGUUAUCUAAGGUCGAUUAUCCAAGAUGAGCAUUCCAUCCAAUUAGACUCAUUUCAUAAAUCAAGAGAUCUCUACUUGAAUGAUUGUAUUCAUGAGGCAUUCUUGAAUAUAUUUAACUAAAAUCAUGUCAAAGAUUCCUUUAUCAUAUUGUAGACCCCCUCUUUUGGCUUUUUUUAUUUAUUAUAUAUAUAUAUAUAUAUAUAUAGAUAUAUAUAUAUAUAUAUAUAUAUGUAUGUAUUUAUGUUGAGCCUUCCCACCACUUUUGGAGCUCGCGGAGGAAGGCGUUUGGAGUGGGGGACCGGCUCCUUGAAGCAUGAGCUGCUGAAGACGCAUGGCUGUGGAGGUGACCGUUGCCAUGGUGGUGGUUGGGGGGCUCCUAAGGAUGCUGAGCGAAGAAGCAGUGGAGUGGAUGAUAGCUUGGGAAAAAAGAUUAACAGAGGAGUUUUGACGGAAAAAGAGAGAGAUCUGGGGAAGGAGAGAUUGGUUUUUUUUUUCUGUGGGCUGGUCCAGAGAGAGCUGGCGAGAAAGAGGGAUAUUCCGGCAGCCGUUUGCUUGAGAGGAAGAGUAACCGAGAGAAAACAGAGGAGGGAGUGAGGCAUCUCCAGGUAGGUUUCUUAUAUUUUCCUAUAGUUCUUUUACUAUUCACUUUUCUCUGUUUAUUGUUGAGUAUCAUUUAGCUGUUUGUGCAUGAAUAUCAUAUGGCCAUUUUUUAUUUUUAUUUAUUUAUUUAUUUUUUUGUUUCGUUGUUGAUUUCCGAACAUCCAUUGGACUUGCCAUGAUUGUAUCUCAUUUGAUUUUUUUUUUCUACGUUUGUGUCGGGAGGAAUAAUAUGAAUAUGGUCAUCAGCUUAUUCCUCAUUCCAAUAUAUAUUAAACCCAUCAUUCACCAUUCGUACCCGUUCCUCAUAUUACCCAUAACUCUAUCCGAUAAGCCACUUUCCUUCUCAUCAUUCCCAUAUAUUCUACUACUUAACCCAUCACCGUACUCCAUUUUCGAAUCUCAUCCACAUGGCCAGCCCGCUACCCUGCUCCUACCUAUCUCAUCUCUAAACCCUCACCAUCUUUUCUCUCUCUACACCACAUAUCCUUCAUACCCAUAUUCUCACCACCAUACCUCAACCCCUUAACACCCACUUCCCACACCAUGCACGACCACCCCUAGAUUCCUCCAAAACCUCCAUUAAAAUCCCGAAGUCACCUACCCAUAUGCAUGCAUGGCCAUCCUCCACGGGCGCUCUUUCAUCUCGUAAUUCUCCAAUCCUUCGCUUCUUCUUCCUUCCACGGCUUCGAGAUGGCAGGCGGUGGAGUUUUUAUGACGUACAACAAAGGCGCUAUCACUGAGACCAAGAAAUCACAUUUCUCUGUCAAGGUGAAUCUGGACCGAAUGCUGCGCGGCGACCAUUAUCGUAGACGUUGCCGCCGCCAAGCUAGCGCGCCUCGAGGAGGAGGCCGGGGCCCGUGCCGUCAUGGCUCUAGGGCGGGUCUCUGCCAGCAUCUGCGCCCAAGGCGACGCCGCUCGAAUGAGCAACCCGAGCCUCAUCAAAGAGGUCGGACAGGCGGUGGCUGUUCCGAUGAUGACCAAGGCUUGUAAUGGCCAUUUCAUGGAAGCUGGUUUGAAGUGAUACAAUACCUCCAGGCAAGAAAAGUGAGAGAGAGCCUAGGAUGCAGCCCAAUGAAAUGCUAGUUGGGCUUCCUACCAUGCACCCCUAAGGUGCCUAAGGCCCAUGAGCAUCCCCUUAAGUUUUUCUCCCACCUUAGGCCUAUUCCCAAAGGCCACAUUUGUGUGGCCAUUAUAUUUGGUGCAUCCAAAAGCCCUCAGACUUUAAAAAUUCAAUUUAUGAAAAAUCCCUCAUAUAAAUAAUCCAACUCUACCGAUUUUCGCCUUUAAAUAAUUCUACAAAAAAUCUCAAUUUUCCAAAUUUGGUUUCUAAUCUCCGGAAUUUGUAUGGCCUUGUUUAUUUGAUCUUCAAUAUUUUAUUAUUCAUUUAUUUAUUUGUUUAUUUUUAAAAUUCAAUCUCUAAAUAACUCUUCAAAAUUCCAAUUCCUAAAUUUAAAUUUCAAUUUCCAUAAUUUUAAUUCUCACAUUAAUUUAUUUAAUCAUUAGUAUUUUAUUUAUUUAUUUUAAAACUCCAUUUUAAAUCAAUUCCUUAAAACUUUCGAUUUCCGAAUUAAAUUUCUUUUUCCGAAAAUUCCAAUAUUCACAUUAAUUGAUUUAACCAUUAGUACUUUAUUUAUUUAUUUUAAACUCCAUUUUAAAUCAAUUCUUUAAAACUUCCGAUUUUCGAAUUAAAUUUCUAUUUCCGAAAAUUUCAAUAUUCUCAUUAAUUUAUUUAAUCAUUAGUAUUUUAUUUAUUUAUUUUAAAACUCCAUUUUAAAUCAAUUCUUUAAAACUUCCGAUUUCCAAAUCAAAUUUAUAUUUCCGAAAAUUCCAAUAUUCACAUUAAUUUAUUUAAUCAUUAGUAUUUUAUUUAUUUAUUUUAAAACUCUAUUUUAAACCAAUUCUUUAAAACUUCUGAUUUUCGAAUUAAAUUUCUAAUCCCGAAAAUUCUCAUAUUCACAUUAAUUUAUUUAAUCAUUAGUAUUUUAUUUAUUUAUUUUAAAACUCCAUUUUAAAUUAAUUCUUUAAAACUUCUGAUUUUCGAAUUAAAUUUCUAAUCUCGAAAAUUCCCAUAUUCACAUUAAUUUAUUUUAUCAUUAUUAUUUUAUUUAUUUUAAAAUUCUAUUUUAAACAAUUCUUCAAAAUUUCCAACUUCCGAAUUAAAUUCCUAAUCCUGAAAAUUUCAAUAUUCAAAUUAAUUUAUUUAAUCAUUAUUAUUUUAUUUAUUUGUUUUCAAAUUCUAUUUUAAACAAUUCUUUAAAAUUUCCGACUUCCGAAUUUAAUUUUCAAUUUAAAAAAUUUCAAUAUUUACGUACAUUUUUUUUCCCAAAACCCCAAUUUCUGUACUUAAUUUCCGAACUCCAAAAUUCUAAUUUCCUUCAAAUUUAACCCCCAAAAUUCCAAUCCUUAAAUUUAAUUCCCAAUACUCUAAUUUUCAAAUAAAUUUCAAAAAUCAAGUUUCCUCUCGAACCGUUUUAUUUCCAAUCUGGUUCUCAAAUAAACCUUCUGUUCUUCUUGGUUUUACAUAAGCAUUAAUGUGAUUCUCGCAAUUCCAAAAUAAUGGAAUUUGUGAGACUAAUUCGUGUAAGAUAGAUUAGGCUUUAGUGGGGGACCCACAUUAUUAAAUGUUUCCUUUGGGAGUCCAUUUGGUUGUAUUGUGUUAUAUGAUGAUUUUGUAUUCAAUUUAGUGGCACUUGAGCUAUGUUUUGUAUUCAUUAAUUAUGCACUAACCCCAUUGUUUGAUAGCGCAUUGUGGCUCGUUGCCCAGGUACGCAUCCACUCCUCUUCUAGUCAUUCUCUAUGCAUGUUCCGAUUCCCAUAUGUGCAUGAUCGAUUUGAGUAUCCAUUGAUUUUCUUAUUGAUUGCCACAUCAGCUUCAUUUUAUUAGUAGAGACCCGACUUUAGGGACUUAGAGGGGUACUAUAGUCCUUACCGUACCUUCCCAAUAAGCAACCUGACUCCCAAACCCGAUCCGGUUUUUCACAGAACACCUUUUUCAAAAUAAGGAGUUACACUUAAGGUUUUUUUUUCUUAUUUUGUUUUUCCCUUCAAAAAUAAAACAAAAAUAAGUGCGACUCCAAGUCAGUUUUUAAUUAAUAAAAAUCAUUUUCAAAUGAAAAUUGAGCUCGCCAUCGAGUAGAAACGCAUGAGCAGAAAUAUGGGGUCCACACAUAUGUAUUUCAUAAUUUAUGAAAUCUCAACACACGCAAUACAAGAAGUUGAAUGCUCAUAAAUUAAAACUUUCAUCAUUGUGCAAGACCACAUACUUAACAAACACAUUUUGUUAGCGAUAUAACAAUGAACAUAACAAAAUGCAUAUGAAAAUCUAGCAUGUGUUUGAAAAAAUAAACUAUCUCAAAUAAAGGAAAUGAUUGAAGGAAACAUCAUUGACAAUUUCUCAAACAUCAUUAACAAUUUCUUUUUCAAAGACCGUAUCUGCAUUUCAUCUCAAAUAGAGCAAAUCAUAAAGUAAAUCCGGUGUACCUAAAAAAAUGAAAAUAAUAAGAACAAAUAAGAAUGAUACCAUUUCAAUAUAAAUAAAGGAAAAUAUAAACCAAAUCUAGUAAACCUAAAAAAAUGAAAAUGAUAAGAACAAAAGAAAAUGAUACCAUUUCAAUAUAAAUAAGGUAAAACUUAGCAAUAAUGUUUGUAGAAUAUAUCACAAAGAAGAAAAAAAAAACACCAUAUUCUUGCUUCUAGAUAAAAGGAUGAUUUCUACCUCCAUCCUAUUAAUAUUUAAUGUUUUUUAAAAUUAAAAUUUCUUUAAUCUUGUUUUUCAAUUCCUUUAUAUUUUAUUCAUUAUUAAUUUUUUAUAUUAUUUGAAAAUAAAAUUUUAAUUAAUGAAAUUUAUUAUUACAUGUUAAUAGUAAGCAUACAAAAUAUUAUUCUUUUUUUAGUAUUCAUCUUGAAAGUUAUGCUUAUCAUAAAUUUAUAUUAUAUCAUUUGCAUGUUAUACUAAUUUAAAUUACCAAAGGUUUUUUCAUUGUAAAAAGGUGUAUUAUUUAGUUAAAUCAGAUUAAAAGAAAGGAAGUUAAUUAUUAUGAAUGUAAAGAGAUAGAAUAUUCACAAUUUUUUUAAUCUAUUACAUAUAAAUUCUAUAAUUUUUUUUUUCAAAUAAGGAUGAUUUGAUUGUAUUUUGGAAGAAUGAUAAUUAAUCUCUUAUAUGAAAUAUAUUUAAAAUCAAAUUAAUUUUAAAAUUUAAUAAUUUUUUAUUAAACAUCAAUACAAUCUUCAUACUUUUUUAUUUUAUUUUUAUAGAAUAUUUUUGUCAAUAAUUCCAAAAAAUAGUAUAAGGAGAAAUAAAAAGUAUGAGAGAGAAAAAUAAAAAGUAUGGGAAAAAACUAACAUUUUUCACGAAAGAGCACUACAUUUUCCCCAGGUCUUCCAUUCUACAAUAAGUGAUAUAUAACUCUUUGAGGUAUUGAAUAUUCAUGAGUGUCACAAGAAAGGAAAAAUGUUUCAUGCUAUGAUUCCCAUCUUUGAUCCAUCUUAGUCUAGGUAGGUUCUCCAUCUUCAAGGUUUCUAACUUUGGGAGGAUCUCGACAUUUCCAUCAAUUUCUUGAAGAAUAAUCACAAGUUCUAGGAGUUCACAAUAUUGCACAUCUAUCUCUUUUAAAUUCUAGAAGUUGUGUAUCAAAUGAGGUGGGACAAGAUUGAGUAGACAUGACAGUUGUACACCCUUAAGAUAUGUAGAUCGGAGAAGGAUUCAAAUGGAAGUUAAUGAUGCUAUAUAUCCUUCAACUUGGGCAGAUUUUUGAGUGUCAACUCCUCUAACUUAGGGAAUGAAACCUAUAACAUGAUACAUGAAAUCAUCAAUUAGAAAGUUAUAAUAAAUAUAAAUAUAUUCCUUAAAUAUAAUUCAUCAACUUGGGAUUAUUCACAUGUAUACUUUAAUUAUGUUUUAAAAAAUGAAACAAAAAUGAUUCUCAUGCCACAAAUGAUUUUUAUUCAUAUCAAUAAUUUAUUAUUUUAAAUCAUAUACACUCUUUUAUUUUCUCCCAUUAAUAAAUUCUUGUGAAUGCCUUCUUUAAAUUUCCUUUUUCUUUUAAAAGAUUUUGAUGAUUUCACUCUUAAAUUUAUUUUAUAUUUAUUCCUAUAAACCUAACUUUUUUCUUAUUUAAAGUAAAAUAUUACUUAUAGUUUUUCCUUAUUUUUAUACUCAUUUCUAUUGAUAUUUAAUGUGUUUAAAAUUAAAAUUUCCUUUAACCUUAUUUAUUUUUCAACUCCUUCAUAUUCUAUAUAUUAUUCAUUAUUUUUAUAUUAUUUAAAAUGAAAUGUUUAAAUAAUUUUAACAUGGUGCAAAAAAAAUAAAAUUAAAACCAAUGAAAUUGGCUAAUAAGCUUUAACAUACCUUAUGACUGAAAAAUGAGUCUUCCGACCUUGCAUUUGUACUCAAAGAUGUGGAAGAUGUUGUUUCUAACUCACAACUAAAGUUGAUGAGUUGUGGUAGAUCCUGGAGUUUCAAGGAUCGCAAUUUUGGGAAUAGUUGCAAGUUGGUCCCAACAUGUCCAUCUUUUAUUUCUAACUCCUUUUCAUAUGCGAUUAUUUGUUGCAUGGCAUUGCAAUCUUCUAUUGUCAUUUCUUCAAGUUGGGAAAGGCCUCUAGCCAUGGAAAGCAGAAGGAGAAAUUUCAAUUUAGGACAUGAAUCCACAUUUAGAGUUUUAAGUUACCAAAAGACCCUAUCGGAAUUGGGCCAUGCCAUACUUCCUCCAAGUUAUUCAAACUGUCAAGAACCAACGACUCCAAUAGAGGAAAGACACCAUGUUGCAAAAACCAUUGAUUCUUUGAAUCAAUGAUAUAUUGAAUCUCGGGACUACUACUAACUUGGAGAUGCUUCAAUUCAAGAAAACUCUCCCCAUCUAAUGGGUAAAGAACAUAUUUAGUACCAUUUAAUUUCCCAAACUCUAUUUCUUCACUUCUCUCCAACAACUUGCUAAUUCCAUCCCCCAAAUGUAAGCUUCUAUUGACAUUCUCAAGCUUCAAUGCACUUUUGGUUCCAUAAUCUCUUCUAAACUCCCACAAAUCACCUACAAAUAUUGCAUAUCUUGUCAACUUCUUCAAUAGAAUGUCUUUUGGUAGCAACUUGGCAUCUGAUAUAUAUAUAUAUAUCUAAAGUUGUCAAAUGAGACAAAUGAUUUAGCUCGGAUAAGCAAGCAUUGCAUUCACCUUCAACCACCCAUUGAGUAAAGAUAGAUUUCAUGUACAAACAUUCUAAUCGAGACAAACUUGAUAAGAUAUUUCAUGGAAUUACUUCAAGCUUCUCACAAUCGUUCAAAUCUAACAGUCUUAGAUUGGUCAAUUGCAUCAUUUCUUUAGGCAAUCGUUGGAUUGUAGAAGCCACCAAGCUAAGAACUUCUAGUUUCGUUAGCUUUCCGAUUAGAGCAAUGUUUCCCAACUCGCACCCAUCUAGACGCAAUGUUCGAAGAUUUGCAAGGGAAUCAAGUGAUGAAGGUAGUGUUGUAAAAUGCAUAUCGGACAAAUCCAAAACUUUGAGUUUUUUCAUCCCUUCGAAAAAUGUGUUCAGGAUAUUCAAGGGAGGAUUGUUGUUCUGCAAUAGAAAAAAUUGAAGUUCCGGCCAUACUAACCCUUGAGGAAGGUCAUGCACAACUUUGCAAUGCAAAGAGAUGAAAGUGCACCUUUUGGAUUCACCAGUCUCUGACCAUUUUUCCAAUCCAACAUCCUUUCUAACUACAAAUGGAUGAGGAUCCUUCGAUGCAAUUGCUCUGGCAACUUCACGAACAAAUUUGUGCGCCCAUGUCUUUGCAUAAUAGGUCUCCAUCUCUCGAAGCCAACACUAUUUUGCAUUGCAUCCAAAUAUCAUCUUUAGAAAGAAUUCCGACUUGCUCCAAAUCAACUUCGGUCUGAAUAUCAUCUACGAUAAUAAGGAUCUGCCCUUUUUCCAUCAGUAUUUGCUUCAGUUCAUCCGCUUGAAUGAAUUCAUCCGCUUCACUGAAUUCGGUUUCCAGAAACCUUAAAAAUAUUCCACCUUUGAUGAAAAAAUAUGAAGAUAUGGCUCAACUUUAGCUUCGUUGAAGGUUUUUGGAAGAUUGCGAUCGGGUUUAGGUGGUUAGCUUGUGAAGAGAGACACUAGGGUUAGGCCAAAAUGAGACGAAAUGAGAGGAAGUGACAGAGAGUUAUGAAAAUGCAGAGCAAACGAGCCAUGAAAAUGCAAAUCGGGUUAGGGCAAAAUGAGAGGAAGUGACAGAGAGUUUCCCCAAAUUUCAAAGUUUAUCGGGUCGGGUGUUCUGUGGGUUUUGGAAAUUUGAUAACUUUUAAGUUUUUGAAUUUCGCGUUUAUUAAAGGCACAACUCCCGGGUGAUGGUUGCUGACAGGGAUGCAUGGAAGGGUAAUUUCGGAAAUGCAAUUAUAAACAGUAUAUAGUGCAUGAAAAGGAAAAUUUUUCUUGAAAUAGUGGACAUAUCUUGGGUUAUGAAAACUUGGGUUUUGAAAACAAUAUUAUUGGGAAAUGGGCCUCCCGAAACACAACUUUCCCUAUUUUCAAUGUGCAUUUUAAAAAUAUAUAUAUAUAUUUUAAAAAAUAUUAUAAUUUUAAUAAAAAAUCCUCAUUUCUUCUCUAUUUUUUGUUUCCUUCCUCUUCCUCCAAUUUCCUCCACAUUUUUUGCUUUUUUUUUUUUGUUAAUAUCAAUGCAAGUAAAAAAAAUUCAAAAAAAAAAAGUUUUAAUUCACUAAUAUAAAAAUAUAUAUAAAAAAAACUUCAAAAAUUUUAAAUUAGUAUUAUCUUCAUAUAUUUAAAAAUAAUUAAAAAUACAUAUAAUUUUUAAUCAAUCAUCUAAUUAUUCCCUAAAAUGUCUUUUUUAUUUAUUAUGUCACCAACAUCAAUUGACAACUAAACUCCUUCACAUUAAUAUUUUCCUUUAUUUUAUUAUUAUUAUUAUUAUUUGAGAUUUUUUUUCACUACUCCUAAUGUUUACACUAUUCAAACUACCUCACUUUUGUUAUGAGAUAUUUCUUCGUGAAGAAAAAUACUCAAAUAAUAAUAAGCUAACAAUAAUAAUUGUCAACUAAUAUUGAUGACUUGGUAAAAGGGGUAUUUAAAAAAAUAAUUAGAUGACUUAUUAAAAUGUAUAUAUAUUUCAAAUUAUUUUUAAUUCCUCAGUAGCUCAGUGGUAGAACAAUCGACUGUUAACUGACCGGUCGUAGGUUUGAAUCCUACUUUCUAUUGUUAAAGUGGAGAACUGAACCAAGAAUUAUUUUUAUGAUUAUAAUAUUGAUUUAAAAAAUUUAAGUCAUUUUUUUUCAUAUAUUUUUAUAUUAGUGAGUUAAAACCCACUAUCCUAAAAAAUUCUCUGGUUAUAAAAUACAAAACUAUAAUCUGUUGUGAAAUUUAAACCCAUACUCGAUAUCUCCCAAACAGUAGAAUUGUUCGAGUGAUAAUUUAACAUCUUGUGGACCUUGCAUUUCGGCUCAUGCGCUUCCACUCGAUGGCGAGCUCGAUUUUUAUUUUAAAAUUGAUUUUUAUUUAUUAGAAAAUGACUUGGAGUUGCCACUUAUUUUUGUUUUAUUUUUAAAAAGAUAAAUAAAAUAAGAAAGAAAACCCUAAGUGUGACUCCAUAUUUUGGAAAAUGUGGUCUGUGAAAAACAGGAUCGGGCUUGAGGGUUAGGUUACUUAUUGGGAAGGUACGGUAAGGACCAUAGCACUCCUCUAAAUCCCUAAAGUCGGGUCUCUACUAAUAAAAUGAAACUAAUGUGGCAAUCAAUAAGAAAUUCAAUGGAUACUCAAAUCGGUCAUGCACAUAUGAGAAUCAAAACAUGCAUAGAAAAUGACUAGAAUAUGAGUGAAUGCAUACCUGGGCCGCGAGCCACAAUGCUCUAUCAAGAAAUGGAAUUAGUGCACAAUUAAUGAAUACUGAAUACAAGUCGCAUGUCACUAAACAGAAUACAAAAUCAUCAAUGGCACACAUGGUACUUCAUUCAAAUUCAUUUUUUAUUUUAAGGACAAUUUAUUUGAUGUUGGGCCCCACCAAAGCCCAAUUCAUUUUCACAUGAAUCAAUUCCUUAAGUUUCAUCACUUGAAAAUACGGAAUUUGAUUUUUGCUUAUUUUAAAACAUUUUAAAAAACAGAGGAGGUAUGAAAAUUGCUUGCCAUAAGGAAAUAUGGCAACAAAAUUUUAUUGAAAAUGAGAUUUUUGGGACCUAAAAAAACUGAGGAUGAAAAAUUGAAAAGUUGGGAUUAUUUAAACACUAAAACCCGAAAAUUUAUUUGAAGAAAAGGAUUUGGAAAAUUUUUUAGUUUUUCAACAAAUAAAAAAAGAUAAAUUGGAGUGGUGGCACGUGGUCCAGAAAUGAGCCAUGCAUAAGGUGGCCAUGCAAUGGGAUGGGGUGUUUGAAUAGUCACUUGAUCAAACAAUGGCAUUGUGAAGCUCUGCUAGCCAUUGGGAUCCCAGUCAAAUAAUGAUCUUGAUCUUGAUACCAGGGACGUCCUAUCUGAAGAGAAUAUGUCUAUCAACUGAGUCUCCAUGAUUCUCAAUAGAUUGACCAAAUGAGAUCAAGUAUUCACCUUUAGACUUCAUUGAGUUGGCAUGUUGAAUAUAGAGCUCCCCACUCAUAAUGUCCCCCCGCUUCUUUUCACUUCACUUUCCACAACAAAACUCAGAACACUGUAGUAGACCAUCUGAACAGCGAGUCCUCUAAGAAGCUUGGAUCCCAGUGACUCUGCUCUUUUAUGAACCAUCGAAGUCAACUUGCUGAGGUCUAAAUUCAGCUGGUCAAGGAACCUCAGGCACCAAAUCAUAGCCGCGAAGGCCAAGGGUUUCAAGUGGAGAUAAAUAUGGUCUUUUAGAGUCCUUUCACCACGACCUUCCUGGAUUUCCAAUGUCAUAGGUCUUGAAACAACUCCUCUUGAUGCAAGAUCCUUCGCUAUAAGGACAUAUCAUUCCAUAAACCAUUCACCUUUACUAUUCCUCAGGAUACCAACCUCACCACGGGAUCCCUCAGUAAUAAGGCAUCCAGUGCCAUAUAUUCUGGUUGAGCGAAACUACACAAAUUCGAGAUCCUGGAGAGGGAGCCCAGCACGUGCAACCAUGACAUCACCAUCUCCAAUGCAUGCAUGGACUGAGGUUGUAGAGAAAUAUGCUCUGCCAUGACCCCUGUGGCUAGAAUUGUUGACACAACUUGGAACCUAUGUAAUAUCCCAUCCUUCAUAUUUAAUGCAAUUACACCUUGGCAUGCACUCUCGUUAACCAUUGAAAGAUCCAAUGUGAAGUUCUGCUUUUGGCAUCUCCUCACAUAUGUACUGCAUAACAUCCUAGUCACCUAACUAGUCAAUUCCUUUGAACUUGAGGAUCUUGUCCUCUAAAAGAAGACCUUCCAUGCCCAUGACUUCGCUUUAGAGACCCUACAGCUUCAAUAGGAGAUCGACCUAAAGAUGUUGAUCCCAUGUCGUCACCUCCAUCAUAUUCCAUAGAGUUUUCAAAAACCCUAACAAUACUCAUCUAUAAUGGAGGACAACCAUGCAGCGUCAGCAAACAACAAAGGCCAUUGCACCUAAAACCAGAUCCUUGGAACAAGAGGAUUUGACGAGCAUCAUGAUCCAUACUCGUGUCAAUAUAACAGAUUUGGAGUUCUUCACCCACUCCAACUUCACGGUGAGCUUUCAAUCUUACAUUCAUAUUAUCUACCCAUGCGAUACGCACAUUCGGAUCCAUGAGAGAUGGGAUUGGUUCAGUGCAUUAAUAUACCAUUGCUCGGUCAGAAAUGCCAUGCAUUCAUUUAUGUUAGUAUUCUUUCAAGCAAACCCUUGAACUCGGAUUGGACCCAUGUUAAGCAAUGGAUGGGAUUUUGUGGGAAAGAAUGCACCAUGACGUGGGGCUUGUCUCUCAGGUGGGUUUUUGGAAGAUGGAAAUACAUGGGAGAUAUGGGGGACGGCUAUAAGUGCAUACAUGAUGGGAAUGAAUGUGAGAGGUGGUGAAAUGAAGAUAGCUAUGUAUAUGGAAUGGGUAUAAAUGGGUUAGUAGGUACGAAGCAAAUGGGUUGAAUGAAGGGUAGGACGGAUGAAGUGGUGAGCAUGGAAUGGGUUUGAUGUGGCCAUGCAUGGCCAUGGAACAUGCAAAGGUGGGAAGAAAUGGAUUUAGCGGCAUUAAAAAAAAAUGGGUACAUGGUGCGGUGUAGAGAGAGAAAGGUAGUGGUGGGUAUGUGAGGGUGAUGAUAUGCAUGAGGGGAUAUGGGAUGAGAUGGGAUGAAGAAUGAAACAUGAGUAAUGGGUUUGGAAGGCACCUGGUGUAGAGAGAGAAGACAUGGUACGUAUGAUGUUGAAUGAGCUAGUGGGACGGAAUGAGUUUGGUGAUAGUGGGUAUGAAAAUGUAGAGAGAGAAAGGGUGGUAAGAAAACGGGUAUAUGCAUGAGAGCUAUGAGAAGAGUGAAGUAUGGCUAGGUACAGGAAUUCAGGCAUGUGGAAAUGAAGUUAGAUGGGUAGGGAAUGAAUGAUGGAUAAUGGGUAUGGGCGUGAAAGAUUUAAUGUGUGUGAAGGUUAGGUGAUGAGAUAGUGUGGCAAUGGGAGCGUGGGUGCGAUGAGGACCCUUGAGGGUGAUGAAAAAUGGUGCAUGGAGUUGGAUAUCCUGGGGUGGAAAUGCAUGGCAAAACGAGCAAGGGAGUGUCGUGAGGGGAAUAUACAUGAACUGCACGCAUGUGAGAGUCAGCACAACACCAUCCUUGGAUGGUAAAAGCCUCCAGACCAAGUUUGCAACAUUAACCGUACCAUUGACCCCACCUGGUGGAUAAUUGAGUGGAGCUUCACCAUUGGAUGCUACCAACUGUUUCAAACCUUUCCUAGUUGGAGAAAACUUCUGUCAUUGGAAUUCUUUCCUUCUGUUUAGAACCACCUUACUGAACCUGACAUCAGGAAUUCCAUCUUUAAAUUCUACCUCUCCCAAGGCAUCCUCCAAAUCCAUAGUAACACGCUGAAUAUUAGUUCCAGCUCUUAUAACGUCCAUUUCGAUCAACGCAUGAACAAAAGAACGGCCAAUCCCCGUUUACAAUAUGUACUAUGGAUGCAAGCAUGUCAAAUUGAUGUUUCUUUUCCAUCCAACAAAGCAAACCGAAAUCCAAAAACCCAAUUUGCCCAAAAAGUGUGUAACACAAAUUCCCAGGAUGUGGAUCAGCAUGCAAUAUGCAUGUAUCAAGGAGUUUAACUAGGGAUGCCUCCACUCAUUUGUUCACCAAACCAAGAAGUCGUCGUUUGGCAUCAAUUUGCUGCCUCUCUGAAUAUCCAGAGACAUGAGCAACUGAGUUUCCAACAAAUGCAGAAAUUAAAUCACUUGGAUUCUCACCUACCAUCCACUCCAUAGUUAGCACUCUCUUUCGACUUAGACGAUUUCCAAAGAAUAGAACCAAACUCAUAAUCCCAACCUUGUAAAGUAGGGCCUAAAUGGUGCAAUUCCAGCUAGCAUCUUUGACAACCAAUGACAAACAAGCAGGCUACCAGAACCAUGAAGUAAGCAGCAAACGCAACCAGACACUAUCCCCAAGAAAUAAUGAAACUAGGAAAUAAUUUGAGAACCGGAUACAGGGAGCUAAGAGAUUCCAGAAAAAAAAAACACAGAGCAUGCAUAAUCACAAUCUAAUUAACAUCCCUGCUUUAGUCUCCUUUGAUUACAUGUCAUUUCUUCCACAAAGCUUCCAUUCACUACCAUCAAACUGCCAUCCAAUACCACAAUGGUCCCAUCAACACUGUUGACUAUUCAGAGGCCAUUAAAUGAACCAAAAAACUGGAGAUUUCCAACAGCAAGAGCACCCUGAGGUUGAAUGGACUCAGAAUGACCCACUAAAAACUCUUAUAUAGCUUCUUCAGGCGGAGAUGANNNNNNNNNNNNNNNNNNNNNNNNNNNNNNNNNNNNNNNNNNNNNNNNNNNNNNNNNNNNNNNNNNNNNNNNNNNNNNNNNNNNNNNNNNNNNNNNNNNNUAAAAUCCCCAAUGCUCACAUUCUGACAUUAGAAUAAAUUAAAAAAAAAACUUUUAAUCCCAGAAAUUAUAAUAUAAUGAUAUGAAAGCAAAAUGAUCCAACUGAUAGAAACCAUACCUGUGUUAUUUCCCCCUCAGCAACACGCCUCCCAGAAAGAUGAACCUCUGUUCCCCAGGCCAAAACCUCUCCUCCAAAAAAAAAACUCUUCUUCCGGCAGCUUGUUCCCCAAGCUAAAACCUCCUUCCUCAAAAUAUCUUCCCAAACGGCAACGAAGAUACCACCCCAAAACUUGACCCCCUAAGCCAGAGGAUCCCCCACAGAAAAUAUCUCCCUCAAAAGUCAAAACAUAACCGAAGACGUUCCUCCCUUCAACUGCCUGCAGCAAAAAAAAACACCCUCUCUCUAAAUAUUCCUCCACGUGUCGACCUCUCAUUGGUCCUCAAAAAGCAUCAUCUGAUUCCCUAACAGCCAUCCCUGAAGCGACACGUGGCUUCUUGAGAGCCCUCCACCUGGUAAGAAAAAAAAAACCUGCAGAAAAGUGAUAAGAAAAAAAAUGAGCCCCUAAAAUGGGGGUCUACUCAUCUAUUCUCAUGCUUCAAUUCUAUGAACAAAAUGAAGUCUUUGCCCUAAAGAAAAAAAAUCUUAUACGCCCGAAUUUAAUAAAUAAAAUUGUAGACCCCCAUUUAGGGGCUCAUUUUUUCUCACUUUUUCUGCAGGUUUUUUUUCUUUGCAGCCACGUGCUGCCCUGAGAUUGGUUGUUGAAGAAUCAGAGUAGUGCUUUGGAGACCCAAUGGAAAGGCAACACGUGGCAAGAUGGAAUCUGCAAAAGCUGUAGGCCGUUGCAAGAGGAACGUCUUCUAGCCAGCUGCAGGAGAUUUUUGAGAGGGGGCUUUUCAUUGCCGGGUGGAGGAAAUAUUUUGGAGGUUUUUUUUUUCUUCUUCUUUUAGCUUGGAGAGCAAGCUAGAGUAGGGUGGGAUUCCAUUGCCGGUUGAGGGGGAUAUUUUGAGGGUCGUUGGAGAGAUAUUUUGAGGGAAAUGGAUCUCUCUGUGAGAGCAAGCUAGAGGGGGGGAGAAAGGAGUUCUUAACUUGAGAGUCAAGCAAGCUAGAGGGGGGAGAGAGGUCUUCAUUGCCAUUUUUGGGGGAUGAGAUUACUGGAUACUAGUUUUACAGAGGUAUUUUGGGAUAUUCUUUGAGCUUGCCGAUGAGAGCAGGAGGAUAUAUCAUUUUUUUUGGGUAGUUGAGUAAGAAAACGAGUAGGAAGGUGAGCAUCUCAGGAGCAAAACUUGGAAUCAGGCCCGUCUUGACUGGGAAAAGACUUCCUCAGGUAUGAUUGCUACAGACUUAUGGGUUCGUAUUUGGGUUGUUUGUCACUCUUCUACCUCUCUUAUUGACAUUUAAAUACUCAUUGAUUUGUUUGGGGUGGAUAAUGAAGGCCACAUGUUGUUUGUUAAGAUAAAAUCCUGCAUUCAUGUUUGCCCCUGCUGGUUUUGGUAUGUUAUGCUUCUAUUAUGAAAAUGCCCAUAGUUGUGUUUGAGAUAGAUUUUCUCACCUAAUAAGAGGGUUCACGGAUGACUCAUGAAGUGAAACCUCUAAGAAUCACCUUUACUUGUUUUCCUUUAUGUUAUAUUUUCAAUCCAUUCUUCUUUGUUGUGGUCAAUAUUUUGUUUAUGGGCCUCGUUCAAUGCAUUGGCUGUGAGAAGGUAAAUCCAGGUUUGGCUGUGUACUCCGUCAGAGAUCUAAUAUGGUGAAAAGGGACUAUGACUGGGUGGUGAAGUUCUAUUGUGAGGAUCAAAGGAGGCUCGGUUGGCUCAAUGACACCUCUCUGGGUUUAUAGGUAUCUUAUUUGUGUAUAGAAGAUAAGGUUCUGAUGAUAAAAUGUCUGGCUGGCCUGCAUUUCACUGGUCAACUGUCCAUUCCGGUCCUCCUCUGCAUGAUAUCGACAAGGAUGGUGUAAGGGAAAUAGCUUUGGCUACCUACAAUGGUGAAGUGCUUUUCUUCGGGGUCUCAGGUUAUAUGGUGAUUAAUAAGCUAGAGGUGCUUCGAAUGAGAGUUCAGAAAGAUUGGUACAUGGGUUUUAGAUCCAGAUCCAGUGGAUCGUUCUCAUCCAGAAGUUAAGAAUGACCAACUUGUUCAGGGAGCUGCUGAUAUGAAAUUAUUUUCCUAAAUGAAUGGAAGUACAUCUGGGUCAAGCACUUCUGUUCUCACAUCAGCAGAAAGUCACCUCGGCAUAGCGAAUGCAUCCAAUCUAAGAAAGGAAAACCAAUGGAAAUGAAACAGAGACAAACAUUAAGCUGCCAACAAGUACGCAUAAUUCUUCUUAGGAUAUUAGGUCUGUCAGGACCAAUAAUGCUGGGAAUGGGACAAACGCAGGAAGAAGGCUUCUUUGAAGGUAAUGAUUCAAAAUGGUAACAAGAGGGCCAUUCCCAAUCCAAAGACAAUAGUAGUGGGAAAGCUCAAGCUGUGAAUGUGCAAAUGAUGAGGUUUUGGAAGCGGAAAUUGAUUCGUCUUUUGAGCUAUUCUGUGAAGAUGAUGAGUUGGUUGAUGAGUAUAUUUAUGACUAUGAUGAUUAUGUUGAUGAAUCCAUGUGAGGAGAUGAGGGGUGGACUGAAGGGAAACAUGAGAAAAUGGUGGAUUAUGUGAGCAUUGGGUCGCAUAUCCUAUGUACCUCAGUCAUGGCAGACAUUGAUAAUGAUUGGGUAUCAGAAAUGGCUGUUGUUGUGUCCUAUUCCUUUGAUCAUGAGUACUAUGACAACCAAGAGCAUUCGAUGGAAACUCCGAGUGAUUAUUUGGGAGAAGCUAAUGCAAGGCCACCUAGCAGCGUCUCCUUUGACAAUUAUCUGAAUUUGCAAAGUGCCAGUCAAACCUGUCAGCUGCCAUUUCUUAUCCAUGUGACACGCAUGCGUUCUCUAGCUUUCCACCACAAGUCCUCAUCCUAUAAAUCAUCACUAUCCUUCAUACCCAUGCCCAUGUUCACCUUCAUUGGAAAUAGACCACCCUGUUCAUUCCACCAAUCCGUUACCUGUUUCCACCCAUACAUGGCUGUCCAAAACUCCUCAAAUUCAUCCACCCGCGCACAUGAGAACCAUGCAAACCUGGUCAUCUCUCUUAUACUCAUUUCUCAUUAAUCCCCACCAACCAGUCCACUAAUUUCAUGUCCAUAUACUCUACCAUUAAACUCAUUUCUUCUAUCACCUUAUCACCUUCCCAUUCAACCUUAAUGUUUCAACAAACUCAUCAUCUUUUCCAUAUCUAUCUUCAAUACUACCCAUACCCAUUCCAUCUCAUCAUCUUUCUCCCCUUCAUGCCAUCCAUUCCCUAUUCUCAUCUCAUAUUCCCCCUAUGCAUAUUAUCAAUCUCACAUACCCACUACUACUUUCUUUCUCUACACCACAAUCAUACCCACAAAUGUUCAUCACCACCCUCAUCCUCUCUCUAGAUUAUUACCCAUAUUCAGUAAACCUAUCCUCUCCCAAUAUAUUUGGUGUUCAUCUUCCCAUACUCUCCUCAAUAUAUUCUCUUUCUCAUUUCCUUCUCAAACACGUUGCAUGGCCAUGCACGACUCCACGUAACUGAGUUUUUUUUCCAGAGUUCAGUAAUAUGAAGUUCUCUUAAUGUCGUGGCGCCUUUCCAUGCUCACCAUCACGCCUGUCACCAUGCAUCAGCUAUCACACCUCCUGCAUGACAUACCCUUUUCCAUUGCACCGCGUACCCACCAUACCCACUAUCCACAGUUAGUCUCGCAUUCACCGGUCUCUACGUCCACAAAUUGAAGGAUUUGGCUAUUUGGUGGCUGGUUUUUAAGCGACUAUGCAUUUGGAUUGGGGUAUAUUCAGAUUUGGGCAUAACUUGGUAUCUGAUAUUGGGUCUAAUGGGAAAAACAUCGCUCCCUCCUGGGUUUCGGUUCUAUCAAAUGGAUAGACAGAUAUGGUAUAUAUCUUUGUCCUCAGUGCACCUAAGAAAUUGCGUGCUGGAAAGAAGAUGGAAGGGAUGUUUCUGCAUUCAAGGUCUUUUUGCUAGAGGAGUUACAAUGACCACAUGGAGAUUUUAUGGUUCUGAUGGGUAAGGAUACCAUGAUGAAGUGCUCCAUUAGGCUUCAUACACAGAAGACUUGAGAGAUUUUGGGACCUGGAAGUCCAUGGGAUAUAUAGUCAUGGCGCAAGUAGUCAUGUUCUAUGCAACUUCAGUGAUCUCCAGGUAGCAAGCGUUGACUGUCGCCAUCAUCACCUAAGAGAUCUGUGUUGACCCUCACUUUCCGGUUCAUCAGUGCCUUUAAUAUCUGAAGGUCAGUCAUUCAAAGUCGUGAGGUUGUAUGUCAAUUUCAGGAAGGAUAGAUUGAAGAUGAAAGUCUUUUUAUAGACAAAGAAGUCAGACUCUGUUGUGAAGAAAUUUUAUGAGGACACGUGCGCAAAGUUCCUGAAUCUUGGGGAAUUUUUGGACUUCAAGUUGUGCAUAAACGGUACUCUCACUCGGUAUUAUUUUGAGACCAGAGGCAUUAACUCAGAAAUGGUAUUGGAAAUUUUCUUGGUUAAAGGCUAAGUCAAGGACAAGUGACAGCUAUCCGGUAUUACGUGACAUCUGGGAUGAGACCUUUCUCUUAUGGACUUGUGGCUCUGUCUAAUCGAGAUGAUGGCUCAAUUUUUAUUCUCAAGAUGCCUAAUCUUACAAGAAUAAGGCCUCAUUGAGAAGCUUGCAGCUGUUUUUUUUUUUUUUUUUUUUUUCUGGUUACCUCAUUUUGCACUGAUUAUCACAUACCCUGCUUAGGGACUCGUACCCUGGACCCACUCUUCAAGCUCCUUGUUUACACGAUGUGUCACGUGCAUGGCUACCUUUGGGCCACGUGCUCUCUUGUCAUAUCUCCUUAUUCUUUGAUUUUUGAAAAUAAUUGCUCCAAAUCCCAUUUUGUUUUUUUUUAGGUUCUAGUUUUUAAAUAAUCCCAAUUUUCCAUCCUUCAUCCUUAGUAUUUUUCUUUAGGUUCCAAAGUCCUAUUUUCAAAAUUUUUGCUGCCACUUUUAUUUCUCGCAAGCAAUUUUCACAUUUUCUUUGAUUUUUGAAAUGUUUUGAAAUAAGCAUGAAUUUAAUUUUGUAAAUCCAAUUAAUGGAACUUAUGAAAUUAAUUCAUGCAAAAAUAAAUGGGCUUUGAUGGGAGCCCCAUAUCGGAAUUUUAAAAAUGAAAUUUGAAUGAAUUGAAGUGAGACACUUGAUGAUUUAUUACUCGAUUUGGUGGCGUGUGUGCUAUAUUUUAUAUCUAUUUGUUGCGCGCUAACCUGAUUACUUUUGAUAGCACAUUGUGGCUUGUGACCCAAGUACACAUCCAUUCCCAUUUUGGUCACUAUCUAUGAAUGUUCCGAUUCCCAUGUGUGCAUGAUAGAUUAGGGUAUCCAUUGAUUUUCUUAUUAAUUACCACAUCGGCUUCAUUUUAUUAGUAGAGACCCAACUUUAGGGACUUAGAGGGGUGUUACAGUCUUUAUUGUACCUUCCCGAUAAGUAACCUGACCCCCGAGCCCAGUCCGAUUUUUCACAAGCCGCAUUUUUCAAAAUAAGGAGUCGCACAUAGGGUUUUCUUUCUUAUUUUGUUUACCCUUUAAAAAUAAAACAAAAAUAAGUGGCGACUCCAAGUCAUUUUCUAAUAAAUAAAAAUCAUUUUUUUUUCAAAAUAACAAAUUGAGUUCACCAUCGAGUGGGAAACGCAUGAACCGAAAUGUGGGAUCCACAAAAAUAUAUGCAAUUUAGUAAAUAAAGUUGAUAUUUGAUUAAAAUAAAAAUAAUAAAAUUUAUAAUUUUCCUAAUUAAACUAAUAUCUUUUUUUUUUCACCGGUCUUCAUGUGUACUUUCUCAUACUCUUAACCAAAUAAUAAAUAUUAAAACUUGUAGUAUUUUUUUAACUUCUUUUUCAUCCUCACUUUGUGAAAUUAUUUCUCAAUCAAGGUUUAAAAUAUCUUAUAUAUUAUAUCCUCAAUACAUUCAAUAUUUGUGGAUCCUAAAAUUUAGGAAGAUAUAUUUAUCAAUUGAUUUUUUUUCGCAUUUCAAUCAAUAUUUUACUAAUAUUUUUGGAUAUUAUAUCAUAUUUCACCGAUUUUUUUAUUAAAUAAAUUAAUUCUAAUUAUUUUAUUUUUACAUUUGAUUUAAUUUAUUACCAAAAAUAUAAAAAUGUAAUUUUCGUAAUAGAUCUUUUUUAUAUAAUCUAUAUAUUUAUUAAAUAUAAAAAAUAUAAAUGUUAAAAGAAUUAUAUAUAUAUAUAUAUAUAUAUAUAUAUAUAUCCCAAUUGCUAUUUGCAACAUCAUUUUUACUAAUGCAACAUUUUACAUUCCUAAACUACCCUCCCUUAUUCCUUCCCCCCUCUCUCAUCUCUCCUCUCCAAUCUCACGUCCCAAUUGCACCCAUUUUUUAUUUUUUUUAUUUCCCAACCCUCACCCCACAUUUUAGCAUUAUUUUUCUUUUAUUUUUAUCUUCCAUUUAAUCUCUACCCACCCAACCCCCCACCCCUCAUGAACUUUGUUUUUUUUUCUUUUCAUUUCUUUUAUUUUUUCACACUCAUUGUUUUUCAUAUUCUUCUUUUAUUUUAAAACAAAAUAAUUUCUUUAAAUAAUAAAUUAUAAAAUGAUUUUUUCACCAAAAGUAUAUUGUGUAAAAUGAUUUUAUUAUAUUCAAUGUUUUAAUGUGAAAUUCAUAACUCAAUUUUUUUAAAUAAAAAUUAUUAUUAAAAUUUUAAAAUAAACAAUAUUUAAUUGGAAUGGUUUUUUAAAAAAUAUGUUUUUUUUUAUUAUAUUCAAUAUAAUUAUUAUAAGCAAAAAUUUAUGUCAUGAAAAAUUUUCUAACUAUUAUAAACGAAAAGUAAUUUAGUAACUAUUAUAAACAAUAAAAAAAAAUCGAUUUUUAUAAUUAUUAUAAGCAAAAAAUUUAGCCCAACCACUGCCGCCAAUGGUUGCCAACUUCCAUCCCUGCUCCAAACCCUAAUCGCCCUCGCCGCUGCCGCCUCCUAGGACGCCAGAGCCCCAUCCAGGUCGCCGGGUUUUUUUUUUUUUUUGAUAAAUGUAUAUAUUUCUUUAUAAAAAAAAACGAAAGUUAUAAAUUUUACCUGAAAAUUGUCAUCAGGUGAUUGAAUUUCGUUAUUCAUCGUAUUUCGUAUAUGAUUCGUAGUUUUAAUCAACUAGAAUUUUGGUUUAAUAUAUUUAGAGGAGGUUAGACAGAGUUCUUUAUUAAAAAUGGUAUAUGUGGAAAAAAUAUGACAAAAAAGUAUUACAUUUAGCAAAAGGGAUGUUGUGAAUAACAACCCCCUUAUUUAUUUGAUAUCAUUGACUACAUUUAAAUUAAAAUGAAUGAUAAUUUUAAUAUAAAUAUAUUUUAAAAUUAGACAUGUUAUCAUAUCAAUGUUUUUAAAUAACUUUAAAAUGUCUAUUUUUACUUAAUAUUCACCAAUAUAUCUCCAAUUAUAAUAUAUUCAAUAUAUCUAUAAAAUCGAAGUACAAAUGUGAUUACCAAUAUUUUCAUUAUUGAAUGCACUUGACAAAUUUAUCAAAAUAAAAGAAUUAAUUGGAUAAAAGGAUGAAAUAAUCUCAUAUUUGUGAAUUUAACCCCUCUCAUAUUGUUUUGAAGAGUAACUUAUUUUUUUAUAUAUAUAUAAAUACGCUUGAUUAUUUCAAGUAUUUACAUGUAUAUUUUAAAAUAAUUUAUAUAUAUAUAUAUAUAUAUAUAUAUAUAUAUAUAUAUAUAUAUAUAUAUAUAAUUAAGGAUAUUUUUGUCAAAAUGAGCCAAAAAUCAAUAAAGAAUUGGAUUUCCAAAAAUCAAUAAAGAAUGAGGCCAAAAAUAUCUGAUAUAUUAUAUCCUUGAUAUAUUCAAUAUUCAAUAUUCAUGGAUCCCAAAAUUUAGGAAGAUAUAUUUAUCAAGUGAUUUUUUUUUCGCCUUUCAAUCAAUAUUUUACUAAUAUUUUUGGAUAUUAUAUCAUAUUUCACCAAAUUUUUUAUUAUUUAAUUUAUUACUAAAAAUAUAAAAAUAUAAUUUUCUUAAUAGGUCUUUUUUAUAUAAUCUAUAUAUUUAUUAAAUAUAAAAAAUAUAAAUGUUAAAAUAAUUAUAUAUAAAUUAUUAAUUUGAUAUCAUUGAAUGCAUUUAAAUUAAAAUGGAUGAUAAUUUUAAUAUUAAUAUAUUUUAAAAUUAGACAUGUUAUCAUUGUAAAAUAAUAUAUAAUGCAAUUUGUUAGCCUAAGGGUUCUCCUAAUCAGGUUUUGAUGAUAACAAACCAUGGUUAAGUUAUUAAUUUGUUUGAAUUAUAAAGAAUUUAAGGUAUUAAUUCAAAAAUUCAUCAAAGGACUUAAUGGAUGCAAGAUCGAGACUUUUGGAAGACCUUUAAUUAUAGGAAACAUAUGUAAGAUGAAUGCAUGAGUGCACUUAUGAUUUACAUAUCAUUUCAUGCAUAUUUUAAAAACUCGAUUUAUGCUUUAAAGUUAUAUUUCCAUCAAAAUCCGAGAUCUAUCAAAUGAACCUUAAGCAAAACGUUUCAAAAUUGGCAUAUUAAUUUACCUAAAGACCUUGUCUAAGUGUUAUAAGAGAAAAUAAUAAAAAAAAAUGGUGAACCGAUCGAGGCACUGGCCAAACCGACUCAACCGAUUAGGGUACCGAUUGACCCGUUCCCUCUUCCUGGUCGAGGUUCAGUCGAGGAGUGCAAAAAACAUUUUCUCUCUUCCAAUAGCCUUUCCUUCCCGGUCGAGGUCCGAUCAAGAGUAAUGACCACCUACCAAGCAUUAAAUGCUCCAAUGACUAGUAAACUAGUCAACCCCUAACUAGACCGAUUGAGGCUCAUUUUUGGUUUUCUUGGCUCCUGAGGUUAGAAACUUAUAAAUAAAGAGUUCCACUUCAUUUAUGAGUAAGAGACACUUACAUUUAUUUGUCCACCCACUUGUUCUUGCCUUAAAAACUCUCAUUCCUUUAUUGGUGCAUUAAAUCUUCAUUUGCAUACUCUUUAGUGCACCUUUGUGAUUCAUCCUACCAUUGAGUUAUAUUUGAGCUAUUGUUGAGCUAAGUUGAGAUAUUCAUAUAUGUUAAUUGAGUGUUAAAGCUUUAAAGUGAGUUGAAACUUGAAGAGAUUGUGUAAGAGUACAUUAGGAUUGGAAUCCAAGCAUAAAGGUGAUUAGAAGCUUGGUUGAAGCUUCAAGUACAUAUGUGAUUAUCAAUAUUUUCAUCAUUAAAUGCAAUUGACAAAUUUAUCAAAAUAAAAGAUUUAAUUGGGUAAAAUGACGAAAUAAUCUCAUAUUUAUGAAUUUAAUUGCUCUCAUAUUGUUUUGAAGAGUAACUUAUUUUUUAUAUCAAUGCUCUUAAUUAUUUCAAGUAUUUACAUGUAUGUUUUAAAAGAAAAAAUUAUUUUUAUAUGUAUAAAAAAAAUUAAGGAUAUUUUUGUUAAAAUAAGGCCAACAAACAAUAAAGAAUUAGAUUUCUAAAAUUGGGUUUUCAAUAACUUUUUAAUUAAAUAACCCAAAAUAAAAUCAUAAAAUUUAUGAUUUUUAUUAAUUAAAUUAAUGCAUUAUUUUCCUUUUUCCAUUUUUAUGAAAGCAUUUAUUUUUUAGAUUCUUACAAAAAAAAAAUUAUAAAUGAUUUUAUCCAUUAUCCACCAAACAAUACCUUGUUUUGCCUUUCCUUAGUUUCUAUUUUUGAAAUUAUUCCAUUUAUGUUUUAAGAAAAUUAAAAAAAUUUAAAAACAAAAUACUAAAUUCCCUAUAUAAUUAAUUAAUUUCUUAAUUUUCUUUUAUUUUUUCCAUCUUGAUCAAAUAUUUUUUAGGGAGAAUUAUGUUUUGGGGGUAGAUGGACCUUCAAAUUAACAAAAGGUUCACGUAACUCUUCAAAUUGAGCCCAAGACCCAAUAAAAGUAUGAAAAUUGAGUUGAAGGAUAUCAUCCUUCAGUAUUUUCAAAAAUGUCAUUUGUUGAUUUUGAGAAAAAAAUUAAUAUUUUUGAAAAAUACUUUUAUUUAAUUUAAUAUUUUUUAUUUAAUUUAAUAUUUUUAAAAGAUACUUUUAUGUAAUUUAAUAUUUUUUAAAAAUAAAUUUAUUUUAUUUAAUAUUUUUUUUAAAUACUUUAAUUUAAUUUAAUAUUUUUGAAAAAAAAAAUUAAUUUAAUAUUUUUGAAAACUACUUUUAUUUAAUUUAGUUUUUUUGAAAAAAAAAUAAUUAAAAAAAAUUAUUUAACUUAAUUUUAUAAAAUAUUUUAUAUGUGUUCUUAAAGGGUAUAUUUGUCCGUUACUAUUUCAUAUCCUUCAACUCAAUUUGAUGAGUUAUAUGGACCUUUUGUUAAUUUGGGGGGCAAUCUACCCCCAAAAGAUAAUUCUCCCUAUUUUUUAGUCCAAAUUUUAAGAAAAAAAAAUUAUAACCAAUAAAAGGAUAAAACAAUAAAUCAAGGAUAUUCCAAGUUUCCUUUUUGCCUCCCUUUGGCCGGAAAUUAUUAAAUUCAAUUCAUUGCUUGUCUAUUUAUCCAUUUAAAAAAUAUUUCAAUUUUUUUUCUUUUAUAUGUUUUAUCUUUAAAAGUAGCAAACCUUCUACAUGUAUUUUUAAUUUUAUGAAGAAAAAAAAAAUUAUAUCCACCGUGUAAAUAUAUUAUUUCUAUUAAAAAUUAAUUAUUUUUAUUUUUAUUUAAAAAAAAAAAAUCAGAUUUUUUAUCUAAAUAGAAAAUAGGACAAUUAAGCAAAAGAUAGUGGUAGGUGAUAGGUGUGAUUCGAGAAAAGGUCAUUUAUCCAAACAGAAAAUAGGAAAAUUAAGCGCAAGAUAGUGGUAGGUGAGAAUAGAGACUAAAAUGAGCCGAUUCUUACCCUUACUCUUCACUUCUAUAAAUUGCUUCUUCGAUCCGAUUCAUGUAAAUUUUUUUUUGCUAGGUUUCAAUUUUUUGUAGCUGAUCUGUGAGUUUUGGGUUUGAUUUUGUGUUGAUCUGGUGUUUUGUCGAGGAUCGGUUUAUUUAUUUUAUUUAUUUAUUUAUUUUUUAUACACGAUGCUUUUAGAUUUUUGUGUUGUGUUCAUUUCUUAUGUGUAUAUAUUGUGAUUUUUAGUAUAGUUGACCAUAGAUGUUCGGAUUCUGUAGCUAGAUUGUGUUUCAUUUUUGUUAUGUGAAUUUGUGAAUAAAUGAUUUUUAGCAGAUCUCUUCAGUUCUGUUUGGAAAACUUUGAAUUUUUUUUCUUUUUUUCCCUCAUAAGGGAGGUUUUUUCUUUUCAAAAUUAUUUCUGCGUUUUGGUGAAUUUGAUGGGUAAUCUUAUUUGUUCCUAUGCCUUUUAGUGGUGGAAGUUAUACAUAUAUGUCAUUACUUCCUUCUAAUAUUGAAUUGCUUUGUGUAUUACAUGUUAUAGCGUGGCUAAAGGGUGUUUUUAUUUUUUAUAAUUUAGUUUAAUUUUUUAUAAUUUCGCUUCUUUUGUUGAAAUUUUGUGUGAGCUUCUCUUUCUUGGUAAAAUGCACUGAACCCUUUUUCUACAAAAAGGGGGAAAAAAAAAAGGAGAAGACCGAGGACAAAGAAAAGAAAGAAAACGAAGAAAAAGAAUAUUGUUGUCUGUGCAAGGUAUAGAACACCUCUGUUGUCUUUUAGGAACAUGACCGUGUCUUCAUUUAUGGAGAUUUUUGGGCCUCUGAGAAGAGUAAAAAAAAAUUAAAGUACUUGUCGCUUGCUUAUUUUAAUUAGGGAUUUUCUGGGAGAUUCUGUAGAAGCAGUGGUUUUUUUUUUUUUAACUUUUUUUUUUUCUGAAUGCAUUGUGCUAAAAUGGAGUUAAAAUUAUGUAGUAAUGCACUAAUUUGUAUCCCAUCUCUAAUGGGUAGAGUAGGAGGAUUAUAUUUUAAUUUGUGUAUGGACUAUACCUUUCCCUUGGUGGUAGCAAAUCAUUAUUUAUUCUAAAAUUAUUGGUAGGUGUUUUGCUUUCCAUUUAUUUUCUUUUGCUUUUAUCAUUGGAUUGAUUAUUGAUUUCAAUCCAAGCAUUUUAUAUGUAAAUGAAACCUCUUUAUCAGUUGCUAUAAUUUUAAAAAUAUUGUGGUUUCUCAUACAAUAGGGCGCUUUAAGUUUGUAUUUCUUACUAUUUUGUCUCUUAGAUCACAUAGAAAAUGGUGAAGGCUGUUGCCGUUCUUAACAGUAAUGAGGGUGUUUGUGGAACUAUCUAACUCGCUGAAGAAGGAGAUGGUAAUCAAGAAAUCUACCAAGUUUCUCUGGAUAAGUAAUGAAAUUUAGAUUGCUAUAUUUGCCUAUAAAUUCAUUAUUUUUUUCUCAAUUCUUUAGGUUCAACUACAGUGACUGGGAGUCUUUCUGGCCUUAAGCCUGGACUUCAUGGCUUCCAUGUGCAUGCCCUUGGGGACACAACAAAUGGUUGCAUGUCAACUGGUAUUGUCUAAUUAUUGGUUACUUUAUUUUUUACAUCCUUUGCCACUGGGUUAGACUUACACUCUUUAGAUUUCCUGCAUGUUUCUUUUUAGCUUAAGUAUUUAGAUUACUUAUUUAUUUAUUAUUUACAGGACCUCAUUUCAAUCCUGCUGGAAAAGAGCAUGGUGCUCCUGAAGACGAGAAUCGUCAUGCUGGUGAUUUAGGAAAUGUCAUUGUUGGUGAGGAUGGUAUGUACUAUGUACUUCAUUGUAAUUAACUAUUACUAGAAUACCAUUAGAAGCAUUAUUAUUGUUUGCCCGGCAUUGCUACUUUUUAGGCAAUCAUUUUUCUUAGAUCCUUGUAUAGAUAUCAAGCUAUGUGAUAUGAAUGGAAUAUCUGGACUGUAUAUCUAGUUCAGUUAUGUUAUUUGAACUUUCUUAGUCAUUAAGGUGUUUUCAUUUGAUUGUGUGCUUUUCAGGUACUGUUAAUUUCAAAAUUGUUGACAAGCAGGUAGGUUUUUUUUUUUACCACUUUGUCUUCUUUUUCUUUUUAUUCUUUUUACCAGCUAGGUUGAAAUUUGGUUCUUGUUAUCUAAAAAAUGUAUUUGUCUCUGUUUAAAGAUUCCUCUCACUGGAUCAAACUCCAUUGUUGAAAGGGUAAGCUGUAAAACUUCUAUCUAUGGAGCUUUUUUUUCAGGUGUUUCCAUUUUAUGCUACUGUUAUUCUAUGACCUGUGGAUUACUAAUGGAUAAGAAUGAACAGUCCAGUCCUAGCUUAUGACAAAUGUUAAUUUAUAUUUUGCUGGAACAUUAUUAAGUUCCAUCUUACAAAGUUUGGACAAACGUAUGUAUACUUAUUCCAUCAUUUUGUGCACAGUAAUUAUUUUUAUUCUUAUCAUGGGUGCUGUGCAGGAUGGCUAUUUUUAUUAAUCUGAUACAAGCUGUGCAAGAUGAAUUUUAGAGAAAAGAAAUGCUUUGAAAAUAGAAUCAAUUGUGUUUUACAAUUAUGCCUUUGUUGAGUCAAUAAGGAGGCAUUUGAAGUUACCUCAUUUUUACAAGGAAGUACUAAUAUACUACACUAAAUCGGGGGAUUCUAAGUUAAAUAUUAGAAACCCACAGGGAGAUUUUUGAAAUAUCGCUGAGAUCCAAGUCAUCCGACACCCAGCUUGCCUUAAAAAUCAAGCUGAAAAAUUUAGUUUAUCCAUUGCAUGGUUGACAUCUGUGUGAGAACUUAAAUAUCCAUCUCAUCCUCGCUUAACAUUGUUAACAAAGUUCAUGUUUGGAUUAGGGGUAAAAUGGGCCUUACUUUUAUUAGAACUGAAAGCUUCUUCACAAAAUAGAAGUAGGUUUUGUUGACAUCACAAAUUUUAUGUGAUGUGAGUGAUUGCAAAAGAGGGGUUCUAAUAGUUAUGGUUUAAAGUUAUUCUUGUUGAUGCCUCGCGUUCCUGACGAUCCACGUAGUUGCCAAAUGGAUGGAUGCGCGACCUCAACCAAAAUAGGUUAUUGAUUCAGUCGUUAUACCUGCAAAAAGGGCAUCCGGACAGGGUGUCCGAACGCACCCUCCGAUGGUUUUGUUAGCCAUGGUUAGGGAGAGGGAUAAAUCAGUUAGCCUUUUACUAGGUAUCAGAAGAUUACCUUCAUCUUCGUGUGAAGGUUUAUAUAUAGUGUCAGGGGUACUGUUCCUCUCAUUAAUGGUGAGGAGAUAUUUUGUGUUGUUAUGAUGACAUGAGGUGGCAGCAUGGUCAUCGCCACCCUACGGGCGGCUGUCAGAAACCGUGGUAGGUGAAGCGGCUGUCAGAGAUCGUGGGAAGUGAUCAUGUAGAAUGAUCGUGGGAAGUGACUUGUUGUCACCUCAACUCGUCCUUUCACUCUACAGGUGAUGGGACGUGGGCCAUGGCUGGUUGUUGUGAUAGCGUGUAAGACUCGCUUACUUCAGUCAAUGAUCCGGACCAUUGUAUCCGGAUGGCAUAUGUUGAUCAUCCGGAUGUAUUGUGUAAGCCAUCCGGAUGAUACGUUUAUAAGUGUCGUUUGGUCUUCUUGAUCAUCCGGAUGUAUUGUGUAAGCCCUCCGGAUGAUAUGUCUAUAAGUGUCGUUUGGUCUUCCUUGAGGUAGUCCGGAAAAGUGUGUCAUGUGCGUUUUAUAGGGAGAUCCGGAUGAGGGUGACUCGGGUGACAAUGCCUGCCAUGUGUCACUGUAAGAUGUGUGCCACGUGUCUUGGAGGGAGGGGUCCCUACAAUGCCCCCCUUUUUAACUUGCCUAUUUUGCCAGAGCAAAAAUGGGCGGGUUAAAAAAUAAUUGGUUUUUUGAAAACCGAAGUCGACCUUUUGUCUGGUUGGGCCACGUGGCGAGUGGGGGUGCGGAAGCCAAAAAAGGCAUUUAUGGUGAGCCGCCGACUCUGGGUAUUCCCAGGCAGCAUGUCGUUUCAACGAUGGCGUUGCUGGGCGUUUGGCUUUCCGAGGGGCUGUCCCCCUAUAAAUAGCAUACUGUGCCUACUGUUGUAUUUUUCCUACUGCGUUUUUUCUGAGAGUUUUUGCUUCUUCUUCUUCCUAUGCUUUCCUCUGCUUUUCUGAGUAAAAAACCCUAGAGUUUUUCUUGCCGGUGAUUUUGUAUCGCAACAUCAACCUUUCUUCGCGGCAUUUCUAUUUGGUACGUGCAUUUUGUUUUUGUUUUCCCUUUGUUGCGCUUGUUUGUUCAUUGGCUUGAUUUUUGACUUGCUUUGGGCAAAUCGCUUGCGACUGUGUGUUGAAUGUUGGUGUUUGUUGAUUUUCUGGAUUGCUGUGUUUAACUGUUGAGCUUCUUGUAUGUAGGCUUUUUAUUCAACUUUCGGGCUAAGAAAUGUCUUCGAAUAAGAAAACUGUUUCAUCUUCCGAGGCCGGCAAUGCUUGUGAGAAAGCGACGGACAAACUGGAUGUGAAGGAAUUCCGGGACCGGUUCUGUAUCCCCAAUGGCGUGAUUGUGGAACUGCUAAAUGAUGAGGAGGUGCCUGUGCCGGCCGAAAAAAAUACCAUCAUCUUCUCAAAGGAGCAAUUCAACGCGGGGCUUCGGUUCCCUCUACCGGCGUUGUUCAAGGAAUUCCUCCAUUUCACCCAGAUUCCACCCGCCUUUAUUCAUCCCAACAUCGUCCGGGUGCUAAUGGGAUGCAGCAUCAUAAACAUGUUGUACAACCUCGACCUGACGCUACUGGAGGUGUUUUUUGUCUAUUCACUGAAGAAGGCAAAAACUGAUAUCUUCAGCAUGUCCGCUCACCUGCCCUUCCUUCAAUUGGUGACGGAGCUGCCAGAUUCGAUAAAGGGAGGGGCGAAGGGACACGUAGCGGUCCGGGGUGUAUGGGCGGGGUCACCAGGACGUCCGGGGAGGCCCUUCUCUCCAAACUACUCCUUAGUGAUUCCGGGUAAGUUUGCUUUGACACUUUUGUCCGGCUUUUAUUUUGUUGUCUUUUGUUGAUUUUUUCGGACGGUUUUCUCACCUUUUGUUACUGUCAACGUAGGUCAGGAAAGGAGGGGCCAUAUCGUGGACUGGGUGGAAAAGGUGUCUUUUGCCUGUCUCAAUAAGUUGUUUGAGAUAGAUGCCACGGAGAGGUGCUACAAGACGCUGCUUACUGCGCGGAACCUGAUGGUGGUCGUCCGGGAGUCCCAAGAGUAUGUUGUCAACAUUCUCCCCAGGAAAAUGCCAAAGGAGGUAGUGCCUGGGGAGCAUUAUACUGUGAAGGAUCUCCCAAUUUACUAGGAGUUUAAAGAGGCGGACGCUGAAAAACGCCGAGCGCUCCUGGAUAAUCGGGAGAAGAAGAAGAACGAAGGAACCCUUCAUAAGGCUCCCGGACAGAAACGCGGCGCAGCCUCUCCUCCAAAUAAAGCUCCAACGAAAAAGAGGAAGCUGGUGAAGAAUGGGAAGGGGGUGAAGGAGCCCACCCCUCCCAAGGAUUUUGCCCCUCCGCCAAUUACUCAUGAGGCGGAGGUAAUAAUAGAGGAGCCAGUGAACCCUGCUCCUCAUUCUAUCUCAAGCGGAUCAGGACACGUCGCGGGGCUGAACCACUCGAGUACUUCCUUGGCAGCGGUUGCCCGUCUGGAUAAUUUGGCUGAGGAAGCUGCGUCCAUCAACCAUCCGGACUCCCCUAAUCCGGAUGUCGAUGCAGCUGAAGCCGUUUGUGCAACCCCGAUGGAGGAAGCAGCGGCAGAAAGUCAGAGUCAGCCCUCUGACGAUCCGGACCGUCUGGCUCUUGUUUUGGUGAAGGGGCCACCUUCAAAGAGGCCUCGUUCGGCGCGCAAUCUGAGGUCCGGACUCAUCGGGCGGCUUCAAGAUCGUCAGCAAGAGAUCGAAGUUAGUUGCUCAUCCGCCCACGACGCUCAUCCGGAGGGGGGUGAAGUAGAGAUGGCAACUGAGACUCCAGCCGUCCCGGUGAUGGUCCCGAAUGAGGUUGCACCCAGGGAGACCCAUCCAGCCGUAAAUGUUGAGGCCCCGAAUCCGAAACAAGAGUCGCCUUCUGUCGCCUCAUCAGGUGGGGAUCUUGUUAAUGACGCGGCUUGCACCUCCGCUAGCCCUUUUAGCUACGCGGAGUUGGAAGAUAAGCUGAAACAGAUUCCACCCGGCUCGACUGCUAUCGUACCUUCAGCCAAGAUGUUCGAGAUGGUGGAAACGGUAUAUUGUUUUUUUGUGCUUCUUGAUUCUUUGUCAUUCUGAUAUGUGUUUGUGGUGUGACUUAUAACUUUGUUUUUCUCGUUUGUGUGUUUGCCUGCAGCUGGUGAGUGGUCUCCGCGGCAUGGCCCAACAACACGAUCUUUUCACUGACCUGUUGCGGACCACUAAUUAUAUGAAGACCUUUGCCUUUCGGCGCAAAGAUAGUGAAAACCAGUUGCGCCUGAGACUGGAGGAGGUUGAAGCCAGCUUAUCCACCGUUCAAGAGGACAACGAAGCCCUCAGGGCGGAUUUGGCUGAGGCUAAGAGCCGGGAGGAAUCAACAUUCACCCGUCUGUGUGAGGCAGAGGAUGAGGUGGCCCGGCUGAGGGGGAAGGUGAGGCAACUCCGGACAGAGGCUUCAAUUGAAAAGAAGCAGAAAGAAGAUUUGCAGCUGCGCUUAACAGCGCAAAAAGAAGAGCUAGAGCGGGAGUUUGCUGCAGAGAGGGAGGAGCUUGAAGCGGACUAUCAAAAGCAAGUGGAUGAUACCUUCAUCUUUGGCUAUCGCUGCUGUAUGAAGAAGAAUGGCAUAAAGCGAGACGUCCCUUCAAUUCCUCCGGGUGAAGAGAAGAAACUUCAUGACAAGCCCACUCCGUGAUAGCUUUUCUUUUUGCAAUUUCUUCUGUAAUCUUCUUUCUGUAUUUUUUGUGGUCCGGAGACCUCUUUGUACAUACAUUGACAUAUAUCAAUAAAACAAUUCUUUUUCCCAUUUGUACUUGUCUUGCUUUUUCAUUGAUAGUACUGUUUUAAAUUGGAAACAUUCCAUGGUCUAAGUAAUGGAGUUCCGUCUAACUUUUGUAAAUGAUAGGCUCCACUUUCACUUGCUUUAGACACUAUAUAGGGUCCUUCCUAGUUAGCUUGGAACUUGCCUGCGCCCAUUUCAGCAGUGUUUUCAAAAACUUUUCUAAGGACUAGCGUACCAUUUUUGAAGCUCCUGGGCCUUACUUUACGAUUGUAAUGGGCGGAUGCUCUUUGUUGAUAGUCUGCCAUCCGGAUGGCUGCGCUUUCCCUCACUUCAUCUGCCCAAUCCAAGUUUCUUCCCAAUUCUGUGUUUGCAUCAUUCUGCUUUGCCGCGUCAGUCCGGAUAGUAGGAAGACCUAUUUCAGUAGGAAUGACUGCAUCCAUUCCAUAUGCGAGGGCGAAAGGAGUGUUUCCUGUUGGGCGUCCGGGUGUGGUUCGAUAGGCCCAUAGGACGCCGGGUAACUCUUCCACCCACUUCCCUUUGGCUUGUUCAAGCCUUUUCUUUAAGGCAGUGAUUAGGGUUUUGUUUGUGGCUUCUGCCUGCCCAUUACUUUGGGGAUAUCGCGGUGUGGAGUAUGAAUUCCGGAUGUUCAGCUCUGAACAGAAAUUCCUGAAUGCGAUGCUGUCAAAUUGAGGACCAUUGUCAGCUAUGAUAGUUUGUGGAAUUCCAAAACGGCAGAUGAUGUUUUUCCAUACAAACUUGGUGACAUCCUUGUCUUUGAUGCUAGCGUAUGCUUCAGCUUCCACCCACUUACUGAAAUAAUCUGUGGCAACGAACAAAAAUUUCUUUUGGGCAGGUGCAGCUAGGAGGGGUCCCACUAUGUCCAUGCCUCAUUGCGCGAAGGGCCAUGGGCCUGAGACUGAUUUCAACGUUGCUGAUGGCAUAUGCGGAAUGGGGGCAUACCUUUGACAUUUAUCACAUCUUUUGACAUAUGCUGCCACGUCUUUCUUCAUUGUUGGCCAAUAGUAUCCUUGCGAAUGAGCUCUAUGUGCCAGAGAUCGUCCUCCCGAAUGAUUCCCACAUAUUCCCUCAUGCAACUCAGCUAACACAUACUGGGCCUCUGAAUGCCCUAGGCAUCGAAGGUAAGGUCCUGUGAAGGAUCGCUUGUACAGGUGCCCCCCAAUCAGGGUGAAACGGGCAGCUUGUACCCGGACUUUGUGUGCCUGUUUGAGAUUUCCGGGUAGAGUUCCUGUCCGGAUAUAUUCUGCGAUGUCAUACGUCCAUUCUUGGCCGUCCGCUUGGGGUGCCUCAAUGGUAUUGCAGGUGGAGAUUUCUGCGACAGAGGGGUUGGGUUGCAUAUGUAUAGGCAAUAGAAUGGCUUCUUUGAUAGGGAGGGAGGCAGCUAUGCCGGCCAAGGCGUCAGCGCGCCUAUUGUCGGCUCGCUUGAUUUUUUCGAUUGUCCAUUCGGUGAAUUGCUGCAAGGUGUUUCUUACUUUAGCUAAGUAUCGCGCCAUGCGUGCGUUCUUAGCCUCAUAUUCCUUCUGGACGUGUUUUACCACGAGUUGUGAGUCGCUGUAGAUCCGGAGUUUGGAGACGGAUAGAGCAAGGGCAAGGUCCAAUCCGGACAAGAUGGCCUCAUAUUCUGCUUCAUUGUUAGAGGCAAAGAAUCCCAGCCUGAUGGCUUGCUCCAAAUGUUCCCUAGUUGGGGACUGUAGUAGGAGCCCAACUCUAGAGCCUGAUGAGCGUGAGGCUCCGUCAACUCGUAGAGUCCACCAUUCUUGUUUACUUGAUUCGUGGUGUUGGCUGGGUUUUCGGGAAUAUUCUAGCACGAAGUCAACCAUUACUUGGCCUUUCAUAGACAAUCUGGGUUAGAAUUCGAUUCCAAACUCGCUCAAUUCAAUGGCCCAUUAUAGCAUUCUUCCGAUUAAAUCUGGCUUGUGCAGAAUGUUACGAAGGGGCUGGUCAGUUAGUACGAUCACUGGAUGAGCUUGGAAAUAAGGGCGGAGCUUCUAGGCAGUGCUUCGAAGGGCUAAGGCUGUUAGCUCCAUUUUUGAAUAUCUGGUUUCUACGUCUGCCAAUGUCCUGCUGACGUAGUAGAUAGGUUUUUGCUCCUUUGGUGAGGGGCAGCGGAAUAGAAUGGCGUUGAUUGCCCAUUCUGAUACCGCUAGAUACAUGUAUAAUUUUUCCUUUGGGAUGAGGCUGCUCAAGAUGGGUGGUUGCAUAAGACAAUGCUUAAUCUUUUCAAAAGCAUUUUGGCAACUGUCCGUCCAUUCGUGUGCUCCAGCUUUUCGUAUUGCCAAGAAGAAGGGUCGUAAUUCAUCAAUGAAGCGGGCUAUGAAGCGCCCUAGUGCGACAAGUUUGCCUGUGAGGCGUUGCAACUCCUUUUUGUUCUUGGGUGGUGGUGUUUCUAUAACUGCCUUGACUUGAUCCGGACUGACCUCUAUGCCCCUUUGGCUGACCAUAAACCCCAGGAAUUUGCCAACGCUUAUGCCGAAGGCGCAUUUAGAAGGAUUCAGCUUCAUACCAUACUUUCGUAAGAUGUGAAAAACUUCUUGUAAGUGAAGGACAUGUUGCUCUCGGGUUUUGCUUUUGACCACGAUAUCAUCAAUAUAUACCUCUAUCGUGUGGCCUAUGAGAGGUUUGAAGAUUUUUGUCAUCAGUCUUUGGUAAGUGGCGCCAGCAUUUUUGAGUCCGAAUGGCAUGACUUUGUAGCAAUAGAGGUCGUGUGGCGUUAUGAAUGCUGUCUUUUCUUCGUCAUCCGGGGACAUGGGAAUCUGGUGAUAUCCUGAGAAGGCAUCCAAGAAAGAGAGCAUCCCUUGCCCGGAAGUGGAGUCCACAAUUUGAUCUAUUCGCGGCAAGGGAAAACUAUCUUUUGGACAUGCAUUGUUGAGAUUGGUGUAAUCUACACAAACUCGUCAUUUUCCUUCUUUUUUGGGUACUACCACUACGUUUGCCAACCAAUCCGGAUAAGAUACUUCUCUGAUGAAUCCGGCUUCUAGCAAUUUGUCAAUCUCAUUCCGGAUAACUUCUUGUCUAUCCGGGUGGAAACGUCUAAUCUUCUACCGGACGGGUCUGGCAGCUGGAAAGACGUUAAGCUUGUGAGAGGAAAUAGAGGGAUGAAUUCCCUUCAUAUCGGAAUGUGUCCAUGCGAAGAUGUCAUGAUUCUGUCUGAGAAUAUUUUGCAUGCUCUGAGUUUCUUCGGUCGUCAUGAGGGAACUGAUGUUCGUGAGGUGAGUGUUUUCCUCCGAAAUUUGGAUCGUUUGUAAGGGAUCCGCUGUCGGGGGAUCUUUGUCCUCCGGACCUAAUAAUUGUUAUUGGUCAUGUGUAUGGCUGAGUUAAGGGGGAGAUGCAUCCUCCUGGUUGGCCCCUGCUUCUCGUGCUAUCUGAUAGCAUUGGCGAGCGGCCAACUGGCUACCAUAUAAGUCAAUUUGCCCAUCGUUGGUUAGGAAACUCACCAUUUGAUGAUAUGUAGAGGGGAUGGCUUUCAUGUAGUGUAGCCAUGUGCGCCCCAAGAUGAUAUUGAAGGGUGAUAAAUCUUGUACCACUGAGAAUUGUACGUUGAGAGUAACUGGGCCUGCUUGGACCGGCAGUACAAUGUCUCCUAAGGAUGUAGUUGAUGAGCCGUUGAAUCCGGACAGGAUUCGUCAGGGGUUUUCAAGGCCUGUGAGACAGUGUCCCAUGUGGCUAACGACCGAUGCUUGCACAAGAUCGGCGGAGCUGCCCGGGUCAAUCAAGAUGCGUCUCACAUCGAAGUCCCCUAUCUCUAGGGACAAGAUGAGGGCGUCUCGAUGUGGCUGUAGUGUCCGGGUGGGGUCAACUGGUGGGAAAAUGAUUGUCCCAUCUAUGGGGCGAGGACCCCCUCCAGUUAGCCCGGGCCGGAUGGAAUUGAUGCGUUCGCGUGUUGAUGCGGCACGCAACAACUUCUGUCUUUUUCGCCUAGAGUCGUACUCUUCGUCAGAUGGGCCUCCAUUAAUAUAGCUUAUAACGGCCUUGGGUGCAGUUGGGGCUCUGGGGGCUCCAGAGUUGAGAUUUUGGGGAACGUCUCUUUCCCCAGCACCUGAGCAGAGGUAUUGCUUUAAAUGUCCCGCCUUAAUGAGCUUUUCGACCAAAAAAUGGAGGCACCUGCAUGUCUCUGUUGUGUGACCAUGAUCUUUGUAGAAGGCACAUAUCUUGUUAUGAUCCCUUGUGGAUGGGUCUGUUCCUUGGGGUCUUGGUCACCUGAAGUCAGACAAGCCUUGGAUCAUAGGGAGAAGUUUUUCAUAUGAUAUGGAAAGAGGUGUGAGAGGCGCCUCUCCGGGCGACUUGGCCCUUCCUGCCUUCGGUCAGAUGGCCUCGGUCGGUCCGAAGGUUUAGUAUUUCUUUCCGCGUCACCUCUAGAUGGCCGUCUGGCAACCAAGACUUGCUGAGUGGCUGCACGUACGUCAUCUUCGAGCAUUGAAUAUUUAUUGGCACGUCUGAACAAGUCGUCCAUCGUUGUAGGAGGUUUUUUGGCUAGUGAUUCGAAAAUGGAGUGCCUGGACAGAUGUUUCGCUUGAAGAUCUGUAGGACAGCAUCCAUGCUGCAAGCCUCUACCUGAAGUACGGCUUGGCCAAACUGUUUCACAAAUUCCCUCAAGGAUUCGUUGUCUUGCAUUUUUAUGUUCUGCAGGGUGCUAAUAUUUUGCUUGUGUCGAGCGGAGCACAAGUAUUGUCCGACGAAAGCUUCGGACAGGUCCCUGAAAUUGCCAACAGAGUUGGGAGGUAGGCGAUGAAACCAUGAGAAGGCCUGUCCUUGUAGGCUGGCGGGAAAUACUUUGCAUAGUAGUGCAUCAUUGCCAAUAUCGAGCGUCAUGAGCUGUCGAUAAUGCAUGAUGUGAUCGAAGGGAUCGUUGGUUCCAUCGUAUGUGGAAAAUUUUGGUACGAGGAAUCCCCUUGGGGGCUCGUAGUGAAUGAUAUGAGAGCAGAAAGGCGUGGAGAGCAUGUCAUCCAGCCUUUUGCUGAUGGAGCCGAUGGGUGGCUCGUUUGGGAGGUUUCUCCCAGUCGGUUGUUCCGCUAGGUGCGAGUGAACGUUUCGCAUCGCGGGGGUGACCAUGGGGUCACGAUGCGGGUGCACAUUCUGCACCAUGGGGGCGACCAUAGGGUCAGGGCGUGGUGCCUAGGUUGUGGCUACUGGUGGCCUUGAUCGCCCAGGCUUUUGUGGGCCUAGUCUUGCGCGCAUCGAAUUUGACAACUGAGAUUUUUUAUCACGUUGUCUUUUCGCUGAAAAGUGAGUAGAGUCUGAGCUUUCCUCACGUGGGGCUCGAGGCAUAGGUGUGCGCGGCUCAUGAGGCCUCACGUUGCAUGCUCCUGGGAUAGCUCCUGCUGAUCCAGGAUAUAUUGAUUCUGGUUCUGUCCUUGAGUUUGCUACUUGGCCUCUUGAACGCUGACGACGAGGAGGCCCUGAUGUCGAAGCCUGGAUGCGUAGUACAGCGUUUUCUUCUUUUAAUCUCUCUGUCUCCUGGAGGAGAGCUUUGAGUUGUCGCUCGCUUGCCAACUGUCUCCUUUCGAUGGUUUUACGCCAUUCACGAUCAUCAUCCCCUCCCCUAUCGGCUGAAUGGCUUCGGGAAGGUGUGGCCAUCUUUGCAAGUGACUGAAUCAAAUGAAAAUAAAAAUUCCCACAGACGGCGCCAAUGUUGAUGCCUCGCAUUCCUGACGAUCCACGUAGUUGCCAAAUGGAUGGAUGCGCGACCUCAACCAAAAUAGGUUCUUGAUUCAAUCGUUAUACCUGCAAAAAGGGCAUCCGGACAGGGUGUCCAGACGCACCCUCCAAUGGUUUUGUUAGCCAUGGUUAGGGAGAGGGAUAAAUCAGUUAGCCUUUUACUAGGUAUCAGGAGAUUACCUUCCUCUUCGUGUGAAGGUUUAUAUAUAGUGCCAGGGGUACUGUUCCUCUCAUUAAUGGUGAGGAGAUAUUUUGUGUUGUUAUGAUGACAUGAGGUGGCAGUAUGGUCAUCGCCACCCUACGGGCGGCUGUCAGAAACCGUGGUAGGUGAAGCGGCUGUCAGAGAUCGUGGGAAGUGAUCAUGUAGAAUGAUCGUGGGAAGUGAUUUGUUGUCACCCCAACUCGUCCUUUCACUCUGCAGGUGAUGGGACGUGGGCCAUGGCUGGUUGUUGUGAUAGCGUGUAAGACUCGCUUACUUCAGUCAAUGAUCCGGACCAUUGUAUCCGGAUGGCAUAUGUUGAUCAUCCGGAUGUAUUGUGUAAGCCAUCCGGAUGAUACGUUUAUAAGUGUCGUUUGGUCUUCUUGAUCAUCCGGAUGUAUUGUGUAAGCCCUCCGGAUGAUAUGUCUAUAAGUGUCGUUUGGUCUUCCUUGAGGUAGUCCGGAAAAGUGUGCCAUGUGCGCUUUAUAGGGAGAUCCGGAUGAGGGUGACUCGGGUGACAAUGCGUGCCAUGUGUCACUGUAAGAUGUGUGCCACGUGUCUCGGAGGGAGGGGUCCCUACAAUUCUGACUCACUUUUGGGCUUCUGCUAUGAUCUCCAGAAGCCACAUAUGCUAGCUGCUGGAGCAUUAUUAAGUUUUUCAGGCCCUGGUAUCGAGGUUGAUUGGUUCCUUGAUAUAUGCUUGCCAUUCACCAGUACCAUUUGGUUAGAAGAGAAUACUUGGCUUGUUUAGUCUGUUUUUAUUGUUUGGAAAAAAAAACUCCGAAUAUGGCCCAAGUGGGAAUGGCUUGACUUUGUUAGAAUAUGGACGUAUGUGUUCCUAUUUUUCUUAUUUUUAUUCUUAUUUUACCUUUUAGCAUAUCUUUGCUUUCUGAGCAUGCAAUAACAGUUUAUUUUCUAUAUUUUUUUUAGGGGGACAUGAGCUCAGCAAAAGCACGGGAAAUGCUGGUGGCAGAGUAGCCUGUGGUAAGCAUAUUUCUUUCUUUUCUUUUCCUUUCCUUUGUAGUGACAGGGGGGGCUUUGGUUGGUACAUGAAAAUCAAAUCAUGCAUUUGGUUUUUUUUUUUUUUCAUGUAAUUUGAAAUGAAAUAAGAUAAAUCACUUUGUUUCUUAUGCAAUUUUUGUUUGCAUUUAAAAAUUUUGAGAUACUAUAAUCAUUUCAAGUAUGAGUGAGUGCUUUCCAAUAUUUAGUUUUUUUUAUUCUCUUUUUUUCCUCCCCACCAUAGCAGACUGAGAAUUUCUUUUCCAAAUUAUUAUGGGGAUAAAACGGAAUGAUUGCACUAUUAUUUGUUCUUUAAAUGCACUUGUAAGAUAAAUUUUGUCUAUAAUGUUAUUUGGGAUCAUCAAAAGAUGCAUAUGGGUUCUCUAUUAGACUUCUACAUUUCUUAGGUUUUUAUCUUAUUCAUUUGUCCCUAACGUUGUGUGUUUGUUUACCUCUUUGUAGGAGUUAUCGGAUUGCAAGCCUAAAAAACUAGCUCUACCGACACUCAUGGUAAACACAUGUAGUUGAAGACAUUUGUUUUGUCAUGCAUGAGAGAUCCCUAGACAAGACUCAAAAACUUGAAAGAAUAAAGGGAAGAAGGUUGUCCUUUAUGGUGUGAUGUAUGAUGUUAUGAUCUUAAAUCUUUUGUGUUAUUUCCCAGUUAUAUCUAAAACUUCCUCUGGUUUUGCAUGUCUCACAAGUGUUUUUGGUAGUUCUCUUAGUUGGAUCUGGUAAGGAAUGGAUAAAAUAAAUUAAGAUAGACAAAGAUUCAAUAUGCAUUGACAUUAAGAAUGAAAGUUUGGAUGGUGUGUAUCAAAUAGGGAAUAAAACUAUGAAUAUGAAGGUCUAAUGUGUUCGGAGUGGGAUAGCGAACCAUAGCUAUGUGGUAGGACCUUGGUUACUAGCCCUUCUAAUCAACCUCAACAGAUUUAGACUUAAGUGGUAUCAUCUAAAUGUGUCUAGGGAUAUUUCUUUAUUCGAAUGCGACUCUUUCUAUAUCUAAUUGAUUUCUUAAGAAGAUCAAACAAGUGUGAAAUAUAGCUUGUGGUAAAAACCUUAAUCUUAAUAAAAGCUCAUUAAUAGUCAAAACAUUAAAAUUUAAAAAGAAGAUUAUUUUAGUCUCCAACUUAAAUAUAACAUUUGUUUGUACACAUCUUUUUAAUAUCUUCAGUUUUUUUCUCACAAUCUAUUAUCUUAAUUUCAGUUCUUUGGUUAACUUCUCUCUUUUAUUAUUUUUUAAUUUAAUUUUUUAAUAUUAAUGUUUUUAUUGGUUUUCUUUCAAUGUUAAUCAAUUUAAAAAGUUUUAUAUGGUAUCCCUCUAACAUAAUGGUAGUACCAAAUCAUUCCUAAAUUUGAGAACAUGAUUUACAAUGCUAAAGCUUGAUAAUAAUUAUGGUGUCAUCUAAAGCCUAAACCAUUUGAUGAUCAAAUUGACAUCAUGUUAGUCUUAUUCAUUUAUUUAUUUUUCAAGUAGGCUUUUGAUUGCCCUUGAAAGGCUUGGAGGGUUGCCUUAAAAUUUUGCGUAAUUAGAGAUCAUAAUUGAGUAAAUUGCAAGUGAACUUGAUUUUCCUAACAAUCAAUAACCAACCAAACAUAAGUAGAUCGAUUGUUGCACAAUGAACAUACAAGUGAAAAAGUCAUGUUAUCUAUGGUUGAUUAUCCAAGAACAUUCUAACCAAUUAGACUCAUUUAAUACAUGAAGAGAUUUCUACUCUAAUGAUUAUCCUCAUAAGACAUUCUUGAAUAUAUUUGACUAAACUCAUAUGUCAAGCCAAACUCUGAACAUCCUAUCAAAUGAUAUUAUGAAUCCUUUAUUUACUAUUAAAUUUUAUUUAACGAAUUUUCACGGUGUCAUAUUUCACAUUUGAAAGCAAUAUUUCAUAAUUUAAGACAUGAUUAAAAAUUUACUCAAACAAUAUACAUAAAUUUAGCAAAUAACAAAACUUCCUUUAUCAUAUGUAUUUUAUAAUUUAUGAAAUGUCAACUCACGCAAUACAAGAAAUCGAAUACUAAUAUAUAAAACUUUCAUCAUUGUGCAACACCACACACUUAACAAACAAUUUUAUUAGGGAUAUAACAAUGAUGCUUGAAUAAAUAAACUCUAUCAAAUGAAGGAAGUGAUUGAAGGAAACAUCAUUGACAAUUUCUCAAACUUCAUUAAUAGUUUCUCUUUCAAAGGCUGCAUCUGUACUUCAUCUCAAAUAGGGCAGAACAUAAAGUAUAUCCAGUGUACCUAAAAAAAAUGAUAAGAACAAAAGAAAAUGAUACCAUUUAAAUAUAAAUGACCUAAAAUUUAGCAAUAAUAUUUAUAGAAUAUAUUAUGAAGAAACAAAACAUAUUCUUACUUCCGGAUAAAAAAAAUGGAUUCCACCUCCAUCCUAUUAAUAUCUAAUAUUUUUUUAAAUUAAAAUUUCUUUAAUCUUGUUUUUCAAUUCCUUUAUAUUUGAUUUAUUAUUUGAAAUUUUAUUAAUUUAAGAAAUUUAUUAUUACAUGUUAAUAGUAAACAUACAAAAUAUUAUUCUUUGUUUGAUAUUCAUCUUGAAAGUUAUACUUAUCAUAAAUUUAUAUUAUAUCAUUUGCAUACUAUACUAAUUUGAAUUAGAAAAGGUUUUUUUCAUUAUAAAAAGGUGUAUUAUUUAGUUAAAUUAGAUGAAAAUAAAGGAAGUUAAUUAUUAUGAAUGUAAAAGGAUAGAAUAUUUACAAUUUUUUUUAAUCUAUUAAAAUAAAUCCUAUAAUUUUUUUUAAUGAGGGUGAUUUGACGGUAUUUUGAAAGAAUGAUAGUUAAUCUCUUAUAUGAAAUAUAUUUAAAAUUAAAUUUUAAAUUAAUUUAAUAAUUUGUUAUUAAAAAUUAAUAUAAUCUUCAUACUUUUUUAUUUUUAUAGAAUAUUUAUGUCAAUAAUUCCAAAAAAAAAAGUAUAAGAAGAAAUAAAAAGUAUGGGAGAGAAAAAAAAAGUACAGAAAAAAACUAACCUUCUCACAAAAGAGUACUACAUCUUCCGUAGGUCUUCCAUACUACAAUUAGUGAUAUGUAGUUCUUGAAGGUUUUGAAUAUUCAUGAGUGUCAGAAGAGAGGAAAUAUGUUUCAUCCUGUCAUUCCCGUCUUCCAUCCAUCUUAGCAUAGGCAAGUCCUUCAAUUUCAAGGUUUCUAACUUUGGGAGGAUCUCGACAUUUCCAUCAAUUUCUUGAAGAUUAAUAAUCACAUGCUCUAGGAGCAUACAAUCUUGCACAUCCAUCUCUUUUAAAUUCUGGAAGUUGUGUAUCAAAUGAGCUGGGACAAGAUUGAGUAGACAUGGACAUCCGUACACCCUUAAGAUCUGUAGAUUGGAGAAGGAUUCAAAUGGAAGUUGAUGAUGCCAUAUAUCCUUUAGCUUGGGCAAAUCUUUGAGUGUCAACUCCUCUAACUUAGAGAAUGAAACCUAUAAUAUGAUACAUGACAUCAUCAAUUGGAAAGUUAUAAUAAAUAUAAAUAUAUUUCUUAAAUAUAAUUCAUCAGCUUGGGAUUAUUCACAUGUUUACUUUAAUUAUAUUUAUAAAAAAAAAAUGAAAGGAUAAGGGAUUCUCAUGCUGAUGCCACAAAUUAUUUGUACUCAUAUAAAUAAUUUCUUAUUUUAAAUCAUAUACAUUCUUUUAUUUUUCUCUCAUUAAUAAAUUCUUGUGAAUGUCUUUUUUAAAUUUCCUUUUUCUUUUAAAAUUUUUUAUGAUUUCACUCUUAAAUUUAUUCCUAUUAACUUGACUUUUUUUUCUUAUUUAAAGUAAAAUUAUACUUAUAGUUUGUCCUUAUUUAAAUACUCAUUCCUAUUAAUAUUUAAUGUGUUUAAAAUUAAAUUUUCUUUUAACCUUAUUAGUUUUUCAACUCCUUCAUGUUUUAUAUAUUAUUUGUUAUUUUUUUUAUAUUAUUUAGAAUGAAAUGUUCAAAUAAUUUUAACAUGGUGGAGUUUGGAAAGUGCAUGUGGGCCCACUCUAGUUUUUCUUUUGACUUAUAUCAAUAUAAAGUGGUGCAAAAAAAUAAAAAUAAAUAAAACCAAUGAAAUUGGCUAAUAAGCUUUAACAUACCUUAUGACUAAAAAAUGAGUCUUCCGACCUUGCAUUUGUACUCAAAGAUGUGGAAGAUGUUGUUUCUAACUCGGAACUGAAGUUGAUGAGCUGUGGUAGAUUCUUGAGUUUCAAGGAUCGCAAUUUAGGGAAUAGUUGCAAGUUGGUCCCAACAUGUCCAUCUUCUUCUAUUUCUGACUCCCUUUCAUAUGCGAUUAUUUGUUGCAUGGCAUCGCAAUCUUCUAUUGUCAUUUCUUCAAGUUGGGAAAAGCCUCUAGCCAUGGAAAACAGAAGGAGAAAUUUCAAUUUAGGACAUGACUCCACUUCUAGAGUUUUUAAGUUACCAAAAGACCCUAUUGGAAUUGGGCCAUGCCAUACUUCUUCAAAAAUUUCCAGAGUAUCAAGAAUCAAUGACUCCAAUAGAGGAAAAGCACCAUGUUGCAGAAACCAUUGAUCCUUUGAAUCAAUGAUAUAUUGAAUCUCGGGACUGUAAAAAACUUCAAGAUGCUUCAGUUCACGAAAACUCUCCCUAUUUGAUGGGUAAAGCACAUAUUUAGUACCACUUAAUUUCCAGAACCUUAGUUCUUCACUUCUCUCCAACAACUUGCUUAUUCCAUCCCCCAAAUAUAAGCUUCUAUCGACUUCUUCGAGCGCCAAUGCUUUUUUGGUUCUGAACCCCCCCCAAUUACCUAUAGAUAUCACAUAUCUUGUCAAGUUCUCAAAUAGAAUGUCUUUUGGUAGCAACUUAGCAUCUGGUAUUUCUAUAAAUAAAGUUGUCAAAUAAGACAAAUGAUUUAGCUCUGAUAAACAAGCAUUGCUUUCACCUUCAACUGCCCAUUUAGUAAAGCCAGACAUCAUGCUCAAACAUUCUAAUCGAGACAAACUUGAUAAGAUAUUUCGUGGAAUUACUUCAAGCUUCUUGCAAUAAUCCAAAUCCAAGAGUCUUAGAUUAGUUAGUUGCAUCAUUUCUUUAGGCAAUCGUUGGAUUGUAGAACCCACCAAGCUAAGAACUUCUAGUUUCGUUAGCUUUCCAAUUAGAGCAAUGUCUCCCAACUCGCACCCAUCCAGAUGCAAUGUUCGGAGAUUUGCAAGGGAAUCAAGUGAUGAUGGUAGUGUUGUAAAAUGCAUAUGGGACAAAUCCAAAACUUUGAGUUUUUUCAUCCCUUCGAAAAAUGUGUUCGGGAUAUUCAAGGGAGGAUUGUUGUUCUGCAAUAGAAAAAAUUGAAGUUCCGGCCAUACCAACUCUUGAGGAAGGUCAUGCACAGCUUUGCAAUGCAAAGAGAUGAAAGCGCACCUUUUGGAUUCAUCAGUCUCUGACCAUUCUUCCACUCUAACAUCUUCUCUGACUACUAAUGGAUGAGGAUCCUUGGAUGCAAUUGCUCUGGCAACUUCACGAACAACACUGUGCAUCCUCACAAACUUGUUAUCAGCAUCCAUGAAAAGCAAACUUGAAUCUAUUUCUUCAUCAAACAUGUGUGUAUCUUCAUGACUGUCAAGUAACAAGCCUGAGGCUUUGAGGAUUUCCACCAAUGCAAGUAGUCUAUUUCUUGCUCGCUCCAAUGAGUCGAUGCGAUCAAACAAAUCCAGACCCAUACCAUAUCUUAACAAGAGAUCCAAUGAAAUAUCACCAUAGCCCAACAUCCCACAAAGUAAGAACAAUGACUUAACGUCAUCACCCUUCAAAUGGGUGUAGCUCCACUCCAGACAUGAGUAAACCUUCCUAUCCACUGCUCUAAUGUUUGUUGGUGCACAACUCCUAAGUUGUUCCAAGGCAUUCUCCCAUACAGCCACGGUCUCAUUUUUUAAUGCCUUGGCAAUUGUUACAAUUGCAAUUGGUAGACCCUCACAUUCUUCAACUACUUGAAUGGCUAUGGGUUGCAGUUCAAGAUUCUCCUCCAUGGAAUCACCUGCUGUCUUCUUAAACAAACUCCAAGCUUCUUCUAGUGGUAAAUAUUCCACUGGAAAACAAAUUUGUGCGCCCAUGCCUUUGCAUAAUAGGUCUCCAUCUCUCGAAGCCAACACUAUUUUGCAUUGCGUCCAAAUAUCAUCUUUAGAAGGAAUUCCGACUUGCUCCAAAUCAACUUCCGUCCAAAUAUCAUCUAAGAUAAUAAGGAUCUUCUCUUCCUUCAGUGCCUGCUUCAGUUUAUCCGCAUUGAGCUUCCAAAGUGGUAAGCCCAACGCUUUUGCAAUUCUUUGUCGAAGUUUAGCAAUUCCUUCUUGACGUUUAUCCGAGUCUCGAGUCCAGGAUACAUCCAUAUAAGCUUGUCUGGUGAACAACCGCUGUUGCUUAGCUUGUUGAGCCACUUGUUUCAGCAGUGUUGUUUUGCCCACACCGGCCAUGCCCCAUACUCCAAUCAAGUUGAUAUUGUCGUCUCUUAAGGCAUCCAUAAUAUCGUUCAGAGUGGAGGGUCUUGAUUCUAGGAAUGAAGCCUGUAGCAAAAACACAAGAUAAGGCAUCAAUUGGAAAGUUGUGAUGAUAGGCAUAAACAUAUUUCUUAAAUAUAAUUCAAUUCAAUUCUGAAAUAGUCUCUCGCAUGUUCACUUGUGUUACAUUAUAAAAUUUUCAUUAGUGAAAGAAAAAGUAAUUAUCAUUCUAAACAAUUUCCCAAAAAAUCAAAUAACUAUUAUAAUACAAAUAUCCUUCAAGAAAUACAAGUCAAAUGGGUUUCUGAACAAACUGUAAAUAAAGUAUGAAUAAUGAAAAAAAAUAUAAAAAAAAAAUACAAAAUCACAAAACUUACAUCAUUGAUACAAAGAAAAAGCUUUUAACUUUUCUUUAAAAAAAAUGUUACGUUUAUUUUGAUAUUAACAAAAAAAUAACACAUAAUUUUCUUUUAAGAAAAAGAGUAAAAGAGAAAAACUAUUUAUAUUAGAAAGGAUGUAUAUGUAUAUGUAUAUGUAUAAUUUUCAUGUAAAAAAUAAUAUUCAAGAUUGUAUUUUUAUAUUUUAAAAAAUAAAUUUUAUUAUUUUAAAAGAAUAAUAAUUACUCUCCUUAUAAGAAAUAAAGUAUGACUUACUCUUUUUAUUUUUAAAAAUAAAAAAUUACAAAAAAAUUCUUUUUGAAAGUUUUGUAAAAUAUGUUAACAACAAAAUAACACAUUUUUUUUCCAAAGAAAAAAAGUAAAAGAGAAAAAAAAAAGUCCAAAUUAAAAAAAAAAUGUACAUAUAGUAUUUCCACAUACUAUAUAUUUAUAGCUAUUUAUUAAUUUUAUAAUAUAUUUUCCACGUAUCCAUGCUCUCCUCUACUAUUCUCUAUAUGUAUUUUGCCAUUGAAUUUUUAAUUUUUUAAGAGGGAAAAUAUAUUCUGUUACUUCAUUUUGAAGAAUUGUUUUGUCUUUUUAGGAUUAUAUCCAUCAAUUGGAAAAUUGGGAUAGAACAUUUUGGGGAACUCCGGUAAAUCAAGCAUUAAAAAUCGCCUAAACAUAGAGAAUUUAUUGGGCUCCUCAUAAUACCCUUAUGUUCUUUUAUUAUUAUUUUCCGUUAAAACUAACAGAAAAGAGGGAUCACUAAAACAAGGUCAGGCAAACAGGCCAACUACAGUGCCAGCAAAGCAGUAAAAAAUGGAAAUAGGGUAUAUAGUUUUGGGAAGAGGUGGCAUCUAGACAACUGCUUGCUUUUUGUUUCAUACACACAUUUCAUAUAUUAAAAUUACCCAAUAUUUCCGAGUGAAAAUCUCUAGACUUGAUUUAUAACAAAAAAAAUUUCAAAAUUAUUUUGACAUAACUGGGAUUAAAUAUUUGAAUUUUUUUUAUUAUUUUCUAAGAAGUCGAAUAAUUUAAAUGGGGUUUCAUACAAAAAAUUAAAUAAAGUAUAAAUAAUUAAAAAUUAAUCAAAACAUACAAAAUAAAAUAUAAAAUUACAAAACUUACAUAAUUGAUACAAAGAAAAAGUUCAUAACUUUGUUUUUAGAAAAAUAUUACAUUUAUUUUGAUAUUAACAACAAAAUAACACAUAAUAUUUAUAAAAAAAAAAAACAAGAGUAAAAGGAGAAAUGAGGUUCAAAUUAAAAAGGAUGUAUAUAUAAAAUUUAUAUGCAAUAAAUAAUAUCUAGGAUUGUAUUUUUAUAUUUUUUAAAUGUUAAAAUAAAGAUAAUAAAGGUAAUUUGGUUGUUAUUUUAAAAGAAUGGUAGUUUAAUAUUUUAAGAAUGUCGUGCAUAAUGGAAAAAAGAAAAAGAGAGAGACAACUAACCUUUUCAUUGAAGAGCACUUCAUCAUUAGUAGAAGUAUUGACACCUCUCAUGUCUUCCAUCCCACAAUCAAUGAUAUGUAACUCUUUGAGAUUGUGAAAAUUCUUGAACAUUGAAGAAGACAAAACUAAUUGAGGUAGUUUCUCAACGUUUAGGAUUUUUAACUUUGGGAGGAUCCCAAAAUCUAUCUCCUCCAAUUUUGGAAGACUUUUUAGAACUAUCUCCUCCAAAUUAGGAGAAAGUGAAACCUACAUAAGAAACACAAUAUAAUACAUGACAUCAUCAAUUGUAAAAUUGUAAUAAAUAUAAAAAUAUUGGGUCAAUAUUGGAAAAUAUAUUAUUUUACCUCAUUUUGAAGAAUUGUUCUAUCUUUAUUGAAUUAUAUCCCUCAAUUGGAGAAUUAUGAUAGAAUAUUUUGGGGAAACUCCAGUAAAUCAAGGAUUAAAAAUCGCCUUAACAUAGAGAAUUUAUUGUGCCAGCAUAAUACCCUUAUAUUUUUUUAUUAUUUUUUUUCUGUUAAAAAUAACAAAAAAGAGGGACGACCAGAACAAGGUUAGGGUGAGAGGCCAAGUGCAGUGCCAGCAAAGCAGUAGAAAAUGGAAAUAGGGUAUUUACUAUUUAGUUUUGGGAAGAGGUGACAUCUAAGACAACUGCUUCCAUCUAGCAUAUGCACACUAGAUAUAUUAAAACUACCCAAUAUUUUUGGGUGAAAAUCUCUCGACUUGAUUUAUAAAUAAAAAAAUUCAAAAUUAUUUUUACUUAACUAGCUUUAAAAUAUUUGAAUUUUUUUUAUUAUUUUCUUUUAUUUUUAAAUAUAAAAGGAUUAAAAUUUAGUUUAUUUAACAUAAAAGGACUGGUGAUUAAAACUAAUAUUUCUAAUAUCUUAUUUGAUGACAAUUUUUUUAUUUUAUAAAAAUUAAAAUACUAUUUAAGCAAAAAAAUUAUUUUGUAAAAUUAAAAUAACAUAUAAAUAAAUAAAUUAUUAAUAAUUACUUAACUUAAUAAUAUUAUUGACAAAACCUUUAUCUAAUAAAUGCAUAUAAGAAGAUUGAAUUAAACAUACCAGAGCAUGAUAAAUUUAAAUAAAAAAACAUCAAAUCAUUUUAUUUUAAAAAAACCUUAUUAUUGUAAGAAGGUAGGAGAUGUACUUAAAAUAAAAUAAAAAAUUAAAUUUUAGAGCACAAUAAAAAAAAACAUAUAUUUUUUUUUUGUUUUUUCAUUUGUUAAAUAAAAAGUGAUUUUUAUUCUAAACAAUUUCCCAAAAAAAUCAAAUAACUUCAGAAGACUUUCUAGAGUCAACUCUUCCAAAUUAGGAGAGAAUGAAAUCUAUAUAUAGAAACACAAAAUACAAUACAUAGCAUCAUCAAUUGUAAAAGUGUAAUAAACAUAAAAAAUAUUGGGUUAAUAUAAUUCAUUAACUCUCAAAUCAUAUACAAACUUUAAUAAUUUUCUUUUUAAAUUUAUUUUUCCUAUUAAAAUUUCAAUAAUUUCACUUUUAAAUUCAUUGCUAUAUUUAUUUCUAUUAACACUUAACCUUUUUUUAUUUAAAUUAGAAUGAAAUUUACAAUGUUUCCUUUUUGUUAUGUUUCAUAUAUUAAUAUUUAAUGUUUUUAAAAUUAAAAAUUCCCUUUUUAACUUUAUUCUUGUUUUCAACUCCUUUAUAUUUUAUUUUUUAUUCAGUAGUUCUUUUUUUUUUUUUUGAAACUAAAUAAUAAAAUUAUUAACUUUGAUGGUUAUUUUAAGUCAAGAUUAAUUAGUCUUCUUAUAUGAAAUAAAAUAUGUUUUGCUAUUUUUUAUUUUUUAUCUAACAUCUUAACCCAAUUUUCCCAAAAGCCAUUAAUUUUAACUCUUCUAAAAUUUAAAUAAAAUAUUAUUAUUUGAAUUAAAUUUUCACUAGUUCUCCUUUCUAAUUCAAUGCAAUAUUUCUUUCAAUUAGUACCUAUUUUUUUUCAUUUCUAAAUUAAAAUAAUAACUUCCAUUUUUUCCUCAUUUUUAUAUUAUUUCUAUUAACAUUUAUCCUUUUUAAAUUAAUUUUUCACAUUAAAAUUUUAUUUUUUUUCAACUCAUUUGUAAUUUACAUAUUAUUCACAAUUUUUAUUAUUUAAAAUCAAAUUAAUAAAAUUGUUAUUGAAGAUUAAUGUAUUCUUCUCAUACUUUCUUUUUAAAAAUAUUUUUAUAAUAUAUCUCCCUAAAUAUUUCAAGUAGUAUAAGAACAAACAAAAAAUAUGGGAAAAAACUAACCUUAGACAAAAGACAUAGUUCUUCUACCCAUAGGAUUCUUAAGUUUGGAAGGUUCCCAACAUCCAUCUCCAUCAACUUGGGAAGUCGUUUUAGAACCAACUCCUCCAAAUUAAGAGGGAAUGAAACCUACAUGAAAAACACAAUAUAUAAAACAUGAUAUCAUCAAUGGUAAAAAUGUGAUAAAUACAAAAAUAAUUGGUCAAUAUAAUUCAUUCACUCUCAAAUCAUAUGCAAAUUUUAAUUAUUUCCUUUUCAAAUUUAUUUUUUCUAUUAAGAAUUUCAAUAAUUUCACUUUUAAAUUCAUUGUUAUAUUUAUUUCUACUUACAAAUUAACUUUUUUUUUUAUUUAAAUUAAAAUGAAAUUUACUAUGUUUCCUUUUUAUUAUGUUUUUUCAUAUUAAUAUUUAAUGUUUUUAAAAUUAAAAAUUCCUUUUUUAACUUUAUUCUUGUUUCAAUUUCUUCUAUAUUUUAUUUAUGAUCCACUAGUUAUUUUUUUAUUUUUUGAAACUAAAUAAUAAAAUUAUUAACUUUGAUGGUUAUUUUAAAUCAAGAUUAAUUAGUCUUCUUAUAUGAAAUAAAAUAUGUUUUCCUCUUUUUUAUUUUCAUCUAACAUCUUAACCCAAUUUUCCCAAAAGCCAUUAAUUUUAACUCUUCUAAAAUUUAAAUAAAAUAUUAUUAUUUGAAUUAAAUUUUCACUAGUUCUCCUUUCUAAUUCAAUGCAAUAUUUCUUUCAAUUAGUACCUAUUUUUUUUCAUUUCUAAAUUAAAAUAAUAACUUCCAUUUUUUUCCUCAUUUUUAUAUUAUUUCUAUUACCAUUUACCCUUUUUAAAUUAAUUUUUCACAUUAAAAUUUUAUUUUUUUCAACUCAUUUGUAAUUUACUUAUUAUUCACAAUUUUUAUUAUUUAAAAUCAAAUUAAUAAAAUUAUUAUUCAAGAUUAAUGUAUUCUUCUUAUACUUUCUUUUUAAAAAUAUUUUUAUAAUAUAUCUCCCUAAAUAUUUCAAGUAGUAUAAGAACAAACAAAAAAUAUGGGAAAAAACUAACCUUAGACAAAAGACAUAGUUCUUCUACCCGUAGGAUUCUUAAGUUUGGAAGGUUCCCAACAUCCAUCUCCAUCAACUUGGGAAGUCGAUUUAGAACCAACUCCUCCAAAUUAAGAGGGAAUGAAACCUACAUGAAAAACACAAUAUAUAAUACAUGAUAUCAUCAAUGGUAAAAAUGUGAUAAAUACAAAAAUAAUAGGUCAAUAUAAUUCAUUCACUCUCAAAUCAUAUGCAAAUUUUAAUUAUUUCCUUUUCAAAUUUAUUUUUUCUAUUAAGAAUUUCAAUAAUUUCACUUUUAAAUUCAUUGUUAUAUUUAUUUCUACUUACAAAUUAACUUUUUUUUAUUUAAAUUAAAAUGAAAUUUACUAUGUUUCCUUUUUAUUAUGUUUUUUCAUAUUAAAAAUUCCUUUUUUAACUUUAUUCUUGUUUCAAUUUCUUCUAUAUUUUAUUUAUGAUCCACUAGUUAUUUUUUUAUUUUUUGAAACUAAAUAAUAAAAUUAUUAACUUUGAUGGUUAUUUUAAAUCAAGAUUAAUUAGUCUUCUUAUAUGAAAUAAAAUAUGUUUUCCUCUUUUUUAUUUUCAUCUAACAUCUUAACCCAAUUUUCCCAAAAGCCAUUAAUUUUAACUCUUCUAAAAUUUAAAUAAAAUAUUAUUAUUUGAAUUAAAUUUUCACUAGUUCUCCUUUCUAAUUCAAUGCAAUAUUUCUUUCAAUUAGUACCUAUUUUUUUUCAUUUCUAAAUUAAAAUAAUAACUUCCAUUUUUUCCUCAUUUUUAUAUUAUUUAUAUUAACAUUUAUCCUUUUUAAAUUAAUUUUUCACAUUAAAAUUUUAUUUUUUUCAACUCAUUUGUAAUUUACUUAUUAUUCACAAUUUUUAUUAUUUAAAAUCAAAUUAAUAAAAUUAUUAUUCAAGAUUAAUGUAUUCUUCUCAUAGUUUCUUUUUAAAAAUAUUUUUAUAAUAUAUCUCCCUAAAUAUUUCAAGUAGUAUAAGAACAAACAAAAAAUAUGGGAAAAAACUAACCUUAGACAAAAGACAUAGUUCUUCUACCCGUAGGAUUCUUAAGUUUGGAAGGUUCCCAACAUCCAUCUCCAUCAACUUGGGAAGUUGUUUUAGAACCAACUCCUCCAAAUUAAGAGGGAAUGAAACCUACAUGAAAAACACAAUAUAUAAUACAUGAUAUCAUCAAUGGUAAAAAUGUGAUAAAUACAAAAAUAAUAGGUCAAUAUAAUUCAUUCACUCUCAAAUCAUAUGCAAAUUUUAAUUAUUUCCUUUUCAAAUUUAUUUUUUCUAUUAAGAAUUUCAAUAAUUUCACUUUUAAAUUCAUUGUUAUAUUUAUUUCUACUAACAAAUUAACUUUUUUUAUUUAAAUUAAAAUGAAAUUUACUAUGUUUCCUUUUUAUUAUGUUUUUUAUAUUAAUACUUAAUAUUUUUAAAAUUAAAAAUUCAUUUUUUAACUUUAUUCUUGUUUUCAAUUCCUUUAUAUUUUAUUUAUCAUCCACUAGUUUUUUUUUUUUUUUUUAAACUAAUAAAAUAUGAAAAAAAAAAUGUUUUAAUUAGUCCCCUUGUAUCAAAUAAAAUAUUAAUUUUUAUGAAUAUAUCCAAAACGUCUCAAUAGGCUUUUUAUUCUUUUUACAAUAUAACGAGUAAGCGCAUUGAAUUUUUUAUUUUUUUGAAAGAGAAAAUAUAUUCUUUUAGCUCAUUUUGAAGAAUUUUUCAUCUUUAACGAAUUAUAUCCAUCGAUAGAAUAUUUAGGGAAAACUCUGGUAAAUCAAGGAUUACAAAUCGUUUAAUACCCUUAAAUUUUUUUUUUAUAUUAUUUUCCGUUAAAACUAACAGAAAUGAGGGAUGUUUAGGACAAGAUCGGGCUGAGAGGCCAAGUGCAAUGCCAACAAAGCAGUGGAAUAUUUUCCCAAAAAAUUUCCCAAAAAAUCAAACAACUAUUACAAAGAAAUUUAUUAUUAAAUCUUAAUACUAAAUAUAUAGAGAUUCAUUUUUAUCUUUAUUUUCCAUCUAAAAAUUAUUAAAUCUAAUUUUACUUGACUAUUUUUUUUAUUAAUCCUUUUUAAUUUAUUUAUAAAACAUUACUAAUAUUUUAAGGUUUUUUUAUUCAAUUUGGACUUUUUCCAAAUAUCAAAGAGUAUCUACAAAUAAAAUAUUUUACUAAAUUCUCUUCUCAUCUUUAUAUUUUCUCCUUUUAUUAAUACACUUACAAGGUGGAAUUUAGAAUGUACAUGUAUACCCAACCUAAUUUUUCCUUUAAUAUAUCUAUUAAAAGAAGUGAUGUGAAAAAAAUAAUAAAACCAUAUAAAUAAGGUAUUAAUUAAGCUUUAACAUACCUUAUAUCUGAAAAACGGCAUGUGAAUAUCAAGAUUGCCUUGGGAACACGUUCCUUGCGAUGUCAUUUCCAACUUAGAGUCGAAGUAGCCAAAGUUCAUGAGCUCUGGUAGAUCCUCAAGUUUCAAAGAUCGUAAUUUAGGGAAUGGUUGUAAGUUGGUCUCAACAUGGUCAUCUUCUUUUAUCUCUGAUUCGCUUUCACAGACAACUAUUUGUUGUAUGACAUUGCAACUUUUUAUCUCUAUUUUUUCAAGUUGCAGAAGGCCUCUAGCCAUGGAAAGUAAAAAGAGAAAUUUCAAUCCAUGACAUUUCUCCACAUCCAGAGUUUUUAAGUUAUCAAAAAACUUUACUGGAAUUGGGCCACAACACACUUCUUCCAAGUUAAUCAACUCAUCAAGAAUCAACGACUCUAAUAAAGGAAAGGCACCAUGUUGUUGAACUCGUUGAUCCUUCGAAUCAAUGACAUAUUGAAUCUCUGGACUUGCACUAACGUGAAGAUGCUUCAGCUCACAAAAACCCUCAUCUAAUUCAUAGGGAAUACUUUUAGUACCAAUCAAUUUCCUUAACACUAGUUCUUCAGUCUUCUUUAAUAACUUGCCAAUUCCAUCUCCCACAUAUAAGCUUCUAUCAACCUCAUUGAGCUUUAAUGUUCUUGACGUUUUACAAUAUUGGUAGGACCCCCAAUCGCCUAUAAAUAUUGAAUACCUUGUUAGCUUCUCCAAGAACGUGUAUUCUUUUGGUAGCAACUUGAUAUCUGGUAUAUGUAGAUCCAAAUCUAAAAUUGUCAAGCGAGACAAAUGAUUUAGCUCAGAUAAACAAGCAUUGCUUUCACCUUCAAUCGCCCAUUGAGUAAACCUAUUCAUGUAUAAACAUUCUAAUCGAGACAAACUUGAUAAGAUAUUCCGUGGAAUAACUUCAAGUUCCCAGCAAUAGUUCAAGUCCAACAGCCUUAGAUUGGUCAAUUGCACCAUUUCAUUAGGCAAUUGUUGGAUUGUAGAACGCCUCAAGCUAAGAACUUGUAGUUUCGUUAGCUUUCCAAUCAGAGCAAUGUCUACCAACGUGCACCCAUCUAGACAUAAUGUUUGAAGAUUUGCAAGGGAAUCAAGUGAUGAAGGUAGUGUUGUAAAACACAUGUAGGACAAAUCUAAAACUUUGAGUCCUUUCAUCCCUUCGAAAAAUGUGUUCGGGAUAUUCAAAGAAGGAUUGUUGCUGUCCAAUAGACAAAAUUUAAGUUGGGGACAUACCAAGCAUUUAGGAAGCUCAUGGGCGGCUCUGCAAUUCAAAGAGAUGAAAGUGCAGCUUUUGGAUUCAUCAGUCUUUGACCAUUCUUCCAAUCGAUCGUCUUCCCUUACUACAAAUCGAUGAGGAUCCUUGGAUGCAAUUCCUCUGGCGACAUCACGAACAAUGUCAUGCAUUCUGACACAUUCAUCAUCAUCACUUUCUAGCAAUAAACUUGAAGCUUUGAGGUUGUCAAUCAACGUAUGCAGUCUAUCCCAGGCUUCUUCCAAUGAAUUGAUGUUUUGGAACCAAUCGAGACCCACACCAUAUUUAAACAAGUUAUCAAUUGGAGUAUCACCAUAAGGCAACAAACCGCAAAGCAGGAAGAAUGACUUCACCUCAUUACUGUACAAGGAAUUGUAGCUCAACUCUAGAGUGAGGAAGAUUUUUGCUUCAAUUCCUUUAACAGUGGUCUCAAUAGAUCGUGUCAGUUGUCGUAGGGCAUCCUUCCAUGCAAUCGGAUCCUUCCCAUUUAAUGCCUUUGCAACUAUAACAAUUGCAAUAGGCAAACCCGCGCAUUUUUCAAGCACCUUCUCUGCUGUAGGUUUCAAAUCACGUUUCUCAAUUGAAUCACUUGUCAUUUUUUUAAAUAAACUCCAUGCUUCUCCUGGCGGCAAAUGUCCAACAGCAAAAUUCUCUUGGGUGCCCAUCUCCCUAGACAAAACGUCACGCUCUCUAGAAGUCAGCACCAUUUUCAGCCCUCUAUGAUCCGAAGGGAUCCCGAUGGCCUUCAAAGCAAGGCCCGCCCAAAGAUCAUCUAAAAUUAUGAGAAGCUUCUUCUCUUGUGUCAACCUCUGACUAAGCCGCCCUGCUCUUCCGGUUUCGCUCUCCUCCUCAAAUUUCAAACCUAACGCAUCUGCAAUCUGUGCUUGGAUUUUCUUCAAGUCCACAGUUUGGGAUACAUAUGCCAUCACUACUCUGUCAAAUAACUUCUGUUGCUUAGCUCGUGCAGCUACUUGUUCUACCAGCGUGGUUUUGCCCACACCGCCCAUUCCCCAUACCCCAAUCAUGCUGUUCUUAUCAUCUCUCAAUGCAUCCAUUAUUUCAUUCAAAAUUGAUGUUCUUGAUUCAAAAGGGUCAUCAUUUUUAUAAGUCACGUUCGGGGCGGGGGCACUAUAUGAUACGCCAUCGGGGAAAUUGCGGUGUUCUCUGAUUUCAGCAAUAACCUGCGCCUUCUUGUGUGCUUCUCUGCCUAGCUGGUAACGUGACAUGAGGUUAGGACACCACCCAUUGAAACAGCUCUUGGUUCUGUUCUUUUCAUCUUCCAUGAAUGUCUUUGCCUCCCGUGUCUUCUUGUCUGCCCGAGUCUGCCAGUCUUGAACAAUAGGUCUGAUUUCAUCCCCACUUCUAAUAGCUGCAUCAACAGUUAUCUGAAGGUCACCCCUCACACGCCCCAAUUCCUGAAUCUUCUUGUCGAGUUCAUCCAUGUGGCUGCGGUAGCAAAACAGAUAACUAAGCUGGCGUCCAAUUGGAGCAACCAAGUACUCUGAAACUUUUUCAACAACGGCACUAACGAUCUCUGUCAUUUCGUCUCAGUUGGAUUUUUUUUUUUUUUUUGGGAAAACAGAAGGGAAAUGAGGAAAAAACAGAAACAAUUGAAAGCAGGAACAAGAGGAAACUAAACUAAGAGAGUGGAAGAAAUGGACGGGGCAGAGAGACGGGUCACCAAGAAAAUGAAAAGCAGAAUCAGAAGUGAAUAUGAGUGAAGCUAAAAAAGAAGUAGGGAGUGGAGGUGGAGAAAGCUCAAGGAAUGCGUACAAUUUGAUUCAGUGUGACAAAACACAAGCAAAAAGCAAGCAGAUCCCUGAUGUAAGGCUGAAUUUAGAUUACCCGACUAUGAAGACAGAUGAGAAUAUUUUUUUUUUUUCUUUUUUUGAGAAUUUGGUUUUGUCGGAAAACAGAUGGGAACCGAUGAGAAAAUAAGAGGAAAAUAAGAAGAGAGUAGAGGAAAUGAAAAUAAACAAGGAAAUGAAGGGAGGAGAGUUUCUGUUCCAAACAGAGAUGUGGUGAAGGGAUCAGAGGUGUCUGUGAGUGAAGUUAGCAAUGGAUGAUAAAAUGGCAAAGGUGUAGAAAGUGAAGAGAUGGAGAAAGCUCAAGGAAUGCUUGUAAUUUGAUUCAGUGCGACACAAAGAGAACAAGGAAAGACGGUGUUUUGGAAGCAAAAAAGCAGCAGAUCCCUGAUGUAAGGCUGAAUGUGAAGACUGAAGAGGCGAUUAGAGUUGUAGGUAAGAGAGAGAGUAGCAGCAGCAGGGUUCACCACACCACGAAAAUUGAUUAAUGAUUUGAGUGUAUUUAGGCAUUUUUAACAAAAACAAAUAUUUUUCAGCCUUGGAUUCCAAUGGCCGGCAGCAUGGAUUAUUACAUUUAUUAUGGAUUAUUAUAUUAGCUUAAAAAAUAUUUUUAACUUUUUAAAUACUUAAAUGAUUGAUAAGAUGCUUAUUAAUUUAUACAAUAUUUUUGUAAUUUUUCUUUUUUACUAUUAACGCUUUUAAAGAGAAUCAGGCUAAUGACUAUAUUUUUGGCAUAAAAAUGAAAUGUAAAUUAAAGCAAGAUGGAUUCCUUUACACAAAUCCCCUAUUAUUAUUAUUAUUAUUAUUAUUAUGGGUCCCAUGUAUAUGCAAGUACAUGAGUUUUGACGCAAAAUAGAACAUUGAAAAGAAAAAAUUCAUAAAAUAAACUUAUAUCCAAAAUAAUGUUCAAUUUAAUACGUAUCUGCCACAUAAAUUGUCAUAUCAUAAAAUCGUAAUUGGUGACUAUGAUUUUAUUUUUCUAAAACAGUUAGCAACCAUAGUCAGCAACUAUGACUUUAACUUUAAGUUUAAAACUACUGGUGAUUAUGAUUUUGAAUUCUUUUUAAAAUUGUCAAAACCAUAAUCACUAAUUACUAUUUAAACUUUAAUUUAUAUAUAUAUAUAUAUAUAUAUAUAUAUAUAUAUAUAUAUAUAUAUAUUAAUUUUAUUAAAACAAUUGGUACUAUAUUUAAUAUAAAUAUAAUUAAUUAAAUAUAAAUAAAAUAUAAUAAAUUAUAUUUCUUUAAAAUAAAUAAAUUAUGAAAGCCUAUUUAGAAAAAAAAACAAAUGAUAUAAAUUAUUAUAUUAAUUAAUAAAUUUUUAUGUAUUAUUUGUAAGUGAUAUAUAAUAUCACCUAUAUAUAAAAGUUUAAUUUAAGUUUAAAAUCUAUCAUAUUUUUAUUUAAAUAUUUAAAUAAAUUAUUAUCGAUAUAAUAUUAUGAACUUAAAUUAAAAUGUAAUAAAUUUAAAUUUAAAUUGAACUUACAUACAUGUGAUACUAUAUAUAUAAAAAAAUUAUUAAUUAAUAUAAUAAUUUGUAUUAUUUAUUUUUUUAAUAGGCUUUCAUAAUUUAUUUGUUUUAAAUAAAUAUAAUUUAUUAUAUUUUAUUUAUAUUUAAAUAUUAUUAACUAAAUUUAUUUAUAUUAAAUAUAGUGUCUAUUGUUUUAAUAAAAUUUUUAAAAAUAUUUUUACAGCAAAUAAAAAAUAUUAAUUAUUUAAUUUCAUAUGUUAUUAUUUUUUAAAUAAUGAAAUAAGUUUAUUUAAAAUUAAAAUAAUAUAAUAUUUGUAUUUAAAAAAAUUAAAAUUAUAUAUAUAUAUAUAUACAUGUAUGUAAUUGAUAAUUACCAUUUUGACCAUUUUUAAACAAAUUUAAAAUCAUAUCAAUUGUGACUUUAAAUUUAAAAUUCAAAUCUGGGUUAGUGAUUAUGGUUUUUAAUCAUACGGUUUAAAAAAAAUAAAAUCGUUGUCAUCCAUUACGAUAUUAUGACAUGAAAGUUUAUAUAGAAAUGAUACAGUAGGGUAUUAUUUUGAAAGUAUGUUUAUUUUUUUUAUUUUUUUUAAUCUACUAUUUUGGGUCAAAAUUCCGAGUAUAGAAAGGGGUUAUUAACGUCAACCAGUGAAAAUAGCUGUAGCAAUGAAGAAAGAAGAAAAAGAUGGAGACAAUUAUGAAACAUGAUGUGAACUGUGAAUGGAAGAGGGAUGCGGCUGUCUUUUCCCAAUUCAAAUUACCUGCAUGUGGCUCCCACAUCCCAUUCAAUAUUCACACACCUUCGGCUACUAAAAUUAUUUCCCUUUUGUCGUCUUUAAUGACCACAAAAUUACUUAACCAUAAUUCAUUAUACAUGUUUUAAAAAAUAUAUAUGAAUAAAUGUGUACGCUUCCUAAAUUUUUUAUUUUAAAAAUAAAAAAUAAAAAAUAUUAUCUUUUAUAAAAUAUACCAUACGUUUAUAUUGAAAAGAUAAAAAUUUAAGAGUUGAGACAUCGAAAAAAUGUUAUACCUUAAAAUUUUAAGAUAAUUUAAAAAAAUAUAAAUUAAAUCUAAUUUAUAUAUAUAUAUAUAUAUGUAUUGAAUUUAUUAAUAUAUUCUAUUCUAACAAGAAAAAAAAAACAUAUCAAGGUAUAAAAUUUGUUUCACUUCUUUUUUUUUUUUUUUAACUUUUAAAAUGGAAAAUUAUCACCCAAUUCACCCACUUUUUUUUUUAUUUACUAAACCAAUAAUAUGGGUGUAUAAUCAUAAAAUAAAAUAAAAAGUAAAAAAUUUAUUUGAUUUCAUUAGGAUGAAAAUGAAAAACAAAACUAUAACCACCAAUAAAAGAACACAAAUACGUGGCAUGUAGCUCUAUCAAUUUUCAAUAACAAAGACAAAUAUUUUGAGCCUUGGAUUGCUUUACAUGAACCAUUCCUAUCUCUACUGAAAAGGGGCUCCCAUCCAUUAUUCCCCUCAAUAAGUGAAACAAUCAUAACAAUGAAGAAAAUAGAUAAAAAAAACAGACACAUAUGAAAUCACAAUCCAUUAUGCAGAUUUCAAAAAAUAUAUGUGAAUUAAUUGAAAUAAGUUAAUUAAAUUUAUUUUUAUGUAGAAAAUACGUUGUAUGAUGUAAUUUUAUUAUAAUAUUAUAAAAUUGGUAAAGACUCCGCUGAACACAAUUUGCACUAAAAGGAAUAAUAAAGUAAACAAAAAAUGUUUAUCCUGAUAGAUUUUGUAUAUCCUAUCAUUAGAAUCAAAAUAAAAUUGAGAGUAUUUUUAAGUGUUAACACUAUCAUACAUUCCACAACUCUACACAUUAAUAAAAAAUAAUAAUUUUGACUUAUUAUUUAAUCACACUUAUUUUUAGUAUUAUGUGUAUAAAAAAUAUAUUAAUUUAGAUUUUUUUUUGUUAUAUUUUUGUAUUUUUUAAUAUUAAAAGAUUUUAAAUAAUUUCAAAACACAUGUCACUAAAUAAAAAUUGUGAAAGAUAUCUUCACAUGGUUAAAACUAUAGUAGAUUCUAAAUACUUUUACAACUUUUUUUUUAUUAAGAAUAUUUUUUUCCCAAUUUUCUGUAGAAGUUAAAAACCCAAGCUGCACUUUCCAGAAUCAAAUCUCAAUAAGCCUGAGGACACACCACUAAAACUAAAUAACAAUGUUUGAUUGAAUACUUAUAUAUCAUAUAUGACAUCAAUUUGAAUAUAUAACAUAUUUUAUAUUGUGCUACUAUUUAAUUUGUUCAAAGACUAAAAAUUGAAGUGAAAAAAUAUAUUUUAUCUCAAUUUUAAUCUUUUUAAGGGAAAAUAUAUUGCAUCUGAAGUUUAAUGCAUGCCCCUUCAAACAUGAGGGAGGAACAAUGUGAAGCCUGUCUCAAAUAUGUUGAAAGCAAGUGAUUGAGAGAGGUGAAGAAUUUCUCCAAUUUCUCCAACUUCAAAUAUGUUAGAUCCAAUUAUAAGAAUAAAAAAUUUUAUCUAUAAAAAAAAAAAAAUCAUUAUAGUAUUUUUCCUUUUUUUAUUUAAUUAACAAACAUAUUUUACUUUUUAUUUUUUAAAAAUAAAAACAAAUUAUAAGCACCAAAUAUAUUUAAUAUUUAAAAAAACCAAAUAAAAGUGCAUCCAAAUGAUACCCAGUCUAUUAAUUCUAUUUGAUUUUAUUAAUUUGUAUUAAAUUAUGAAAAGUCAAGCAAUUAAUUUUAUAUGACUUUAAUAUAAUAAUUUCAAAAUUUUGAGGAAUAAAAAAAGGAAAAAAAAAAAAGUAAUGCUUGUACAAGUUAGAAGUGGUAGAUGAGUGAUAUUUUUUUAUUUAAGAUUUAAAUUGAAAUUGUGUUAACCCCUACCUCAGAGUCUGAGAGGCUAAAACGUAAGGAAAAAAAUCGGGAUAUCAUACCCCAGAGGCUCCCGUUAUUAGGCUCAAACAGUGAAAGAUACUGUAGCAAUAAAUAAAAUAAAGAAAAAGACAGACACAUUCAAUGACUUUAAAUUCCUUUGUCUGCCAUUCACCACCUCCCACAAGUCAUUCAAGUUUCAGUCUCCUUUGGCCGCUUUAAUCUCUUCUUCUUUGACUAUAAAAAAUAAUCAUAAUUUAUUUAUCAUACGUGUUUUAAGAUAUAAUAUAUGUGAUAUGAUCUAAUUUUUGCUAAUUUAUUUCCAUUUAAUCUCUUCUCCAACAAUAAAAAAUAAUCAUAAUUUAUUUAUCAUACAUGUUUUUAAGUUAUCAAAUAGGUGGGUGGGCAUUCACAAUGACGAUCACUUACUUAUCUCAUUAAAACAUGCUUUAAACAAAAACCAUAAGAUCACUUACUUCGAAUUCUUAAAAUUGUCUAUGUUGUUCUUUAAUAAUCAUAAUUUUGACUUUUUUUUGUCAACUUAAAAAUAAUGUUUAUACAAGCUAGAAGUCGGCCUAUUUCCAAACUUAUAACAUCAUUGGUAUUAUUAUUAUUUUUUUUUAAAGAAAAAACAAAAACAGAUAGAUGAAGUAUUAUAGGAUCACCCACUUAGUUACUAAUUCCUUUUUGUCUCGAGAACUUGACAAUAUGAUGAGAUUUUAAUGUAAUAUUAUAAACUCAUUGUGAAAGACAUCUCAUCUUAAUUUUAAUUUUUUAAAAUAAAAAUAUAUGACAUCUUAAUGCCUGAUUUAAAAAAAAAAUAUAAUAUUAUUUAACCAUUUCUUCAAAAUUUAUUUCUCAUUGUUUAUUUUUUAAAUAAAAAAAUUAAAACUAAUUUCGUAAAACAUGUUUGGUAAUGUAUUUUACUUUUUACUUUUAAAUUUGAUAACAAAAAAUUGAAAAUAAAGAUAUAAAAUUUGUUUGAUAUCUAACAAGCUCUUAAUUUAUACAAAUAAUUCUGUAAAUUUUUAUUAUUAAUAUUAUUAUUAUAAAUGGUUUUAAAGAGAAUCGUCUAAUGAUUACAUUUUUGGCUUAAAAAUGAAUAUGUAAAUUAAAUGAGAUUGAGUGUGAAAUCACGAGACUGAAGACCCUGCCAUAUCAUGCUUGCAUUUUAAAAAAAAGACAAAAAUCUUCAGCCUUGGAUUCCUGUACACGAAUUCCCUACAAUUAGUAUUGUUGUUGUGGAGCCCUUGUAUCUGCAAUACUGAAAAGGGCUUCCAUUAUUAACGUCAAUCAGAGAAAACAGCUGUAGCAAUGAAGAAAGUGGAAAAAAGAUGGAGACAUUUCUGAAACACGAUGUGACCUCUGAAUGGAGACAUAUAAUUUGAGGGAUGUGGCUGUCACACCAUGUUCAAUAGUCAGGCGCCUUUGGCUAUUGACAAUUUAAUUAUUUCCCUCUUAUCUUCUAUAAUGACUAAAAAAUUACUUAAUCAUAAUUCAUUAUACGUGUUUUAAAAUAUACCCUUCCUAAUUUUUUAUUUUAAGAACAAAAGAUUAAAAUAAUAUUAUCUUUAUAUAAUAUACCAUAUGUUUAUAUUAAAAAGAUAAAAAUUUAAAUGUUGAGAUAUAAAAAAAAUUAUAUCUUAAUUUUUUAUAUAGAAUUUAUUAAUAUAUUCUAUUUUAAUUAAAAAAAAAACAAAAGGAAGAAGAAGAAGAAGAAGAAGAAGAAGAAGAAGAAGAAGAAGAAGAAGAAAGAAACGUAUCAAGGUAUAAAAUUUGUUUCACUUUUUUUUUUUUAACUUUUAAAAUAGAAAAUUACCAACCAAUUCACCCAUAAUUUUUUAUUUUUACUAAACCAAUAAUAUGGGUGUCUCAAUCUCAACUAUGAUCAUAAAAAAUAGCAAAAAAAUUUAUUUGAUUUCCUUUUGAUGAAAAUGAAAAACAAAACUAUAACCACCAAUAAAGGAAUACAAAUACUGACAUGCAACUCACAUGAAAGUGGGCUAUCAGUUUUCAAUAACAAAGACAAAUACGUUGAGCCUUGGAUUCCUUUAUAUGAACCAUUCUUAUAUCUACUGAAAAGGAGCUCCCAUCCAUUAUUGCCCUCAAUAAAUGAAACAGCUGUAGCAAUCAAGAAAAUAGAGAAGAAGACAAAUCACAAGCAGCGAUUCUAAAUUCCAUGAUCUGCCAUUUCCCACCUGCAUUUGACUCCCACAACACAUUCAAGUUUUGGUCUCCUUUGACUGCUAAAUUAUUUCCAUUGAUCAUUGAUCAGGCCUUAAGACUCUCAAAGUAGAAAAAAUUGUAAGGUUCAAAUAUGUGGGGAGUUGGAUUCCUUAUAGGAGAUAUUAUCUAUUAAGGAUGAGCACAAGUUGGUAUUAACUUUAAUUGGUGAAAGCAACUACACAAAUAAAGAAAACAAAGAAUAAAAUAAAAGGUAUUAAACAUGAUGUGAGUUGGAAAUCCAUGUCAAUGACUCGGGGUUCGAAAAGAAAUAGAAGUGUAUCCAAAUGAUACCCUAUCUAUUCAUUUUAUUUUAUUUUAUUAAUUUGUAUUAAAUUUAUGAAAAUUCAAGCAAUUAAUUUUAUAUGACUUUAAUAUGAUAAUUCAAAAUUUUCAGUAAAAAAAAUAAUGUUGUUCAAUUUAGAAGUGGAUCCAUUUCCAAACAUGAAAGAUCAUUAGUACUAUCCGUACUUAAAAAUAAAGCAAAAUAUGGUAUUUCUGGAUACAAGAUUUAAAUAGAAAUUAUGUUUACCCUUACCUUAAAUUCUUAGAAGUUAAAUAGUAGGGGAAAAAAUGGGUUAAAUUAUGUAAAAUUUAUAUCACUUUCCAUUUCUUUUCUUUCUUUUUGGUAAAAUCUACAAAAAAUAAAAAAUAAAAAAAAAUUCAUUACCAAUCAUUUAAGAACUUUUUUACAACUUUAAAUGAGAUGAUUGCGAUCUUUAAUUUUUUGUUAAACAAUAUGUAAGUGUUGUACCUUUGUAUUCUUAAAUUUGUCUGAAUGUAAGAAGUUCAUGAUUUAAAUUUUUCAUUAACAAUUCUCCGAUUCUUAAUUUACAACUAUGUCUACAAAGAGGAUGAAAUCUCAACCACAAUUCAUUUAAGAAUGAUUUUAACUAGGUCUAAAAAGUGGACAAUCUUGAAAUUAUAAUCCAACUUGAAAUAAAAAAUCUCAAUCAUAAUUUAUUUGAGAAUGAUUUUGGUUAAAAAUAUAUUUAGAGUGUGUUAAUAAUGAUUUUAGGAAAAAAAAUUUAAUUUUUUUCAUACGAUAAAAUUUUUAAAUGUUAAAAAUAUUAAAAGCAAAUUCCUAAAAUCAUUAUUAAAUAAAUUCUUAAUUUAUACAACAUGUUUAUUAAUAAUUUAUUUUAUUAUAAAUGCUUUUAAAGAGAAUGAUUCUCAGGAUUACAUUUUUGGCUUGAAAAUGAAUAUGUAAAUUAAAGCAAAAUAGAAAUGAAAUGAGAUUGAGUGUGAAAUGUAAAUAAAUUAACAAGACCAAGUGAUGUAUAUGUGGUACUGAAAAGGGCUUCCAUUAUUAACAUCAAUUAGUGAAAACAACUGUAGCAAUGAAGAAACUAGAAAAAGAUGGAGGCAUUUAUUAAACAUUUGAUGGGCAUACAAUUUGAGGGAUGUGGCUGCCUUUUCCAUAUUCAAAUCACCUGCAUGUGGCUCCCACAACCCAUUCAAUAUUCAGACCCCUUUGCCCACUCAAAUCAUUUCCCUUUUGUCGUCUUUAAUGACCACGAAAUUACUUAAUCAUAAUUCAUUAUACAUGUUUUAAAAUAUAUAUAUAUGAAUUAAAAUUAAAAAUUAAAAUGGUAUUGUCUUUUGUAUGAUAUAUAAGAACUUUUUAGAUGUUUAUAUUAAAAAGAUAAAAAUUUAUACAAAAUUGAAAUAUAAAAAAAAGAAAGAUAAUUUUUAAGAUAUAAAGUAAAUCUAAAUUCCAUUAUUACCCUCAAUAAGUUAAGCAACUAUGUAGAAGGCAUAGAUAUGGAAUCACACUCAACGAUUCUAAAUUCCUUGGUCUGCCAUUCCACACCUGCAUUUGACUUUCACAACACAUUAAGUUUCAGUCUCUUUUGACUGCUAAAUUAUUUUCAUUCAUCAUUGAUCAUGUGUUAAUAGUCUCAAAGUCAAAAUAAUUACAGGGUUCAAAUACUUUUAGAGUUGGAUUCCUUGUUAUUUCCACAUUAAAAUUAAGUAGGUGGCCCACUAACCUAGUAUUUAGCCAAUUAAAAGAAUACCCAAUAUCUUUAAACUGUUAUAAAGAUAUUUACCCUUGAUGGAGUGGGUAAAUUAUAAUAAUUGUAAUAUUAUUAUUUGGAAUAAAAAACAGUUAUUCGAAUAACACGUUCAGAACGGUUUUUGAACGUGUAUUCUUGGCCCUCUUCUCCUAUCAAUAAGAUAUAUAUACAGAAACCCCUUCAUGUGCGGUGUGUGCUCUCUUCCAUCAAUUACAGAAAACAAUUCUGUGUAUUAAAGUUUGAUAAGGAGAAGAAGAGAUCAAGGAUUUAAGAUCUAUAAACUGAAGGAAAAUCUCUCAUGGCUGCGUGUUCUUCAAACGGUAUGUAAUCUAUUUUUAAUUAAUGUUUUUAUUAUUUUAUUAUUAGAGAUGAGUUUGAAUUCAAUGAUCUGGAUUAUUGUGUGUUAAUUUCCGUAUUAAAUUUCAACAAUUGGUAUCAGAGCAAGGUUGAAUUUAAAUAUUCAGAAUCAUUGUUUUAUAAAGAUUAAAUUUUGAGAUUUAUGUUUGAUUAAUUCGUCUCACUAAAAUGAAUAAAAAAAAAAUUAAUUAAACAAAGUAAAGACCAGCCUCAACGCAUAGAAGGAAGAUUUUUAUUUUUCCUUGCAACGUUGACUGGAUCAAUGCCGGUGAGGGGCGCUGGUUUGGUGUUAGUCCGAUGGCUGUUUUCAGGCGCCAUUGCUGGCCAUUUUCAGGCGCCAUUGCUGGUCAUUUGGUUUGUCUACCCCUUAGCCACUUGAUUUAGACACGGAGAAUUAGGCCUCAUGGGUAGACCUUACACCCUUGAGAGCCUAGGAGGAAAGUAAGGAAAGCCUGGAGGUUUGGUGGUUCAAACCCCAGGAGCUAAGUGUGGGGAUCGCGGACAAGUCAAGCGCGCACUCCAGAUAGGCGUUACCGAAGGAUCCGGACAUGUCUGCCCAGGAAGUUGAAUCGUCCUCCUCUCCCAUCCGGCGACAGGGGUGCCGGAUGUGAUGGUAUCAACAGGGGUGCCUGAUGUGAGAUAUCCGGAGAGGUGGAACAUCGGUCGGACAGGCGCCAGAUAUGAGAUAUCCGGGUGGAAUGAGGGAUUCCCGUCCGAGUGGAAUGAAAUGAUUAUUAACUCAAAUAAAAGAAUUAAUUUCAUCUUGUGAAAUUUUAUCCAAAUGACAAUUUAUAAAUGUAAGGUUAACUAAUUUAGAUAGUUGCCAAAGUAACCUAAAUUAGUGAGCCUUGUAUUUAUUGAAUUGCAUAAAAGAAUAAAGGGAGACUUGUAAAAUUUUUAAUAAUUCUCUUCAUAAUUAGGAGAAUGAGACUAACCCAAAGGAGAGUCAAUUUCUGCUAAUUAUUAAUUAAUGUUUUUAUUUUGUGUUGCUUAGAAAGGUAAAAUGGAUACCCAAAGGUAACAUAUAAAUGACACAAAAUAGUAAAGUGUUUUAAGAUCCUUCCAAGUGAACACUGGAUAUGUUAAAAUUUACCCAAAGGAGAAUUUUAAUGAUAUCAAUAGUUCAUUGCUAUUUAUUUUAUACUUGAGGCCUUAUUGUGAGCAUUGUUCUAUUUUGUACAGUUCCCACUUCAUUACACUCUCUUGCAUCUGGAAUGACUGUUUUUGAUGGGUUGAACUUUUCUGAAUGGUAUGAAAGGGUUCAAUUCUCACUGGGCGUAUUGGAUCUUGACCUGGCUUUAAUAACGGAUAAACCUCCUGAAGCUACGGAUGACAGUACUCCAGAGCAAGUGGAACAAUCAAAAGCCUGGGCAAGAUCCAACAGACUCAGUCUGAUGUUUAUGAGAAUGACUAUUGCCAAUAAUAUCAAGACCUCUUUCCCUCAACCGAGUUUGCCUCGGAAUUUCUAAAAUCUGUUGAGGAGCGCUUCAAACGCGCUGAUAAGUCCCUUGCAAGCACAUUGAUGGCUGAAUUGACCACCAUGAAAUAUGAUGGUUAGAAAGGUAUUCAGCAACAUAUUUUAAACAUGAUUGAAAAGGUUGCAAAGCUUAAGGCACUAGGCAUGGGUAUGGAUGAGUCCUUCUUGGUACAGUUUGUCCUUAACUCACUUCCAUCACAGUUUGCUCCAUUCAAAAUCCACUAUAAUACUAACAGUGAUCAGUGGAACUUGAAUGAGCUCACCAGUAAAUGUAUAUAAGAGGAAGUGAGAUUAAGACAAGAAGGACAUAAUCUUGCUCUUGCUGUAACUCAUGCAGUCACGAAGAAGAAAGGAAAAUUCAAAAAAGGAAAGAACUUUCCACCUAAGAAAAGCGGACCUGGGGAAGGUAGCCAGAGUCAUGAUGGAAAAUUCACGGUAAGUUGCUACUUUUGUGGCAAGAAAGGGCAUGUGAAGAAGGACUGUAUCAAGCGCAAGGCUUGGUUCAAAAAGAGAGGUAUAAAUCUUUCUUUUGUAUGUUAUGAAUCCAAUCUUGCUGAAGUUCCUUCAAAUACUUGGUGGAUUGAUUCUGGAGCCACAACUCAUGUGACUAAUUUAAUGCAGGGAUUCCUUACAACCAGGAAACCAAAGGAAAGUGAAAAGUUCCUCUAUAUGGGAAGCCGUCUCAAGGUUGAAGUGGUAGCUGUUGGUACCUAUCGCUUACUAUUAGAGACGGGUCAUCAGAUGGAUCUUUUAAACACUUUUUAUGUACCUUCUAUCUCUAGGAAUUUAGUUUUCUUGUCUAAAUUCGAUGCUACUGGAUAUUCUGUUUUAUUCAGCUCUGGACAAUUAAGUUUGAUGUUAAAUUCUAUUACAGUUGGUUCUGGUAUUUUAUGUGAUGGUUUAUAUAAAAUUUCCUUGAAUCAUGAAUUUGCACAAGCUUUGAUAACCCUGCAUUCAAAUGUUGGUUCAAAACGUGGCUUAAUUAAUGAAAAUUCUUCAAUCUUGUGGCACAGAAGACUAGGGCACAUCUCUAGGGAAAGAAUUGAGAGAUUAGUGAAGGAAGGAAUUUUACAAAAUCUUGACUUCACUGAUUUUCAUGUAUGUGUGGAUUGCAUAAAGGGAAAGCAAACUAAACAUACAAAGAAAGGUGCCACAAGAACUAAUGAGCUCCUUGAGAUAAUUCAUACAGAUAUUUGUGGACCACUCUCUGUUCCAUGUUUUACAGGAGAGAAAUAUUUUAUCACCUUUAUAGAUGAUCUAUCUCGUUAUGGUUAUGUUUAUCUAAUGCAUGAAAAGUCUCAGGCCAUUGACAUCUUCGAGAUGUUCAUAAUAGAGGUCGAGAGACAAUUAGAUAAAAAGAUUAAAAUUGUGAGAUCAGAUCGAGGCGGUGAAUAUUAUGGCAGAUAUGAUGAAUCAGGACAAAAUCCUGGUCCUUUUGCCAAAUUCCUUGAAAAGCGUGGCAUUCGUGCUCAGUACACAAUGCCUAGUACACCACAGCAGAAUGGUGUUGCUAAAAGGCGUAAUCGCACAUUAAUGGAAAUGGUUAGGAGUAUGAUGAGUUACUCUUCUGUACCUAUUUCAUGGUGGGGUGAAGCCUUAAAAACCGCAAUGUAUAUCUUGAACAGAGUUCCCAGUAAGGCAGUUCCAAAAACUCCUUUCGAGAUAUGGACUGGUAGGAAACCUAGCUUGAGACAUAUACAUAUAUGGGGUUGUCCAGCGGAGGCAAGAAUCUAUAACCCACAUGAGAAAAAGCUUGAUUCAAGAAUGAUAUCUGGAUAUUUCAUUGACUAUUCGAAUAAAUCGAAAGAGUACAGAUUUUAUUGUCCUAACCAUAGUGUGAGAAUAGUUGAAACCGGUAAUGCCAGAUUCUUAGAGAAUGGCGAAAUCAGUGGGAGUAAUGAACCAAGAAAGGUAGAUAUUGAGGAGAUAAGAGUGGAUAUCCCACCACCUUUUUUACCUCAAGAAAUUAUUGUCCCUCAACCUGUUCAACAAGUUGAGGAAAAUGAGCAACAUAAUAGAGAUGGUUCAUUACCACCAGAAAAUAUUGCCAUUGAAAAUGCUGUAGAGCCACCACAACCGACACCUUUGAGGACAUCUCAAAGAGAAAGGAGACCUGCCAUUAUAGAUGAUUAUGUGGUGUAUCUACAGGAAUCUGAUUUUGAUAUUGGGAUAAGGAAGGAUCCGGUUUCGUUUUCACAAGCCAUGGAAAGUGAUGAUUCUAGUAAAUGGAUGGAAGCUAUGAAUGAAGAGUUGAAAUCUAUGGCCCAUAACGGUGUCUGGGAUCUCAUCGAAUUGCCUAAUAGUUGUAAACCCGUCGGCUGUAAAUGGGUCUUUAAGACAAAGCGCGACGCUAAAGGCAAUAUCGAACGAUUUAAGGCCAGACUUGUGGCCAAAGGUUUCACUCAAAAGGAAGGUAUCGAUUACAAAGAUACCUUCUCUCCGGUUUCCAAGAAAGAUUCGCUUAGAAUCAUCAUGGCACUUGUAGCUCAUUUUGAUUUAGAAUUACAUCAAAUGGAUGUGAAAACUGCAUUCUUAAAUGGGAAUUUGGAUGAAGAUAUCUACAUGGAACAACCUGAAGGGUUCGCAAAGAAAGGAAAUGAACACCUAGUUUGCAAAUUAAAGAAAUCCAUUUACGUCUUAAACAAGCUUCCAGACAUGGUAUAUUAAGUUCAUAAUACAUUACAUAGUUCGGAUUUAAAGAGAACNNNNNNNNNNNNNNNNNNNNNNNNNNNNNNNNNNNNNNNNNNNNNNNNNNNNNNNNNNNNNNNNNNNNNNNNNNNNNNNNNNNNNNNNNNNNNNNNNNNNUAAAGAAAUCCAUUUACGGUCUUAAACAAGCUUCCAGACAAUGGUAUAUUAAGUUCAAUAAUACCAUUACAUAGUUCGGAUUUAAAGAGAACAUUGUUGAUCAGUGUAUAUAUCUGAAAGUUAGUGGGAGCAAGUUUAUAUUUCUGAUACUAUAUGUGGAUGAUAUUUUGCUUGCUAGUAGUGAUCUUGGUUUAUUACGUGAAACCAAGGAAUAUCUCUCUAAAAACUUUCAUAUGGUUGAUAUGGGUGAGGCAAACUAUGUUAUUGGCAUUGAGAUCUUUAGGGAUCGAUCUCGAGGAGUGCUAGGUUUAUCUCAGAAAGGAUAUAUUGAUCGGGUUUUAAAGAGAUUUAAUAUGCAGUCAUGUUCAUCGGGUAUUGCACCUAUAUUGAAAGGUGACAAAUUAAGUAAAAUGCAGUGCCCAAGGAAUAACAUGGAAAUGGAGCAAAUGAAGAAAAUUCCUUAUGCAUCAGUUGUGGGGAGUUUGAUGUACGCUCAAACAUGUACAAGACCGGAUAUCAGCUUUGCUGUAGGUAUGUUAGGAAGAUACCAAAGUGAUCUAGGAUUCGAACACUGGAAAGCUGCAAAGAAGGUGAUGAGGUACUUACAAGGGACAAAGGAUUAUAUGCUCACAUAUAAAAGAUCAGAACAAUUAGAGGUUGUCGGUUACUCGGAUUCUGAUUAUGGUGGUUGUCUCGAUAACUUAAAGUCAACUUCAGGAUUUGUCUUUAUGCUAGCAAAUGGGGCAAUUUCGUGGAAGAGUGAAAAACAAUCAAUUACUGCUUCAUCUACGAUGGAGACCGAGUUUGUUGCUUGUUUUGAAGCUUCAAGUCAUGCUUUAUGGUUGCGGAAUUUUAUCUCAGGGCUUGGUGUUGUCGACUCUAUUGCUAAACCUUUGAGAAUAUACUGUGAUAACACCGUAGCUGUUUUCUUCUCUAAGAAUGACAAAUUUUCUAGUGGAUCGAAACACAUGGAUUUAAAGUAUUUAGUUGUUAAAGAAAGAGUCCAGAAACAACAAGUGUCAAUUGAAAAUAUUAGGACCACACUUAUGGUUGCUGAUCCAUUAACAAAAGGAUUACCUCCAAAGGCAUAUUUGGAACAUGUUAUGAGGAUGGGCCUUUUGAGUAAUCCAUAAUAUGUAUGAUAAUGAAUGGUAGUUAUGUAAUUGACAAUUUGCACAUUAAAAUUGUUUCUGUUUAUUCUUGUUUUCAAUUAUGGGUGCACGUUUUAUUGUUUGAUAAACAAGAAUUGUCCUAACAAGACAAAUUACAGGGGCUAUUUGGCAUUAAGGACUGGGUUAGUAAGGGUUAUUGAUGUGUGGUGCAUGGAAGGAAACAUGACAUUAUGGUCAUGUGACCGCCAUGACUCGCAUUUAUGAUCUAAACUGAUUCAGUAUUAUGGUAUAUGAUUUUGGAUGUAUUGACUAAGUUUAUUGAAAUCGUGAUCACGUGUCAAAUUUAUUUUCCAGUAUAUAUUAUAUAUAAACUAAAUAUAUUAUAGUUUUCAUAAUCGGUUUAGUGGGCCAAGUGGGAGAAUGUUAUUUCCACAUUAAAAUUAAGUGGGUGGCCCACUAACCUAGUAUUUAGCCAAUUAAAAGAAUACCCAAUAUCUUUAAACUGUUAUAAAGAUAUUUACCCUUGAUGGAGUGGGUAAAUUAUAAUAAUUGUAAUAUUAUUAUUUGGAAUAAAAAACAGUUAUUCGAAUAACACGUUCAGAACGGUUUUUGAACGUGUAUUCUUGGUCCUCUUCUCCUAUCAAUAAGAUAUAUAUGCAGAAACCCCUUCAUGUGCGGUGUGUGCUCUCUUCCAUCAAUUACAGAAAACAAUUCUGUGUAUUAAGGUUUGAUAAGGAGAAGAAGAGAUCAAGGAUUUAAGAUCUAUAAACUGAAGGGAAAUCUCUCAUGACUGCGUGUUCUUCAAACGGUAUGUAAUCUAUUUUUUAAUUAAUGUUUUUAUUAUUUUAUUAUCAGAGAUGAGUUUGAAUUCAAUGAUCUGGAUUAUUGUGUGUUAAUUUCCGUAUUAAAUUUCAACAUUCCUUACAUGAGAUAUUAUCCAUUGUGGAACCCAUGUCCACUAAGGAUGAGCUUCCGUUGGUGCUAACUUUAAUUGAUGAAAGUAGCUACACAAAUAAAGAAAAUAAAUAAUAAUUUUGACUUAUUAUUUAAUCAAACUUAUUUUUAAUAUUAUGUCUAUAAAAAAUAUAUUAAUUUAGGAUUUUUUUUUUGUUGUGUUUUUAAAAUUUUUUUAAUAUUAAAAAGUUUUAAAUAAUUUCAAAACUCAUGUUUGAUAACCUACUAAACCUAAUUAUCUUUAAAUUUGAUAAUAAGAAUAAAAGAUGAAAGUAUAAAAAAAUUUUCAUUUCUAAAUUUUUUAAAAUAAAAAAUCAUCAACCAUAACUUACUUACAAUUUAUUUAUUUAUUUUUAUCAAACCAACAAGGUUUCGUACUUUUUAGAUUGAUGAAAAAAUUCUUCAAAAAUCAUAAGGAAUAAUCAUAACAUAUUUUCUUUAUUUUUAUUUCAUAAUAAUAAAAAAAAAUUUUUAUUCUACAACUAGAAACAAAAUUGGUACUAUAAUGGCUAAUAGUCAUAAAAAUUAGAAAUACACUUGAAAAAUCAUUUAUUUUUCAGUUUUUAAAAAUAGUAAAAACAAAAUUGUACAUUGUUGACACGUUAAUUAAUCAUCUUAUUUUAUUAGUUUAUGUUAUAUUAUUAAGAUAUAAUUAAUUAUUAAUGUAUCAUUUUAAUAGAGUAGUUAAAAAUUAGAAAUAUUAAUUCUUUUCUCAAUCACCACCAAAUAGAAGUAUUACCAAUUUUGUGUUAAUGGACAAAAAUGAACAUUUCGUGCACUUAUUCCAUCAUUUUGUGUAUAGUAAUUAUUUUUAUACUCCAACAAAUGUAGGGUUUUGCCAAAAAUUAAGUUGUGAUUUAAAAAAUAGUAUUUGUGGUAAAAAAAAAAAAAUUUAUUUGUGACAAGUUUGUUGCUAUAAAUCUGUGUGCAAUUAUUUUUAAGCAUAAAAUUUAAUUUUAUAACAAAAUAAAUAAUUUUUUCACAAAAAAAAAAAAAAGAAUUGUGACAAAUUACGGCUUUAUAUAACUUACCAGAUGUUUAUAUUGAAAAGAUAAAAAUUUAAAUGUUGAGAUGUAAAACAAAAUUAUAUCUUAAUUUUAAAGAUAUAAAUUAAAUCUAUUUUUUUUAAAAAAAUUAUUUUUAUAUAGAAUUUAUUAAUAUAUUCUAUUUUAACAAAAAAAGGUAUAAAAGUUGUUUCACUUCUAUAUAUAUAUAUAUAUAUAUAUAUAUAUAUAUAUUUUUAACUUUUAAAAUGAAAAAUUAUCACCUAAUUUACCCAGUUUUAUUUAUUUACUUAUUUACUAAACCAAUAAUAUGGGUGUCUCAAUCUCAGCUAUAACAUAAAAAAUAAAAAAUAAAAAAUUAUAUAAAAUAGCAAAAAAUUUAUUUGAUUUCCUUUUGAUGAUAAUGAAAAACAAAACUAUAACCAGGGAUUGAAAAAUCGGAAAAUGUCGCCGAUAUUUCGAAGAAAUAUCGGAUAUCGGACGGCGUCGAAACGAUAAUCGUCACCGAUUAUCGAUCGACGGAAAAAUCGACAAAAAAUCGGCAAAAUCGCCGACAUAUCGGCGAAAUAUCGGCGAAAUACCGAUUUAUCGGGAAAUUUCCUGAUAUUUUCCUACCAGUCCAGCCCGCGCACAGGAUACAAAAUCUGGCUCAAAAAUCGUGGCUUUAGGGUUCGUGAAAUUUAAAUCCAAUGGCACAACAACAAAGAGACCCUUAAAACAGAUCCAGAAAACACAGGGAGCAAAAGAAAAGCAAAUUUUUUGGUUUUCUUUGGGGGUUUUGAAUGGAUGGAUUUUCUCGGAAAUCAAACGAGAAUGAAUUUUCCCGGAAAUCAAAUGGGGGAUGGAUUUUCUUGGGAAUCAAACGGGGGUUGCAAAAAAAAUAAUAUCAACGUGAUUAGAUUAGUACCUGCGAGGAUUGAGAGUGGCAGAGGAAGAUAGGUCUUUUUAGGAAGAGGAACUCUCUUGGCUGGAGGGCAGCUUCAGAAAAGGGGAAAGGGGAAUUCUCUCGGCUGGAGGGCAACUUCAGACGUGGGUGGCCCUUUUAAUUUUUAGAUUUAGUAGAGGUAAAAAAAAAAUAAAUAAAUAAAUAAAUAAAUAAAUCAUGAGAGCAAUUUUCCUCUACCCAUAUAAAUAAUUAUAAAUUAUUGAAUUUUAUUUUGAUUAUUAAAUAAAUUAAUAUUAAUAAAAAAAAAUUGUUAUUAUAUGUUUUUAAUAAAAUUUUAAAAAUUAAAUCUCAAAUAAAAUAUUUAUAUAAAUUAAUUUAAUUUUCAUUUAAAAUAUAAUAAAACAUGUUUUAAUAAAAAUAUUUUAAAAUUUUUUAAAUAAACAUUAUCUUCAGCAAAUUGGGUCAUCUUCAUCUAACAAUAUAAUGAAAUCACAUCGAUCUCUUCCUUAGUAUAAGGACUAUUGUAAUAUCAUAUGUAUUAUAUUUAUGUAUAAAUUGUUUUUAUUCAAUAAAAUCAAAUAUUUUUUAAUUUAAUUCUAACUCUAUAUACUUUCAAAAUUCAUAUAUAUUAUUUUUAAAAUUCAAAUAUGGAAUCUACCAAUAUAUCUUUAUUUAAAAUAUCUUCUUAAUUAUAUAUAUGUCAAUUACACUUACAAGAUAACUUUAAAAUGUGUAUUUUUACUUAUUUUAUCAUUUUUUUAAAGUUUUUUCAAGCAUUUCUAUUAAUUUUAAAUAAUUUUCACUUUAUUGAUAUUUGUGAAAAAAUAUCCACGAUAUUUCUCCAAUAUUUCUCCGAUAUUUCCGAUAUAUCCGUAAAAUCGAAGUACCGAUAUAUCCGUAAAAACCGAUAUUUCAAUCCUUGACUAUAACCACCAAUAAAGGAAUACAAAUACGUGGCAUGUAACUCACAUCAAAGUGGGCUGUCAGUUUUCAAUAACAAGGACAAAUAUCUUUCCUUUACAUGAACCAUUCUGCUCUCAUCCAUUAUUGCUCUCAAUAAGUGAAACAACUGUAGCAAUCAAGAAAAUAGAGACGAAGACAAGCGCAUAUGAAAUCACAAGCAGCGAUUCUAAAUUCCAUGAUCUGCCAUUUCCCACUUGCAUUUGACUCCCACAAUACAUUCAAGUUUUGGUUUCCUUUGGCUGCUAAAUUAUUUCCAUUGAUCAUUGAUCAAGUCUUAAGACUCUCAAAGUAUAAAAAGUUGUGAGAUUCAAAUAUAUGGGGACUUGGAUUCCUUAUAGGAGAUCUUAUCUAUUGUGGAACCCAUGUCUAUUAAAGAUGAGCACAAGUUGGAACUAACUUUAAUUGGUGAAAGCAACUACACAAAUAAAGAAAACAAAGAAUAAGAUAAAAGGUAUUAAAUCCAUGUCAAUGACUCGGGGUUUGAAAAUUCAGAGGUUUUGGACCUUUCGGCUUACUAAAAUUGUUAUCUUUGAACAUCUUAGGUGAGUAAUUGAUAGAAGCUAGUUAAUUAAAUUUAUUUUUAUAUACAAAAUAUGUUGAAUGUUGUAAUUUCAUUAUAAUAUUAUAAAAUUGGUAAAGACUCGGCUAAGGACAAUCUGCACUAGGAAGAAUAAUAAAGUAGACUAAAAAGUUUAUCCCCGGAUAAAACCAAGAAUAGUGGAGAUUUUGCAUAUCUUAUCAUCAUAACCAAAAUAAAAUUGAGAAUAUUUUUAAGUAUUAACACUAUCAUACAUUCCAUGACUCUACAUAUUAAUAAAAAAUAAUAAUUUUGACUUAUUAUUUAAUCAAACUUAUUUGUAGUAUUAUGUGUAUAAAAAAUAUAUUAAUUUAGAUUUUUUUGUUGUAUUUUUAUAUUUUUAAUAUUAAAAGAUUUUAAAUAAUUUCAAAAUUCAUGUAAUCGAUAUAAAAAUUUUGAAAAUAUCUUUUCAAAAAACAAUUUUAAACGUGGUUAAAACUAUUGUAAAUUCCUCAAUACUUUUACAACUAUCAUUUUUAAAUUAAAGCAAAAUAGAAAUGAAAUGAGAUUGAGUGUGAAAUGUAAAAUUUAUAUCACUUUCCAUUUCUUUUCUUUUUUUUUUUUGGUAAAAUCUACAAAAAAAAAAAAAAAAAUCAUUACUAAUCAUUUAAAAACUUUUUUUUACAACUUUAAAUGAGAUGGUUGCAAUCUUUAAUUUUUUGUUAAACAAGUGUUGUACCUUCGAAUUCUUAAAUUUGCUUGUAUGUAAGAAGUUCAUGGUUUAAAUUUUUCAUUAACAAUUCUCCAUUCCUUAAUUUACAACUAUGUCUAUGAAGAUGAUGAAAUCUCAACCACAAUUCAUUUGAGAAUGAUUUUAACUAGGUCUAAAAAGUGGACAAUAUUCAAAUUAUAAUCCAACUUGAAAUAAAAAAUCUCAAUCAUAUUGUAUUUGAGAAUGAUUUUGGUUAAAAAUAUAUUUAGAGUGUGUUAAUAAUGAUUUUAAGAAAAAAAUUUAAUUUUUUUCAUACGAUAAAAUUUUUAAAUAUUUAAAAUAUUAGAAGCAAAUUCCUAAAAUCAGUAUUAAAUAAAUUCUUAAUUUAUACAAUACUUUAAUUAAUAAUUUAUUUUAUUAUAAAUGCUUUUAAAGAGAAUCACUCUCAGGAUUACAUUUUUGGCAUGAAAAUGAAUAUGUAAAUUAAAGCAAAAUAGAAAUGAAAUGUAAACAAAUUAACAAAACCAAGUGGAACCCAUGUAUCUGCAGUACUGAAAAGGGCUUCCAUUAUUAACAUCAAUUAUGAAACAUGAUGUGAAUUUUGAAUGGAAACCAGGCGUGGAUGGGCCUACAAUUUGAGGGAUGUAUCAUGUGGCUGCCUUUUCCAUAUUCAAAUCACCUGCAUGUGCCUCCCACAACCCAUUCAAUAUUCAGACCCCUUCAUUUCCCUUUUCUCGUCUUUAAUGACCACGAAAUUACUCAAUCAUAAUUCAUUAUACAUAUUUAAAAAUAUAUAUAUAUAUAUAUAUAUAUAUAUAUAUGAAUUAAAAAUAAAAAAUUAAAAUGGUAUUGUCUUUUGUAUGAUAUAUUAGAACUUUUUAGAUGUUUAUAUUAAAAAGAUAAAAAAUUUUUACAAAAUUGAAAUAUUAAAAAAAAAGAAGAUAAUUUUUAAGAUAUAAAUAAAAUAUAAAUUCCAUUAUUACCCUCGAUAAGUGAGGUAACUGUAGCACUGAAGAAAAUAGAGAAGAAGACAGAGACUUAUGAAAUCACACUCAGCGAUUCUAAAUUCCCUGGUCUGCCAUUCCACACCUGCAUUUGACUCUCACAACACAUUAGGUUUCAGUCUCCUUUGGCUGCUAAAUUAUUUCCAUUCAUCAUUGAUCAUGUGUUAAUAGUCUCAUCAAAGUCUAAAUAAUUAUGGGGUUCAAAUAUAUUGUCCACUAAGGAUGAGCUUCCGUUGGUACUAACUUUAAUUGAUGAAAGUAGCUACACAAAUAAAGAAAAUAAAAGGUAUUAAUCGUGAUGUGAGUUGUGAGACCCAUGUCAAUGAAUUGGGGUUUGAAAAUUGAGAGGUUUUGGACCUUUUGGCUUACUAUAAUUAUUAUCUUUUAACGUCUUACAUGAGUACAAAAGUAAUCAUAUAUGGUUUAUUAUGCAUAUUCCAAAAAAUAUAUUUGAAUUAAUUGAUACAAGCUAAUUGAUUAAAUUUAUUUUUAUGUACAAAAUAUGUUAGAUGAUGUAAUUUUAUCAUAAUAUUAUAAAAUUGCUAAAAGCUCAACUAAACAUAAUCUACACCAUAAAGAAUAAUAAAGCAAACAAAAAAAAAACUUCUAAAAGAAAACCAAGAAUAAUAGAGAUUUUGUAUAUCGUAUCAUUGAAACCAAAAUAAAAUUGGAAGUAUUUUUAAGUACUAACACUAUCAUACAUUCCAUGACUCUACACAUUAAUAGAAAAUAAUAAUUUUGACUUAUUAUUUAAUCAAACUUAUUUGUAGUAUUAUGUCUCUUAAAAAUAUAUUAAUUUAGGAUUUUUUUUGUUUUGUUUUUAUAUUUUUUUAAUAUUACAAAGUUUUAAUAAUUUCAAAUUUUUUGAUAACCUACUAAAACUAAUUAUCUUUAAAUUUGAUAAUAAGAAUAAAACAUAAAAGUAUAAAAAAGUUUUUUCUUUUCUAAAUUUUUUAAAAUAAAAAAUCAUCAACGAUAACUUAUUUGCAAUUUAUUUAUUUAUUUUUAUUAAACCAACAAGGUUUCAUAUUUAUAGACUGAUGAAAAAAUUCUUCAAAAAUCAUAAGAAAUAAUUAUAACAUAUUUUCUUUAUUUUUAUUUCAUAAUAAUAAAAAGAUAUUUUUAUUCUACAACUAGAAACAAAUUUGGUACUAUAAUGGCUAAUAGUCAUAAAAAUUAGAAAUACAAUUGAAAAAGAAUUUAUUUUUCUGUUUUAAAAAAUAGUAAAAACAAAAUUGUACUCGAUUGAGUAUUGACACAUUAAUUAAUCAUUUUAUUUUAUUAAUUUAUGUUAUAUUAUUAAGAUAUAAUUAAUUAUUUAUAUAUAAUUUUAAUAGAAUAGUUAAAAAGUAGAAAUAUUAAUUCUUUUCUCCAUCACCACCAAAUAGAAGUAUUACCAAUUUUGUGUUAACCCUUUGAUUUUUAUGUUGUUUAAAUCUAUCAACACUAAUAAUUCUAAAAUGUGGUAAGUAGAGCAAUAUAUAUGAGUGGUCGAUUUAGCUCGUUAAUCGGCACAUUGAGGUAACAUAAAAAUGGAUUAAUUUAUCUAUUUAUCGUGUGUUAGAACGAAGGAAAUAAAAGGAAAAGAUAAAUAUAAAUUUAUGCUUAAGGGAGAGUGUACUUUUAUCCUCCCACCUUUGUUUAACUUAAAUUUAAAAAAAAAAAAAAUCCCUAGUGAGGACCAACAAUAUUCAUUUUUAACAAAAUAUGUAAACUAUCAUUAAAGAAUCACUGACAUUUUUUUCACUUCCACCUUCUUUAUUUUCAAUUUUGUGACCGAAAAUUAAAUAGUUAAAAAGAAAAGGAAAAUGAUGGAAGCAAUUAGGGAUUUAUUUGAUGGUUUUUUUAAAACCAAUUCUCUAAAAAAGAAAAAAAGUUUUUAAAAUCAGAUUUUAAAAUAGUUGAUAAUUAUUUUUUAAUUUUCUUUUGGGAAUUCAAAUAUAAUAAAUAAUUUUCUCGACUUAUUAUAUAUCCGUAAAGGUAUUGUGCAUUUAUCUAUAAUAUAGAUAUUUUAAAAGUGUUUUUUUUUUUAAUUUUUUAAUUGUUAUUAAAAAAUUCACAAAAAUAAUUAAAAACACAUCUUAAAAUCAUUCUAAAAAAAAUAUGUUUUUAGAAUAAAUUUUGAAAAAUUAAAUUUUUAUUAUAAAUUUAUCAAAUGUAUUUUUUAUGUUUAAAAAUAAUUUUUUAUUAUGAAAAAUAAAAUUACGAAAUAAGCCUUGAUGUUUUUACUUGAGUGCUAUUAUUGAGAAACAACAACACGCUAUGCCCGCAUUUCCAAACAAAACAAUAUCUUAAGUUGUAUUUGUUAUUGAGAAAUUUAUCAAAUCUCACUAUUUUUUUUUUUUGAAAAAAGAUAGCUAGUAUUAAAUAUGGAGUGCGUUGUGAAAUAGAUGUUUGUGGCUAACAAACCUCAAUGGCUUAUGUCUAGGGAUGGCGUUAUAGGGUUGUCUCUUUUAUGUUUGAAUAAAAAAAAUGAUUCCAUUCAUCUCUGAUGCCCACGACUAAUUUGAAAUCUAGAGGACUUUACAAAAGCAAUUAUAUAUGGUUUAUGUUAGGAUUCUAAUAAUAUCAACCUACACCUAAGAAGAGGGUGAAUUGGACAUUGGUCCCUUUUACAAAUUAUAACAAAUAUGAACUAUGAUGAAUGUUAGAGAAAAAGAAGCAAUAAUAUAAUAAAAAUAAUAAAGAAUAAUAGCAUAUAAAUAGAGUAAAAAAGUGAGAAAUUCAAACUCAAGAUUUAUAAGAUUUAUAGUAAUUUGGUCUAUUGGCUUACAUCCACUCUCCUCUAAUUUUAAUCUUAAGCUUAGGUUUUAUUAUAUCAAAACUUUCAAACCAAGCCUUAAAGCUUUAUAUUUGGAUUAACCAACUCGAAUAGCCACUUACAAAUUUGCUUAAGAGAUUCUCACUUUUGAACUCCCCAAAUAAUACAUAAUACUUAUAUUUUUCUCUUAAGUAAUACCUCAUACUUGAGUUCAGCUCGCAAGAUUUAUAAAAAAUGAAUUUUUCAAUACAAAUUCAUAAUUUACAAAAAAUUUCUCACUUUUGAAUUCCGCACGUGACACUCGAAGAGUUUUUUAAAUCAUUUUGGUUAUGUUUGGUUCCUAAAAAACUUGAGGGAAAAUGUAAGGAAAAAAAAUAAAGUGAAAAAUUAGAAAAAAUGAAAAACUGAAAGAAAAUAAAAAAUAAAUUAAAAUUCAAUAAAUUAUUUUUAUUUAUUAUUUCAAACUUAUUUUAAUUUAUCGAUAUAAAGAUUAAAUAAGUUAAAAAUUCAUAAGCUUUUAACUAGUUUUAAUUAUAUUUAUUUAUUUUUUAUAUUUUUUAUUGGACAAUCAAAUAUGAGAAAAUCAUUUUUCGUUUUUUCUUUUUUUAUCAUUUCUUAAUAUUUUUUGGGAAUCAAACAUAACAUUUUAAAACAUUUUUUACUCCAAGCAACAACUAAGCACUCAAGGAGUUUUUAAAAUCAAUUUAUUUAUUUAUUUUUUGCUUAAUUAAAAACUUCUCAUCUUGAUGCCUUAAAUUAAAUCCAAUUAAUCUUUUUCGAACCUUUCUAUACUUACUUGUGUCAUCUUGAUUGAUCAUGCAAUAACCUUUAAUCUUCAACAAAGAAUAAUAUACACAAUCUAGAAAAAUCUUAUAGUAAAUGAAUGAAACAAAAUUUACAACUUAAAUUAUAUAGUCUAAUGUAGUAACAAAUGUUAUAAUUGUGUGUAGUAAUCAUGAAUAUUCCAUUUCUUAUAUUAGUCUUGGAGAUAUUUAUAUAAUUACAAAUUAUUUACUAUACUAAUUAUAGUUUGAAUUUAAUAAGUAGGAGCUGAACUUAACUUGAAUUUCUUUUUAGGUACUUCUCUAUUUUUUCCUCUUUUACAACAAGAGUUACAGUAAAAUUAUGCAUAUGCCUUAACACAAAAAUUAAUACAAAUGUGGGAAAAAUACUACUUUUUAUAAAAAAUUUGUGUUGCUUAUGUAAAAAGUUCUUUUUUUUUUUUUUUUGUUUAAUAAAACUUUUAUAAUCCCAAUAUUAUUUUUGAAAAAUUAUGAUUUUAGUUUGAGUUUCAACUUCCAAGUAAAACAAAAAAAACAUAAAAAAAUAUCCCAAACAAGAUGCAAGUGGCUGAGGAAUAUGUAAAUGACUUACACUUGAAGAUGGGGUUAUAGGGCUUACGUUGACAUUCACAAUCAUUGAUGAUCAGUGAUGUACGGUUAUGACUCCCACGAUUGAUUCAAACCUUAUCCAGAUGACAAGUGAUUAAAGUCCCGAGUUUAGAAAUUGGUACACAAAUGCUUUCAUUUUCCUUGAGCACCUACUCUACCAACUUUAUUAUUAUUCUUAUUCUCACUCUACCUAAGGGUCUCCAAAAAGCUCGCGGCCCGCAACCCGUUUUAGGCCCGGCCUGCCCGACGGGCUAAGGCCCGGCCCGAUGGGCUAAAGCUCGGCCCAAGCCCGCCGGGCCAGGCUGCAGGCCUAAUUUUAGGCCCCGCGGGCCAGCCCGCCCCUUUAAAAAAAAACUACAAAAAUAAAAAGUAUUAAAAAAAAUAUUCAUUUCAAAAUUUUAUUCAUUGAAUGUAUAAUUACAUUUGAAAAUGUGGGAAAAGUUUACAUCACUACAAAAUAAAUACAUCCCAACUAGGUUGGGACCUAUUUAUUUGUCAAUCAUCUGUAUUUUUCAAUCACAAAAAAUAAAAAUAAAAAUAUAAUAUACAUUUAGUCAUUAUUUUCUGGCGGUGAUGGCGAACUAUCAUGCAUCCAUGAAGAUCUUGAUAAUUUUAAAGAUUCCAUAUCGGCAAGCAUAUCUGUUUCUCGAAUGGAAUCGUACAUCCUUUUAUCUGCUAUUUCCCAAUCUUUCAUACAUAUCCCUGCUUCAAUAACAUCUGGCGCUAAGUUGCAUCGUUUUUUACUAACUACUCUUCCACUUGCACUAAAAGCAGCUUCUGAUGCAACUGUACUCACAGGAACUGUUAGUACAUCACGAGCAAUUAUAGAAAGCACAGGAUAAUUGUGUUGAUGUGAUUUCCACCAUAUUAAAAUAUCAAAAUCUUCUUGAUCUUCAAAUGAAAUUAUAUCAAUAUUAAGAUAUUUAUCUAAAUCAGAUGUAUUAUUUGGAGAACUAUUUGUUGUCUUUUUUCGACUUUUCAACAUUUCUAGAGCUCCUUUAUAAAAAGAUGAGGAGUUUGUAGAUGUAGGUGGUAAUUUAAUAGUAUUAAUAUCAUUACCAUAUUUUUCUUUAUAAUAGUUAUAUAAAUUAUAUAAUAAUGAAUUUAUUUCAUUUUUAAUUUCUUCAAUUUUUAUUUGGUCAUUAAAAUAAAUAAUUGUUAACCAUUCAUCCAAAGCUUCAAAUUUCAAUCUAGGGUCCACAAUUAAAGCAAUAUAAAAAAUUAAAGGUAUUUCUCCCCAAUAUUUUCUAAAUUUUUCUAUCAUUGCAAAUAUUGUAUCAUUAAAUAUUUCAAAACUUAAAUAUUUUUGAAGUACAAUAAAAAUAUUAGUUAUUUGCAUAAUAACUCGAUUUGAAGUUGGAUAAUAUACACUACAAAAAAUGUUUGUUGAAGUAUCAAAAAUUUCAAAAAGAUCCGCAAUAUGCCAAUCAUAAUCAUUUAAUGCAUAAAUAUCUGCUUCACAAUCAUUAUUAAUUAAUUGUAUUUCAUAUAAUUCGACUACUUUUCUAUAUUUUGUAAUAUUUUGUAAAAGUUUAUAUGUGGAAUUCCAUCUAAUGGUCAUAUCCAAAUUUAUAUUUUUUCUUUUCACAUUUAACAUUUUGCAACAAUCAAAAAAUAAUUCAUGUUUUGCUUGAGAACUAUUAAUACUAUAUGCAAUGCCUCUAAUUUUUUCCAAUGUACUAUCAACAUUUUUUAAUCCAUUCUUUACAAUUAAAUUUAAAAUAUGUGCACAACAACGCACAUGAAAUAUUUUAGCAUGAUCUUCUUUUACAUGCCAAUAUCGUUUUAGUCUAUGUAUUGCUGCAUCAUUAUUAGCAGCAUUAUUUAAUGUUGUUGUCAAUAUUUUAUCACGAAUGCCUAAAUCUAUAAUUUCAUCAUUUAUUAAAGAUGCUAUAUUUUUACCACUAUGUGGAGCAUUUAUUAAUUUAAAUGAAAUUAUUCUUUUAUUUAAUUUCCAUUCAUUAUCAAUGUAGUGAGCAGUUAUACAUAAAAAACCAGUGUGAGUUAAAGAUGUCCAAAUAUCAGAUGUUAAACAAAUAUUUCCUUCAAAAUUUGCAAAAAAAAAUUUUAAAAUUUCUUUUUGUGUAUAAAUUUUUUUCAUAAUAUCUCUUUUAACUGUAUUUCCAGACCAACCUUUAAAUUGAGGAUUAAUACCUCGUUGAAUUGUUCCUGCAAAAUCAUGAGUUUCCAUCAUGUUGAAAGGUUGUUCUGCUCUUAUUAUAUAAUCAAUCAUUUCUUCACGACAGUUAGAUUCAUCAUAAGAAAAUGUUUUUAAAUUUCCACUUUCAUUUUUACCUAAUUGCAUAUAAUUUCUAAUAUCUACAUUAUUUUUAGUUUUACAAUUUUCAUGAUGUCUUUUUAAAUGACUUGUGCCUGCAUUUGAGCCACCAGUAAGAAAUUUAUUACAAAUUUUACAUUUUGCUUUUAUUUCUUUUUUAUUAUUUUCUAAAAUUAUUUCUAUUCUAUAAAAAAAAUUCCAUAUAUUUUUUAAGUAAAUUUUUUGUUUGAUGAUAUUUCAUCACAUGGACUAAAUGAAGAAGCACUUGUCAUAUUAUAAUUAUUGAUAAAAUAUUAUGCCAAAAAUAAUAAAGUAAUAAAUAUAAAAAAAAAAUGUAACAAAAAAAUAAAGUAGUAGGGGUGAAGUAUGUUACUCAAUUAGAGAACCGAUGCAGAAAUUCCUAGCAAAUUUGAACUCUUGAAGCCACCAAUGCUUGUUUUGCACCACCAACAAUAUUGUAUAAUUUGAGGGAAAAAUAAAAGAAUUUGAAAUAUUGUAGAAUGUGAGAGAAGUAGAGAGAGAAAUAGAGAGAAUUUGAUGAAAAAAUGAAAAUGAAGAAAAUGUAUUUAUAGGAAGGUUAAAAAAAAAAUUCAAAAUUCAAAAUAAUUGGUCAUGUGACCGUUGGAGGCUUAGCUCCAACGGUCACAUGGGCUGGAGCUAGGCUCCAACGGUCACAUGACCGUUAGAGCCUUUAAUUUUUUUUAAAAAAAUAAUAUACUUUAUUUUUAUAUAUAUAUAACUAACUCAAUUAAUAAACAUAAAAAGAAUGUAGUUUAGCUGGUUAGAAGCUUAAAGUUUAAACAUGAGGGGAGGGGUUUGAAUCCCCCCCCUUCUCCCUUCUCUUGGCUUUUUUGAAAGUCAUUUUGGCUUAAUUCAAAAAGCUCGCCGGCCAGCCCGCGGGCUCAUAGGUAGGGCCGCGGGCCUAGUAUUUUAGCAUGGCCCGGCCCGGCCUGGCCCUUUGACCAGUCAACGAGCCCAUAGGCCCGGCCCGAGCUGGGGCGCGGGCCUCCUAUUUACGGCCCGGCCCGCCCAUUGGAGACCCCUACUCCUACCCCUUCAUUUAUGACUCCCACGAUUGAUUCAAACCUUAUACAAAUGACAAGUGAUUAAAGUCACGAGUUUAGAAAUACUCUACCAACUUUAUUAUUAUUCUUAUUCUCACUCCUACCCCUUCAUUUAGUCUGGUUUUAUUUGAUCCAUACCCUUCUCCUACUAUUUACAUAGCAGUGAAGUUAUUACUUUUCGAAGCAAGAAAAAAAUUUCAUCGAAGUCAUAACAAGGUUCUUUAUAUUAUAUUAUAUUAUUAUAAACAUUUUUGUUUUUUAUUUUUUACUAUAAGAAAAAUUAAUACUAUCGGUCAGAAAAAUUAGGUUAAUCCAAUAUAAGGUAAUCACCCUAAAAGGGGUGAAAAUGAUGAUGAUUUCUUUUUGUCAAGGAAGAAAAUAUCGCAAUAUGUCGGCGAUAUAUCGUGUAUCGAAGGGUAUCGAUACAAUAUUUCAUGGAGAAAUAUUGAUUCGGCAAAAUUUUGGGAGAAAUCUCCAAAAAUCGGCGAUAUCUCGUGAUAAAUCGGCAAUUUUGGAGAUAAAUCACCGAUUUUUCCCUAUAUAUCACAUGGUCAAUGCGGGUUAACGACGAUCAAACGCGUUAGAGUAAGUCAAAGCGCUACAGUCGCUAAGUGCUUGAAAAAAGGCCCCCAUCUGGGCUAACUUGUCCUUAUUAUAUAAUAUGUACUAAACAUAUAUAUAGUUAAACUCAUUAUAUAAAUAAAAUAUUUAAAAAAUAUUUUAAAGAGUAAAUUAAUUAUAAUUAUUUUAUAAUUAAAUGUAAAAUUUUCUUUUAAUUAAUUACCAAAAAUAUAAAAUUAUAUAAUUUUCUUCAUAGUGUUUUUAAUAUCAUUAAUAAUGAAUUAAAUAUUAAAAAAUUGUACAUAUAUCAUAAUUUAUUUUAUAUUGUUUAAUACAAUUGAAUUAAAUGUAUCAUAAUUUUAAUAUUAAUAUAUAUAUAUAUAUUUUAAGAAUAGACAUAUUAUAAUCAAAUAUCAUAAUAUUAGAUGUAAUUUAAUAAUAAAUGUACAUUUAUAAAAUUCAUAUUUUUAUCGAUGCAUACGAUAUUAUUAUCAAAUAUGAUAAAUCAUAUUAUACAUACAUCAAAUUAUUUAAUAAAACAACUUAAAAAUAUCAUUAUACUUCUAAUUACAUUUUUAUAAAAAUUUUAUUAUAUUUUUAUAAAUUUUGAUCAAUUUUAGGUUUAUUGAUAUUUUUUUCCAAAAUAUCAGUCGAUAUAUCUUCGAUAUAUUCGAUAUAUCCAUAAAAUAAAAGUACCGAUAUAUCCAUGAUUACCGAUAUUUUCAUCCUUACUUUUUGCAAAUUCAAACUAUGUGAAUGUAAGAAACAAUUAUAUACAAGUAUAAAAUAAAACAAUAUAAAGACAAUUGCAUAUAAAUUAAAAGAGUAGGGAAGAGACAAUGCAAAUACAAGAUUUUAUAGUGGUUCGACAACCCGGCCUACAUCUACUCUCCUCUAGCUUUAAUCCCAAGCUUGAGGUUCCACUAGUUCAAGACUUUCAAACUAAGCCUUCAAGCAAUACAAUUGGAUUAUGGUUCCAAUCCACCCUCUUGGACUUUUGGCUCCAAGCACCCUUUACAAACCUCAAGAGAUACCUCACUCUUGAAUAACCCCUCAAGUGAUACCCCACACUUGAGAAUCUCUAAGUGAUACAUCACACUUAGAUUCUUCAUCUCAAAGAUUUACAAAGAAAUGAUCUCACAAAAUCCUAAAGUUCAAAUGAUACAAAAAAAAGGAUUGAAUGGUGCACUAAUGAUAUGUAGGUGUAGACCCCUCUUUUGGCUUGGUUUAUAUAUAUAUGUAUCCCAUCGAUUCUGAGCCUUCCCGCCACUUUUGGAGCACUCGGAGAAGGGCGUUUGGAGUGGGGGGCCUGCUCCUUGGAAGAUCAGCUGCAUGAAACACAUGGCGGAGCAGCUGACCGUGGCCAUGGUGUUAGUUGGGAUGGUGACCAGCGGAGUAUCGAGGAAGAGUGGGGGUUGUCUGGGUGAAGGGGGAAGAGAAAAAAUCGCAGAAGAAUUGAGAGGAGGCCCAGGUGGAGUCGCGGAGAGCAGGGAAAGAGCUUGUUAGUUCGAUCUAGGUAUGAUUUCCGCACUAUUUUGUACAUUCUCAAGAGAUCUAUCCUGUUUCUUGAUAGUUUUUGGGUUUUAUUUGUUGGUUUUCUGUGGACAUCAAGAGCCACAAGAUGGUUUUGGGUUGAAUGUGAUUAUCUGCCCAUAUAUGCUCUGUUUUGGUCCUUUUUGCUGCUCUCGUUUUUUUUUCCCUUCUAAAUGGCCCAUGUGCAUGGAGAAAAGUUUAACUUGUCCAAGCAAAGGCUUCAUGUUCUCAUGAUGAAUAACACGGUUACCACAUGCCUACGCCUUCUUCACUGUUCGCGUCAACCAUACCUAUUUCCUCACUCAAGCUUGUAGGAAUCAAGUAUCCUCCACCACACCCAUUUUCCUCUCAUUCAUUCUCCAUCCUACUCCCUCACUUACAUGGAGUCUCACGGGUGCAUGCUAUCCUUCACUCCUUCACAUACCCAUUAAAACCACUCACCCAAGCCUCCAUAUCCAUACAACCCAUACCCAUCCUUCAUGCUACUCAUAAUCAUGUUCUACCAUACCCAUGUGUACACCCAUUUAACCAUACCACCAAACCCGUUUCUCUCUCUAAACCUUCACCUACUUGUGGGAUUCUCCCUAAAAAAUGCCACGUGGCUCUCUCUCCCUUGCACACGCAGACGGUCCCCUUGCGACGCGUGACAUUAGCUCAUUCCACCCGGGGAAGAAUUCUGUCCGGCCGACGUUCCACCUUCUCCGGAUAUCUCAUAUCCGGAAUUUUGUUCACCGACGUUCCACCUUCUCCAAAUAUCCCACAUCCGAAAUUCUGUCCGUCGACGUUCCACCUUCUCCAGAUAUCUCACAUCCGGAAUUCUGUCCGGCUGACGUUCCACCUUCUCCGGAUAUCUCACAUUCGAAAUUUUGUCCGUCGACGUUCCACCUUCUCCAAAUAUCUCACAUCCGAAAUUUUGUCCGCUGACAUUCCACCUUUUCCAGAUAUCUCACAUUCGGAAUUUUGUCUGACCGACGUUCCACCUUCUCCGGAUAUCUCACAUCCGAAAUUCUGCCGGCCGACGUUCCACCUUCUCCGGAUAUCUCACAUCCAGAAUUCUGUCCGGUCGACAUUCCACCUUCUUCGGAUAUCUCACAUCCGGAGUUCUGUCCAGCCGACGUUCCACCUUCUCCGGAUAUUUCACAUCCGACGCCUGACGCCGGAUGGGAGAGAAGGGCGAUUCAACUUCCCCGGUCAGACAUGUCCAGAUCCUCUGAUAGCGCUUACCCGGAGAGCAUCCGUAGCCGACAAUUCAGAUUCCCCGGACAGCUUGGCUCCUCAGACACUCGCGAUUCGCCGGAUCCAUUUCCGCCCACAGUCAAAGGGCAAACUCCGAUAAUACUGACGACCAAGUCUCCUGAACUGUCACUCAUCUUUAAUGCAAGAUAGAUUGGGCUUUGGUAGGGGCCCCACGUGCGUGAUUUUAUGAUCGAUUGGUGGAUUGAUUGAUUUGAUUGCUAUAUGUGAUUGAUUUACAGUAUUCUAUGAUACACACACGAUUAUUUUGUGUUUAAUUGCUAACAUUUGUUUUCAUUGAAGUAAACCAGUUCAUCACUCAGGUAUAUUAUUUGCCUCUCUUGUUCAUUCAAUUAUUUUGUUUUGAGUGAUAUUCAUUCAGUAUCCAUGCUCGAUUAAUUAAUUGUCAUGAUUGCUUCAUUUUAUUAGUAGAGACCUGUCUUUAGGGACUUAAAGGGGUGCGACGGUCUUUACCGUACCUUCCCGAUAAGUAACCUGACCCCCGAACCUGAUCCGGUUUUUCGUAGACCAACCUUUUCCAAAACAAGGAGUCACACCUAGGGUUUUUUUUCUUAUUUUGUUUACCCCUUUAAAAAUAAAACAAAAAUAAGUGGCGACUCCAAGUCAUUUUCUCAAUCAAUAAAUCAAUUUCUCAAAAUAAAAAUCGAGCUCGCCAUCGAGUAGGAAGCGCAUGAGCCGAAAUGCGGGGUCCACAAAAUGGCGACUCCGCUGGGGACGACUAGAGGGUCAAGCUUGAACAUAAAUUGAGGCAAAUGUGGCGUUUGAUUGGUCGGUCAGUGGAUACUUGUCUCUUGAUUGCGUAUUGAGAGUUCUAGACGUCAUUGGAUGCAUGCUUAGAUAUUGUAUUCAUUUAGGGCAUGGACAUGCUGAUUAUGAUGCUUGUUUAUCUUGAGUGAGCAUUCCGAUUGUGGCGAUUUUUUUUUUCCCGUGCUUCAUAGCUAUAUAUGUUUGGACAUUGAUAUGUUGAUUAUGUUGAUAGCUCAUCUUACCUUGCUUAGCGUAGUGGCCCUGAUUUUGCCAUGUUUGUUCUGAUUACCUCGCAUGUAUAGACUCACCAUUGUAUAUCAUUUGAUUGGACAUGAUUGAUUCUCUCGGCUAUAUAUUAUCUUGAUUAUUAUGGAGCAUGCUAUCAUUGUCAGAUAUUCCUAUCGAUUAGCUUGUGUGUAGAUUUGGAUGAUAUAUACUUGUUUUGCAUGACUGUCUGUUGCAUGACUCUUCUCAUCCUGAUGUGACUGCAUGAGUUGUGUGUCUAUGUGGGACACACACUUAUCCCCUUAUUUCCAAGUCCCUAGUCUCGGUUCAACAUUGUUUUCCUUGAUCUCGUAUUUGAUAUGAGACUUGUCACUUUGUUUGCUCUUCGACCGAGCUAGUGAUUAGGAGUAGGGUUUAAUGAUGGGCUAUAUCGAUGUUUGGGAGCAUUCUGGAGGAGGCCGACACAUUGAUGUUGAUUGGUGUUCGAUAUUUGAAGACCUGUAUAGCCCAGAGCUAGGUUUCAUGGAUAUUUGUGUGAUCAGUGUGUCUCGUUUUCUACUUUAGCUUCAUAGGAUUUUCGGAUGCACCCACACCGCUCACCAUGCACUUUAGUCAACUACUGAGUGUUGAGAGUUUUGAGAGGUUUCACCAUAGGAAACUCCCUGGGAUGUUGAGGUAGUGCAUGUGUGGAGGUGAUGACCACCUUGCAUGGAAGCGCCCCGUCUCUUUAGAGGCAUGCAGAGGGUUGCGUAUCGCCGAAGGGUAUGAUCGUUUCUGCUAGGGAUCUUUUAAAGUCUAUCUUUAUCCUUUUAGAGUCACCUUGACCCUGUAGGUUGAGCUUUAGAUCAUUCGACUAUGAUUCCCUCCCUACACGUGGGUGCAUCUGAGGGCCUUCAGAGCCUCUUUGGUCAUAGUUUGGAUUCAUUAUUCCAUCUUUUAGUCUCCAAUUGAGGGUGCACCGAGAUCAGUACGGGUUUGAGUUACAGUCGGACAGUCCUUUUACACUUUGAUGCCUUGCUCAUUCCAAUUCAGACUAGCAUUUUUCUAUCUCGUGCUUCAUGCUCUUCAGGAUUGGUUUUUCAUUCUUAGUAUGGAUUUACCAUCUUGGGUCAAAGUAGAGGGGAGCUUAGUUUUUUUUUUCGAGAAAUUAGACAUGGAUCAGCGGGUUGUCGCAGUUGAUCAGUUCACAACCGCCAUGGCUUCUAUUCAGGAGGCCUCGGCCAGUCUCAAACAGGAGAUAGACAGUCAGCAGAGUAGACAGUUUGUAGUUCAGGAUGAGACGCCUUAUGAUUCAUUGCCACCGCCACUUGGUUCGACAGUGCCACCUUAUCUAUUACAUGGUCAUUCUGAGGUUGCCUCACCUGCAGUAGUACAUACCAUAGUCCUUGAGGAUACUCACACAUGCAUGGAUCUUAUUGAGCAGCAUAUCAGACAGUUGAGGGUAUCUGAUAGUUCAGCAACUUGGGAUGAUCUUGAGGGUCAUUAGGGGAUUGAUCAGAGGUCCUAGAGGGAAGUUCAGACCCAAUUAGAGCGGACCUUACUUCACCAGGGAGCUGACCCUAGAGGACGCUGCAUGGUUGAUGGAUCUAGAUGGAAACCGAUUCUCGAAGCCAACUAUUGUAGACCAGUUGGAAAAGUACUAUGUUUGAGACCAUGGUCGCAGGAUGGGUGGCCAUCAUUUCGGUUAGCCAUAUACCUUGUUAUUCCCUUUUUGAUACAUAGUCCACUGCUAGCCCAUUGAGCCUCGCAUGCGCAUUAUAGCUUUCUAUCUUAUCGCCUUGCUCACAUUUUUACACCGGGAUUGGGGCCCUUUAGUGUAUGCAUGCAUUGUUUGGAAGCCUCAUGAGCCUUGGACCUACAAGUGCAUCUUUCUCUCAUUAUUUUUUUCUACCAUCGCACUACUACAUUCCUUCAUAUCCCAUUAGUUGUGUUUUUCAUCUCUCAUUAUUUAUUCUAUCUACUUGUUUUGCUUCAUAUUCUCUCCACCCCGAGUGGUAAUCCUCCUCAGUUCAUUACAUGGGGGAUAGUCACAUCAUUUCCACUAUUUAUCAUACGGACACUGAUUUAGAGAUCCUUAGUUUGAGAAGGUUAUCUUGUCAGAGAGAGUUUUUGUUACCUUAGCACUUGGGAGUGUGUCUAUUCAUUAUUGAUAUCAUCUUUGGGGUUCAUUUGUUUAUGUUCAGGGUAUGUGUAUUUGGAUAUAUGUAAAAAAAAAAAAUGAUGAAAAGGAAAGAAAAAUAAGCACAUGUGUGUAUGUGCAUAGUAUUCUCCAUUGUUGGGUAUGUAUAUUGAUGUUUGGGGGUCAUUUUUAUCGAGUAUGUUCGUUAUUGGGAGUUCGUAUGUGAGCUCUUUGAGAUCCCAUGUUAUUUGUAUUGCCUUGUCAUAUCUAUUUGUGAGAGAGAUGAGUGACCUUCUCCUAAGGACUCCGAGUCAUUGUCCUUUCCAUCAUUAUAUUCAUUAUUGAUGUGGCUUCACUUCAUGUUUGAUCUGAGUCGAUCACCACAUUUCUUCACAUAUUCAUUGUUCCGCUGUCGUUUUUAUCGUUGCUUGUGAUUCAUCUCAUUCCCUUCACAUCUUAUUUCUCUCCUUACAGCAACCCAUCUCGGGUUUGAUACUCACUUCGCAUCAUCAUUACACAUAUCACUAUUAGUUCAUUUUGCUUCAUUUGUCUCCUUAUCGACAUCAUAUCCACGUUAGGCAUCCUCAAGUCCAUGGCUCACGGGACUUACUAUACAUGUUGCAUUUCAUAUAUGAGGGCAUGGUUUUCUGAUCAUUGGGUAUUUGAGCCUAGUUUCUAUUCAUUUCUAUUACCCUAUCACCCUAGCCUACGUUACGUCCCGUGUCUUAAGACCACCCUGAGGCCAUGGGAUCAAAUGUCGUCUUUGACAGCCUCUACUUGGACAGGUGUUUGAGAUCUGGUUGACAUUUAGAUAUCGUCAUGCUUCUUCUUCUGGGAGUCGCCUCUUUGAUGUGUAGGACCGAUUCAGUUGUGUUCGGAUUACUGGGAUCGUGAGUUUGGCUAUGAUUGACUUGGUGUCACCUGAUUUUUGACCUAUCGUACCUCUGGUGCCACACUGGGGGCAUAUCCCACUUCAUUUGGAGGUUUAUGGAUCCUCGCAGACUUGCAUGAUCAUUAUCACUUACCGGAUGCUCACUGAGACAUGGACAUGAUCGUUACCUUACAGAGCCCCCGAGAUCCAUCCAGCUAGGUCCGCACUUCUCGACACUUAGAUGCCAUCAUGCCUCUCCAUCUGGGAGGUACAUCUUGGAUAUAUGUGCACGAUUCAGUUAUGGAUUUGGACAACCAGUGUUACAUGUGCGGCGAUAGAUGAUUUCAUGACAUUUGUUAUUCGGACCUGUCGCGCACCCGAUGCCCAUACUGGGGCAUAUUUUCUGUUUCGGAUGAGAUUUACGGAUCUUCACGGAGGUUACAUGUGCGACGACAGAUGAUUUCAUGACAUUUGUUCUUCGGACCUGUCGCGCACCCGAUGCCCAUACUGGGGCAUAUUUUCUGUUUCGGAUGAGAUUUACGGAUCUUCACGGAGGUUACAUGUGCGACGACAGAUGAUUUCAUGACAUUUGUUCUUCGGACCUGCCGUGCACCCGAUGCCCAUACUGGGGCAUAUUUUCCGUUUCAGAUGUGAUUUAUGGUUCUUCGCUUAUGUCGCGUAUUCGAUGAUAAAUGAUUUCAUGUCACCCGAUUUCUGACCUGUCGUGCAUCCGAUGCCCAUAUUAGGGCAUAUUUUCCGUUUCAAAUGUGAUUUAUGGUUCUUCACUUAUGUCGCAUGUUCGAUGAUAGAUGAUUUCAUGUCGCCCGAUUUCUGACCUGUCAUACGUUCGAUGCCAUACUGAGGCAUAUUACCGUUUUGGAUGAGAUUUACAGAUCUUGGCGGAGUUGUGCGUUUAUUCCCAUUUAUGAGACGUACAUCGAGACGAUGAUCUAUCUGCUAUCUUUACGAUGAUUUCCUCGGUGGAGCCUCUCGGGAGUUACCCAGUUAGGCCUACACUUCUUGACGCUUCGAUGUCAUCCUGCUUUCCUUCCGGGAGGCGCCCCUUUGAUUCGUGGGCCUGAUUCAGUUGCAGAUAUGGAUGAUUCGAGCUCAUUUGAUUUUCCGAUAUGUCGCGUUUUGAUGCCACAUUGAGGCAUAUUCCCCAUUUCGGCCGAGAUUUGUAGAUCCCCCACUGAUUGGCAUGAUCGCCCCCAAUUUUGAGAUACACAUUGGGUUGAUGAUUCGAUUUCAUCGUGUCCUGAUACUUUGUGGAGCCUCUCUCGAGUCUUUCAGCCCGAUUCAUGUUUUCUGAUAUAGUCGUGAUUCUUGGAUGGAGUUUAUCUCAGGUGCGUGGAUUCCUGUUUCACCCUUUCAGCGGAGUACAUGUUAGAUCCUUUGUACGUCCCCGUGGAGGUACUCUUGAGUUAUCAGGACAGAUCGGGUACAUACGAUGCCAUACUGGGGCAUAUUUCCCUCAUUUAGUUGGGGAGGCGAUCGUUCUCUCACAGAUCCUUCACAGUUUCCAUCCCUCAGCCAGGAUAUACUGUAUUUGCCUUACUGAUUGCUAUUCCUGCGAGAUAGGCUUUCAGUGGAGCACGAUGUUCGGGUUUGGAUCGUCUCAUUAGCCAGGAAUUUUCAGUAAAUGGUUAUGUUAAGAUCAUGGUGUGUCUCUUACCAGACUACUCCCUGAGACUAUCUGAUUAUCCGUUCGAGACGACGAUGGGUCCUUCAGGCAGAGCAUUAUGAGUUAGAGGAGUUUGGCUUAUUACGACACUCUGGCAGACCUCGUGAUUUUUUUUCGGGCAGGUCCUGAGACUAUGUUCACCGUCGACCUGAUCAUUCUGACUAGCUAGCAGAGCGUUUUUCGGGGCUCAUAGAGUCUCUUUCAGACCCUUCCAGCGGAUUGAGAUUUGCAGCGCCAUGCCACACUGGGGCAUAUUUCUCUCUCAUCAUUUCCUUGUAGUUCGGCGUUCAGAGCCAUCAUCACUUUUUAGUUUCGGCGUUCAGAGCCAUCAUCAUCACUUCCUAGUUUGACGUUCAGAGUCACAUCUUCAGUUUUGGCGUUUAGAGCCAUCACUGUCGCAUUCUCGAUUUUAGCGUUCAGAGCCAUCAUCACAUCUUCGUUCGGUGUUCAGAAUCAUCAUUAUCACUUCUCAGUAUCGGCGUUCAGAGCCAUCAUUAUCACUUCUUAGUUUGACGUUCCGAUUUGCGUCCCCGAUUUUAGUGUUCAAAGCCAUCAUCACAUCUUCGUUCGGCGUUCAGAGCCAUCGUCAUCACUACCCAGAUUGGUGCUCAGAGUAGUAUUUUCAGUUUUGGCGUUCAGAGCCAUCAUUGUCGCAUUUUCAGUAUCGACAUUCAGAGUCAUCAUCAUCACUUCUUAGUUUGACGUUCCGAUUUGCGUCCCCGAUUUCGGCGUUCAGAGCCAUUUUUCGCUUCGUUCGACAUUCAGAGCCAUGUUUCGCUUCGUUCGACGUUCAGAGUCACAUUCCCGGUUUUAGCGUUCAGAGCCAUCAUCACAUCUUCGUUCGGCGUUCAGAGUCAUCGUUAUCACUUCUCAGUAUUGGCGUUUAGAGCCAUCAUCAUCACUUCUUAGUUUGACGUUCCGAUUUGCGUCCCCGAUUUCGACCUUCAGAGCCAUUUUUCGCUUCGUUCAACAUUCAGAGCCAUGUUUCGCUUCGUUCGACGUUCAGAGUCACAUUCCCGAUUUUAGCGUUCAGAGCCAUCAUCACAUCUUCGUUCGGCGUUCAGAGUCAUCGUUGUCACUUCUCAGUAUCGGCGUUCAGAGCCAUCAUCAUCACUUCUUAGUUUGAUGUUCCGAUUUGCGUCCCCGAUUUCAGUGUUCAGAGCCAUUUUUCGCUUUGUUCGACAUUCAAAGCUGUUUUUUUCAGUUUGGUGUUCAGAGCCGUGUUUUCAUUUUGACAUCCAGUGCUGUCGCGUUUUUCAUUUAGCGUUUAGAGCCACUUUUUCGGUUUGGCGUUCAGAGCCACUUCUUCCAUUUGGCGUACAGAGCCGCGUUUUUCAUUGGGACAUUCAUAACCACUAUCUCUUCUCAGCUUUGCCGUUCAGAGCCACUAUCUCUUCUCAGCUUUGGUGUUCAAAGCCACUAUCUUUUCUUAGUUUGGCGUUCAUAGCCACUAUCUCUUCUUAGUUUGACGUUCAGAGCCAUUGUUCAUUUUCCAUUUGGCGUUCAGAGUCGCAAUUUCACUUUGGCGUUCAGAGCCGCAGUUUCAGUUUGGCGUUCAGAGCCAUUGUUCGUUUUCAGUUUGGCGUUCAGAGCCAUUUUUUCAGUUUGGCGUUCAGGGCUGCUUUUUCCAUUUGGCGUUUAGAGCCGCAUUUUCAUUUCGACAUCCAGUGCUAUCGUUUUCCGUUUGGCGUUCAGGGCCACUUUUUUUAGUUUGGCGUUCAGAGCCAUUAUUCGUUUUUGCUUGGCGUUUAAAGCCAUUAUUCGUUUUCAUUUUGGCGUUCAAAGCCGUUCUUUUCCAGUUUGGUGUUCAGAGCCGUAGUCUCAUUCCGGCGUCCAGUGCUAUCAUAUUUUUUUCAUUUGGCGUUCAAAGCCAUUGUUUCGUUUUGGCGUUCAGAGCCAUUGUUCGCUUUCCGCUUGUCGUUCAGAGCCGUUUUUUUCAGUUUGGCGUUCAGAGCCGUGUUUUCAUUUUGACAUCCAGUGUUAUCACGUUUUUCAUUUAGCGUUUAGAGCCACUUUUUCGGUUUGGCGUUCAGAGCCACUUCUUCCAUUUGGCGUACAGAGCCGCGUUUUUCAUUGGGACGUUCAUAGCCACUAUCUCUUCUCAGCUUUGGCGUUCAGAGCCACUAUCUCUUCUCAGCUUUGGCAUUCAGAGCCACUAUCUCUUCUUAGUUUGGCGUUCAUAGCCACUAUCUCUUCUCAGUUUGAUGUUCAAAGCCAUCGUUCAUUUUCCAUUUGGCGUUAAGAGCCGCAGUUUCACUUUGGCGUUCAGAGCCAUUGUUCGUUUUCAGUUUGGCGUUCAAAGCCUCUUUUUCAGUUUUGCGUUCAGAGCCACUUUUUCCAUUUGGCAUUCAGAGCCGCGUUUUCAUUUCGACAUCCAGCGCUAUCGCUUUCCGUUUGGUGUUCAGAGCCACUUUUUCAGUUUGGUGUUCAGGGCUGUUUUUUCCAUUUGGCGUUCAGAGCCGCAUUUUCAUUUCGACAUCUAGUGCUAUCGCUUUCCGUUUGGCGUUCAAGGCCACUUUUUUUAGUUUGGCGUUCAGAGCCAUUAUUCGUUUUUGCUUGGCGUUCAAAGCCAUUAUUCGUUUUCAUUUUGGUGUUCAAAGCCGUUCUUUUCUAGUUUGGCGUUCAGAGCCGUAGUCUCAUUCCAGCGUCCAGUGCUAUCAUAUUUUUUCAUUUGGCGUUCAGAGCCGUUGUUUCAUUUUGGCGUUCAGAGCCAUUGUUCGCUUUCCGCUUGUCGUUCAGAGCCGUUUUUUUCAGUUUAGCAUUCAGAGCCGUGUUUUCAUUUUGACAUCCAGUGCUAUCACGUUUUUCAUUUAGCGUUUAGAGCCACUUUUUCGGUUUGGCGUUCAGAGCCACUUCUUCCAUUUGGCGUACAGAGCCGCGUUUUUCAUUGGGACAUUCAUAGCCACUAUCUCUUCUCAGCUUUGGCGUUCAGAGCCACUAUCUCUUCUCAACUUUGGCGUUCAGAGCCACUAUCUCUUAUUAGUUUGGCGUUCAUAGCCACUAUAUCUUCUCAGUUUGACGUUCAGAGCCAUCGUUCAUUUUCCAUUUGGCGUUCAGAGCCGCAGUUUCACUUUGGCGUUCAGAGCCAUUGUUCGUUUUCAAUUUGGCGUUCAGAGCCUCUUUUUCAGUUUUGCGUUCAGAGCCACUUUUUCGAUUUGGCGUUCAGAGCCACGUUUUCAUUUCGACAUCCAGCGCUAUCGCUUUCCGUUUGGCGUUUAGAGCCACUUUUUCAGUUUGGUGUUCAGGGCUGCUUUUUCCAUUUGGCGUUCAGAGCCGCAUUUUCAUUUCGACAUCCAGUGCUAUCGCUUUCCGUUUGGCGUUCAGGGCCACUUUUUUUAGUUUGGCGUUCAGGGCCACUUUUUUUAGUUUGGCGUUCAGGGCCACUUUUUUUAGUUUGGUGUUCAGAGCCAUUAUUCGUUUUUGUUUGGCGUUCAAAGCCAUUAUUCGUUUUCAUUUUGGCGUUCAGAGCCGUUCUUUUCCAGUUUAGCGUUCAGAGCCGUAGUCUCAUUCCGGCGUCCAGUGCUAUCAUAUUUUUUCAUUUGGCAUUCAGAGCCGUUGUUUCGUUUUGGCGUUCAGAGCCAUUGUUCGUUUUCCGCUUGUCGUUCAGAGCCAUUUUUUUCAGUUUAUCGUUUAGAGCCGUGUUUUCAUUUUGACAUCCAAUGCUAUCACGUUUUUCAUUUAGCGUUUAAAGCCACUUUUUCGGUUUGGCGUUCAAAGCCACUUCUUCCAUUUGGCGUACAAAGCCGCGUUUUUCAUUGGGACGUUCAUAGCCACUAUCUCUUCUCAGCUUUGGCGUUCAGAGCCAUUAUCUCUUCUCAGCUUUGGCUUUGAGAGCCACUAUCUCUUCUUAGUUUGGCGUUCAUAGCCACUAUCUCUUCUCAGUUUGACGUUCAGAGCCAUCGUUCAUUUUCCAUUUGGCGUUCAGAGUCACAGUUUCACUUUAGCAUUCAGAGUCGUAGUUUUACUUUGGUGUUCAGAGCCAUUAUUCGUUUUCAGUUUGGAGCUCAGAGCCAUCACAUUUUUUUUAUAAGUCGUUCAGAGCCACUAUCUCUUCUUAGUUUGGCGUUCAGAGCCAUUAUUCGUUUUCGUUUUGGCGUUCAGAGCCAUUGUGCAUUUUUCGUUUGGCGUUCAGAGCCGUAUCACCAUCUGUUUUUACUUUUGGUGUUUAGAGCCAUUGUUCGUUUUCCAUUUGGCGUUUAGAGCCAUUGUUCGCCUUCCAUUUGGCGUUCAGAGCCGUAAUUUCGUUUGUCAUUCAGAGCCACCGUGCAUUUUUCAUUUGGCGUUCAGAGCCAUUAUUCAUUUUCUGUUUGGCGUUCAGAGCCAUUGUUUCAUUCUGGUGUUCAAAGCCGUACUUUCAGUUUGGCGUUCAGAGCCAUUAUUCGUUUUUUGUUUUGGCGUUUAGAGCCAUUGCAUUGUUUCAUUUUGGCAUUCAGAGUCAUCGUUCGCUUUCCACUUGGUGUUCAGAGCCAUUGUUUCUUCUCAGUCUCGGUGUUCAGAGCCAUCAACAUCUUCAGUUUUGACGUUCAGAGCCACUAUUUUUUCUCAGUUUCGGCGUUUAGAGCCAUCGACAUUUUCCAUUUAGUGUUCAGAGCCAUCAUCGUCUCUCAGCUUUAGCGUUUAGAGCCACCAACGCUUUCAGUCUCGGAGUUCAAAGCCAUUUUUUAUACUCACCCAAGCAUUCGAUGCCCCCAUCUUUCUUUAGUUUGGCGUUCAGAGCCAUUUGUUCGUUCUGACGUUCAGAGUCAUUAUUCACUUUCUGUUUGACGCUCAGAGCCACCAUCUUUUCUCAUUUCCGGCAUUCAGAGCCAUCACCUCUUUCCAGUUUGGCAUUCAGAGCCACAUUUGCACUUUGGCGUUCAGAGCCGUUAGUCAUUCUCAGUUCGAUGUUCGGAGUCGUAGUCUCAUAUCCACAUCCAUAACCAUCACCAUUUUUCUUUAGUUUUGGCAUUUAGAGUCGUUUUUCGUACACAUUCAUGCAUUUUGAUUCACUAUCUUUCGUAGUUUGGCGUUCAAAGCCAUUCUUCAUGCCCAUUCAUGCAUUUUAAAGUCACCUUCUUCCUUAGUUUCGGCGUUCAGAGCUGUUUUUCAUGCCCAUUGAUGCAUUUUAAAGUCACAUUCUUUUUUAGUUUUGGCAUUCAGAGCCAUUGCACAUAUCCAUUUAAGCAUCUUGAGUCACCAUAUUCUUCAUGUUUUUGGCGUUCAAAGUCAUGCCUUCUCAUCUGUAUCAUGUAGAGUCACAAUCCUCGGUAUUCAUAUUCAUUGGAAUUGCAUGUUUUUGCCUUCAGGGGUUCAUGUUUAUCCUCAGUUUCCUCACCUGGUUACAUCGCUCUUCUAGAUUUCCCUUUCCGCUGCUCAUGACACAGCCCUUUGAGUUCACGACGCAUGUUUCGGUCAUGUCGCUUGGGCACCCUACACUUGUCAUUUUCAUAUAGUUCACUUAGGGUAGUCUCCUUCUAGCACAUUCUUCCCCGUACUUCAGAGUGGUUCGACCGUUACUCAUCCUUGAUAUGGUAUUUCGAGUCACUUCUGGAGACAUUCUUGGAGGGAGCUUGGGUCCUCAGUGUGGCUUUUGAGACAUUUUGAGACAUCCUUUUCUUUUAGGAUUAGAGUCCCUAUGUUCGUCUGUUAGUCUGAGUGAGUUCAUGUCUCACUGGUGUCUUUGUGGGGGUCUCCUUGGUUCUUCGGUAGAGUUCACUUCAUUACACUCACUAUUCACACUUGCUUUUCACUUCAGUGUUCAUAUUCCUUACACUCGUGAACUCUAUCGAAGAGGGGCAUAUUUGUAGACCCCUCUUUUGGCUUGGUUUAUAUAUAUAUAUAUAUAUAUAUAUAUCGUCUUUACAAAUGAGGACUGAGCCUCUUUAAAUAGGCAAAAAGAAAUCUUGAAUAGUAACAAUGAACAGUAGACCCGUGCUUGAAUAGUGAAUAGUGAAUAGUAAGAUUCACUUUUAUACUGAAAUCCCCCAAAAAACCCUCUUUCGGCUGAGAAGACUUCUGGCAGGCUGCUUUAUACUGUGUAGACACAUGCUUGAUGCUUUUGGUGCAGAAACUGCAAAGCUUGUAAAAUAUUCUUGAUGGAAGACAAAAGGCUAAUGAUUACUUAGAUCUUCUUAUUGGAGGAAGGAUUUAUAUAUAUAUAUAUAUUUAUCCCAUCGAUUAUGAGCCUUCCCACCACUUUUGGAGCACUCGGAGAAGGGUGUUUGGAGUGGGGGGCCUGCUCCUUGGAAGAUCAGCUGCAUGAAACACGUGGUGGAGCAGCUGACCGUGGCCAUGGUGUUAGUUGGGAUGGUGACCAACGGAGUAUCGAGGAGGAGUGAGGGUUGUCUGGGUGAAGGGGGAAGAGAAAAAGGCGUAGAAGAAUUGAGAGGAGGCCUAGGCGAAGUCGCGGAGAGCAGGGAAAGAGCUUGUUAGUUCGAUCCAGGUAUGAUUUCCGCACUAUUUUGUACAUUCUCAAGAGAUCUAUCCUGUUUCUUGAUAGUUUUUGGGUUUUAUUUGUUGGUUUGCUGUGGACAUCAAGAGCCACAAGAUGGUUUUGGGUUGAAUGUGAUUAUCUGCCCAUAUAUGCUCUGUUUUGGUCCUCUUUGCUGCUCUCGUUUUUUUUUUCCCUUGUAAAUGGCCCAUGUGCAUGGAGAAAAGUUUAACUUGUCCAAGCAAAGGCUUCAUGUUCUCAUGAUGAAUAACACGGUUACCACAUGCCUACGCCUUCUUCACUGUUCGCGUCAGCCAUACCCAUUUCCUCACUCAAGCUUGCAGGAAUCAAGCAUCCUCCACCACACCCAUUUUCCUCUCAUUCAUUCUCCAUCCCACUCCCUCACUUACAUGGAGUCUCACGAGUGCAUGCUAUCCUUCACUCCUUCACAUACCCAUUAAAACCACUCACCCAAGCCUCCAUAUCCAUACAACCCAUACCCAUCCUUCAUGCUACUCAUAACCAUGUUCUACCAUACCCAUGUGUACACCCAUUUAACCAUACCACCAAACCCGUUUCUCUCUCUAAACCUUCACCUACUUGUGGGAUCCUCCCUAAAAAAUGUCACGUGGCUCUCUCUCCCUUGCACAUGCAAACGGUCCCCUUGCGACGCGCGACAUUAGCUCAUUCCACCCGGGGAAGAAUUCUGUCCGGCCGACGUUCAACCUUCUCCGGAUAUCUCACAUCCGGAAUUCUGUCCGGCCGACAUUCCACCUUUUUCGGAUAUCUCACAUCCGAAAUUCUGUUUGCCGACGUUCCACCUUCUCCGGAUAUUUCACAUCCGGAAUUCUGUCCGGCCGACGUUCCACCUUCUCCGGAUAUCUCACAUCCGGAAUUCUGUCCGGCCGACGUUCAACCUUUUCCGGAUAUCUCACAUCCGAAAUUCUGUCCGGUCGACGUUCAAUCUUCUCCGGAUAUCUCACAUCCGGCGCCUGAAGCCGGAUGGGAGAGAAGGGCGAUUCAACUUCCCCGGUCAGACAUGUCUGGAUCCUCUGAUAACGCUUACCCGGAGAGCAUCCGCAGCCGACAAUUCAGAUUCCCCGGACAGCUUGGCUCCUCAGACACUCGUGAUUCGCCGGAUCCAUUUCCGCCCACAAUCAAAAGGCAAACUCCGAUAAUACUGACGACCAAGUCUCCUAAACUGUCACUCAUCUUUAAUGCAAGAUAGAUUGGGCUUCACGCGCGUGAUUUUAUGAUCGAUUGGUGGAUUGAUUGAUUUGAUUGCUAUAUGUGAUUGAUUUACACUAUUCUAUAAUACACACACGAUUAUUUUGUGUUUAAUUGCUAACAUUUGUUUUCAUUGAAGUAAACUAGUUCAUCACUCAGGUACAUUAUUUGCCUUUCCUGUUCAUUCAAUUAUUUUGUUUUGAGUGAUAUUCAUUCAGUAUCCAUGCUCGAUUAAUUAAUUGUCAUGAUUGCUUCAUUUUAUUAGUAAAGACCCAUCUUUAGGGACUUAAAGGGGUGCUACGGUCUUUACAGUACCUUCCCGAUAAGUAACCUGACCCCCAAACCCGAUCCGGUUUUUCGUAGACCAACCUUUUCCAAAACAAGGAGUCACACCUAAAGUUUUCUUUCUUAUUUUGUUUACCCCUUUAAAAAUAAAACAAAAAUAAGUGGCGACUCCAAAUCAAUUUCUCAAAAUAAAAAUCAAGCUCGCCAUCGAGUGGGAAGCGCAUGAGCCGAAAUGCGGGGUCUACAGUAGGUUUUAGAACAAUGGUGCACUCAAAAACACUCUCCUAAGACUCAAAUAUAUUCAAGAAAAGUUUUGGAAGGUUAAACUUAUAAACAAUGAAGAUUUGGAGUCUUUUUUAUAAAGGAAAAAAAGUCAAACUAGCCGUUAGGGGUUCAAUCGGUUGAGGUGAGAGUCAAUCGGUUGACUAGCUGUUAGCAUUUAAUGCUUGGUAGGUGACCAUUGGAUCUCGAUCGGACCUCGACCGGUUGAGGUAGGGGUCAACCGGUUUUUCAUCCGAUUGAACAACCAUUCUGGAAGAGAGAGAAUGUUUUUUGCACCUCUCGAUCGAUUGAGCUAAGGGUCGAUCGGUUACUGUUCACAUCAUUGACUGGUUGAACUGGGGGUCGACCUCCUCCUAGACCGGUUGAGUUAGGGGUCGACCGGUUGCUCAUCUGGUUCAACCGGUUGAACGUUUUUGGCUCAACAACCAACUUUUUCAAUUUAAAACCUUUUAAACAAGUUUGAAAAACAUUUGACACAAGAUUUUAGUUAAAAAAAAUGAAAUCAUUCAAUUUUAAAAUAUUUAAAAAAAAUAACUCUUUGAUGAUUUUGGUGCAAAAGUAAAGAAUAUAAUACAUAAAAAUCCUAGUGCACCAAUAACCUUACAAAGAGAUCUUACGAAACUUGGAUCUUAAAAAAAUACUUCUUUUUAGGUAUUCUUCUUGUUUAUGAUUUCUCUUUUUGAUUAUCACUUUGGAAAUUGUCUUACCUAAUCACACUUGAAAUAUAAUCAUUAGUUUUAAACUUUAUUUUGUUAUCAUCAAAACUAAGAUUAACCAAAUCUUUGUUUUACACUAUCAUGUUUAAUAUCUAUAAAAAUUUAAAAUAUAAUUUUUAGGUAUGGAAAAAUUAGGAAUGGAUGAUAAAAUGGGAAAGAGGUAGUGAGUCGAAGAGAAGAGGCAAGACAAAAGGAUUAAGCAACAGCAACAUUAAUGACACCAAACAAAGAAGAGAGUGGCAUUGCAAUUAGGUAUGGAAAGGAGCAGACGACUUUUUAACUUAGGGUGUUAUUAAUUUAAUUUUCCUUCAAGAUUUCACUCCACAAAUCAUAAAUUAAGAAUGAGAUGGUUGCAAUUUUUAAUUGUAACAUUUAUGACUAUAUCUACACCGUGAUGUAAAUAUUUGAGGACAUAGUGGAUUUUAAAAAAACGUUUUUAAUUGUAACAUUUAAAUAAUAAAUAUUUUUAAGUAUUACAAAAUUAUAAACGAUUUGUAAAUUUUUUUUUUUACUAUUAACGCUUUUAAAGAGAAUCAGGCUAAUGGCUAUAUUUUUGGCUUAAAAAUGAAAUGUAAAUUAAAGCAAAAUGGAAAUUGAAUGAGAUCGAGUGUGAAAUGUGGAGGGAGUAAGAAGAGCCUGUCAUGUCAUGCUUGCAUUUUCAAACCAAGACAAAUAUCUGCAGCCCAAGGCCUUCACACGGAUCCCCACCCAUGUAUGAAUGUACAGAAAAAGGCUUCCAUUAUUGACGUGAAUCAGUGAAAACAGCUGUAGCAAUUAACAAAGUAGAAAAAGAUGCAGACAUAUGAAACAUGAUGUGAACUGUGAAUUGUGAAUGACUACAAUACUUAUUUGAAUGAUAUGGGUUCCACAACCAAUUCAAUAUUCUUGGACGCCUUUGGUUGGAUUUUUUACGAGGGUACCAUAGUUUUAAAAAAUAUUUUUUAGUAGAAAAAUUAAUUUUAAUUUUAAAAAAUUUAAAAUGGUUAUUUUUUUAAAUCUUUUUUUCAAAGGAUGAUUUAAAAAAAAAUUAUAACCAAAAAAUCGUCUUGAAAUGAUUUUUUAAAUUUCUUUUAAAAAGAAUUAUAGGCUAAAAUCGUCUAUGGGGAGAUGAUUUUGGAAAAAAAAAUAAAAUUUAAGGGAGACAAAUACCCUGAGCCUUGGAUUCCUUUACAUGAACCAUUAUUGUGUGUACGGAAAAAGGGCUCCCACCACUAGGCUCAAUCAACGAAAGCCACCGCAGCAAUGGAUAAAAUAUAGAAAAAGACAAAUACAUAUGAAAUCAUAAUCAAUGACUUUAAAUUUAUUUAUCAUACAUGUUUUAAGAUAUAAUAUAUGUGAAUCACCCCACUUAGUUACUUAAAUUCAUUUUUGCCUUCAAGGUUUGGCCAUAUGAUCUAAUUUUAAUAUAAUGUUAUAAAAUGGGUAAAUUCCCAUACAAGCUUCAUUUAGAAAACAAACCUGUUGUCGCCUCGCGUAUCCGAUGGUCCACGUUGCUGCUAUAUGGAUGGACACGUGAUUCUCAACACACAAGGGGUUCUUGAUUCAGUGGUUGCACCUGCAAAAGGCAUCCGGACAGGGUGUCCGGACGCACCCUCCGAUGGUUUUGUUAGCCAUGGUGAGAAAGAGAUAUAUAAAUCAGUUGGCCUUUUUUAGGUAUCAAGAGGUUACCAGAAGAUCCCCCUUUUCUUCUUCGUGCGAAGGUAUAUAUAUCCAGCUUCAGGGGUACUGUUCCUCUCAUUAAUGGUGAGGAGAUCUUUUCUGUUGUGAUGAUGACAAUAGGUAUUAGUAGGAGCACUAUCAUCCUAUGAAUGGCUGUCAGAGACUAUGGUAGGUGAUGCGGCCGUCAGAGAUCGUGGGAAGCGAUUAUGCAGAAUGAUCGUGGGAAGUGACUUGCUGUCACUUCCUCUUGUCUUCUCAUUCUGCAGGUGAUGGGAUGUGGGCCAUGGCUGCUUGUUGUGAUUGCGUGUAAGACUCGCUUUACUUUAAUUGACCAUCCAGAAGAUUUAUAUCCGGAUGGCUCAUGCUCACUAUCCGGAUGUGUUGUGGANNNNNNNNNNNNNNNNNNNNNNNNNNNNNNNNNNNNNNNNNNNNNNNNNNNNNNNNNNNNNNNNNNNNNNNNNNNNNNNNNNNNNNNNNNNNNNNNNNNNNNNNNNNNNNNNNNNNNNNNNNNNNNNNNNNNNNNNNNNNNNNNNNNNNNNNNNNNNNNNNNNNNNNNNNNNNNNNNNNNNNNNNNNNNNNNNNNNNNNNNNNNNNNNNNNNNNNNNNNNNNNNNNNNNNNNNNNNNNNNNNNNNNNNNNNNNNNNNNNNNNNNNNNNNNNNNNNNNNNNNNNNNNNNNNNNNNNNNNNNNNNNNNNNNNNNNNNNNNNNNNNNNNNNNNNNNNNNNNNNNNNNNNNNNNNNNNNNNNNNNNNNNNNNNNNNNNNNNNNNNNNNNNNNNNNNNNNNNNNNNNNNNNNNNNNNNNNNNNNNNNNNNNNNNNNNNNNNNNNNNNNNNNNNNNNNNNNNNNNNNNNNNNNNNNNNNNNNNNNNNNNNNNNNNNNNNNNNNNNNNNNNNNNNNNNNNNNNNNNNNNNNNNNCAUGGCUGCUUGUUGUGAUUGCGUGUAAGACUCGCUUUACUUAAUUGACCAUCCAGAAGAUUAUAUCCGGAUGGCUCAUGCUUACUAUCCGGAUGUGUUGUGGAGACUAUCCGGAUGUGUACGCUCUGCCAGCGUCGUUUGCUCUUCCUUGGAUAGGAGAAGAUGAAACGUCGUUUGCCUUUCCUUGAGGCGGUCCGGAUAGGAUGUCUACACCAUGCAUAUCCUUAGGGGAAUCCGGGUAAUGAUGGUCCGGAUGAUAACACGUGCCACGUGUCACUAUGAGCUGCGUGCCACGUGUUUCCCAAGGGGAGGGGUCCCUACAUUGCCCCCCUUUUUAACUUGCCUAUUUUGCCCAAAAAUGGGCGGGUUAAAAAUAACUGGCUUUUGAAAACUGAAGAAGUCCCUUCGUCUGACUGGGCCACGUGGCGAGUGGGGGUGCGGAAGCCAAAAAGGCUUUUAUGACGAGCCGCCGACCCUGCGUAUCCCCAGACAAUAUGUCGUUUCAAUGAUAAUAUGGCUGUUGGUUUGGCUUUCCGAGGGGCUGUCCUGCUAUAAAUAGGGUACUGUACCUCUUUUUGUAUUUUUUCCUACUGCAUUCUCUUGAGAGUCUUUCUUCUUACUGCUUUUUCUACGCCCUUUGCUUUUCUGAGAGAAAAAAACUCCGAAAGCUCUUUUGUACCAGUGCUUUUGUAUCGCGACUUUGUUGGUUUGCUGCUGGUGAUUUUGUAUCGAGGCGGUACCCGUUCUUCUUCUUCGGUGCUGUAUUUGGUACGUAUCUCUUUGCUACUGCCGUUCCUUUGGUUGCGUUUGCUGGUUCUUUACACUUGCUUUCUGGCUUGCUUGGGCAUUGUUUUGGACGAGUCGUUUGCAAUUGUUGUUGAAUGUUGGUACUUUGUUGUUGUUUGGAGGGGUUUUUGAGGGGUUUUUCUGACGGCUUUGAGUUAGGGUUUGUGGAUUUUCUGAUUGCUUGGUCUGAACCGUUUGCAUUGUUUUUGCGUGUAGAUUUUGCUUUGGCUUUGUGGUAAGGAAUGGCUCCAAAAAAGACUGUUUCGUCUGUCCGGGUCAGCGAGGCUAGCGAAAAGGCGAUAGACAAAUUAAAUGCNNNNNNNNNNNNNNNNNNNNNNNNNNNNNNNNNNNNNNNNNNNNNNNNNNNNNNNNNNNNNNNNNNNNNNNNNNNNNNNNNNNNNNNNNNNNNNNNNNNNNNNNNNNNNNNNNNNNNNNNNNNNNNNNNNNNNNNNNNNNNNNNNNNNNNNNNNNNNNNNNNNNNNNNNNNNNNNNNNNNNNNNNNNNNNNNNNNNNNNNNNNNNNNNNNNNNNNNNNNNNNNNNNNNNNNNNNNNNNNNNNNNNNNNNNNNNNNNNNNNNNNNNNNNNNNNNNNNNNNNNNNNNNNNNNNNNNNNNNNNNNNNNNNNNNNNNNNNNNNNNNNNNNNNNNNNNNNNNNNNNNNNNNNNNNNNNNNNNNNNNNNNNNNNNNNNNNNNNNNNNNNNNNNNNNNNNNNNNNNNNNNNNNNNNNNNNNNNNNNNNNNNNNNNNNNNNNNNNNNNNNNNNNNNNNNNNNNNNNNNNNNNNNNNNNNNNNNNNNNNNNNNNNNNNNNNNNNNNNNNNNNNNNNNNNNNNNNNNNNNNNNNNNNNNNNNNNNNNNNNNNNNNNNNNNNNNNNNNNNNNNNNNNNNNNNNNNNNNNNNNNNNNNNNNNNNNNNNNNNNNNNNNNNNNNNNNNNNNNNNNNNNNNNNNNNNNNNNNNNNNNNNNNNNNNNNNNNNNNNNNNNNNNNNNNNNNNNNNNNNNNNNNNNNNNNNNNNNNNNNNNNNNNNNNNNNNNNNNNNNNNNNNNNNNNNNNNNNNNNNNNNNNNNNNNNNNNNNNNNNNNNNNNNNNNNNNNNNNNNNNNNNNNNNNNNNNNNNNNNNNNNNNNNNNNNNNNNNNNNNNNNNNNNNNNNNNNNNNNNNNNNNNNNNNNNNNNNNNNNNNNNNNNNNNNNNNNNNNNNNNNNNNNNNNNNNNNNNNNNNNNNNNNNNNNNNNNNNNNNNNNNNNNNNNNNNNNNNNNNNNNNNNNNNNNNNNNNNNNNNNNNNNNNNNNNNNNNNNNNNNNNNNNNNNNNNNNNNNNNNNNNNNNNNNNNNNNNNNNNNNNNNNNNNNNNNNNNNNNNNNNNNNNNNNNNNNNNNNNNNNNNNNNNNNNNNNNNNNNNNNNNNNNNNNNNNNNNNNNNNNNNNNNNNNNNNNNNNNNNNNNNNNNNNNNNNNNNNNNNNNNNNNNNNNNNNNNNNNNNNNNNNNNNNNNNNNNNNNNNNNNNNNNNNNNNNNNNNNNNNNNNNNNNNNNNNNNNNNNNNNNNNNNNNNNNNNNNNNNNNNNNNNNNNNNNNNNNNNNNNNNNNNNNNNNNNNNNNNNNNNNNNNNNNNNNNNNNNNNNNNNNNNNNNNNNNNNNNNNNNNNNNNNNNNNNNNNNNNNNNNNNNNNNNNNNNNNNNNNNNNNNNNNNNNNNNNNNNNNNNNNNNNNNNNNNNNNNNNNNNNNNNNNNNNNNNNNNNNNNNNNNNNNNNNNNNNNNNNNNNNNNNNNNNNNNNNNNNNNNNNNNNNNNNNNNNNNNNNNNNNNNNNNNNNNNNNNNNNNNNNNNNNNNNNNNNNNNNNNNNNNNNNNNNNNNNNNNNNNNNNNNNNNNNNNNNNNNNNNNNNNNNNNNNNNNNNNNNNNNNNNNNNNNNNNNNNNNNNNNNNNNNNNNNNNNNNNNNNNNNNNNNNNNNNNNNNNNNNNNNNNNNNNNNNNNNNNNNNNNNNNNNNNNNNNNNNNNNNNNNNNNNNNNNNNNNNNNNNNNNNNNNNNNNNNNNNNNNNNNNNNNNNNNNNNNNNNNNNNNNNNNNNNNNNNNNNNNNNNNNNNNNNNNNNNNNNNNNNNNNNNNNNNNNNNNNNNNNNNNNNNNNNNNNNNNNNNNNNNNNNNNNNNNNNNNNNNNNNNNNNNNNNNNNNNNNNNNNNNNNNNNNNNNNNNNNNNNNNNNNNNNNNNNNNNNNNNNNNNNNNNNNNNNNNNNNNNNNNNNNNNNNNNNNNNNNNNNNNNNNNNNNNNNNNNNNNNNNNNNNNNNNNNNNNNNNNNNNNNNNNNNNNNNNNNNNNNNNNNNNNNNNNNNNNNNNNNNNNNNNNNNNNNNNNNNNNNNNNNNNNNNNNNNNNNNNNNNNNNNNNNNNNNNNNNNNNNNNNNNNNNNNNNNNNNNNNNNNNNNNNNNNNNNNNNNNNNNNNNNNNNNNNNNNNNNNNNNNNNNNNNNNNNNNNNNNNNNNNNNNNNNNNNNNNNNNNNNNNNNNNNNNNNNNNNNNNNNNNNNNNNNNNNNNNNNNNNNNNNNNNNNNNNNNNNNNNNNNNNNNNNNNNNNNNNNNNNNNNNNNNNNNNNNNNNNNNNNNNNNNNNNNNNNNNNNNNNNNNNNNNNNNNNNNNNNNNNNNNNNNNNNNNNNNNNNNNNNNNNNNNNNNNNNNNNNNNNNNNNNNNNNNNNNNNNNNNNNNNNNNNNNNNNNNNNNNNNNNNNNNNNNNNNNNNNNNNNNNNNNNNNNNNNNNNNNNNNNNNNNNNNNNNNNNNNNNNNNNNNNNNNNNNNNNNNNNNNNNNNNNNNNNNNNNNNNNNNNNNNNNNNNNNNNNNNNNNNNNNNNNNNNNNNNNNNNNNNNNNNNNNNNNNNNNNNNNNNNNNNNNNNNNNNNNNNNNNNNNNNNNNNNNNNNNNNNNNNNNNNNNNNNNNNNNNNNNNNNNNNNNNNNNNNNNNNNNNNNNNNNNNNNNNNNNNNNNNNNNNNNNNNNNNNNNNNNNNNNNNNNNNNNNNNNNNNNNNNNNNNNNNNNNNNNNNNNNNNNNNNNNNNNNNNNNNNNNNNNNNNNNNNNNNNNNNNNNNNNNNNNNNNNNNNNNNNNNNNNNNNNNNNNNNNNNNNNNNNNNNNNNNNNNNNNNNNNNNNNNNNNNNNNNNNNNNNNNNNNNNNNNNNNNNNNNNNNNNNNNNNNNNNNNNNNNNNNNNNNNNNNNNNNNNNNNNNNNNNNNNNNNNNNNNNNNNNNNNNNNNNNNNNNNNNNNNNNNNNNNNNNNNNNNNNNNNNNNNNNNNNNNNNNNNNNNNNNNNNNNNNNNNNNNNNNNNNNNNNNNNNNNNNNNNNNNNNNNNNNNNNNNGAAGUAAUGAUAGAGGAGCCAGUAAAUGCUGCUCCGCACUCUAUCUCAAGCGGCCCCGGGCGCAUGUCGGGGUUGAAUCACUCAGGUCCCUCCUUAGUCGCGGCUGCGCGUCUAGCCAACGUGGCUGAGGAAGCUGCAUCUAUCAACCAUCCGGGCAACCUCAAUCCGGAUGCAGCUGAAACGGCCCCGUUGGAGGAAGCGGGGGCAGAAAGCCAAAGUCAGCCUUCCGACGACUCGGAUCGCCUGGCUAUAGUCCUGGUGAAAGGGCCUCCCCUCAAGAAGCCGCGUUUGACGCGCGAUCUACAGUCCGGACUCUUUGAGCGGCUUCAAGAGCGGCAGCAAGAGAUUGAAAUUAGCUGCGCUUCUGCUCAUGACGCUCAUCCGGAUGGAGGCGAGGUGGAGAUGGCUACUGAGACCUCAGCCGUUCCGGCAAUAAUUCCGGCUGAGGAUGCAUCCGGACCUAUGUGCCCGAACGAAAAUAUGGGGGCUCCGAUUCCGGGACACGAGCUACCCUCUCCUUCCUCAUCCGAGGAGGAAUCUGCUGAUGAUGCCGCUCCCGCUAGCCCUUUCAGUUACGCGGAGUUGGAAGCUAAGUUAAAGCAGAUUACUCCUGAUUGGAAAGCCAUCAAGCCCUCUGCUAAGAUGUUUGAUAUGAUAGAAACGGUACGCCGCUGUCUUGUGUUUUUGCUUUUUGACUUUUUGUUGCACUGAUGUGUAUGUUGUAGUAUGAUUUAUGUUUUUGCUUUUCUUGUUUGUGUGUUAGCUGGUGAGGGGCCUCCGCAGCAUGUCUCAACAACACGCUCUUUUUACUCAGCUGCUGCAGACCGCAGACUAUAUGAAGACCUUCUCCUCUCGGCACCAAGAGAUUGAAAAUCAACUGCGUCUGAGAAUGGAGGAGGCUGAGGCCAGUCUAUCCACCAUGCGAGAGGAAAAUGAAGCCCUCCGGGUGGAGUUGGCUGAGGCAAAGGGUCAAGAAGAAUCAACUGCGGGCCGCCUUCAUGAGGCGGAGGGUGAGGCAGCCCGGCUAAGGGAUGAAUUGAGUCGACUCCGGACAGAAGUUUUGAAUGAAAAGAAGCAGAAGGAAGACUUGCAGCUGCGUCUGGAUGUGCAAAAAGAGGAACUUGAACGGGAGUUUGCUGUGGAAAGGGAGGAACUUGCAGCGGAUUACCAGAGACAAGUGGAUGAUACAUUUAUCUUUGGGUAUCGCUGCUGCANNNNNNNNNNNNNNNNNNNNNNNNNNNNNNNNNNNNNNNNNNNNNNNNNNNNNNNNNNNNNNNNNNNNNNNNNNNNNNNNNNNNNNNNNNNNNNNNNNNNNNNNNNNNNNNNNNNNNNNNNNNNNNNNNNNNNNNNNNNNNNNNNNNNNNNNNNNNNNNNNNNNNNNNNNNNNNNNNNNNNNNNNNNNNNNNNNNNNNNNNNNNNNNNNNNNNNNNNNNNNNNNNNNNNNNNNNNNNNNNNNNNNNNNNNNNNNNNNNNNNNNNNNNNNNNNNNNNNNNNNNNNNNNNNNNNNNNNNNNNNNNNNNNNNNNNNNNNNNNNNNNNNNNNNNNNNNNNNNNNNNNNNNNNNNNNNNNNNNNNNNNNNNNNNNNNNNNNNNNNNNNNNNNNNNNNNNNNNNNNNNNNNNNNNNNNNNNNNNNNNNNNNNNNNNNNNNNNNNNNNNNNNNNNNNNNNNNNNNNNNNNNNNNNNNNNNNNNNNNNNNNNNNNNNNNNNNNNNNNNNNNNNNNNNNNNNNNNNNNNNNNNNNNNNNNNNNNNNNNNNNNNNNNNNNNNNNNNNNNNNNNNNNNNNNNNNNNNNNNNNNNNNNNNNNNNNNNNNNNNNNNNNNNNNNNNNNNNNNNNNNNNNNNNNNNNNNNNNNNNNNNNNNNNNNNNNNNNNNNNNNNNNNNNNNNNNNNNNNNNNNNNNNNNNNNNNNNNNNNNNNNNNNNNNNNNNNNNNNNNNNNNNNNNNNNNNNNNNNNNNNNNNNNNNNNNNNNNNNNNNNNNNNNNNNNNNNNNNNNNNNNNNNNNNNNNNNNNNNNNNNNNNNNNNNNNNNNNNNNNNNNNNNNNNNNNNNNNNNNNNNNNNNNNNNNNNNNNNNNNNNNNNNNNNNNNNNNNNNNNNNNNNNNNNNNNNNNNNNNNNNNNNNNNNNNNNNNNNNNNNNNNNNNNNNNNNNNNNNNNNNNNNNNNNNNNNNNNNNNNNNNNNNNNNNNNNNNNNNNNNNNNNNNNNNNNNNNNNNNNNNNNNNNNNNNNNNNNNNNNNNNNNNNNNNNNNNNNNNNNNNNNNNNNNNNNNNNNNNNNNNNNNNNNNNNNNNNNNNNNNNNNNNNNNNNNNNNNNNNNNNNNNNNNNNNNNNNNNNNNNNNNNNNNNNNNNNNNNNNNNNNNNNNNNNNNNNNNNNNNNNNNNNNNNNNNNNNNNNNNNNNNNNNNNNNNNNNNNNNNNNNNNNNNNNNNNNNNNNNNNNNNNNNNNNNNNNNNNNNNNNNNNNNNNNNNNNNNNNNNNNNNNNNNNNNNNNNNNNNNNNNNNNNNNNNNNNNNNNNNNNNNNNNNNNNNNNNNNNNNNNNNNNNNNNNNNNNNNNNNNNNNNNNNNNNNNNNNNNNNNNNNNNNNNNNNNNNNNNNNNNNNNNNNNNNNNNNNNNNNNNNNNNNNNNNNNNNNNNNNNNNNNNNNNNNNNNNNNNNNNNNNNNNNNNNNNNNNNNNNNNNNNNNNNNNNNNNNNNNNNNNNNNNNNNNNNNNNNNNNNNNNNNNNNNNNNNNNNNNNNNNNNNNNNNNNNNNNNNNNNNNNNNNNNNNNNNNNNNNNNNNNNNNNNNNNNNNNNNNNNNNNNNNNNNNNNNNNNNNNNNNNNNNNNNNNNNNNNNNNNNNNNNNNNNNNNNNNNNNNNNNNNNNNNNNNNNNNNNNNNNNNNNNNNNNNNNNNNNNNNNNNNNNNNNNNNNNNNNNNNNNNNNNNNNNNNNNNNNNNNNNNNNNNNNNNNNNNNNNNNNNNNNNNNNNNNNNNNNNNNNNNNNNNNNNNNNNNNNNNNNNNNNNNNNNNNNNNNNNNNNNNNNNNNNNNNNNNNNNNNNNNNNNNNNNNNNNNNNNNNNNNNNNNNNNNNNNNNNNNNNNNNNNNNNNNNNNNNNNNNNNNNNNNNNNNNNNNNNNNNNNNNNNNNNNNNNNNNNNNNNNNNNNNNNNNNNNNNNNNNNNNNNNNNNNNNNNNNNNNNNNNNNNNNNNNNNNNNNNNNNNNNNNNNNNNNNNNNNNNNNNNNNNNNNNNNNNNNNNNNNNNNNNNNNNNNNNNNNNNNNNNNNNNNNNNNNNNNNNNNNNNNNNNNNNNNNNNNNNNNNNNNNNNNNNNNNNNNNNNNNNNNNNNNNNNNNNNNNNNNNNNNNNNNNNNNNNNNNNNNNNNNNNNNNNNNNNNNNNNNNNNNNNNNNNNNNNNNNNNNNNNNNNNNNNNNNNNNNNNNNNNNNNNNNNNNNNNNNNNNNNNNNNNNNNNNNNNNNNNNNNNNNNNNNNNNNNNNNNNNNNNNNNNNNNNNNNNNNNNNNNNNNNNNNNNNNNNNNNNNNNNNNNNNNNNNNNNNNNNNNNNNNNNNNNNNNNNNNNNNNNNNNNNNNNNNNNNNNNNNNNNNNNNNNNNNNNNNNNNNNNNNNNNNNNNNNNNNNNNNNNNNNNNNNNNNNNNNNNNNNNNNNNNNNNNNNNNNNNNNNNNNNNNNNNNNNNNNNNNNNNNNNNNNNNNNNNNNNNNNNNNNNNNNNNNNNNNNNNNNNNNNNNNNNNNNNNNNNNNNNNNNNNNNNNNNNNNNNNNNNNNNNNNNNNNNNNNNNNNNNNNNNNNNNNNNNNNNNNNNNNNNNNNNNNNNNNNNNNNNNNNNNNNNNNNNNNNNNNNNNNNNNNNNNNNNNNNNNNNNNNNNNNNNNNNNNNNNNNNNNNNNNNNNNNNNNNNNNNNNNNNNNNNNNNNNNNNNNNNNNNNNNNNNNNNNNNNNNNNNNNNNNNNNNNNNNNNNNNNNNNNNNNNNNNNNNNNNNNNNNNNNNNNNNNNNNNNNNNNNNNNNNNNNNNNNNNNNNNNNNNNNNNNNNNNNNNNNNNNNNNNNNNNNNNNNNNNNNNNNNNNNNNNNNNNNNNNNNNNNNNNNNNNNNNNNNNNNNNNNNNNNNNNNNNNNNNNNNNNNNNNNNNNNNNNNNNNNNNNNNNNNNNNNNNNNNNNNNNNNNNNNNNNNNNNNNNNNNNNNNNNNNNNNNNNNNNNNNNNNNNNNNNNNNNNNNNNNNNNNNNNNNNNNNNNNNNNNNNNNNNNNNNNNNNNNNNNNNNNNNNNNNNNNNNNNNNNNNNNNNNNNNNNNNNNNNNNNNNNNNNNNNNNNNNNNNNNNNNNNNNNNNNNNNNNNNNNNNNNNNNNNNNNNNNNNNNNNNNNNNNNNNNNNNNNNNNNNNNNNNNNNNNNNNNNNNNNNNNNNNNNNNNNNNNNNNNNNNNNNNNNNNNNNNNNNNNNNNNNNNNNNNNNNNNNNNNNNNNNNNNNNNNNNNNNNNNNNNNNNNNNNNNNNNNNNNNNNNNNNNNNNNNNNNNNNNNNNNNNNNNNNNNNNNNNNNNNNNNNNNNNNNNNNNNNNNNNNNNNNNNNNNNNNNNNNNNNNNNNNNNNNNNNNNNNNNNNNNNNNNNNNNNNNNNNNNNNNNNNNNNNNNNNNNNNNNNNNNNNNNNNNNNNNNNNNNNNNNNNNNNNNNNNNNNNNNNNNNNNNNNNNNNNNNNNNNNNNNNNNNNNNNNNNNNNNNNNNNNNNNNNNNNNNNNNNNNNNNNNNNNNNNNNNNNNNNNNNNNNNNNNNNNNNNNNNNNNNNNNNNNNNNNNNNNNNNNNNNNNNNNNNNNNNNNNNNNNNNNNNNNNNNNNNNNNNNNNNNNNNNNNNNNNNNNNNNNNNNNNNNNNNNNNNNNNNNNNNNNNNNNNNNNNNNNNNNNNNNNNNNNNNNNNNNNNNNNNNNNNNNNNNNNNNNNNNNNNNNNNNNNNNNNNNNNNNNNNNNNNNNNNNNNNNNNNNNNNNNNNNNNNNNNNNNNNNNNNNNNNNNNNNNNNNNNNNNNNNNNNNNNNNNNNNNNNNNNNNNNNNNNNNNNNNNNNNNNNNNNNNNNNNNNNNNNNNNNNNNNNNNNNNNNNNNNNNNNNNNNNNNNNNNNNNNNNNNNNNNNNNNNNNNNNNNNNNNNNNNNNNNNNNNNNNNNNNNNNNNNNNNNNNNNNNNNNNNNNNNNNNNNNNNNNNNNNNNNNNNNNNNNNNNNNNNNNNNNNNNNNNNNNNNNNNNNNNNNNNNNNNNNNNNNNNNNNNNNNNNNNNNNNNNNNNNNNNNNNNNNNNNNNNNNNNNNNNNNNNNNNNNNNNNNNNNNNNNNNNNNNNNNNNNNNNNNNNNNNNNNNNNNNNNNNNNNNNNNNNNNNNNNNNNNNNNNNNNNNNNNNNNNNNNNNNNNNNNNNNNNNNNNNNNNNNNNNNNNNNNNNNNNNNNNNNNNNNNNNNNNNNNNNNNNNNNNNNNNNNNNNNNNNNNNNNNNNNNNNNNNNNNNNNNNNNNNNNNNNNNNNNNNNNNNNNNNNNNNNNNNNNNNNNNNNNNNNNNNNNNNNNNNNNNNNNNNNNNNNNNNNNNNNNNNNNNNNNNNNNNNNNNNNNNNNNNNNNNNNNNNNNNNNNNNNNNNNNNNNNNNNNNNNNNNNNNNNNNNNNNNNNNNNNNNNNNNNNNNNNNNNNNNNNNNNNNNNNNNNNNNNNNNNNNNNNNNNNNNNNNNNNNNNNNNNNNNNNNNNAUAUAAAUCAGUUGGCCUUUUUUAGGUAUCAAGAGGUUACCAGAAGAUCCCCCUUUUCUUCUUCGUGCGAAGGUAUAUAUAUCCAGCUUCAGGGGUACUGUUCCUCUCAUUAAUGGUGAGGAGAUCUUUUCUGUUGUGAUGAUGACAAUAGGUAUUAGUAGGAGCACUAUCAUCCUAUGAAUGGCUGUCAGAGACUAUGGUAGGUGAUGCGGCCGUCAGAGAUCGUGGGAAGCGAUUAUGCAGAAUGAUCGUGGGAAGUGACUUGCUGUCACUUCCUCUUGUCUUCUCAUUCUGCAGGUGAUGGGAUGUGGGCCAUGGCUGCUUGUUGUGAUUGCGUGUAAGACUCGCUUUACUUUAAUUGACCAUCCAGAAGAUUUAUAUCCGGAUGGCUCAUGCUCACUAUCCGGAUGUGUUGUGGAGACUAUCCGGAUGUGUACGCUCUGCCAGCGUCGUUUGCUCUUCCUUGGAUAGGAGAAGAUGAAACGUCGUUUGCCUUUCCUUGAGGCGGUCCGGAUAGGAUGUCUACACCAUGCAUAUCCUUAGGGGAAUCCGGGUAAUGAUGGUCCGGCUGAUAACACGUGCCACGUGUCACUAUGAGCUGCGUGCCACGUGUUUCCCAAGGGGAGGGGUCCCUACAAAACCUACAAAAACAAUUAUUAUUUUUAUAAAUAUUUUAAGAUAUUAAUAAUAAUAACAUAAAAUAAUAAUAAGUCUUAUAUUAUGUAUGUUAAAGAAAUAAAAAUUAGAGUGAACAACAUCUCAUAUUAAUUUUAAUUUUUCUUUUAAAAUAAAAAUAUCUGAUAUUAAAAAUAUAUGAAAACUCUUUUAAUUUAUUUCUCUUUUUUCAAAGUUUUGAUAUCAAAAAUUUUAAAUUUGAUAGCAACAAAUUACCAACUUUUUUCCAUCUUCUUAAAUGGCAUGGCGAUUGAAUAAAAAAUAUUUUCAGAUUUUUUUUUUCAUUUAUUCCUCCAAUAACAACUAAAUGUAUUUAAAAAAAUUGAGGUAAAAAAUUUAUGAAAAUGAAUUUAAAGAUAUGAAACAAAUUUAUACUUUUUUGUACAUGAUAUUUUAAAUUUAUGUAAAAUUUUAUGAUUUAAAAAAUUUAAAAAUAAAACAUGUAUCCAACCAAAAAUUAAGGCCUCAUUUAAAAUUAAUUAUAAUUUCAUUUAUUUUUAUACGAAAGAUUAAAAUAAAUUUAAAAUAACAUAAACAAAUAAUUUAUUCAUUUCAAAUUUUUUUUAUUUUUUUUCUUUCUAAUUUUCUUAUCCUAAUAUGUGGGUUUUCUUAAAAGCACAUUCAAUAAUAAUGUUUAUUGAGUCAAAAAUUUUAGAAACACGUCUGGAAAUCGGUUAUAAGUAGGUGAAAAUUAUUGAAAGAUUUAUUUCCACAUCCGAAGUGAUUUCUGCCUUUUUAGUAGCUUUGGUGCUUUUGGAUCUAAUUAUAUCACCAAUAAGCUAUUGGGAAAUUUAAAUAAAAUUAGAUGAGUGAAAUUUGAAUAUAAAGUGUUAAGCACAAGUUGGAGGUUUUUUCUCCCGUCCAGAGACCUUUGCAAUUAAUUGAGUGGAAAAUUAAAAAAUUAGAUGAUUCAUCCUUGAUUGUCUUAAUUAAGCAUAAGGUAAUUGAACAUAGAAAACUAAAAAGUUGCAAUUUAUUUGUGGUUGAUAUGUCUGUUUAGAAACUUUUCAGCUAACUAAUAUUUCUACAUUUACAUCUGCAUUGUUUGUGUAUAAGUUAUUUUUAUAUGGUAUUUUAAGUUCAUUCAGUUAAUUUUAACUCUUUAAUAUAAAAAUUAAAUAAUUUUAAAAUAUAUAAAUUUUUAAUUAAUUUUAAUUAUAUUUUAUUAUUAUUGAUACCAAAAUAAUUUUUGAACUAAAUAUAACUUAAGUUUUGGUGUUUACAUUAUCUCCACAAUUCAGAAGGGAGCCAAUUAUUGAAGUGGGAGGCUUUAGUACUUCUUGAAAUUAGUUUGCUUUUAGUUAUAUGUCCUUUUUUUUUCGAUAUAUAUCCUAUAUACUUAAAAGCUAAAUUUUGUUUUGAUCAUUAUAUGUAUUUGCAAGAGCACUUUCAAGAGUACUAUAUACAUUGUUGUUUUGCCCGACAUAAAAGUGACCUUCCUACCAGCAAUUGAUAAGUCUAAUCACAAGCUUGUUGCCAAAGAGACACGGGAGUGUCUUAUUAUAUGAUCCAGCACCUAGUUGAAAGAGAAGUCCAACUCCAUACUUUGGUCAUAUGAGAUGCAGGGGAGGCAGAAACUACCAUUGUAGGGGUAUUUUUGGGGUAAAACUGGUAUUGAUGCAGUGAAAAUUCUUAUACUAACUAUAUACCAUAUGCCAUUGAGUUGAGAAGUUUAAAGAAAAUAAAACUUUAAAGAAUAUUUGCCAUGAGAAGUUUCGUAACCUCAAACAAUAGUGAAAGAUUAUAUAAUAGAGUUUGAUCAUCUUAUAGUAAAAUGUGAUCUUGUUGUACAAGAAGAGGACACUAUAGCUCGUUAUCUUAGGGGGUUAAGACUGGAAGUUGGCAACAUGGUGCAACUGUAACCUUAUUGGACUUAUGAUGUUUGUAGAUUUGCCCUUAGAGUGGAAAAACAACAAAAGGAAGAAUGUAGGAAAAAUUGGUGAUUCUUAGUGCAAGAUAACUCUUCUAACAAUGGGAAUGUUUCCAUUUCUAAAACUAGCUCAGUUGCAAAGUCCAUUCCUUGAAUCUCAUCAAAAGAUAAUAGUAGGGUUGGUUUUAAACAACAACCAUACCUCUCCAAUACCAAUUCUUAUCAAUGCUUCAAGUAUCAAGGGUACAAGCAUAUUGCUUCUAAAUGCCCCAGUUGUAAAAUUAUCGUACUAAUUGAGGAAGAAAGUGAUAAAGAGAGUGAAGAAGAUGUCUAAGGUAACUUUGAAACCCCAACAACAAAAGAAGUCAUACCAGAUCAAGGAGAAUAUCUUGUAGUUCAAAGAAGUUUAAGGAGGUGUUUAUUUUUUAUUUUUUCUUAAAUCUAAAUAGAAGUUAAUUUAACUUAAUUUUAAAUGCAAUUUAAUAGUAUUAAGUAUUAAGUUAUUUGUUUUUUCACAAUGAGAGUAGGGUGUGAGGGUUGGGGGUUAGAAGUGUGAAUCAACUAACUUUUUAGAUUAACAAAAAAGCCACAUAUUUUAGCUUUUUAUAUUUAAUUAAAAAUAAUGGUAAAAACAUUAAAAGUUAGAAAAAGAAAAUUAAAAAAAGAAACAACUAGUCUAAAAGUAAAUUGCAUUCAACAUUAAGUUUAAAAAAAAAAACAUCAUCUAAGUGUUCUCCUAGAAGAAGGAACAAAUUGGCUAUGGAAAAAUAUGUUUUUUUUUACACUAAGUGCACUUCCAAGGACAAGGUCUAUAAUGUCAUCAUUGAUAGAGGCAACUUUGAGAAUUUGGUGUCUAUUGAAAUGGUGGAGAAAUUAGGCUAUAAAAUGGAAAUGAUUGAAAGAAAAAAAAAAAAAAAAGAGUAACUGAAACAAAGAACCGUGUUCUUCAAGAAAUGGCCUGUGUAAUGAUCCACAUUCAUGACAAUCUUGCUUACUUUUGGGCUGAGCCAUUGGCAUUGCUUGUUACAGUGUCAAUAGUCUUUCAUAUGAAUUAUGGUAAGGAAAGAAGCCUAAUUUGAAAUAUUUCAAGAUCUUUGGUAGUAGAUGUUAUAUUCUUAAGGAUGGGAAAAAACUAGGAAAAUUUGAUUCUAAAUUUGAUUUAGGUAUUUUCCUAGGUUAUUCUACCAUAAGUAAAGCCUAUAAGGUUUAUAAUUUGAAUGCCAAAAUGAUCUAGAAAUCAUAUAAUGUGGUUAUUGAUGACUCUGGGUCCAUUCGAGAAAAAAAUAAUUCAUAUAUUGCCCAGGGUUCUACUAGAGAUGUUCUUGAAGUUAUCCAUGAGAUAAUGGAUGAUACUAGAGAUAUUCUUAAGAUCAUCCCUGAAAAGGUGGUUGAUCCCAAAAGUGACAUGAAGGUAGAUGAAGAUAUAUGAAAUAGUAAAGUGGGAAAUAGGAAUAAAUCCAAGGUACCUAAAAAUCACCUUAUCUUUUGUGUCAUUGAAACCAAGAAAGGUUCCAUGGUAAUAAGGAGACAAUUAAGACUUAACGAGAUAGGUUUCAUUUGCUACACCUCCGAAUUAGAACCUAAGAACAUUGAGAAAGCUCUCAAAUAUGAAUCUUAGGCUACCAUACUAUAGGAAGAACUAAACUCGUUUGUUAGGAAUGAAGUGUGGUUUUUAGUACCUAGGCCUAAAGACAAACAUGUGAUAGGUACCAAAUGAAUUUUCAAGAACAGCCAAGAUGAAAAUGGGAUAAUAGUGAGGAACAAGACUAGACUUGUGGCAUAGGAUAUUCCCAAAUUAAGGGAAUUGAUUAUGAGGAAACCUUUGCUCUUAUAGCUAGGUUAAAGUCCAUUAGAUUUUUCUUUGUUAUAGCAUGCUCAUUAAGGAGAAAGUUAUACCAAAUAUAUGUAAAGAGUGCCUUUUUGAAUUAAAUCCUUAGGGAAGAAGUAUACGUAGAGCAACCUAAGGGCUUUAAAGAUCCUAAAUUUCUCAAUGAUGUGUAUAGACUAAAGAAAACCCUCCAUGGACUUAAGUGAGCUCUUAGAGCUUAGUAUAAGAGACUUACUACUUACCUCUUGAAAUAUGGUUUUGAGAGAGAGGAGUUUAUAGGACUUUAUUCAUCCAUAAGACUAAUACUAGACUCCUAAUGGCACAAUUUAUGUUGAUGAUAUUAUUUUAGAGUCACUUUAAAUAAACAUGCCUUUGGUUUUACUAAGGAGAUGAAAAAGAAAUUCGAAAUGAGCAUGAUAGGUGAACUCAUUUUUUUCGUUGGCUUGUCAAUUAGAGAACUUAAGAGUGCUUCUUUCUUUCUUACUCUAAAUAUGCAAGGGAGUUAUUAAAAAAGUUUGGUUCUAAGUCGGCUAAGCACUUUAGGACACCUAUGAGCACUAUCAUAAAGCUUUACAAUGAUAAAUAUGAUAAAUAUGUUGAGUAAAAUCUUUGUAGGAGUAUGAUAUGAAGUCUUUUGUACCUCACUACAAGUCAUCCUAAUAUUUCUUUUAGUGUGGGAGUGUGUGCGAGAUACUGGGCUAAUCCCAAAGAGUUAUAUUUAAAAUUAGUAAAAAGAAUAAUCAAAUAUGUGAAUGAGACUUUAGAUUAUAGCUUGUGGUAUCCUUUUGACUCUCCACUUGUUAUCAUCGAUUAUUUUGUUGUUGACUAAGCCAAAAAUGUAGAGGAUAGAAGAAGUACUUUAGGUGCUUCUUUCUUUGUUAGCGACUAUUUAGUUGCAUGGCUUAGUAAAAAACAAAACUUGGUAUUUUUCUCCAUUAUCGAAGCAAAGUAUAUUGUAGUAGGAAGUUGUAUCCAUCUUCUUUGGAUGAAGCAAAUGUUCAGUGACUAUGGCAUUGAGCAAGACACCAUGAAUGUCAUGUGUGACAACUUGAGUGCUAUAAACAUCUCUAAUAAUCUUGUCUUUCAUUCUCAAACUAAAUAUAUUGAAAUUCAACAUCUUUUAUUAAGGAUUUUAUGGAAGACAAGGCAAUUUCCUUAGAGUUUAUACUCAUUGAACAUCAAUUGGUUGAUAUCUUUACAAAGCCCUUAGAUUAUCUUAGGUUUGAGUUUCUAAGAAAAUCUUUGGGCAUUUGCUUCAUUGAUUAAGAGCUUGAGAUGUGGGCCUAAGGAUCAAUUUUUUUUAGAAUGGUACAAUUUUUUAGAAUCCUAGGUCCAUUUUUAAUCAAUCUUAGGUUUCAUAAGUUCUAUGUUAAUUUGUGUUUUUUUUUUAGUAUCUACUUAAAUAUCUUAAUAUUAUGCUAUAUAAGAUUUGAUAAAUUUCCCUAGAAUCUCAUAAAUCACUUUUUAAGCCAUUAAAACAAAGUAAAUAAAAACUUUGUAUGUUAGAAAAUCUUAAAAUUUUCUAUGGUAAGUGAUUAAUAGGCCUUCUUAAGUUUAAUUGAUACAGUAGAUUUUAAGUUCUUAAAAGUAAGAAACACCAUGCUAGUUUUUAAAUUCACAUAUCAUGUUUGACUUAGUCUAAAAUUGUUUCCCGAAGUGAUCUUUGACAUCUUGGCUAAAAUUAGUUUAAUAUUCUUUCCCGGAAAAUAAUGUCAUCACUUGCAAAAUUUGGAAACAACCCCACGUGGAAAAAGGCAACCAUGGUUGAAAGUAUGAUUUCUAUACCAUAUAUAGUGCUUCUACUAUUCAAAAUAAAAUAAAAAUGAGGAAAAUGAUGAGAUCUAAUUGAGAGGGAGAAAAAGUUAUGCUUUAUGAAGAUCAAUAUUUAUUGUAUUAAAUAUAAAAUGCGCUAUCAAUGAAAACAAGGUUAACUUAAGUAUAAAAUUAUCAAAUGCAUAUCAAAGAGUAAUACAAAGAUCAAACAAAUAUUCAUUAAGCAUAACAGUCGGCAAUUAGAAGAGAAAUCUCGUAUGUAGGGCCCCCACCAAAGCCCAAUUGAUUUUGCAUGAAUUAAUCUCAUAAGUUACAGUGUUUUUGGAGUUACAAAAAUUCAUUCAUGCUUAUUAAAAAUCAAAGAAAGCGAAAAAUUAUUUUAAAAUCAAAGAAAAUUUGCCAAAGUGCUUACCUGAAAGAAAAAGUAGCAAGUUUAUUUAAGAACGGGAUUUUUAGUGACUUAAAACCUAAAUGAAGGAUGAAAAGUGGUAAAAUUAGAAAAUAUUUGAAAACUGGAGUGAAAUUAAAAUUACUUGAAAGAAAACUAGAGUUUUGAAAAUUAUUUGAAAAUUGAGAUCUUAAAAUUUAAAUUUAUUUGAGGAUUAAAGUUUUGAAAAUUGGAAUUUUGGAAAAUUAUUUAAGAAUUGAAGUUUUAAAAAUUAAAUUUAAGAAUUAGAGUUUUGGGAAUUAAAUUUGAAAGAGAUUGAAGUUUUGAAAAUUAAUUAAAAAUUGGAGUUGAAAAUUAAAUUUGAGAAUUGGAGUUUUGAAAAUUAUUUGUGAAAGAAAUUGGAGUUUUUAAAAUUAAUUUUAAGAAUUGGAGUUUUGAAAUUGGAAUUUUGGAAGAUUAUUUGAGAACGGUAUUUUAAAAAUUAAGCUUGGAAAUUUGGAAUUUUGGAAAUUUUGAAAAAUUAUUUUUAAAAAGUAAAUUUGAGAAUAGAAUUUCAGAAAAUUAAAUUUUAAAAUAAAAAAUAGGAAUCUGGGAAAAUUAUUUUGAGAAUGGAAUUUUGGAAAAUUAAAUUUAAAAAAACUGAAAUAUUGGAAAAUUGGAAUUUUGAGGAAUUAUUUUAAAAAGUAAAUUUGAGAAUAUAAUUUCAUAUAAUUAAAUUUUGAAAAUUGGAAGCUUGGAAAAAUUAUUUUGAAAAUGGAAUUUUGGAAAAUUAAAAAAAAUGGAGUUUUGGAAAAUUAUUUGAAAAUUGAAGUGAAAAUAUGAUUAUUUGGAUAUCCGAAAUUUUGAAAAUUAUUUUAAAAAAUAAUUUGUGAAAAUUUGUGAGCAUAAAGGAUAAAAAAAAAAAAAAAUUUGAGCAUGUAUGCCCUAAGGAUGGCCCACCAAAUGUUGAUUAUGCACGCAAAAGCUUCAGAUAUUUUAUAACAGGUUAGGUAUAAUAAAAAAAAUUCACUUUGUUGACUUCUUUUUUAUUGUUUCAGCCCUUGGUCCUUCAAUUGCCUGAAUAACCUCAAUGAAAGCAUUGCAAGAUCCUACAUCCAUGUGAUCCACUUGAUCAAACACUUGUGACCUCUCAAAUGUGCAGGAACACUUCUCGUACAUAUCAAUAAGUGCGCUAUUCACACAUUUAUCUAACAUAAGACCUUGCUUUAUCACAUAACCAUGAAUUAGUAUCCCCAUAACCAGAUCCUCCAAGUCUCCAAUAGCCGGAAAAACACUAGAAAUAGUAACAUCUGGUUCGAACAUUCUAUCAAACACUCUAUGAGCAUCACUAAACCAACAACAACACCAUAAACAUUUCUGAUAUCUUUUCCAUCCCCAAAAAUUAGUAUCACAAGAACGCAAAGAAUCAUCACGAUAUAGUUUAUUUCUAGGGAGUAAACCUCACCUUCUUUGCUAGGGGCGACGACAAGUGAAAAGGAGAGCGCCACCGGUGAUCGUGGGCUUGAGCUUGGGGAUGGGUUGUCGACGCGGAUCCAAGUGUUGGAGCUGGCAUGGUGGUUGGAAUAUUUGUGCUGCUACUCCCUUCCUCCCGCUUGUAGCUUAUUUCGCUCCCCGAAAAUUCCCUCACCUCUCUGUUUUUUCCCCACUUCUCUUCGGUCUCCCGCUCUCUCUUUGGUCUUCCUUUUUCUCUAUGUAUUCUCUUUUUUCUGUCGACCCUUGACGCCUUUCUUGCAACUCCCAAAAUCCAGACUCCGGGCCUGUUUGUUUAGUGUUUUCAAGAACUGUUUUUUGUUCUUGAAAACAAAAAACACCAAAAACUCGUUUGGUUGAGAGAGUGAUUUUUGUUUUUCUUGUUUCCCGUGUUCUCAAAAUGACACUGUUUAGAGAACAACAAAAUCUUGUUUUCCCCGUUUUUUUACUGUUCACAGAACAAAAUUAAACCAAAAAAAACAAUCUGUUUCCCGUGUUUUUUUUUUUCUUCCCGUUUUCAUCUCUUCUCCAGCACAGUGGCUCGCCUCUUCUUGUUUCUCAGUUUUGAUUCAAGGUUCGUGAAAUUUAAAUCCAAUCGCACAAUAGCAAAGAGACCCCUAAAACGGAUCCAGAAAACGCAGGGAGCAAAAGAAAAUCCAUUUUUUUGGUUUUCCUUGGGGUUUUUGCUUGGAUUUUCUCGGAAAUCAAACGAGGAUGAAUUUUCCCGGAAAUCGAAUGGGGGAUGGGUUUUCUUGGGAAUCAAACGGGGGUUGCAGGGUUUUUGCUUGAAUUUUCUCGGAAAUCAAACGAGGAUGAAUUUUCCCGGAAAUCGAAUGGGGGAUGGAUUUUCUUGGGAAUCAAACGGGGGUUGCAAAAAAAAAAAUAAUAAUAAUAACAUGAUUAGAUUAGUACCUGUGAGGAUUGAGAGUGGCAGAGGAAAAUAGGGCCUUUUACGGAUUCUUUCGGCUGGAGGGCAACUUAGAAAAGGGCUUCUUGAUGCCCGAUGAGAGAAGUGGAUGAGAGAAGUGGGUGGAGAAGUGGGUGGCAUUUUGAAUUUUAGAUUUAGUAGAGAUAAAAAAAAAUUAACAUCAUAAGAACAAUUUUAUCUCAACUUAAUAAAAUAUGCUAUAAUUUUUAAUAAAGUUAAAGAUUAAAUAAAAAAAUAUUAAUAAAAAUAAUUUUAUUAUGUUUGAUUUAUUUUAAAAAAAUAUAAAAAAUAUUUUUAUUUUUAAAUUAAUAAAAUAAAUAAUUUUUUUAAUUUAAAUGAACUAUAUAUCUAAAAAUUAUUUAUAAAUUUAUAAUAUAAAAUUACUUGAAGAAAAUAUUUUAUUAAUUAGAAAAGAAAAAAAAAAUCUUUCAAACAUGUUUUUUGUUUUAUUUGUUCUAAAUUUUUUUUUUAUUAACUUAACCAAACAUGUUUUUUUGUUUUUGAGAACAAAAACUGUUUUUCAAAAUUCAGUUCCCAAACACAAUUUUUUUAAAAAAAACAUUAAAAACUGUUCUUAAAAACUGUUCUCAAAAAUUGUUUUCCAGAACAGUUUUCAAAAACAGCAACCAAACAGGCCCUCCCUCUCUGUUUUCCACUCUCUCUCUUAUCUUCUUAUUUUUUCAGCUGCUCCCUAUCUUUUCUCUGUUUCUCUUAUCCCGCAAGCCUCCACCUACUCCUUGCUACCGCCAUGGCAAGUCACGUCUUUGCCACACGUCCAUGCAGCUUUAUACUUGAAGAAACCGGCCCCCCACUCCUGGAAAUGAAAUGCUCAGCUGACUCCAGGUGUGGGAGAAAAAAAACUCUGGCUCCCAGAGGGGUUUACAAUAUCAUUUAAGAAAAAAAAUGAUUUUGUAAAAUUAAAGUACCAUAUAAAUAAAUAAAUUAUUAAUAAUUAAUUAACUUAUUGAUAUUAUUUAUAAAACCUUUAUAUAACAUAUGCAUAUAAGAAAAUUGAAUUAAACAUACUAGAGCAUGAUAAAUUUAAAUAAAAAAUAAAAUCAUUUUAUUUUUAAAAAUUCUUAUUAUCAUGAGAUGGUAGGAGAUGUACUUAAAACAAAACAAAAUUUAAAUUUUAGAACAUAAUAAAAAAAUAAGAACAUAUAUAUUUUUUUAGUUUUUUCCAUUUGUUAAAUAAAAAGCAAUUUUCAUUCUAAACAAUUUCCCAAAAAACCAAACAAUUAUUAUAAAAUUAAUAUCUUUCAAGAAAUAUAAUUUAAAUGCAACUUCAGACAAAACAUUAAAUAAAGUAUGAAUAAUUAUAAUUAAUCAAAACAUACAAAAUAAAAUAUAAAAUUACAAAACUUACAUAAUUGAUACAAAUAAAAAGUUCAUAACUUUGUUUUUUGAAAAAUAUUACAUUUAUUUUGAUGUUAAUAACAAAAUAACACAUAAUAUUUAAAAACAAAAAAACAAAAAUAAAGGAGAAAUGAGGUCCAAAUUAAAAAGGAUGUAUAUGUAUAAUUUAUAUGCGAUAAAUAAUAUAUAGGAUUGUAUUUUUAUUUUUUUUAAAUGUUAAAAUAAAGAUAAUAUAAAGGUAAUUUGAUUGUUAUUUUAAAAUAAUGGUAGUUUAAUAUUUCAAGAAAACUCGUAACGGAAAAUAAAAAAUAGGGGAGACAACUAACCAUAGUUGUGUUUCAUGAACAUGUAUCUCAAAUGGGGUUAUUGGGAACCUAGGUCACAUUAAGUUAGUGGGAGCCAUUUUUUGUAUUGUAAUAUUAUGCUAUUAUUGUAUAUUUUCUUUAAAUCAAACAAUGAAGCAUAUAUGAUUGCUUUUUUAUUAUUUGUUUUGAUGAAAUUAUAUAGGACAUUGAUUUAUGAUUAUGUAUAUGUUGUGAUGUUUGAUUAUGUAGUUCAAGUGGGAGAAUUGUUGGAAUUUUUAUAUGUUGACUUUCAUAUGCCAUAAAUCAAUAUUAUUUAAUUUUUGUAUCGUGGUCCAUAAUGGGACUGGACACAUAUUAUUACUUGAUUUUUUAUGGACUCACCCUAAUUCACUUGACUGUUUAUUAAGUCAAGUGGUCUAAAUAAUGUGUGUAAUAUGAGAUAUAUAUAUAUAUAUAUAUAUAUAUAUAAGUGCAAAGAAGACUUCUUCUUCUUGGAAUGGAAAAAAGAGAUGCACUGUACGCUCAUCUUGAGAGCACACAUGGACUGAAUCUUAGGUGUAGAAAGGAAAGAGCUCAUUGAAUAUGGAUUUUCAUAUCAUCAUGAACCGAGCAUAUUCUUGAACACCAGUGGAGCACAAAAAUGACUUUCCAUAACAUUAAUCAAGACAAGCAUUUCAUUUAUUACCAUUUAAUGCAUAUUUUAAUGUCCACAUCUUUUCGUAUCGUUUAAAAUUUCAUCAACAAUAUGAUAUGCCAUCGGGGAAAUUGUUGUUUUCAUGGACUUCAACAAUAACCUGCGCCUUCUUGUCCGCUUCCCUGCUUAGCAGGUACCGUGACUUGAGAUUAGGACACCACCCAUUGAAACAGCUCUUGGUUCUUUUCUUUUCAUCUUCCAUGAAUAUCUUUGCCUCCCCUGUCUUCUUGUCUGCCCGAGUCAGCCAGUCUUGAACAAUAGGUCUGAUUUCAUCCCCUCUUCUAAUAGCUUCAUCAACAGUAAUCUGAAGGUCAUCCUUUGCAAGCCCCAACUCCUGAACCUUCUUGUUGAGAUCAUCCAUGUGGCGGCGGUAGCAAAACAGAUAACUAAGCUGGCGUCGAAUUGGAGCAACCAAGUACUCUGAAACUUUUGCAGCAACGGCAAUAAUGAUCUCUGUCAUUUUGUCUCAGUUGGAUUUAUUUUUUUAUUUUUUGGUGUGUGUGUGGUUUUGUUGGGAAAACAGAAGGGAAAUGAUGAAAAAAACAGAAACAAAUGAAAGCAGGAGCAAAAGGAAACUAAAAUAAGAGAGUGGAAGAAAUGGAAGGAGCAGAGUAUUUGUUCCAAGCAGAGAGACGGUCACCAACAAAAUGAAAAGCAGAAUCAGUAGCGAAUAUGAGUGAAGGAAGAAAAAAUGUGUGACAAAACGAGAACAAAGGAAGUUGGUGUUUUGCAAGCAGAUCCUGAUGUGAGGCCGAAUGUGAAGACAGGUCAUUUGGUUAUGUUGGAAAACAGAUGGGAACUGAGAAAAUAAGAGGAAAUUAAGAAGAGGGUGGAGGAAAUGAAAGGAGCAGAGUUUGGGUUCCAAACAGAGAGAGGGUGAAGGAAUCAGAGGUGAAUGAGAGCCAAGUUAGGAAUGGAUGAUAAAAUGGGAAAGCCAAAAGCAACAGCAACAAUGACACCAAACAAAGAAGAGAGUGGUAUUGCAAUUAGGUAUGGGAAGGAGCAGACUACUUUUUAACUUGGGGUGUUAUAAUUGAGAAAGCACUGCCGCAACAAUAACCAAUGGAUUAUUCCUCACAUGGAUUACUUUUAUCAUCGUGGAAAGUGGAAAACAGGCUUUAAUGGCUUAUAAUACGAGGCUGCUGUGGCUGCCACUUCCUUUUCCAGAAUCGUAUCUCUAUGGA